UGAACAUAUGUGUGGUUGCCUAUCGUGAUCCUAUAUGUGUCAAAUUGUCUUUGUUGAGAUAUUUUAUCUCCCUCUUUUGAUUGUUUUAUUAUUGUGAUAACUAAGGUCCAUACGGGUAUUGUGAUUGUCCUAUCGAUGAUUAUAAUAUUUGGUAGGAUGCUUGGAUUGGUGAAGGAAAUUAAUUUUAUAUUAUGAAUCGUACUAAUUUUCUUUGCCCUUUCGGUAAUAAAAUUAGUGCAUCUUGGUUGUGAUAUUUAAUUGGUUGUCCUUACCGCCGUGGAAUUUUCAAAAUUCCAAGCUGUUGCUAAAUUGAGAAAUUCUGGAAACUAGCAAAUGCAUGAUUUUGUAGUAACAUGCAUAUUGCUUAAUUUUGCUAUUUUCCAGUUACUAGCAAUCCUGGUAUUACUCUGCAACUGUCUGCCAUCAAACCUCUUACUGGAAUAAUUUUGAGGAAUGUUUUGAGUCUUUCAAUGUGCAUAUGACUAUGCACAUUUUGGACUGGGCUUUGAGAGUUGAUAAGCCAAGUAAAUUUGAGUUCUUCCAUAUUGUGGCACAAUCGCCUAGGUCAUAUUUCUAGGCAAAGAUUAGAGAGAUUGGUUAGAGAUGGAUAUGGUGAGGUGCAUGUUGUCUAGUUCCUCCUUACCAGAAUUUCUGUGGGGUGAAGCCUUAAGGACUGCGGCAUAUAUUUUGAAUAAAGUGCCCAGUAAGUCUGUGCCUAAGACACCUUAUGUGCCAUGCGCAGCGGAAGCGUUGGUCAGGCCCUAUAACCCACAGUCAAAGAAACUUGAUCCUAAAACCAUCAGUGGUUUCUUUGUUGGUUAUUGCAUUGGAUCAAGGGGUUCCAGAUUUUAUUGUCCAUCUCAUACCACCAGGAUCAUUGAGUUAGACAGGGUUGUAUAUUUUGAAGAUGUGAGCUCUGUUGAUGAGAGAUCUAGUGGUAUCUGAAGUUUGAUAGUAUUAUCACCCAAAAUGGUUUUAAAGAAAAUACAGUUGACAGAUGCAUAUAUUUGAGGGUCAGUGGGAGUAGUUACAUAUUUCUUGUUUUAUAUGUUGAUGAUAUACUACUCGCAUCAAAUGAUCCUGACUUGUUGAUUGAGACAAAGCACAUGUUGUCAACCCAUUUUGACAUGAAGGAUCUUGGUGAGGCUUCUUAUGUCUUGGACAUAAAGAUUCUUCGUGAUAGGGCUAAUGGAGUGCUUAAAUUGUCUCAAAGAGCCUAUAUUGAAAAGAUAUUGAAGAGGUUCAAUAUGCACAACUGUAAAUCUACUAAAGCGCCAAUUGUGAAGGGUGAUAAAUUUUCAAAGGCUCAGUGUCCUCAAAAUGAUGAUGAGAAAGAGGAAAUGAAGACCAUUCCUUAUUCAUCUGUGGUGGGCAGCCUUAUGUAUGCUCAAGUAUGUACACGCCCUGAUAUUGCUUUUGUUGUGGGCAUGUUGGGAAGGUACUUGAGCAAUCCUGGGAGUCAACAUUGAAAAGCAGCUAAGAAGGUCCUUAGGUAUUUGCAAGGAACUAAGGACUUAAUGUUGACAUAUCAGCGCACCAGCUUACUUGAUGUAGUUGGGUUUUGUGAUGCUGAUUUUGCUGGCUGCAUAGAUGAUAAGAAAUCCACUACGGGCUAUAUUUUUAUGAUGGCAGGAGGAGCUGUAUCUUGGAAAAGUGUCAAGCAGACACUUACAGCAUCCUCAACUAUGGAGGCAGAGUAUGUGGCAUGUUAUGAGGCUUGUUGUCAUGCUAUGUGGAUGCGAAAUUUUAUUUCAGCUUUAGGAGUUGUUGACUCCAUUUCUAGACCGCUGAAAUUAUUUUGUGAUAAUUCCGCAGCUGUUGCUUUCUCCAAGAACACCAGGAGUAUUUCUCUCUCCAAACAUAUUGAUGUAAAGUUCUAUUUUGUUAAGGAGAAAGUGGCAGAGUCUCUUAUUGAUAUUGAACACAUGUCCACAAAAAGUAUGUUGGCGGAUCCAUUAACAAAAGGCUUACCCAUAAUUGUGUUUCAGGAACAUGUAUCUCAAAUGGGGUUGUUGGAAGCCUAGGUUGUAUUAAGUUAGUGGGAGCCAUUUUUUGGUAUUGUAAUACUAUGUUAUUGUUGAAAGGAUUGCUAUUAUUGUACAUUUCCCUAUGAAUCAAGCAAUGAAGCAUAUAUGAUUGCUUUUGAUUAUUUAUUUCUGAUGAGAUUCUAUGGGACAUUGAUUUAUGAUUAUGUGUAUGUUGUAAUGUUUGAUUAUGUAGUCCAAGUGGGAGAUUGUUGGAAUUUUUAUGUGUGGACUUACAUAAUUAAUUUGAUAAUAUCAUAAAUCAGUGUUAAUUUAUGUUUUUGCAUUGUGGUCCAUAAUGGGACUGGACACAAAUUAUUGCUUGAUUUUUUAUGGGCUCACCCUAAUUCACUUGACUGGCCCAUUAAGUCAAGUCGUCCAACUAAAGUGUGUAAUGUGCAAUAUAUAUAUAUAUAUAUAUAUAUAUAUAUAUAUAUAUAUAUGUAUGUAUUUAUUUGUAUAUAUAUAUAUAGAGGUGUGUGUGCUUUUGGAGGGGGACCACUCUCUCUUUUGUUCUCUUUGAAGAACACUCCCGGCCACACACGCACACACCCCACUUUGGACUGAAUUUUGGGGAUUAAAGGGAAGAGCUCAUUGAUCGUUCAUCCUCGGAGCAUCACGCACCCGGAAAGCAGAUUAUUGGACAUCAAAGGUAGCAGAAAUGGCUUCCCAAAGCACGAACCAAGGUAACGGAUUGAAUUUUGCUGUUAAAUGCAUGCUUAAUUUGUCAACAUGUGAUCCUAUGAAAUUUAAAUUCUCAUCAAUCUAAUAACAAGAGCUAAUCCAAUGGAUUGCAACGCUUCCUUAAUCCUCUUACUUGUAAGUUUUCACUUAAAAGAUCUUUACAUUCUUUAUUACUUUCUUGGAAUUUUAAGGUUAUAUUUAGAAAGUGUUUUUAAAAACACUAUUGUAAAACUGUUUUAAGAAAUUAUUCUUAAAUGUUUUGUAGAAUUGAGAAUUUGAAAUAUUUUUAAUUUGUUUUCUAUAUUUUUGAAUAUGUUUUAAAAAUAACUUUUAUUUAUAGUGUUUUUUAUUAUUAUUUUUCAUAAUUGUAUAAUUAUUUUUAAAAAUAAAUGAAAAUAAUUAAAAAAAUAUUUUCUCUCAAUCGUAUAAAUAUUAUCCAUUUUACACCUAAAUAAGCUUUAUCGACUUUGAAACACAUAUACAAAGUUAAGAAGAACUUAUAUUUAUAUAAUUUCAAGAAUUUUAUCUCACAUCGAAUAAGGGAGAAAAUUUUAAAGACUAUAUAAGUAUGAACUCUUCUUUAACUUUGUAAAUAUAUUUUGAAGUCGUAACCUAAAACGGAUAAUAUUUAAAAUAACAUUUUUUUUGUACUUCUAUAGUGACCUAUUUUUAAGUCAACUCUUUUAACACACUAAGGAAAGGAUUGUGAUUAAUAAUAUUUAAUAUUUAAUAAUUUAAGAUAAUUUUAAGUUAAAUUGUACUUGACUCAGUAAACUAAUUCAUCAAAUUUACUUUUAAUCUUAGGGUAUAAUAUUAAGUUAUUCUAUUAACAAUACUUAACACAUUUGAAACAAUUUUGUAUUUUUAGGUUUUGCUAGAAGGCAAAACUAAACCGAUAUAAAAUUUUUCAAAUGAUACUAUUAUAUUAUAAAAGUUUUAUUAAAUAUAAAAAAUUUUCCCAAAAAAAGUCAAAAUAAAACUUUUACAAGAAGUAACAUUGUUCUAAUUUUUGUUUUAAAUUCUUUUCAAGCCUUAAAUUCUUUAAACAAAAUUAGUCAUACAAACAUAAAAAAAAAUUAUUGACUUAAAUUAACAAGGCUUAGCUUCUUAAAAAGGUCUUAACUUUUUAAAUUAACAUAAAAAUUCUUUCAAAGGUCUUAACUUCUUAAAAAUCAACACAAACAAGGCUUUAAUUUACCUAGUAACUUAAAUUAAGUCAUUAAAUCAAUAACCUUUUAUUAAACUUAAAGGGUCUAAAUACACUUUACCCCUCAAUUUUUAGGGUCUUUUACACUUUACCCUCUUAUAUUCAAAACCCAACACUCCCCCCCCCCCCCCCCCCCCCCAAAAAUUAAAANNNNNNNNNNNNNNNNNNNNNNNNNNNNNNNNNNNNNNNNNNNNNNNNNNNNNNNNNNNNNNNNNNNNNNNNNNNNNNNNNNNNNNNNNNNNNNNNNNNNAAAAAAUUUUUGACUUAAAUUAAAAAGGGGUUGGCUUCUAAAAAAGGUCUAAAUUUUUAAAAUAAAAAAAAAAUUUUUUAAAAAGGUUUAAAUUUUUAAAAAACAAACAAAAAAAGGGUUUUAUUUUCCCGGGAAAUUAAAUUUAGGCCUUAAAUCCAAAACCUUUUUUUAAAAUUAAAAGGGUUAAAAACCCUUUCCCCCCCAAUUUUUUGGGUUUUUUAACAUUUUCCCUUUUUUUUUAAAAAACCAAACCCCCCCCCCCCCCCCCCCCCCCCCAAAUAGUUAAAAAUCAAUAUUUUAUCCCCAAUUACAAACUUUCCAUAAAAUUAUAAAAGGGAUUAGUUUAGCCAAGUGGGUUGAUACUCAUGAGGAAAAGGAGACAAGUUGCUUGGUCAAAAUAUACAAACAAUAUAGUAAAAUUGUUGCAUGUUUUCCAAUAAUUAUAGAAGCAUCAAUGUUAUAUAGGAACAAUAUAAAUGCUAUUGCACAUUUUUAUGAGGCAGCCUAGUAACUUGGACAAGUAAGAAGAAAUUUGUUGUUGCAAGAAGUAGUGUUGAGGUAUAUUUUAGAUCUUUAACACAAGGGACAUGUGAGCUCAUGUUGUUGCGAAGGUUGAAGAACGAAUUGAAACUACAAAGUGAGAAUCCAAUGUUGUUAUAUUUUGUCAAGAGAUUAACAAUUAACAUUCCUCACAACCCAACUCAUCAUGAUCAAACAAAACACAUUGAAGUUUAUUGACAUUUUAUCAAGGAGAAGUUAGAAGAAAGAUUAAUCUUUCUCUCAUAAAGGGACUUCCUUAAGUGAACAUUGAAUGCUUGAUCACCAAACUAGGCAUGAUUAAUAUCCGUGCACCAACUUGAAGGGAAGUGUUAAAGAAUUUGAAUCCUUAUGGAGAUAAAAUCCGUCUUUUGAAGAAUUAGCCGGUAGUUCAUUUGUAAUUAAAACUACAAUAAAUUAUUUGAAUAGAAUUUGUCAGAUAGUUUCCCAUUUCUUUCUACUUUCUUUACUUUGGUAGGUUCUCUAAUUGUAUAGAGGACUUUUUCUCUUCUUUACCAUACAAAUGAAUAUACAAGUAAAAUUAAUCUAUCGAUUUUUUCAAUUGGUGAAGAAAUUUUUUCUUUCUACUUUAACAUCCAUUUUUGUGAAACUCAUUUUAAUGUAGACUCUUUUCUUUAGAAUUUUUUCUAUUGUAUUUUGUAAAAUAUUUUUUUUUAAAAAAAUUAUACUUUAUUACCUCACAUUAUGUAUAAAAUUUUUUAGUUAAUUAAUUUUAUUUUUAUAAUUAAAAUUUUGAAGUUAAACCGAGUGUUAUAUAAAUGUUUCAUGUUAGUUUAUCUUUAAUGGAAGGUAAUUAACUAUUUAGAAAAGUUUUAAUAUUUAUAUUUGGAAAUAAAUUAUUGUUUCAUUGAUGUAGAAUAAAAUAAUAAUAUUUUUUUAUAGUUUCAUGUAACAAAACUAAAAAAAAAAAAUCUAUUUUAGUUUAUUUAUUAAAAUUAUAUUAAAUAAAAUUUAAAUUUUAAUUAAUUUAUAUUGAAAUUGAAUUUCUUUCAAAACAAAGUUAUGCAUUUUUAGUUAUCUAUUAUAACAAAAUUAAAAUUUCAAAUAAACUCUACUUAAUUCAUUUAUAAAAACUAAUUUUAAAUAAAUUCUAAUUAAUUCAUUUAUAAAAAUUAAUUUUUUAUUAUUAAAGUUAUGUAAUACAUUAUUUAACUAUAUAUGUUCUAUAAUAUUUUAUUUCUUUUUCUAUUGCAAUCUUUUACUCUAAUUUAUUUUCCUUGAUUUUGUUAUUAGAUAAUACUAAAAAGAAAAUACUAUAUUUAUUAUUGAAAAAUUUGAGGAAAAUAAAUUAGAAAAAAGAAAAGAAAAGAAAAGAAAUUGGUGAAUAAAACUUUCUUAAUUGAAAUUGUUGAAAAUUUUGAGAUGAAUAAAAUUAAAUUAUUAAUAAAAACAAUUUCCCAAAAAUAUCAAGAAAAUUAUUUUCAAAUUUGUAAUUUUAAAAUUAAAAUUUUUUAACACUUGAGUUUCAGCACCACCACGAACUGAAAUGUCACUAAUAAUAACAAAUUUAUUAUUUAGAAGUAAUUUUUUUUUUCAAAUAUUAAAUUAUUGAUGUUUUAGGGAUUUGUGAGACUUUCCAUAGUAGAUUUUGAGUAAAAUUUUUUUUUGAAAUGAUUAUAAGUAGAAAAUUAAAAUUUUGGAUGAUUGUAAAAAGUAAAUUUCUAAUACUAAAAAAAUUUAUUAUUCAAAUGAGAAAAAAAUUAUUUUUAAAUAUUAAAUUAUUAAUAUUUUACGAAUUUGAUUUCUAAUAAAUUAAAAUUUUAUAUAAUUAUGAAUGAAUAAAAAUAUAUUAAAAUAAUAAUUUUAAAAUUUUGUUUGAUAGUGAUUUUAGUAAAUAUUUAAAAUUUUUUUAAUAUAUAAAAAGAUUAAAAGUUUUAAGUGUUCCAAAAAUUAGAAAUAUUUUCUAAAAAUAUUUUGUUUUUAUUUUUAAUUCUGUGAAAAUAAAAAAAUAAGCACCGUUUAUCGUUAUGUCGUCCAAUUUCUUAAUUAUCAUCACUUUCAUUGUGAGUUAUGACAGCAAAAACACUGCACACUAUUAGGGUUUAUGCUCUGAUGCUUUCUUUCCCACUUUUUGUCCUUAGGGGCUAGGUUUAGGGUUAGGGUUUUGGAUUUCUCAUCCUCGAUCUUCUGCGUAUCUACAUCUUCGCUGCUUUGACCUCUUUUGGAAACAAUGAUGUACGGUGAUCCUCAACAGCAGAUGCAGCAGCAGCAGCAGAUGCAGCAGCAGCAGCAGAUGCAUCAGCAACAGCAGAUGCAUCAGCAGCAACAGCAGAUACACCAGCAACAGCAGAUGCAGCAGCAGCAGCAAGGCGGAGACUUUCACAGGGGCCCACUGCCCCCACCACCGUCUCAACCACAACCACCGCAAUCGCAACUGCCACCUCCUCCGCCGAUGAUGCGCCAGCCCUCGGCUUCUUCCACCAAUCUCGCCCCCGAGUAUCACCAUCCAUCCGCUCCUCCUUAUGACGGUAUGGUUUUUCACAUUGUUCAUGUUUCUGCUGUUUUCUUGGUUCGGUUUGCUGAGAAUGUCGAGGAAAUUAGUAGAAAAAUUGCACUUUGGGUGUUCCAUUUUUAUCUCUACUUUCCGCGGUGUAAAGAAAAUUUUGAAUUGUACUCGAAUUUUUGACAAAAUAUGAAUGACAUAUGUGUCUGAUAUUCCGAAUUAUUUUGGAUAAUUAUGGACUGAGAACACUGCUUUCUUACUUUUCCCCCUCUUUCUCUGGAUAUCUAUUUCUUUUAUUACUUUUAAUUUCCUGGUGUUAUUUUCUUGAAUGACUCCUGAAUCAAGAUUUGUUCUGCAGCAGGUGAGUUCUGAAUCUAAAUUUGUGACUGAGCUACUCCUAGUGGUUGUAUUAGACAAUGAGUCAAAGUAGCUUUUGUUUUCUUAGGCAUUUUGAUAUUCUUCGUGGGGAAACAAAAAUUUUCAAAUUAUUCCCUCUUGAUUUUUUUUAAGCGAACCAGAAAAGAUGGAAUAUAUAUUGUAGGCUUCAUUAAUUUGUAAUAGGCCAAAUUACUCUGAACGAUUGAAUGAAAAGACAGGUUUUAUGAACUUAAACUACAUCACUUUUUCUACUUCCAAACUCACUUCAGAAUUUGUCUGUUUUUCUCCAUAGAUUUUCCAUAAUUUUCAUCUAAGUGUUUGUCUUAUUUUUCAUAAUAAUUUCCAGAAAUCAGUCCUCUGCUGAAUUAUUGUGAAUCCUAAAUUACUUACUGUGCUUCAAAGUGCAUAUCCUUGUGGAGUUGAGCAAGUGUGGUCUUUGUUCUUGCUUCUUAGAAACUACUAAAAUUUUACGGCACUCAAGCAUGCAAGUUUUAGAAUGGUUAAGUUGCCAUUACUUUUCCUUCUUGUUUUGGAUUGGUCAAGUUUUGCUAAUGUUUCUUUCAUUUAUAAAUGGUUAGUACAGCUCAUGCCGAUAGUUUUGCUGCAAAAAGAAUGAGAAAGCUGGCCCAAAGAAGAGCAGUUGAUUAUACUAGCACUGUUGUACGAUACAUGCAGGUAACUGUUUCUACCCUUUUGGACUUAUGUCACUAGUCUUUCUUCAAAUAUAUAUUCAAUCAUUUUUUUUUUUCUGAUAUUGUGGUAAGAAACAAGAUAUUUCUUGAAAUUGCUACAAUUUCAUAUUGGAUAUGUCUUUCAUCUGUAAGGUUCAUGGAGUGCCCCUUUACCUGAUAUUGGCUUCAUUGUUGUUGGAAGAAAAUGAAACAGAAAAUGGACCAGAAUUUUUCUUUCUUUUUCAUUCUUUGUUUGUUUGUAGCACAUAAAUUGUACCUUGCAAUUCUACUUUAUCUAGAUGCAUUUUGAACUUCACUGAUGUGGCUUUCUGUGGAUAAUUCCUUUUACAUCAUUCUGCCUUUUCAGAAUCUUUAGUUUGCACCAAGCACUUCCCAUGGGUGUUGUUGUUGGUCCAUAAGUGAAACAUGCUCCUGCCAUCUUGCUAAUUCUGCUUUCUUAUUACCUACCAUGCUAGACUCUUUGAUGUGCAAAUCCAUUGGCAUGACUAGAGCUUUGAGUUGUUCCUUCUCUUGGAUACCCUGUGUAGCUAGUCAGACUGCAGAUGGUUUGGCCUUCCUUUUUAGGUGCCUUUAUUAAUCCUUAUUUUGCCCAUUAAAAAAACAAAAGAAUUCCUUUGUCAUCAUUAUGUUUUGAUACGGUCCAUGUUUCGGAAGGAUGGGUCAUUCUCCCAUGUUGUUGGAUUGUUUGUUUCUGAUUAGAAAAGGUUUUGAAACAGCGAUCAUCAAACAUGAAACUGCCAUAAUAUCUCAAUUGACCAUGGUUGCUAGGGAUGAUGUUAUUAGCUUGUGUCCAAGAUUACUCUGUAUAAUAUUUUUCUUAUUGAGGCAAUGGAGUGUUAGUGCUAUUAUGGUUGAUAGGGGCAAGGUGUAAGUCUUGAGGCGGAAUGGGGUGUAAGCCUCAAUUAAAGGAAAAAACCUUUAAAAAAUUAAAUUCACAUAAAAAUAGAGAAUAAGAAAACCAUUAAAUUCAAGAAAACUCAUUGUUUUUCAUAAAAGUUUCCAAUUUAGUUCAUCUUUCCCUCUUCCAAAAUGCAACUCUGUCUCAUGAGUCAUGGUUUGACGAAAUUACUCAUCACUCCUGAGCAUCACCAUCAUUAACACUAGUGGGAUCAUGUAAGGAAUCUUUAUUAUAUCUAAUUGAUUUAUCAUCCUCUCUAUCAAUAUCAAUUUCCACCCAUGUUUCUUUUCAUCCACCAAUUGCAGCAUCAUAGGUUUAAGCUUUAAGCAAAGCAGUGGCUAUAAGGAGGCAUCAUUGCGAUUCUAGCUGUGAUUCUGAAGACUCUUGCAGCAAAGUAGUUCUCCUCUGGAAGUAAGAACCCAGCACCCAGGACCCAGGACCCAACAGCCAAGAAGUCUUCUCUUCUCCUUCUAAAUAUCUUUCCUUUCCCCCUCUUAUUUUUUUAUUAUUUAAAAUCAACCUAAGAAAUUGAUCUAAGACCCAGAAAUUUACCCAAGAUCUAAGCCCAUGACUCAAAACUUACAAAAUAGAAUAAAAAAGCCUAAAAACAUUAAAAAUCCAUUGGAUAUGGAGGCCCAAGAAGAACAAAUACUCAUAAAAGUGCCAUCAUAUCUGAGGCUUAAGCCUCAAGGUUGUGUGCCUUGGUAGGGUGAGGCUUAAUCCUCAACUACAGACUUAAGUCUCACCAUUAUUUCUUAAUGCUUCCUCAAGGCAUAAAAUCCUUUUAAAACACCAUGGGCAACUUAACUGGCACAUGAGUGGUCCUAGGCUCAUCUAAUAGGCUAGUAUAGCUAGUAUUGUAUUAUAUUGUAGGCUACCAUCGAUGGUACUUCAUCAUAUUUUAGCUUUAUGCUUUCUGUUGUUUCAUUUAUUACAGUGUUGGCAAGCAUGUGGGAAGGUGAUUGGAGGCACUUGCAUGCAUUGAGAACAUUUUUUUUUUUAAAAAAAAAAAAAAAUUAGAAAGAAGCUAUUCAUUGAUAUGGAUUUUGAAAACAAGCAAAGGAUGAGAAAUCCUUCCAAGAAUACGAAGGGUCCAAUAACAAGGAAAUACUUGGCAGGAGUGACAAUGUAGCUACAUUGAAGGAUGAGACAAUAAAAUGCAUUGAGAAUUUGUAAAGCAAUUGGAAGAUGGUGAGGAAGAAAAUCAUGAUUGGGAUGAUUUUCAUUUUUUCUAUUUCUCUAGGGCUAAGUUUUUGCAGCCUAGCCCACGUACACAGGGAGUAUAGGGGUGGUAGUAUCAUCCUUAUAUUUAUGAGUCUCAGCUCUGUUGAAUUCUUUCUUUUUGCAUGUGGUGGCUCUUUUGUUUUUGUCUUAUAAGCGUGGCACUGUUUUACCUCUGUAUAAAUUUAAUUUACGUUGUUUGUGCUUGGGGUUUGGCCCUUCUUUUUCUUUAUUACUUUAUCAUUUCUUAUGUGUUGCAAAGAGAAGGAAAAGUGACUGAUUCUGAAAAUUUGAAAUAUAUGACCUGUGAAUUCCUGAAUAUUUGUAGUCAGAUCACCAUUAAUAAGUAAAGACAUUGUUCUGGUUUCCUAGUGAAGGCAAGCAUCAAAUAUUGGAAUCCUUAAAUCAACUUUUUUCAUAGAUAGAUAGGAGAAAUAUCUGGACGGUCACAUGCCAAAGAAAACAGCAAAGAUGAAGAGCCCUACAUAAUGGAUUAAGUGAGAAAAGAAAAUCAAAAUUCUUUUGCCCAAAAAACAAAAAUAAAUAAAUAAAUAAAAUCUACAUGGGAAAGCCUCUGGUCUACAGAAAAAAAAAGGUCCAAAUGAAAGUUAUCCUUCAGCUACAAGAUUGGAUUUUCUUCCUCCUGACAGAUUCCUCUGCCAGUUUCUUCCAACACUAUGGAAACAAACAUUAGCAUUGUCUUCCUUAAAAAAUGGAGGCACCCACUGAACAGAAAAAGUGAAGACAGUAAGGUCCAAAGUUCUCCAGCUUCCCAACAGUUGAUAAGAUCGUGGUUUGUUGACUGCUGACUUUUUUUGUGCAAGCACCACCAAUGAAUCAUGUGAAACCUUGCUGCAUCAAGUGGUUAAUGGUGAGGACUUCCCUGAGCUACCUCCAUGCAUAAAAUUCCACUAUGGAGGGAACCACUGGCACCCAUACCUCGUAAGCUGGGGACUUUCUGCUGCCCCUUCUGCUUGAUUCCAGAAACAGUGACUUAAAAGUGAAUCUUUCAUCCCUACCAAGUCUUCAUCUGAUUGUAUCUUCUUUGUUUCCGAGUAUUGCUUGUCAUAGAGUAUACCCAUAAGCUUCACCAAUGCCUCUAAUUAUUACUCUUGUGAGAUUGAAAUAAAAGCAUGGAACCUAUAAAUAUCAGUCAUAGACCUAGCCAAAUCCCAUGUGAUCUCCACAAAGGCAUCGAAGUCAGAUGAUUUGCUAAAAAAGCUUGGAAAUGACCCUUUAAGGAGAACCCCUAACCAAAUUCCCAGUUGGACUGGUCUCUCACCUCCUUGGAGCACUAAUUGCCCACCUCCACCUUGAACUUGCCUAUUACAACCUCUUUCCAAAAGCUCUUCCCCUCUCUUGCAAACCCUAUGAAUCUCAAAAAGUUACUAUCCUAAAAGAAAAAAAAAAAAAAUCUUGUUGUAUAGCGGAGGUUUUUAGUAUUUAGAUCAGGUUUGUAUUUUUGUGGGAAGGAUUCCUCAUCCUUCUCAUGAACUCUUUUAUAUGUAAUUAAUUCAUCUCUUGUUUCUGAUAAAAAGAAAAAAAGAAGAAAAAAAAUUAAAAGCUACGGGUAAUAAUUCUGAUUCAGCUUUAAGACAAGCAUAUAUAUAUAUAUAUAUAUAUAAUUAUUAUUGUUUUUGCUUUUUUUUAAUUAUAACUAAAGAGCCACUUGGAAGGAGACCAUUGAGCAUUGACACUUCCACAAUGGCUUAGAUGCAGAUUUUGGAGCAAAUUUAUCUCAAAGAGAUUCAUAAACAGGGUUGCAGUGGUAACUAUUGGUACAUCUUUAAAUAACUCAAUCCUACAAUCCAUGAUCACCAUUGACAUUCUAUAUAUUAAUAAAUUGAUUUUCAUUCAGUCUGAUUAAGUCUAUCAUAUUUGGUGAUCAUGUUUCAUCAGUCAUUAAUUUUUAUGGAUUUUGGUGGUAGUAUUUUCAUCAGUCAAGGUUUUAUGGAUACUCUUUCCCUGUCUUAUUGAGUUUCUUACAAUAUACAUACAUAUAUACAUAUAUAUAUAUAUAUAUAUAUAUAUAUAUAUAUAUAUAUAUAUAUUUAGAAACAAACAAAUGUAUUAAAUUAAGGAUAGAGAAAUACAAAAGAAGGUUGAGGAAUUCUCCCAAAAUACAACAAACUAAUAAAAAAGUAUGCUGAAGCAUCCAAAGUACUAAGUAAACCUAUACAACGAUAAUGUACCACAAGGGAACUUAUAAGAAAAAAAGUAAAGCACCACAAGGGAAUAUACAAAAAACAACUCAUAGCUCUAGUAUUUGACUAGUAUAGUUUCUUACUAUAUUUUUGACCCCUACAAUUUAAUUUCUUUGCCAUCGAAAGAAAAUCAUGCACUGGUCCUUACUUUGGUCUCUUUUCAUUUUCAGGUGCAUCCAUGUUUCGUUUGAAGCUUGUCUUCACCUGUCCUGUUUUCUUUUAAAGUUUCUAUUGGAGUUUGAAUAACUUGUAGUGUUUGUUUAAUAUUUUCUGCAGAUUCGCAUGUGGCAACGAGAUUCAAGGGACAGGACAGUAUUGCAACCUACCCCAGCUGCAGCAAUUGAUGUUAGUUCAUACAUUUUACGCAUAUUCCAUCUUUGCUUCUGAUGUUGACAUGGUGGAAGAUGGAAGUAGUUUAAUUUUUAUGAUGUAUUGUUUUCUCAUGUGUUCCGUUUAUGAUCUGAGCUGCAUUGAUUCGAAGAUGGAAGUAGUUUAAUUUUUAUGAUGUAUUGUGAUCUCGUGUGUUCCAUUUAUGAUCUGAGCUGCAUUGAUUCGAAGAUGGAAGUAGUUUAAUUUUUAUGAUGUAUUGUUUUCUCGUGUGUUCCGUUUAUGAUCUGAGCUGCAUUGAUUCAUUUCCUGGAUCUUUUGCAUCUUCUGCCUAAAAAAAACAGAACUUUCAUGUAUUGAAAUUCAAGAUUUGGGGCUGCUUGAUAUCACAAUCCAAUUCUGAACACAGAAAUUUUCCAUAAUAAUCAGGGUAAUUACAUUUUCACUGAAAGGGUUGAAAAAUUCAAUUUGAGACUGCUAACUUGUUUCUGAAAAUUGAACUCUCUUCCUUUCUAUGAUUCUGAAUUAUAAAAUCUAAGUUGUCUUUGCCUAAGUUUAUGAGCCAAAUGACAAACUGACCCUUUCAACAGCUUGAAGUCGUCACUCUCACAAAGUUAUAGCUAAAGAAUUUAGUACCAAACUUUCAGUUUAUCAGAAAAAGGGUGUUUGGUAAACCGAAUUAAUUGCUUAAUGAAUUAAUUUAUGUCAUUAACCAAAUCAAUAUAUUUGAUAAAAUAACUUAAUAUUGCAACUUAAGGUUAAAAAUGACUUAAAAGUAAUAAGUUAAAAUAGAUAAUUUUUUCUAAAUCCUAAUUGUCAUUUGUCUUACUAGUUCAUGUUUUUUUCUUCCAUGUUUCUCUCAUAAACUCAUAACUUAAUAUCAGUGAGGAUAGUCAUGUCAAUUUAAUAGUUUAGAAAAACCUUGAAGUGUUUUUUUCCAACCAACUUUAACGCUUCCAAAAAAAAAAAAAAGAGGUAAAUGAUGAAUUAUAGGUUGAUAAUUUGAGUAUAAUUUAACUUAAAAUCAUUUUAAGUUACUAAACAUUAAGUGUUAAGUUUUACCAAACACCACCGUAUUAUCUUACCUCAAUAUGCUAAUUACUUGUUUCGCAGUGAAAUGUUUGUCAUCAGUAUGAUUUUCUUUCUGGUGUUGCCUUAAAUGUUUCUUUUGUGUUUUUGUUGGUGCAGUUGUUGCCAGCAGUUGCUUAUUCAGAUAAUCCAUCCACAAGUUUUGCUGCAAAGUUUGUUCAUACAUCUUUAAACAAAAAUCGUUGUUCAAUUAAUCGAGUUCUGGUGAGUUCAUUGGAAUUUGAUGUUCUUGAAUAUGUAUGUUGCUUAAUUUUUCUUCUCUUAUUUGAGAUGUUAUCCAUAUCCUGUUUACUUCAUUUGAGGUAUUUUGUUGUGGCAUUUUGUAAUUAUUUAUGUUCCUGUUUGCAGGUUCAAGUUAAAAUAUUUUGAUCCUUCUAAGCAAGAAAUAUAUAUUUUUAAUUCUGAUGCCACUUAAUUUGCAGGAUUUUUUAAUUCUAAUUGCCCGUCAAUGCUAGGAUUCAAUCCAUAGCCCAUGUUUAUAUGGUUGAAACAAAAAAUCUGGAAGAGUGUGAGUUAGAUGUUAGAAUUCAUCCAAACAAGUUAACUUUUGACACAUGCUUUCUGGACUCAGAUCAAUUACAUGGUGGGCCAAUGACAAAGGUCUAUAAGACAUCUAAUAAAAUAAAGGGUCUAUAAGCAAUCAGACUGUUAAAAUUCAUGCAAUCAAACUUAUUUUUGGCACUGACCAAAAAAGAUUCAUCUAAUACUGGGUCUUCAUGAAUGUAUGCUUGCACUGUGUGCCUUUGGCAGUUAUUGGAAUCGUCUUUUCCCUUGUGAGGUUUUGAUGAGUCACAGUUUUAAUUUGAAAUUGAGUGGUUAGGUAGCAGUGUGAGGAGAGGAGACAAAGGAAAGGGAUUAUCUUUGAAAUUGACCAGUUAGAUAGGGAUUUGAUGGGGUGGAACCAAAGACAAUGGUUUUUUUGGCUUAAUGCUUGUUAGUGUGUUGAUUUGAUAAUAUCAUCAUGCAGACGACCUUUAGAAAUUGGUUGUAUAAUAUAUUCAAUUGGGCCCAGAUUCUCUGUUUUAGUUAGAUACUCAGAUGGAUUAGAUUUAUAAUGGAAUUCUUUUUUUUUUCUUUUCUUUUUCUUUUUUGGGUUUCUAUUAAGUAAAUGUUUGGUUUUCAUUCUCUUUUGUCAAAUGGUUUUUAGUUAGUGUGGAAUAAUUUAAGCAAACUGAUAUUUUGUUUUAAAAUUUUUUAUUGUUAUGUCACUGAAUUAGUAUGUACUGAAGUGUUAUCCUUUCAAUGCAUUCUGACCCUUGCUUUCUGUCACAGUGGACUCCUACUGGGAGACGUCUUAUCACAGGCUCGCAAAGUGGGGAAUUUACUCUUUGGAACGGACAGUCAUUUAAUUUUGAAAUGAUUCUUCAGGUAUGCCGUUGUAUAAGUAAACUUUCCAUUUCUAGUUAGCAAAGAAAUUGAUUUUCCUUCUGGGGUGUUUGGUGUUGGGUAGGGUUGGUUUUCCUUGUUCUCUGUGUUUCUGCCUUGGCACAUUUUGUAUGCUAUGUGUGUACACUGUUGCAUCCUUUCCUAGGGCUUUUAAUAUAUUCUUGCUUUUUACCUAUCAAAAGAAAAAAAAGAAAAAAAAAAGAAGCGAAAUUAAUAUAGUUUGCAAUGUUUCUUAAAUGUAGGCUCAUGAUCAAGCAAUCAGGUCUAUGGUAUGGAGUCAUAAUGAGAACUGGAUGGUUACUGGUGAUGAUGGGGGCUCAAUAAAGUAAGCAUCUAUCUUAUGCAGCCACUUUGGUUCAAUAUUCUUUUUCAAAAUUCCAUUGAGUGAAAAUUUUUUUUGUUUGAUGUGCUCAUGCUUACGGGGGAUGCUUAUUAGGUAUUGGCAAAACAACAUGAAUAAUGUAAAGGCGAAUAAAUCUGCUCAUAAAGAAUCAGUUCGUGACUUAAGGUAUAUAUUUAUGCAUGUUUCUAGCUAAAUAUUCUUCAUGAAGCUUUUCAUAAUUAAGUUUUACCUUUUUGACCAGCUUCUGUCGGACAGAUUUAAAGUUCUGUUCCUGCUCUGAUGAUACUACUGUUAAAGUUUGGGACUUUGCUCGGUGCCAGGAGGACCGUUCACUAUCUGGUAAUGUGCCUUGAAAGCUUGAUAUCUGAGGAUGAGCUUGCUGUUCCCAAUCUUUGUUUGACAUCAAUAACAUUUUUUUUUCAAUCAGUUGGUUGUGUUAUUGACAUAUUGUCUGAUAUCAUGUACUAUGGAAAUGAUAUGAUAGUGUGCCUCUUUGUUUGUUUGAACUAAAUUCCAAAGCAUGGUCAGUUAUGCUUCUUGUUUGAUGUUGUCAGCAAGAAAUUAGUGGAAAUGGACCUGAUAUUUUGGUCAAGUUUUUAGUUCUUCAUGUUGACAUUUAGACAUGUGGUUUUCAAACUUGGUUGACUUAUUUGGGAUUUGCUAGUGGAGAAUUGGUUUGGGUUAUUAGGCUUGAAUGUUUGUUAGCUGGCUUGUUGUGCAUGAGAAAUUACCUUUCAAAAGGGGUUGCCUUAAUCCUGUGCAUAUUGGUCAAUUUAGCCAUUCGGUCUUAGUAUUCCAAACUCCAGAAUUUGUGGUUAGGAUAUUAGAUAAGCUUAUGAUCAAUUUACCAUUGGAUGGCUAAACCAAUCAGAUCUAUUUGGGGAUGUGUCUAUGCUCAACUUUUGGCAUUUAGACUUUGGUGAUGUGGCUGUGUUCUUCUUGUUAUGUUGUGUAGAAUAUCAUAGAGACUCGUUAGAGUUCAAUAAAGAGGGAUCUGGUUGAGAAAUUUUCUCCUCUGAUGUAAAUCAUUUUAUUUUCAUUAGACAGCAUUGAUCUAGGAGUAUAUGAAAACAUGAUAUUAUCUACAAAAGGGGCUGGUAAAAAUCCUUCCCUUAUAGCAAUUAGGGAGAAAUUCUUAAAAACAGAUUAAAAAGAAGACAGAUUAUAAUAGGCAAGCCACUAACAAAACUUGAGUACUUUUUACCCUUUGGGAUAGGAUCUUCUAUAUUUAUUUCGUCCAAUGUAGUCCAAAACAGCAGAUAAUCUCAUUUCAGUUGAAACUGUUGUAAACCAGUGAAACAGAAAGAAAAGUGGCUUACUUCCACACUGGAUGUCCUCCCUAAAUCUAACUUGUCCCUAGUCCUUAGGCUCCUUACACCAAUUCUUUACCCUAAUUAAUUUAUGCUAGACCUUGAGACACUACUGCAUACUAAACAAUUGAAGCAACAAUGUCCUUGCUAUGACACCUUAUAUGCCUAAUAUGUUACUUUUCACUAUUAUGAGCCUUAAUAGAGUUUCUUGCGAACCUCCAUGGUAAUUUUCAUAGCAAAGUAGUGUUGACAAUAAGAGGCAAAGUUCUUAUUGAGUUAUCAACUUUCCUAAAAGGUAAAGCUAUUAGGAUUUGGGCCCAUAAUGUAUAUCAUGCUCUAACAACCUCCUUCACAUGUGACUCCAUACGCACUUGUAACUCCAUACCCACACGUGGAGAGAUAGAUAGAUGGAGAAAUAAAAAAUUUGUGAUCACAAAUAUAGAAAGAAAUAGGUGGGGGAAGGACCUGAACUCAAGAUCUUUUGCUCACUGGAGUCCUAAUAUCAUGUUGAGUUAUCAAUUUUUCUAAAAGCUUAAGUCGUUAGGAUUUGGGCCCUAGUGAUUCUAGUCCUCCUUGAUAUUCUUUCAAAGUUGAUCAUAAUACACAAAAUGGUACCUAAACAACUUCAUUUGACAAUAACAAUUAUAUAUGCAGCUGAGGAAGAAGAGCUGUCAAUCCAAAGACUUAAGAAUUCUUUUGUAUAUUUCCUUUGGUCAGAGAUGAAACUGUUUAUAAAAGAUGGUCCUUUGACUUUAGUUGAUUUUAUUGAUUGGGUGGGAACCCGUUGAGGGUGGGGUUCGGGCUGCACCUCCGGCCUUGGCAUCCAGCUAGGGAGUGGGGGGUGUUUUCUUCUUUGUAAUCUUUAAGCCGCUGCUUUGGUGGUUUUUUUAAUUCAAUUUUAUUCUUUACUUAUCAGAAAAAAAACAGUUAUAUAUGCAGCUAAGGUCUCAGCCCUGUUAGAAGGGUUGAAAGACUACUUUGGGUGUUAAUGAUUUGCUAGUGGAAGGGCACUCAGCUAUUGCAUUCCCAUUCAUUUCUCAGGGAAAAAGAGAGCGCUGGAGGCUGAAUAUGUUUAUUUACAAAAUUAUAGACAUGUCAAGGUUUUGGGAUGUUUUUUUCAUAGGUUUCUAUGUAUUGGCAAGCCAAGUAGCAGACCAGAUUUUUUUUUUUUUGAUAGGUAAAAUAAGAAUUAAAUUAAAAGCACUUGAAAGUAGCAGACUAGUUAUUGAAUCCUGGAUCCUUGUGUUUAGAGAUAUUUGUUGGGGACUUUUUUUUUUUUUUGAUAGAUAAACGCACAGAAAUAUAUUAAAAAGGGGGCAUGAAAGGCGACCUAGAGUAUACAGGGAGUAUACAAGCAUCACCUACAAAAACCGGAAACAAAAAGGACAAACCCUUACCAGACCUCAACAAGAACCCAACCAGUCCACAAAAUUAAACAGAUAUUUGUUGGGGACUUUAUGCCUCCCUGAGCUGCAUUUCAUUCUAAUCUUUGGUUGGACCUAUCCGAGUUCCUACCUAAGUGUAAUACUCUUUUUUCUUCAUUGUAUUCUUUCCUUUUAUCUUGAAGGAUACCUCAUCCUUCUUGUAAUUACUCUCUUUUUUUUAUCUCCCUUGCUGCUGCCUCCUCACAACACUCCCACAUAGCUGCAAGCCCCUGCCAAAAAGGGGGAUGGUUACGUGUCUUGGGUUGAGAAAUAAAGACACAAAGAGGUGAGCAAACUUGCAGAUAGAUUUUUGUCCCUUCUUUUGGAGGAUAAUUUUUCUUUAAGGAUCCCUACCUCCAACCGAAACUGCUGAUCACGGACCAAUGGCAUGCCCAUGUAGGUGGAAGGAAACUUAUCCACCUUGAGUUUUUGGUUGAGUCCAAGCUUGAAUUUUGGGAUCCUAUCCUUCCUGAAAAGCUUACUGUCAAUGAGAUUAAUUGUUAAUUGUAUUGAAGGAUCCUUUACUGAAUUUGAGGCUUAUCAUCCUAGCAUUGGGUUGAGUAAGUCCAAUAAUAUAGAAAAGGGUAAGCUAACUAUCUUCUUCACCACCGGAGAUCAGAAAGGAAUUGAGAGGAACAUGUUACAUUGUUUUUUUUGAACAGAUUCUUUCUUGUGAAUUGGAUGGAUUCUUCUUGUCUCAUAAUAUAUACUGUAUGUUCUGUGGAGGGGAAUUUAGGGGGGUUGCAUUCCAUUGAUUUUGGGUAGUUGGUAUUUCUUGUGAGUUAUAUGGAGCCUCUUGUCCUGAAAUGUAUGCCACAGGGUUCGAGAGUUCAUUUAAUGUCUUCCAUUAUAUCUUUUUGUCCCCUUUUUUUUUUUUUUUCAUUUGGAUGAUAUGAGAAAAUUACUCAUUACUGCUUGGAGAAUUGCUUCUUUGCUAAGUCCUUCACAGUACAUGGGAUUUGAUGUCUAUAUUAUUGGUGGCAUAAGUGAUUAAACAGUGCAUGAAGUAACCUAAGAGUUCUGUGUACAUGUUUUAAACUCAGGCAGGCCAUGGUUGGGAUGUGAAGAGUGUUGAUUGGCACCCUACAAAGUCCUUGCUAGUUUCAGGUGUGUACUUGUACACCUUUCUUUAAACUUCUUUGUUGAAAUCUUACUGCAAGAUGCAGAUCCAUACUCAUAUUCAAUUGAAUUGUCCUCUACGUAGGUGGGAAAGACAACCUUGUGAAACUUUGGGAUGCUAAAACAGGAAGAGAGCUUUGUUCAUUGUGAGUGCUUUUCCUUUCUUUUCUUUUCUUUUCUUUUUGGAGCAAAACUAUUUUAGUUUGUGAGUCAAAUUAUUUUGAGAAAUUGUAAAUCUCUUUUGCAGUCAUGGCCAUAAAAACACUGUGCUCUGUGUCAAAUGGAAUCAAAAUGGUAACUGGGUGCUAACUGCUUCAAAAGAUCAAAUCAUCAAGGUAAGUAACUUAGCUUUUUCUGAGGCUAUCUUUCCAAAUUGAAAGGAUUUGAAUUUGGACGCUUCUCUCUCUCUCUCUUUUUUAGGAUGCUUAUGCAUUAUUUCACUCUGCUUUUACAGCUUUAUGACAUAAGGGCUAUGAAGGAGCUUGAAUCCUUCCGUGGGCAUCGGAAGGAUGUGACUGGUUAGUGACAACACUUCUCAAAAACUUUUAUGCCUUAUAUGUGAUGUAUAAUGUUGACGGUUGUUAUGCACUUUUUAUUUGUCUCUACUGAUGCAUGUGAAAAUAAAAUGACAUCUGAAGAAAAACUCAGAUGAAUAUAUUGUCUCUUUUUCGCUUGCCUAAGCUAGUUGCAAAAAGGCUCGAAAAACUUCAAAGGGAUUUUCUUUGGGGAGGGGGAAGCACGGAAAGAAAAAUCCAUCUAAUCAAUUGGGAGGUGUGGUGUGUACCCAAAAGGAGAGUGGGGGUCUAGGUAUUCGGAAAAUUGAUCUCUUGAAUAAGGCCCUAUUGGGUAAAUGGAUUUGGCGGUUCGCCUUUGAGGAAGCAUUCCUUUGGAGGAAGGUGAUUGGGGUGAAGUAUGGCCAAGUGGGAUUUGGUUGGAGAACAAAGGAGGCCCGCGGAACGUUUGGGGUGGGGGUUUGGAGGGAUAUCUUGAAGGAGUCGUCUUGGUGUUGGGAUAAUAUAGAGUUCAAAGUGGGAAAGGGGACUAAGGUUAGUUUCUGGACUGACCAUUGGUGCGGAAAUGAGGUGCUGUCCCAAGCUUUUCCCCAGUUGUUUGCUUUGGCGGCCCAAAGGAAUGCCUCGGUAAAUGAGAUGUGAGAUUCUAGUCUUGGUCAAGGAGGUUGGAACAUAAGACUCUCUAGAAACUCUAAUGAUUGGGAGCUGGACGCCUUAGGAGAGCUGUUGCAUAUGUUGAGCGAUUUGAGGAUUUCUCUUGAAGAGGACUCAAUGACUUGGAAAGGAGGGGGACACGGCCGCUUUCGGAUUAGAGAUGCCUACAAGUUGUUGACAGGGCCUAAUGUCAUUACCUUCCCGAAAAAGAGCAUUUAUGAUAAUUCCUAACUAGCUGAUUGCUGAUUUUCUAGAGCUGAUUGCUGACUUACAUAUUUUGCAUUUUCUAACCAAUCUAUAAUGAGACUGACUUUGUAGCUCAUAAAAAAAAUAUUAGAUCCAGGGAAAUUUAAAAAAUGUAAUCCUUGGAUCAGUAAAGAAAGCUGGAAAAGAAAAAUAAGAUUGAACAAGUUAAUCUAGGUUGUACAUGUCGCUGAAAAUAUCCAGGAAUAAAGAUGAUAAAGAGAGGUCUCCUAUGAAAUUCGCUAAAAAGAAAAAAAGGGAAAAAGCAGCAUGUUAUGAUGACAUUCAGACCUUAUGUAAAAGUAAUUUGAGACUGGAAUUCUAUACUAAUCUGUCCCAGAAAACUCACAAUUGGGAAAAUCCUAGUGAAAGUAGAGACUAGGAAAGGAAAUGAUAUUCAGCCACUGUUAAUAGAAGUUCUGAUUAGUCACAAAUGAGAUGUAUCUGUGUAAAUACAAAAUGUUUUUUAUGUUAUAAGUCCAUGAGCUAUGGUGCUUAGGACUCAAAUAUUUUUAUGUUGGUGACCAGUUCCAGGAGUAAAGACAGCAAGGAAGGGCAUCUCCUACCAAUAUUCAUAGGAAAAAGAAUUACUUAUGAUAUGCCUGUGACUUGAAAUUAAAACCUGGUCCAAAAGUAACUUUGAAAACCUGAUUCCAGGAAAAAAUCCUUGUCGAAGUAGUAAACAUAUAUUUUAAGGCAAGACUCAAUAUUUGUUUAUGCUUUGGGUUGGCCUUUGGGCGCCCUUUUUUAUUAAUAUAUUAAUUUUCUGUGUCUUUACCCAUCAAGAAAAAAAAAUUUUGUUUAUAUUUACUGUCAUUUAUAUUUUUGAAAGGAUUUCUCAUCCUUCACUUGUACUUGAAAAUUCAUAUCAAUGAAUUGUUUAUUUUUUAUUUAAGAAAAAAAAUAUCUCAUGUCCUUUAAGGUUACUAUGAAAUUGUUUGGGAAUUGUAAACAGUUUUUUGUUCUUAAAAAUAGAAAAUUGUUUUCCAAACUUGAAACAUAUUUGGUAAUUUUUGAACAGAUAACAGUUUCUUGAGAACUUGUUAUUAAAAUAGGAUUGUUUUUGAGAGUACAUUCUAAUUGUUUUUACUUAUGUUUUGAGGGUUAUUUAAAAAAUAAUUGCAUAGAUAUGGAGAAUGAUUGAAAAUAAAGCAUUACAAAUAAAUGUCAUUUUUAAGAAAUAUAUGGAAACACAGAAAAUAGGUUGAGAAUAUUCCAAGUUCCCAAACAAACUUUUGUCAUUAAAAACAUUAGAUAACUAUUUUUAAUUGUUUUUUUAAUAACCGAGAAACCUUUCAUGGUUAAGUCCUUCAAACUAAUUUAAAAUUUUUUUCCAUAAAUUGUUCUCACAAACAUUCCAAAAUAGGCUCCAUGUUUUCCCUUGAAGUUGUUUUACUACUCCAAACCAUAUUUGGCGUGAGAAAGAUGGAGUGCUUUAUUUAUUUAUUUUUUUGAUAGGUAAAUUUUUGUCCCCAUUGGGGCUUGAACUUGGAACGUGAACGUCCCACAAACCCUCCCCAUCUCUUUACCACUUGAGCCAGGCCUCAAGGGCGAUGCAAUGCUUUAUAAGAAGACAAUAACAACUUUUAGUCACCUGCCAUGUAUCUUUACUUGUCAAAACUAUCUCUAUGCAGGCACCAUUUGCUGCAGCUUUUUUGGAUUGCCUGAAAGCUCUUUUUGACUGCUGAAGCAGUUAGCAUAUAUGUUACACAAAAGCACUUUAAAGCAAAAAAGUCUGACUCUUGGAGCUGCAAAGCUCCUCGCAAUGAAGUUGGGGGCUAUAUGCUUUUGCAAAAGUGCUAUAGGAGGACGUUUCAGAAUUUAAGGCCCUGAUUGGGAACAGUUUUUUGAAACAGUUUUUUUUGUUCUUUAGAUAUAUAAAAAGAAAAAAAAAAAAAGGAAAACACAUUUAACAACCAGAAAAUGGAAAACAAGGCGUUUUUAGAGAACAUUUUUUAGUAGUUUUCACUUGUUUUCUGAGGGCUAUUUUAAAAAUAAAGUACUACAUAUAAAAGUUACUUUUAAAAUAUAUUUGAAAAUAUAGAAAACAUGUUAAAAAUAUUUCAAAUUCUCAAACUGAUGUUUGUUCUACAAAACAUGAGAGAACAAUUUUCAACAACUGUUUUUAAGGACCGUUUUUUUAAAAUGUCUCCCAUUUGGAGGCUAAGUUUUUUUCCCUGAUUAAAUAUGAAUGUCUUUUUUAGGGAAACACCUUAUUGGAAGUUACAGCGCAACUAGACAAGCCUAUAGACUAGUCACCUUCAGGGCGCUACUUGAAUCAGAGUUGACUAUGGAUUGAAUCAAAAUAUGGAAGAGGAUUUGAGUAGACAUGGCCAAGUAUUUGUAAUAAGACACUUUAAGAGUGAUCUUCAAAUUAUGUGACUAGGAGAUUGGCAUAGGUCUUAGUGUCUUAUCAUCAAAAGCAAAAAAAAUCAAAGUAAAAUAAAUUUUGCAUGCUGAUGCUAGUGAUACAAGGGAUAUCUGAUGGGUAUGCGUGAAUUGUUUCAUAGUUUGAGUUACUUCACACUUAAAAUAGGAUCUAAAAUGUUUGAUAUUUUUCUGUAUUUUCCCUAGACUGUGAAUAUAGCAUUCAUGGUUACAUUUUUUGCUACCACAUCUGAAUGAUCAAAAGAAAUUAUUUCUGGGAUAUUGGGUUGCAGAAAUAGGUGUCUCUAAAUAAAUAGCAAUAUCAUAGUAACCGUGUCUUCAAGUUUGAGAGUGUGGUUAGAUUGUGGAUAAAUGUUAUGUGAGACUCCUUCAUUAUGCUUUAACCGUGGACAGUUGUUUUACCUAAUGAAUUUAGUGCUAAAUUGUAGCUGGACAAUUUCCUGAUGGUAAUUCAAUGUAACUCUUGUUUCCAAUGUUUGCAGCAUUGGCUUGGCAUCCAUUUCAUGAAGACUAUUUUGUAAGUGGAAGUUUUGAUGGAUCCAUUUUCCAUUGGCUAGUCGGGUAAUUUCUCUUCCUGAUCAAGGAUAUUCUUUUUAGUCAUGGAUAAAAUUAAAAAGAUGAUUUGUACUCAUUAAUGUAUCAGUUCAUUUUCUCUUGUUUGUUUGCCUCUUCCAUACCUCCGUUUCUUUUAUGCAUCAAACCCUUUUUCAUGUGGAACCACUCAUAUUCUUCGGUUGUUUCCUGGGCAAAACAUGGAACAAUCUACAGCAGAAAUAAAUGUAAAUAAAGGCCGCCGACUGUUGCCAUGUAUUUAUUUAAUCUAAUUGACACUGAUAUGGAUUGAUUGAUCAGAAUUGGGAUUGGAUUUAGAAGUAAGUGAUGCUUUAUGGAGCACAUAUUUUACAUUUAUUUUAUUGGCUUUGGUUUCUUUAUCAGAAUAUAUGGUAUUAGAAUAUGGUGGUUUUGGCUUUGAGUUCUUUAUUGAAUAUGCAUUGCUCAGUCGAUUAUAUUAUCUGAUUUCUAGGAACAUAUCAUAAUGAAUGGAACAAAACCAAUUGACAUUCUAAUAAGAUGACCAUAGUCAUAGUGGAUUAAAAGGCAUAAGACAAACCCUUGAAAUGAAAAGAAUUAUGAAGUUCUAAGAUAAAACCUAAAGGGACUAGCCCCAACCCCUCCUCUAAGACCUCUGAUUUGCUAUUUUUUGCAUCUAAAAGUUGCACCUAGUCCUUGACUGUAUUAUGUCUUAUCCUCAAGUUAAAAUGGGCUUAUGGAUUCUAUUUUCAUGGUGGAUGUUAUUGAUAUCAUUCCUUACUGCAUGUUUAUAACUGCUUUCAGGUCUUGUAUCUCAUUUCCAAAUACAUUCUUGUGAUUUACAGGCAUGAAACCCCCCAGGUUGAAAUUCCUGGUGCCCACGAUAAUAGUGUUUGGGACCUUGCCUGGCAUCCUAUAGGGUAUAUUCUUUGCAGGUAAGCUCUGAACUGAUUAUUCUUGUCAUUUGUGGUUACCUUGUGUCAUUUUUACUGCAUUUUCAGUGUGAUAUUUAGAGAUGCUGCUUUUGGAAGAUUUGUUUUCUACUCAUAAGUGUUGAACUUUUAACAUCUCUUUUACAGUGGCCCUUUUUUGCCAACACGUUUGAGAUUUGGCCAUAAAUCAUUCAAUUGAUAUUCCAAUUUUAUGAAUUGUUGUUUUUUCUUUCUUUUCCAAAGAAAUGUAUUUAUUUAGAAAAUCAAUUUGUUUAUAACCUGCUGUUGCUUAACUGCUGGUGGGUAAACAUUCACAUCUAGCAUAGGGCGCUUUGUUUCUGUUAAUGUAAUUUUAUUUGGAGGAUUCUGACUCAAAAUUCGGUUGACCGUUUCCAUUGGCUUUCAAUAAAUUUCCAUUCAUGAAGAUGGUAACUGACUAUCAAAAAAAUUAAUCAAGGAUCAGAAACUUGCUGGGGCUAUCUCACUAGUUGGGUCCAAUUUAGACUGCUUUAAUUAGUCAUGAGAACAUCAUUCUGAGAGAGGUUGUUGAUAAGAACUCCAUGUAUACAAAGAAAAGAGCAUGUAAAUUUAGUAAGUUUGUUUGACAUUAUUAGUACUGCAUGCUAGGUAACCUUUUGGUAGAGUUUAAGACAAGGAGACCUUGACUUCCUGCAGUGUCCAAAAAAUCUGGUUUAGAAUCUUGGUCUAUUUUUCCGAAUGUUGUAUAUUUGAUUUUUUUCUAUUUUCCAAGAUGUUUAUUCUGCUACCAUCAUCCUGUGGUUAAGGGAUCAAAUUUUUUUGGUUCCCACUGUAAGAUAGAAUCACAAAAUCAUCUGAUAAAAAACAUGAAGACUAUAUCUAGCUCAAAGUAUGACUAGAGUUUGAAUUAUGAAUUAUGUUCAUAGUGGCCUGUACCUCCUUGUUUUGUUUAGUUUUGAAUUUUAUUUUUUCAAAUGCAAUUUCAAAUUUGUUAUUGGUAAAAGGAGGAUCAAUGAUUGGUAAUUGUCAAGACAGUUAUAGUGAUUGGUUGGAGGAUCUUUUAUUGGAUGUUAUGGGCUUUGCUGGGGACUUGGACUAUAAGAUGAAAAGCUUUUUGGUCACUUACUAGGGUCUCAGAUAGGGAACUGGUUUUAAUUUCAAAGAUUUGGUAUUCCCUUGGUGCAAGGGUGGAGGAACAACUGAGUUCCUUAGAAAUACUGCACUGUGGCCAAUCUUCCUACUUACUUGAGUCUCAGUUCCAUGUUUCUGCUUUUGUGGUUAAGAGACUGAGGAGUUGUCUCAGGGAUUUCUGACAGGUUCAGAUGAUUGGUUAAAUAUUGAUGAACUGUGAUAAUUCUCUUCCUGUGUAAACAAUUGGAUUUUGGGGAUCUGGCUAAUCAUUCCUUUUAGGAAAGUUCUUGUUUGGGAAGUGGCAUUGCAGAUUCAACUCAGAGUAGACAGCUUUUUGGAUAAGUCAUUUGCUUUAAAUACAUUACUUGUGAGGUUGAGAUCUUAGUUAGGUUGAAAUGCUUUUCGAUUUACUUGUAUGGGAAAUGUCAUGCUACUAGACAAUGAAGUCAAUAGUUACUCAUGAUUUUAGGUUGGGAAAGUCAGAAGUGCUUACUAGGUUGGUGGUGAGCAAAGAGGUCCCUAAAGAAUAUGCUUCUUACUCAUUUUUCUGUUUCUACUAACUGGAGAUGGUGGCUUUCCAUUGGAACAGGAGAAUGUAGUUUCCUGUGUUGUGAACCAUGGUUCACGUGGCCUGCGGAGAGAUAAGUUCUUGAUCUUGUCUCUAUGAUUGAUGAUCAGCCCUAUACAUAGUUUGCAGUUCAAAUAUCUUUGUCACAAUCUUCUUUUUUGGACUAAGUGUGAUACAACAUUCCUUCCUAUUCACAGUUCUUGUGAUUUGUGGUUUCUUCCAUUUUAAGGCCUGUUAAUUUGAAAUGUUUAAUUUUCAAGUUCUAUCAAUUGCUGUGCUGUUCCGGCUUUACUUUCCUGUAUAGCAUCUAAUGGUUGCUUUUAUUCAGUCUAUGUAGCAUUAUUGUGGUAGACAAUGCAUGGAAGUUUUAAGUUCUUCUGUGUUAAUCUCUAUUGUGCUUAGGCCACUCCUCAAGUUACUAAACUUCUAGUUUCUCAUGCAGUGGAAGCAAUGAUCAUACAACGAAAUUUUGGUGUAGAAAUAGGCCAGGAGAUACCGUUCGUGAUAAAUUCAACAUGGGGCACAACCAAGGUGGUUAUUAUAUUCUCCUGAUCACUUCAUGGUAUUUCUUUUAAGCCAAGUUCAAAUUCUCUACAGUUCAACUUGUUGGAUUCUAUAACCAAAUGGAUUAUGCUCAGGAGUAUUUUUUACUCUGGAGAUCCACUUGAAUAUCCCAUAUAUCUUCUGCUUUGGUUUGUGUAGUUCCUACAAACUUCUAUGCGUUGAACUGUAAAGUAUUUGAAAUUGUUAAAAUCGUUAUUCAGAACUGGAAUUUUAUUAUUUUUAAGUUCAUUAAUCUGUGCUAGGUUAUGGUGAUCAAAACCCUGCACUUGGUGGUCGCAUGCCUGGUAAUUUCCCGGUACCUGAAACCCCAACAACUCCGGGUCCAUUUGCAGCUGGAUUGACCCGAAACGAGGGAACCAUUCCAGGUGUUGGAGUUGCAAUGCCAUUAACUAUCCCAUCUCUUGAUACAUCAGCUCAAGGAGAGCAGAAGCAGCCUCUUCCUGUUUCAAUUCCUUUAGGGGCACCUCCUCUUCCGCCUGGUCCUCACCCAUCCCUUCUUGCGGCCAACCAGCAGCAGGCAUAUCAACAAAAUCCUCCUCAAAUGCCACAACACCACCAGGCACUCCCACAGCAAAUGCCGCCUUUGCCUCUGCAGCCACCAAAUAUGUCACAGCUACAGCCUCCUUCCCAUUUACCCCUGCUACCACAUCCUCACUUACCUCGCCCUCCCCAGUUGCCCCCAAUGGGCAUGCCUUCAAAUAUUCCGUCUUCUAUGCCAGGAUCCUUGCCCAUGCCUUCAAUGCCCACAUCACUUCCACUGCAGAUGCCUGCUCCAAUGGUACUAAGCUGUGUGCAACUCUAAUUUUUAUUUAAUUUUGUAUGAUAUUUUCUCUUGGACUGGGCUACCUUUGACUGCUUAGUUUUUCUGCUUUUAUGGUCAAUGUGACUCUAAGGUUCAGUUCCUAUGAUGUAUCAGGAAUUUGUUCUUUUUCCUUGUUGUGGCCACCCGUUGGCUACAUAUCUUGAUCAAUUGGCAUGUUGAGCACAUAUCUCGUACACAAACAUUGUCAUGCCAUAUUUGUAUGCCAUAUCCUGUACCAAAACUCUAAUUUUUAUUUAUUUUUAUCUAAUUUUGUAUGCUAUUUUUCUCUUGGGCAGGGUUAACUUUGAUUGCUCAGUUUUUAUGCUUUUAUGGUCAAUGUGACUCCACGGUUCCUAUGAUGUAUCGGGGAUUUGUUCUUUUUCUUUGUUGUGGCCACCUGUUGGCUAUGUCUUGAUCAAUUGGCAUGUUGAGCACAUAUCUUGUACCCAAACAUUAUCAUGCCAUAUUUGACACGUAUUUCAUUUACAUUUGAAGUGUGCAUGUGACAUAGCUUUUCAGUGAAAUGGAGGACAUGCUCCUCCAUAUUGUGCUCAUGCCAGCUGCUGUUGAAAACUGUAUAGUGAAGAAGUGGAGGUAAAUCAAACAUUUUUCAGUUAAGCGCCCUUUAUGCAGAGGGACAUGCUCGGCCUUUCAUGAAAGAGUGUGUAAUUUUCUAGUGAAAUGUGCUAGUUUAGGGCCCCAAUUUGGGCAUAGUUACUGAUUGCCUUUUUAAAUUUAAAUUUGUUUAAUUAUUUAUUUUUUAAAUAACAAAAAGGUCAAUGGCAGAAAAUAUGUUUGGUGAGGCUCUAUAGUUUUCUUCUUUUAAGAGAUGAGUAUUGAAAUUGAAAGUUUAUGGAACAAAAACUUAAUGUUUCUAGGGGCAAAAAGAGAAAUAAAAAAAACAUGUAAUCCAAGUGGCAAUGCAUGUGACUUACUUGAGUUGUUGUUCAUUGAUGAUACUUUAGUCUUCUGUGAGCCUUCUCUAGAUCAAUUGACUUAUUAGAGUUGGUUACUUAUGUGGUUUGAGGCAAUGUCAAUGUUUAGGGUAAAAAAGUGAGCUGAUUUGUAUAGGGAGAGUGGAGAAUUUAGAAGAGUUGGCUCCAGAGUUUGGUUGCAAGAUUGGUGAGCUCCAGUCUUCUUACUUAGGCCUUCCCUUGGGUGCUCAGUUUAACUUUGUGGCAGUUUGGGAAUGUGUGGAGGAGAGGUUUUAAAAAGGAUUAUCAUUAUGGAAAAGACGAUAUAUUUCCAAAGGGACUAGGCUUACCCUAAUCUGUAGUAGUCUCUCUAGCAUGCCAAUUUGUUUUAUGUUCUUAUUUUGUAUUCCUAGGAAAGUCAGACUGAGGGUGGAAUAAAUUCAAAAGGAUCUUCUUUGGGGAGGAGGGACCCUUGAGUGGAAACCUCAUUUAGUAAGAUGAUCUAUUGUCUGCUAAAAAAAAGAAAGGGUGGUUUGGGGUGGCCUAGGGGUUAGGAAUUUGUUGUUCCUAAACAAGAUCUUCCUGUGCAAAUGGAGUUAGUGUUUUGCAAAGGAGAGGGUGGCACUCUUGCAAAGUGAAAGAGAGGUGGUAUGAGGUAGGGUUGUGGAAAGUCAUCAUGAAAGAUUGGGAUAUUUUGAGGUGUAGUAUGACCUUUUCUGUGCGUAAAGAGAGGAGGGUGAGAUUUUGGAAGGAUAAGUGGUGUGGUGAUAAACUAUUGUGCACUUCUUUUCCCUCCUUAUUUGCUAUUGCUUCGUCCAAGGAGGCUUGGAUGGAGGAUGUUUGGAACCAUUCAGCUGAAGGGGGAGUAUGGGCCCCCCUCUUUUCUAGGCGGCUCAAUGAUUGGGAGGUGGUUUUUGUGGAGUGUUUCUUUCAGAGAUUGCAAGGGAGGAGGGUAUGUUGAUGAUCAGGUGACUGAGACAAAGUCAAAGGAUGAGAAAUUUACUGUCAAAUCCCUCUACAAGGCUUUAGAGCUGAAGAGACAAGGCGCUUCCCAACAGGUAUAAUUUGGAACUCAUGGGUGCCAUCGAGGGUGGGUUUCUUUGCUUAGGAGGCUAUGUGGGAUAAGGUCUUAACCUUGGAUCAUAUUCGGAGGAGAGGGUGACCAUUGGCUAAUAGAUGCUUCCUAUCUGUUAAUCACAUCCUCUUGCACUAUGAUGGGGCAAGGGAUUUAUGGCAUUUAUCUCUAUUUGAGGUGUGAUGGGUCCUCCCUGCCUUAGUUAGAGAGACUUUGUUUAGUUGGCAUGGGUCUUUUGUGGGCAAAAAGCGGAAAAAGGUGUGGCGGAUAGCUCUCUUAUGUCUUUUGUGGACAAUUUGGAAGGAAAUAAACAAUAGGGCAUUCAAGAAUGAGGGGCGAUUGGUCUAAGGGCUUAAACUUUCUUCCCUUUGUAAUCUUUGCACAUGAGCUAAGGUGUAUUCAGUUUCAUGUCCUUCCACCAUUGAUUUUGUGGAUUUGUUGGGCUUUGCUUGAGUGCUGUUUUUUGUUAUUCCCUUUUGUUGGUGGCGCUUUUUGGUGCCCGUUGUAUACUUUCUAUGUACUUUGGGGAACUUUUCUAGAGUGCUUCUUUUUAAUAUACUCCUUUUUGUUUAUCAAAAAAAAAUAAAAUGUGGCAAUGCAUAUGAUAUUGUGUUUCUUAUAGUGUAAAAAAAAUUUACUUGGGCUCAAGUCUCCAACAUCUCUAGGAUGCAUUCCAAUCCUUUUUUCCUCGACAACUACUCUGUUUUGUUAGUCGAAGAGGCCGAAUUUUAUUACCCCAACUCUGGAAAUUAGUGUUGUUGGCCCUCUCCUUUUUUGCUCCCCCCACUCUCUCUCUUUCUCUCUGGGGUUUCAUUUGUAUAUGGCCUGCCAUAGUUCCUUGUUUGAUGUUUAUUUUUAUUCUUGAAUGAUCUGUGUGUGUGCGCACGCACAUGUGUGGUGUGUGUUGUGCAGGGAUUGCCAUAAUUUCUUUAUUUUCCAUUUGUUUUAUUCUUGAAUGAUCUGAAUGGUCCCAUGCUCUUAACAACAAAAUCAAUGCAGAUUUUAAAAUCAAUAAUGGUUCAUAUGGCCACUUGAUGUCCGUUAUAAUUUUUGAAAUUUUAUAAAGUCUAAUACCUUGAGUUUUCUGGUCAAGUUACUUCCAUAUCCAAAUAGCUUGCAGAAAUAUUGGUAUCAUAUUUGCAUAACCUGUGCAUGCUUGCUCCUUUGUAAUCUCAUCUGUGUGUCAAUCUAAAAUUAUUUUAUGAUUUAGUAGCAAUUUAGUAGCUCUUUUGUUUGUUUGUUUGUUUGUGUUUCAAUUUUUUUUUAUCAGUAUGCAUGUUUUUUAUUUUUUAUAUUUUUUACAACAUAUAACCAACAUGAUUGCCAAAUGUGUUUCCUAUUUUAUGAACUGGAAACAAAAACUCAAAACAACUUAUUUCCUGCUACAAAAUAGCAAAAUUAGCAAGUGAACCAAAUUCAAGCUUUGCCUUGGGUGGUUCAGUGAUUGAAAACCGUCCAUCUUGUAAAAUGGUGGAUCAGAAACGAUCCUUGCUCUUUCCAUUCUAUAAAAGAUUUUUAGUGUUUGCUAACCUAAGUAUAUUUCUGAGUUCAGGGGAUGCAAGGUGCAAUGAAUCAGAUGGGUCCCCCAAUGCCGCAAGGCCAUUUUAUGGGCAUGAAUCCAAUGCAUGCAGGAUCCUUACCCACUGGUGGUGUACCUCCUCCCAUUGGAAGUUUCCAGGGUGGGGCUCAAAUGUAUGCACCAGGUGGUUCAUUCAACCGAGCUCCAGCUGGACAAAUGCCAAUGAUGCCCGGGCUGAAUCCCUACCAGGUGAGAUGGACUUUCAUUUAUUGGUGUUAGAAACUGUUUUACCUUUCAUUCUUGGCAAGUAGAGAUAGCUACUAUCAGCUGGCUGAAUUUUUUUUUUUUUUUUUGGUAGCUAGUGUGAGUUUUAUCAUAUUUGUUUCUUAUCCUUAGACUCUUUGAAUGUAGUAUUUUUACCAAAAAGGAAAAAUUUUUGGUAGCUAGGACAAGUCAUUCUUCAUCCUUUAAACUGUUUGAAUGACAUCUACUGGUAGUGGUAAUUUUUAAAUGUGGAAAACUUGGAAAACCAUGCAGUUCACACACAAAACCAUGUGAAAUGAGAUCUGUUAAGACAAUCCAUGUGCUACUGACUGAUUCUUUUCAUGCAAUCCUCUUCUUGUCAUGCAUUUAUCUCCCUUUUGGUUUAUGCCCCUAUAAUUUAUCUGAGAAGAUGUAGGAAAAGGAAAUGGUAUUUGGAAUUCACAAACUGUGUUUUCGACUCCUGGUUGUAAGAUCUGAACUUUUCUAUUUCAUGUCUUCUUUGCAACCAAAUGGAGUAUAAGUUCAAGUUAGAGUUUCGAAUUUUCAUUUGCAUAUUAAAAAAGAAAAGGAAAUUCAAGUUGAGUUUCUCCUUAGUUGCUUAAGAAAUUUGGCUAUUCAAGGGAAUUCCAUCUCCUAAAUGCCAUGAAUCCUUUCCCCCUUUUUUACUUUGAUAUCUUUUUUGCUUGUUUAAUUAGUUUGUUUCUUCAGUUAGAUAAAGGAUUGGGGACAAGAUGAUGUCUAAAAGUGUUCGUUUCUCACAACAGAAGACACUUGUACUGGUUAUCUGCUGAAUGUUUGUGCUCCUGUUCCUUUUUUUUAAUUUUUUUUUAUUUAUGCCAUUUCCUAAUUCUUUUUCCCUUCCUGGUACUUUUCUUGAGAGUAGAUUGAAGGGUAGAAGCUCUUAUUAAAUUUCCAACUCAAAAGCUUCGUACAUGAAAAAGCUUAGACACUUUACUUAGGCCUUACUCUCAACUAAGACUAGACACUUUGAAAGGUAAAAGCUCUUUUUUAAGCUCAAUAAAAGCGUCUAAGCCUAUUUGGUUAAUUUUAUCCAAAGAGAUUAUGACUUAAAAAAGAGCUUAAUAUGGAAACCAGGAAAAUGUCGCUUCUUGUAGGAGCUCAGUUUUGGCUUACAAGUUCUUGCAUGUUUUGUAAAAUUUUUAGGAUACCGAUAUUGCCCUUUAAAAAUUGCGACUUUUAAAGCUAAAGCCAAAAACAGGAACCUAUCAGAAACGAAGCCUUAAUGUAUUAGUGGAAAUUAACUGAAAUAGUUUAUAAUUUAAUCCCUGUUUAUAUGUGUGGGUAGUUUUAACUCAUGAACCUGCACGUCAAACAUGGGGAACGGAGAUCUCUACAGUUAAUUUUCUUUCUGAUAGGCAAAUAAAAAAAUUAUUUUAUGUAUGAAUUCCUUGUGGCAAACAAAGCCGUGUGGAAAGUUUUGGGUCUGGAUUUUCCACUGCAAAAUUCUUGGAUUCUGAUUUGCAUACAUGAGAUUUACAUUCUUAUGUGGCUGGGUUUUCUGAACAGAUAUCAUUUAUAAUGCUGCUGAAUCUAAUUGCUACAUUUUUCUUAUUGCAGACCGGGAAUCCGAAUCCAAGCGGAAGCGGCAUGGGAACACUGCCAUCAAAUAUGGGUCAUCCAUCUGGUAUGGCUCCGCCACCACCACCACCAGGUCCGCCGCCGCAUGGCCAACCAACACAAUAGGACCAUUCAUGUGGGCAAUGCGGCAGUCAGCUGGGACAGAAGGGAAACCAAGAGUUGCUUUCUUUCUCUUUUUUCACUCUCAUCCAUUUUCCAUGGCUUGUAACAGGAUUCUGUUUAUUUUUGUUUGUUCUGUAUUUGCCCAAUUGAUUUCCCUUGUACACAACUAGUUAAAACAGUUGAUGUGAAUUUUAUUUACAACCGCUCCCCCUGGUGAAAAAGAACACUGUUCUUUUCUGCAAUCCAUGGAUUUAGAAGCCUUGAUCAAACGCUUUCUAACAUAUGCUGAUAAACAUCGGUUAUGGAUGAUUGGUUAGAAGAUGCUAUGAGGAUGUUUGGUUUAAAAUUAUUUUAUUUUAUUUUAAUUUAAUUUUUUUCUUUUUUUUUUUGGUCUCAAAAUGGAUAAACAAUACUAAUACUUGAAGAAAAAUAAAAAUAAAUUAAAGUAAAUUACUUGAUUUUAAUGAAAGGGAAAGGUCACGUGACAAAAAUAAUAUUAGGUGGCAAAUUGUGAUGGCGGGUGGAAAACACUAAAAUGAAGGGUAAGAUAGUAGUUUUAGUUUUUGAGAGCUCACAGUUCACAAAAGCGGCUGUCGGCUUGGCUCCUGCCAUCUCCGGUUCAUCUCCUUCCGCCGGCUCAUCGCUCCUCCUCCGCUGGUUUUUCAAUUAUCAGUCGACUGCAAAUGGUAAGAUUUUGAUUCUCUAUUUAUCUCAAGCUUUAGAAUAAAAUUUUAAUUGUUGAUCUGUUCGGUUGCUGAGAAAGACACGGAAAGUAAGAAUUUUGAUUAUUGCACAUACUCCGCCAAUGACCAAUACUCUCCUUUUAAAUCUCAAUUUAAUUUUUUUAUAGCAUUUUGCUUAAUUAAUCCACACGCGUCCUUAUUUUCUUUUUCCAUUCUGGUCUGGUCAGAUUCAGCUCCAGUUGUAGCUAACAUAGCUUUGUCAGGCGCCUAGUUGAAUGAAUCGGUACCGUUUUUGUUCCAUUAUAUUAAAUUAUGGAUCAUUUAUUGUUUAUGUCUAAGAUUUUUGUUUGGAUUGGAUUGGACUGGAUUUGCUGCUGUUGCUCCCUUUGGUUUCCGUGAAAAUGGAGGAAAACUAAAUUAAUUGAUAAAUGAAUGAAAUUAUGUUUAAUUUUUAUGGGACUGCUGGUGAAUUUUUUAGGGUUUUAUUAGGUUCAUCUCUCAUUUUUAUGGGUUUUAUUUUGUUACAUUAAUGGUUUAUUUCCCCUAGAUUCGUUUGGUUUUAGAAUCAAUGCCCUACCUGUCUUAAGAUUUGAUGCAUUGUAUGCAUUAUUGUUAGCAAUUGUUCAGUUUCAUUUUCAGAAAUGUUUCUUUGAGAAGAACACAAACCUCUUUGUAAUGUUUCUGGAUAAUGGCCCAUUCUAGAGAAAUUUUUUAAAUUAAACUCUCUAAAAUUAUGCGGCCAGACCACCAGUGGAACAGUAAAAAGCUUGAGCUCUUAAGCUUGAAUCCUCAUGUUUGGGUCUUGAGAAGGACUCUUCCCAAGACACUUCUUCCACUGGACAAUAACUUCUGAACUGAGAUUUCAAACAUGCGUUUUUCCAUGUCAUUUUUGAAAAAUGAAAAACAGUUUUGGGAAACAGAACUGGUGAAGUCCCCCUUCAUAUUCUUUUGCUGAGUUUCUUAUAGGGUUUUCUUGUUCAUGGAUUUGCAGUUGGGUUGCCAUAUGUUUUCACUUUGGUGUUCUUCCAUGCUAAUAUGAAGAUUGUUUUAGAAGUCUUCAUCCUCUGUUACUUGUUGAUUUUGAUAUGGGUGUGAUUGAGAUAUUUUUGUGCUUUUGAAUUUUGUGUUAUGCUUUUCAAUUGAAAGUACACAUUUGGAAGUGGGUUACAUGGAAAGACCUUGUGAUAUAUCACUAUCAACCUUAACCAUAAUGAUGGAAGAAUAAUGUAACAAUUGUGUUUUCCUUCUUUUUUGUUUUUCUUUUUCUGGUGAUACUGUUGCAUCACUGGGGAGACCUCUGAUUAACAGGAAGGGUUACCCCUUAAAUAGGAUCAUCCCCCAAAAUUUUCAUAGUUGAUUGCUUUCCAGAUCACUCUUUGCAAUGGUAAUAUAGACAUUCUAUGGUGCUUUUGACAGCUUUUGAUACCACUUCUUUUUUAUUAGGGUAGUGACCCUAAAUGAGUCAUGAAUCCUUCAAUGUAGACUCUUGCAUGAGUGGUUUCUGGGAUCAUGCAUGUCUUACAUAACCUUGAUUCUGUUCUUUUAAUCUUCUACUGAAAAAUACCUCAUUUCUUCUUUCAUGAUCAACUCUUUUCAAGGACAAGUCCUUAAAUGUCUUUAAGGGCUAAAAAACCUACUUGCUUUAUGAAAACUCUCUGUAACAAUCUUCUGUAUUUCUAUUCCAUCAAAUAGCCCAUAUGUCUUUACUGCUUUGGGAUUGUUCUUAAUAUACCUUGAAAGAAAAGAUGAAGUGUGGGUUACCUUGGGUGUCUUGUGUCUAGGAGAAGGAAGGAAAAAAAAGAAAAAGAAAAAAAAAGAAAAACCGAAUUUGCAAAAUGUGUGUAAUUACCCAAUAUUUAAAUGCAUAUCAAUUGCCUUAGACAAAAAUUACAAUAUUUUUAGCAGCUGAUUUUAUAGAGUUUUUCAUAUCACCUUUAUAUUGUCUUGGUUUACUCUUUUAAGUGGAUAAUCACUUUGUGUCUACUGUUUGGGCAUUUGGGUUUGGAUAAAAUUUUGGAAUUCCAGCGGUUUAUGAGUUUUGUGAUGAGACGACACACUUUUAUCCAUUUUUAUAGUAUCAUAACAUGGGAUCACCUUAAUAUUUAAUGGGUACCGUCCUAUAAUAUAAUGAGCUUAGGAAAGUACGGAUUCAAAUAGUGUGUUCGAGUUUUUUUUUAUUUCACUUAUGAGGGAUGUAGAAUUCUCUAUGAAAAUUCAAUAAGAUGAUGGAAGGACCACUCAGCAUUAUGUCUCUUGUUCGUACUACCACCACCACCUCAUUUGGGGUUCUCUUUUUAAUUUUAAAAUUGAUGCCUAAUAUAUAUAAAAUAAACUCUAAAUGUCCUUUUUGGCAAUUCAUCAAUACCAAAAGUUUAUUUGUUGUUGGAUAACACAUAAUUACAAAUACUAUGAAAAUAGUGCUUUCGUAUGAUAUCUAAACAUGAACUGCUUCUUCAUAAAACCUCUUCUACUAUUAGUAUUACCAGCAAAAGCGCUACUGACUAAAAGCACUCACCCGAAUCACUUCUGAAUUGGCUUUUCUUUCAUUUUUCUACAGUUGUGAUUUUGCUAUGCUUUGGAUGUUUUCACCAAAAAUUGAGUGAUGUAUUGGAACAUGAUUGUGUGACUUGUGUCCCAUCUACAAAAUUUUCUUUUAUUUUUUUCUACACUAUGGUGGAUGUAGUCAUAAACGGGAAUUCCAUUACAUGUUGUGGAUGUAGCUGUUGGGAUAUUUAUAGGUGAAUGAAAAUUAAGACAUACUGUUUUUUAAUUAGACACAACUCUUCUUAAUGGACACAAUUUGUGUCAAAGGAUAUGUCAAGUAUUUAAGACACAUCUCUUCUAAGAGUCACCAGAAUACCUAUAAAUAGCCCCCCACCCAUGGCAUUUCUCAUUCAUUCCAUCAUCAAUUCUCUCCACUUUUUCUCAUUUCUUCCAAGUGUUUGGUAUUCAAGAGAGUUCAAGUCAUCAAGUGAUUUGCUGUUUCUUGUGAUUUGGAGUGCUACUAUCAUAAGAAAGUGAUCGUUGUAUCCUGGGAGACGAUUGUCAACAAACUGUAAGCACUAGUGCGAGACAAAUUUGUCUUAAGGAUAUAGAGUCAAAAUCUAGCCUCGAUCAACCGUUUGUAAGAUUCAAUAUUUACUUACCUUCUCGUUUAUUUAUUAUACAUAAUUAUUUGACCAUACAUUUGUGAUAAUUCCAAAAUAACAAUCUUAAGACGAAUUUUUUUUUUUAAUCUUUUGCUUAUAUCUGUAUUUUUAAUACAGUUAAUAACAUGGCCUUUACAAAUAUUAUUGAUACCCCUGUUGUUACACCUACUACUACCCAUGGUGAGAAACCAGAGAAAUUCACUAGGUUGGACUUCAAGCGGUGGCAACAAAAGAUGUUGUUUUAUCUCACAACAAUUAACUUGGCCAAAGUGUUGCAUGAAGAUGCACCUACCUUAAAGGAGGGAGAGACUAACAAGCAAAUUGUGGCAGCAGUUGAAGCAUGGAAACAUUCAGAUUUUCUAUGCAAAAAUUACAUCCUUAAUGGACUUGACAACACGAUGUGUAAUGUGUAGAGUCAAGUGAAGACAACCAAGGAGUUGUGGGAGUCUUUGGAGAAGAAAUACAAGACUGAAGAUGCUGGCAUGGAAAAAUUCAUAGUUGGCAGAUUUCUAGAUUACAAAAUGGUUGACUCCUAAACAGUGACAAGCNNNNNNNNNNNNNNNNNNNNNNNNNNNNNNNNNNNNNNNNNNNNNNNNNNNNNNNNNNNNNNNNNNNNNNNNNNNNNNNNNNNNNNNNNNNNNNNNNNNNAAGAUGCCAUUAUAGUGAGUCCUUUCAAGUUGCAGCAAUUGUUGAAAAGUUUUUACCAUCUUGGAAGGACUUCAAGAAUUAUCUGAAACAUAAGCGCAAGGAAAUGGGGCUUGAGGACUUGAUUGUUAGACUGAAAAUUGAGGAAGAUAAUCGUGUCUCUAAGAAGAAAGUGGGAAAAGAUCCCAUGGAGUCCAAGGCAAACUUGGUGGAACCAAAGGCUAAUAAAAAGAGAAAGCACUUUGGUGAAGGUCUAAGUCAAGGGAAGAACAAAUACAAGAAGUUUGCUGGGAAGUGUUACAUUUGCAGUAAGCAAGGCCAUAGGGCCAAGGAUUGUUGCUUGAAAGGAUAAAGUAAGGAAAAUAAAGCACAUGUGACUGAGGAAGAGGAGUUGGCAAACAUGCUUUAUGCAUUGGUACUGUUUUUUUGAGGAGUUGGCAAACAACUUUGCCUGAAGAGGAGUGAGUCUAGGAAUGCAUCAUUUUUUGAAAAUAUUUUUCCGUGUAAAGAAAAGCAAGAAGUAAGUUCAAAUAAGGGAACUUAUGAUACUGCAAAUGGUAAUCAUCAAAAUGAGGAAGAACCAAGACGUAGUAAGAGAGCCAAGAAGACAAAGUCUUUUGGCCUAGAUUAUCUAACUUAUAUGUUAGAUAACGAACCCAAGACAUUCAAGGAAGCAAUGUCAACACCAAAAGCCCCAUUUUGGAAAGAGGCUAUCAAUAGUGAAAUUGAAUCCAUCAUGCAUAACCACACAUGGAAAUUGGUGGAUUUACCACCAGGAAAUAAACCUUUGGGUUGCAAAUGGAUCUUCAAGAAAAAGAUGAAGCCUGAUGGAACAAUAGAUAAGUACAAGGCUAGAUUUGUAGCCAAAGGAUUUAAACAAAAGGAAGGCCUUGAUUUCUUUGAUACAUAUUCACCAGUUACGAGAAUAACAUUUAUUAGAGUGUUAAUUGCAAUCACAACAUUGCAUAAUUUGGAAAUUCAUCAAAUGGAUGUUAAGACAACCUUUUUAAAUGGUGAGUUAGAAGAAGAAAUAUAUAUGGAACAACCUGAAGGGUCUGUUGCUCCUGGACAAGAAAAGAAGGUGUGUAAGCUGAUAAAGUCCCUAUAUGGGCUAAAAUAAACACCAAAACAAUGGCAUGAGAAAUUUAACAAAGUAACGUUGUCAAAUGAUUUUAAAAUUAAUGAAUGUAAUAAAUGUGUAUAUACAAAGAAUACACAAAAUGAGUAUGUCAUUGUGUGCCUAUAUGUGGAUGAUAUGUUAAUUAUUGGUAGCAAUAAUGAUGUCAUUAAAGUUACAAAGAAAAGGCUGACCAGUUAUUUUGAUAUGAAAGAUAUGAGUGUCACAGACGUGAUCUUAGGUAUAAAAAUAGCUAAGACAUCUAGUGGACUAAUAUUUUCUCAAUGUCAUUGCAUUGAGAAAAUUCUUAAAUGGUUUAACCAAUAUGAUGAUAGUCCAAUUAAGACCCCAGUACAUUUAAAUCUACAUUUAGCUAAAAAUAAUGGUCCAGCAAUUGACCAGUUGGAAUAUUCUCGUAUCAUUGGUAGUUUAAUGUAUGUCAUGAACUGCACGCAUCCAUACAUAGCCUACGCAGUUAAUAAACUAAGUAAGUUCACUAAUAAUCCGGGAAAAGACCAUUGGAAGGCGUUGAUUAGGGUUCUUAGAUAUCUAAGAUACACCCUAAACUAUGGACUUCAUUAUUUAAGGUAUCCGAUCGUACUAGAAGGAUAUAGUGAUACAAAUUGGAUAUUUGGUACGAAUGACUCAAAGUCCACAAGUGGAUAUGUAUUCACAAUUGGUGGCGCUGUGAUAUCAUGGAAGUCAUCUAAACAAACAUGUAUUGCAAGAUCAACGAUGGAAUCUGAAUUUAUUGCUUUAGAUAAAAGCAGGGGAAGAAGCAGAAUGAAUUCAUAAUUUUCUAGAAGACAUUCCAUGUUGGCCAAACCCAAUGCCUGCAAUAUGUAUACAUUGUGAUAGCCAAUCAGCGAUUGGAAGGACACAAAAUAGCAUGUACAAUGGUAAGUCUCGACACAUCCGUCGCAGACAUAAUACUAUAAGACAGUUACUUGCAAAUGGAAUUAUUUCCAUUGAUUACGUUAAGUUAAAGGACAACCUGGUGGAUCCACUAACUAAAGGAUUGUCUAGAGAUCAAGUAAACUGCUCAUCGAGAGGAAUGGGAUUAAGGCCUAUCACUAAAGAGUUUCAUAAUGGAAACCCAACCUAGCUGAUUGGAGAUCCCAAGAUCUAGGUUCAAUGAGGACAACUAAAUUAUGAAAUACUCUGUGAAGAGCACUAGGGAAAAAUAAAUUCCCACCCAUUCCUAUGGUGAACUAGUGCUAUACAAAAUGUGUUUAGGAUAAGCUAUGCUUUUAAUGAUUCUAAUAAUUUGAAAGAGUUCAAGUGGAGUAUGGUAGAAUACUCGCCAUAGGAAUCACCAAUGUGAGUGUGAAAUGGGGCCGUUUCUAUGAGAAUUUUUAAGGCUGAAAUUCUCUAAAGCACUCAUUAAACCGGGAAUCGUUCAGGGCUAAAAUAAACACAAUCGUGAGAAUCAUUGGUUAUUCGGAAAGGAAUUGUGUGAAUACUAUUGUCUUGAUUUACAUCAAUAGUUGAACAGUUCAAGACAUCACAUUCACUGAUUAGCUAGUAAAUCCGAUAGUAUUUCACUAAGGAAGGUUCAAAGCUACAAACUACCUAUCCUGAUGCAAUCACUUUCCAAUUUUGUACUCUCUUGAUUGUUUAGUUUUCCAUUUGCCUUUUUUAAGUCAAUUUUCAUUCAUGUGGGGGAUUGUUAGGAUAUUUAUAGGUGAAUGGAAAUUAAGACAUAUCGUUUCAAUUAGACACAACUCUUCCUAAUGGACACAACUUGUGUCAAAGGAUAUGUCAAGUAUUUAAGACACAUCUCUUCUAAGAGUCACCAGAAAACCUAUAAAUAGGGCCCCCCCUCCCCCAUGACAUUUCUCAUUCAUUCCAUCAUCAAUUCUCUGCACUUCUUCUCCUUUCUUCCAAGUGCUUGGUAUUCAAGAGAGUUCAAGUCAUCAAGUGAUUCGUUGUUUCUUGUGAUUUGGAAGAUGAUUGUCAACAAACCAUAAGCACUAGUGUGGGACAAAUUCGUCUUAAGGACAUAGAGUCAAACUCUGGCCUCGAUCAACCGUUUCUAAGAUUCAAUAUUUACUUACCUUCUCGUUUAUUUAUUAUAAAUAAUUUUUUGACCAUACAUUUGUGAUAAUUCCAGAAUAACGGUAGCGACAAAUAGGAAUGACAUUGCCAUUAUAGUAAUAGUAUAUUGGAUGUAGUGAUACACGGGAACACCAUUAUUAUUUUAUUUAUUUAGCAUCAUCAUCAUCAUCAUGUUCUUUUGGAUCAAGUCCAAACUCCUCACAUGUUGGACGCUUUUUUGAGGGUUCUGGGAUCUAAAUUAAAGAUGCAGAUGGUUGUACAUGGUAUAGGCAGCAUUGAAUUAUAUGAACCCCCUCGAUUGCAUCUUAGCCUAUCAAUCUUGCUGAAAUGAAACUUCAGUUGGAUUGGGGACAUAGAGGUAUUUGAUCCAAUUCUUUCCGCCAUAAAAUCUAGAGUGUUGGAAGCCCUGGGUUGUUCUAUUCUAUCAGUCAAUGAGCAAGGUUGGCGACAAGCUUCAAAGCCUCACUGUUCUUCAUGCCACAAUGUGAGGCAGAGUCAUACGAUAAUCUUGUACAGGCGAAUUGGAGAACAGAGCGUUUGAAUAAUAUUGUGUUGUUUGGAGACAGCUUUAGGACAUAUGAACAGCAUGUAUCAGAGUUUAGGAGCUCAACUCUUGUUGAUUCCUCAAGGCAUAUCUUGGCUGUUAGAAAGUUCACGCGUGAAUUUGCAAUCAAGACAGUUUCAGAUGAUUAUUUUGGAGCCUUCCAUGAUUCAAGCUGGCAUUUCUUGAGCCUUGUUGCUUGAGCAGCUUUGCAGUUCACAAGCAAGACUGAAUGAUGAUUGAAAACAAUCUUAUUUCUAAUUUUUCAUUGCAUUCAAAACAAGUUUACUGUUAUCUUAAUACCUGCAACAACCCGGAUCAAGUAGAUUAGUAAUCGACACUAUUUCAAAGUCUGUAUUAUCACUAAUAUGCUCUUGGAGAUGCCUCCAAUCUAUCUUGAUUUCGCACAUUGUUUCUCAUUCAUAUCUAUCACAUUUAUUUCAGAAACAUUUGGGGAGGUUGGCUUCUAGUCCAACCAAUCUACCUAUGCUGAAAGCAACACACAUUUUAUUCAUUACAUGAAAAUAUAUUUUAGUCUUCUCUUGGAAGCCAUAACAACAGCAGAGGAAAUCAUUUCUUGUUGUUCCCAUUUAGAUCGACCAGUAACUGAUGGCCGAAACAUUAGGGCAUCAGCCAGAUUACUAGGUGGGAGGGGAACCGACGAUAUGGGCAGGAUGUCGACACGUCACGUGACCAUGAUGGGCAUGUGGGGAGCAGCUUGGAGAUAUCCCGCCAUCCAAGUGUACAGUUUUAUCUUCUGCAAGAACCCAAACAAGAAAUAACUUUUGCAGGUCUGCAUAAAGUAGGUACAAUAACCGGAAACCCCAUGACCAUGAUUGAGGAAAAGUACUUACCAUAUGGAGCAACUUGGAUCAAUUCCCGCGAUAGGGUUUCCUGAGAAAGGAAGAGAAGUAAAACUGAAAGAAGAAUGCAAAUGGUGGGAGAAACCUUGUGAAACACCAUCUUGUGAGGUUGUAGAGAAAUUGUUGUGCCUUCCUCGACCUUUAAAUAGACUGAGGGAGAGGAGAAAAAAAUGAGUGUGCUUUGAGUGGGAAAAUGGUUCAGAAGAACACCAGUUGACGGAGGACCAUCUAGGAUUCCACUUUCAAGCAUCCUUGCACCUUCCCAAGUCAAAAAAAAAAACAAGUUUCCUUGCACCUUCCCAUGUCAAAGAAAAAAAAAAAGCAAGAAAAUUAUUCUCAGGUCUCCCUUCUAAUAAAUGAACACAGUACUCUGACAGCUACACACUCCCGUUCUUAUCUUUAGUUGCCUUUUUUUUUUUUUUUUUUUCCUUUUUGGUUUUUUCAUCAAUUCUUAGAUAGGACAACAAUUAGUUGUUGGUGAACCAACUUUUUCAAAUGAAGGAGCCCAAAGCAUACAAUAAAGUCCAACAAAACCAUGGCAAAAUCCAAAAGGGAAAAAACUUUUGAAGUUUAGAACAAAUUUCAAUAAAACCACAAACAAUACCAAAGCAGCCUCAAAUCUAUCCACAUAUAGGACUUUUUUGGUAAUUUAAAAAAGUUAUGUUUAAAUUAUUGUAGUAAAAAAAGUUAUUACAAAUAUAUGGUAGUUUUUGCCACCUAUGAGAGAGGAGAUGGAGAGAGGAGAGAGGGUGAACGGAUAAAUUUUUUUUUAAACCAAAAUCAUCUUUUCAAAUUUCAAAAAAUUUUAAAAGGGAAAUCGUUUCUUCAAGAGACGAGUUACAUGAAAAAAAAUAUAUAUAUUUAAAAAAAAAUUCCCAAAUUAAAAAAAAAAAAAAAUUCCUCGAGGAACUCGUCUCUUCAAGAGACGAGUUCCCAUGAAAAAAAUAUAUUUUUUAAAAAAAAAUUCCUCAAGGGAACUCGUCUCUUGAGGAAUCGUUUUUUAAAAUUUUUUUUUAUAAUAAUUUGGGAAUUUUUUUUUUAAUGGGAACUUGUCUCUUGAAGAGACGAGUUCCCUUGAGGAAUUUUUUUUUUUUUUUUUUUUUUUUUUUUUUAAAAUUUGGGAAUUUNNNNNNNNNNNNNNNNNNNNNNNNNNNNNNNNNNNNNNNNNNNNNNNNNNNNNNNNNNNNNNNNNNNNNNNNNNNNNNNNNNNNNNNNNNNNNNNNNNNNAAUUUUUUUUUUUUUUUUUUUUUUUUUUUUUUAAAAUUGGGGAAUUUAAAAAAAAAAAUUUUUUUUUUAUGGGGAAUUCUUUUUUGGAAGGGAGGGGUUCCCUGGGGGAAAGGGUUUUUUUUUUUUUUUUUUUUUUUUUUUUUUUUUAAUUUGGGAUUUUUUAAAAAAAAAUAUAUUUUUUUUCAUGGGAACUCGUCUUGAGGAAUUGUUUUUUUUUUUUUUUUUUUUAAUUUGAGAAUUUUUUUUAAAAAAAAUAUUUUUUUUCAUGGGAACUCAUCUCUUGAAGAGACGAGUUCCCUUGAGGAAUUGUUUUUUUUUUUUUUAAUAAUUUAGAAAUUUUUUAUAUAUAUAUAUAUUUUUUUAAUGGAACUCGUCUCUUGAAGACACGAGUUCCUUGAGGAAUUUUCUUUUACCACUCAAACGUCUUCUUAUUCUCUCUCAUGCGUAAUACCCAUAUUUUUCCUUAACUUUUCCUCCACUCAAAUAUCCUUCCAUCCUCUCUCUUAUGCAUGCAGCCAUAUGUUUUGCUCCCAAACCUAUUUAAUGUGGGGACCACAUGUUUUGCUCUCAAAUCUCUUAAAUAUAUGGUGGUGGGGUGAUUUUCUUUUCUUUGCCAUCUAACCACUCCUAAUAACAAAGUUCCCUUGAGGAAUUUUUUUUUUUUUUUUUAAAUUUGAGAAUUUUUUUAAAUAUAUAUAUAUAUAUUCAUGGAACUCAUCUCUUGAAGAGACGAGUUCCCUUGAGGAAUUGUUUUUUUUUUAUUUUUAUAAUUUGGGAAUUUUUUUUAAAUAUAUAUAUAUAUAUAUAUUAAUGGAACUCAUCUCUUUAAGAGACGAGUUCCCUUGAGGAAUUGUUUUUUUAUUUUUUAUUUAUUUUAUAAUUUAGGAAUUUUUUUAAAUAUAUAUAUAUAUAUUUUUCAUGGAACUCGUCUCUUCAAGAGACGAGUUCCAUUAAGGAUUUUGUUUUUUAAUAAAUGGGGAAUUUUUAAAAAAAUAUAUAUAUAUUUUUUUCAUGUAACUCGUCUCUUGAAGAGACGAAAUCUUUUGAAAUUUGAAAAAAUGAUUUUGAUUUAAAAAAAAAAUUAUCCGUUCACCCUCUCUCCUCUCUCCUAGGUGGCAAAAACUACCAUAUAUUUGUAAUAACUUCUUCUACUACAAUAAUUUAAGCAUUACUUUUUUAAAUUACCGUACUAUUGAGAAAAGUCCUCCACAUAUAACAAUGACGGCUAAUUCAAAAAGAGUUUUCAAAAUAAGGACUUUUGUGAAAGCUUCUUUUAACUUUUUGUUGGUAAUUUUUAUAUGGGUUACAAAAAUUCUAUUGUAUAUUAUCAUAUCUUAUUUUAAAUCUUUACCUUAAAAUAUGUGAUUAAAUUUGAAUUGUGAACAAAAGUAUAAAAGAAAUGAAAAAUAUAAAUAAAUGAGAUUAAUAUACAAAAGAAAUGGAACAUCAAUCUUGAAAAUGAAAGAAUUAUUUAUUUAUAAGCAAAUAAGAGUUAUGUGGCUAGCUAUAUGGUCAUGUUUAAUUAAUUGUCACAAAAAAGUGAUUUUUUAAUACUAUAAAAUAAAUUAUUUUUAUGUCUUUAGCAUAAACAUGAUUAAAUACAACCAAGAAACAACAAUGCGACUUUGUUCAUAUCUUAUUUUGUAAAAUCCAUGUGAAUCAAUCAUAUUAAAUCACAUGUCUAAUAUAUGUCACGUUAUGCCUAAGGCCUUUUAAGCAGUAGGUUUUGGCCUAAUUCUAUAAAAUUUACGGCUAUAUGAGCUAUUUAAUCUUAUUUAUGAAGUGAAGUCCACCCCCUCCCUCCUUCCCCCCACCCCCCACCCACCCACAAUGCAUUCCAUCAUACGUCUACUAAUUAGAAAAUGUGAGUCCACCCCCUCCCUCCUUCCACCAACAACCCCCCCCCCCCCCCAAAGAUUUCCAUCAUANNNNNNNNNNNNNNNNNNNNNNNNNNNNNNNNNNNNNNNNNNNNNNNNNNNNNNNNNNNNNNNNNNNNNNNNNNNNNNNNNNNNNNNNNNNNNNNNNNNNUCUCGCUCUUGAUCUCUAAUAUAUUGACAUAUCCAUAUCCUUCCCAUAUAUCUCUUACAUCACAAUACCAUAUCAUUUGAAUUUGGGCACCAAUCUUCAAACAUAUUCUUGGGUUAUCUGGAUGCCUAUAAAACAUGCAUGGAUGACUUUUUCAGAUGCCCAUAAGACAUGGAUGACUACCUAUAAUGGAUGUUGAGGGGGCUCUCCUAUCAUACCUCUUUGUGAAAGUGACACUAUGUGCACAUGGAAUAACGCCCAUAUGCUAAUACACUUGCAUGAGUUAAGAAUAGAGUUUGGGGAGUCUAAAAUAAUUUAAAAUUCAAAUAGUAAACUAAUUAAUAUUAGAAAUUUAUGGACAAAAUUUGGUCUUAAAUAAUUUUAUUAUUUUUCUAUUACAUGGAAUCCUUAUUUUUAUUUAUUUUUUCUAACCAAAUAAACUCAAAAUUAAACAAGACUUUAUGUAUUGGAUUUAUUAAUGAAUCUAGUAAUUUUUGAAAAUCAAAUAGUGAACCGAUGAAUAAAAAUUUAUUCAUAAUGGCUCUAUUUUUUAUUGCACAUAAUUAUAUUCAUAUAAAUUUUCUCACUAUAAAAAUAAACUUCAAAUUAAAUGUCACUUUGUAUUGAAUUUAUUAAUAAGUUUAACAAUUUUUAAAAAUAAUUUGGAACUUAAAAAAUAGAUCCAAUCAUUGAAAAAAAUAAUAUAUCAAAAUUAAUAUAUUAUGAGUUACGACUUUACUAUUUCUUCUAUACACAUAACUAUGUUUUUUCAAAUUUAGAUAAAUAAAUUAUAAAUUAAGCGAGACAUAAUUAAUAUUUUAAAUUUUUAAUAAAAUAAUUAAUUUUUAAGAAUAAUUUUGAAUUUAAAAAUAAUCGAUUUAAUUGAUCACAGAUUAAAUCAAAAUAUUCUAAAAUAUUAAGUUUGUAAGUCAAUAUUAAAUGUGUACAUGAAAUGAAAAACUUGAUUAAUUUAUAUGUUAAAAAAAUUAAAUUUUAUUCAUUAUUCAUUGUAAAUAAAAUAUUGUUAAAAAUUAUUAUUAUUCAUUAUUAAACAAUGAUGCAACUUUGUUCACUCUCUAUUUUGUAAAAUCUACGUAGAUCAGUCAUAUUGAAUUAUAUGUCUAAUAUAUAUCAAGUGGGUUCCAUCAUAAGAAGACAGAUUACAAAAUGUCACCUAGCUUGGUAUGUAAAAAUAAUACAUCUUCCACAUUACUCUCCAUUAACAUUGAUACUUAGUGCAUCUCAUCCUUGAUCUCCAAUAUAUAGACAAAUCCUGUCAUAUGGCUCUUACGCCAUAGUGUUGUAUUAUUUGAAUUUGAGCUCCAAUCUUUAAACAUAUUCUUGAGUUAUCUGCAUGUCCAUGAAACAUGGAUGCCUUCAUACCUACCUCUUCUGCUAUUAGUACUACCAACAAGAGCUCUACAAGCUAAAAGCACUCACUCGAAUCACUUCCAAACCUCUUUGUAAUGUUUCUGGAUAGUAGCCCAUUCUAGAGAAAUUUUUUAAAUUAAAAUCUCUAAAAUUAUGCAGCCAGACCUCUAGUGGACCAGUCAAAAGCUUGAGCUCUUAAGCAUGAAUCCUCAUGUUUGGGUCUUGAGAAGGAGCCACUUUAUACCAAAAUUCCGGACCUUAGAAGAGGACUCUUCCCAAGACACUGCUUCCACAGGACAAUAACUUCUGUACUGAGAUUUCAAACAUAUUGUAGACUCCGCAUUUCGGCUCAUCUCAAUGCGUUUCCCACUCGAUGGCGAGCUCGAUUUUUAUUUGAAAAAUUGAUUUUUAUUCGAUUAAGAAAAUGAUUUGGAGUCGCCACUUAUUUUUGUUUUAUUUUUAAAGGGUAAACAAAAUAAGAAAGAAAAACCCUAAAUGUGACUCCUUGUUUUGGAAAAGGUGGUCUGUUAAAAACCGGAUCGGGUUCGGGGGUCAGGUUACUUAUCGGGAAGGUACGGUACGGACCGUAGCACCCCUCUAAGUCCCUAAUGUCGGGUCUCUACUAAUAGAAUGAAGCUGACGUGGCAGUCAACAAGAAAAUCGAUGAAUACUCAAAUCGAUCAUGCACAAUAUGAGAAGCAAAACACAUAUAAAGAAUGAGCAAAAUAUGAAUAGAUGCGUACCUGGGCGGCAAUCACGAACGCGCUAUCAUGAAACAUGGUUAGUGAACAAUGAACAUAUAUAAUUAAGCGCAUAUCAAGGAAUAGAGUAAAUCGAUCACAUGUGGCCAAUGAAGCAAACAAUCAGUUAAUCAAUCUUGAAAUCUCAUAUGUAGGGCCCCCACCAAAGCCCAUUUUAUAUUGCAUGAAUUAAUUUCAUAAGUUCCAUUAAUUGGAAUUACAAAAUUGAAUUCAUGUUUUAUUUCAAAACGUUUUAAAAUUAUUGAAAUCAUGAAAAUUGCAUGCCGAGGAAAAUGACGAUGAAUUUUAUUAGAAAGUGGAUUUUUGAAACCUAAAAUUCUACGAAUGAACAAAAAAACUUGGAGUUAAGAUUACUAAAACACUCAAAAUAUUAUUUGAAUAAAAAGAAUUCGGAAAAUUAUUUGAGAAAAGAGAAUAUGGAAACUGCUUUUUAAAAAAAAAUUAAAGAUGAUAAGAUGGGGAAAAUGACACUUGGGUCAAAGGUGGCCAUGCCACGAGUGCUUUCCCGUGAGCUGUCUUCAUAUGAAUGUGGUGCAGCUUCCCUUUGGCUUUAUCUUCAUAACACUUACGUCAAAUAUCCGUGCAAGGGUAAUAAUGGAACACUAUACGUGACCUUAAAUUCAUUUUUCUCAUCUUCUGUACAUCAACGGGAACCUUGCCAAAAGCUUGAGCCACAUCAGUAUAAGACAGAACACCUAAUUCACCACAUAUAUUCCUUAUUUCUUCAACCGUCAUCACCGACAUGAGCCCAGUAUCGGACUGAUUUGCGGACUGCAUUAAAUCAAUAUUAACAUACCCACCAGACCAUGCAAACAUAUAUGUGAUCUCAAAACCUUCCUGUUGUAAAUGAGGGCGAGAGUCACGAACACACUUGUGUUCCAUUUGUGUGGUGAUGACAUGGCGCUGCUUCUCAUUGUAGAAGCGCACGAUGCCUUUGAUGGAGAUGCUGUUGGAUUCAAUGGAGUCAUUCCCAAUGGUUCAGGUAGUAAAAAUCAUAAUCCUCACAUACUUUCUAGGCAAAUAUUCCCCUUUCCAUGAACUGUCAACUGCAUGCUCAGUAUCCUGUUGCUUCCCAAAGGCUUCGCCAGCACUAUCAACUUCAGCAAGCAUCUCAGACGAUAACGAGAUAUAACUUAAGCGUGAACCAUAUGAUUCACACACAAUCACACCCAUAUCGACAUUCAUCCAACCCCUCUGAACACAAACCAUUGACAACCUUUAGCUUUCCAAACCGAUUUGAGAGCUUAAGGAUAGCGGAACACUUUAAUAAAUCUCUUCUCUCCCAGCCAUGUCUGAAUUUCCUUCCACAAGUUCUGCUACAAACCCAGCAUUGACCAAGAAAAGAUUUCAAGUUUGGUGGGCAUCUAAUGAGUAUCGGCAUGGUGGAAAUAUGAAUAGGGACGUGAAAGAUUUAAUGGGUAUAAAAUGGUGAUGGGAAAUGGGUUAGAUAUGAGUAUAGAGAGAUGAUCAGUGGGCAUGAAAAGAAUGGGUACGAAGAACGGGUAUGGUGGGGUAUGGAAUGAGAGAUUUGAUAUGAGUAUAGAGAGAUGGUCAGUGGGUAUGAAAAGAAUGGGUAUGAAAGAUAGAAUGAUGAAGGAUGCGUUUAAUGGGCAUUUUGAAAACCAAAAGUGAAGGCAUGUAGGCGGGUGUGAUUCUGAAGAGAGAACCAUUGGACUUCUUCAGUGGGCGUCGCCGGAGACGAAACUCGCGACUAUUGCUCCUCUGAGCUUCCUUAGCACCACGGAUGGUAUCAGUCAGACCCGAGAUCCUCCUGCAGCAGUGAACAAGGCAUCCAAACACUUGUAUCCUUCUCAAAUAUUCAUUCUGAAUGGUCAAGGUCAGCUAGACUGGAGCAGUUCGGUGAAGACAGCAGCAAGAUUGCACUCACGGCAAGGUGCAAUGGCAUCAGGUUCGUCAGCCAAACAUCAAUCAUAUAUGACAUAAAAAUCACAACUCAGAGCCCAUGAUUUCCGCCAUGAGACGACAUGAAAAUAUCACUCUUCUCAUAAACGAUAUAGUCAAUGGCAGUCAUGAAGGAGACUUUCUCUGAAAAUGGCUGUAGUUCACUAGGCAAGGCAAGGUCCUCCUUAUUGUAGAAAUUAGGAAACUCUUGAGUUAAUGGCAACACGGCUUCUUUCUCGUUGAUCUGUAUAAUAUCCUUAGUGACAAACUGAUCCAGAUCAACCACGGCUGUAGUAUUUCCUCAAGGUACAACUUGAGCAUUACCCUGCUUCCUCCCUAUCCGAGAUCUUUGCGCAAACCCAAACCAUCUGGAGGAGCUUUAUUCAUCCUCAACCCCCAUAAGCUUAGCUCUAUGAUAGCUUUACCAUGAAUCCCUCAGGUAGGGACAUACAGCCUGAUGUAUCACAAGGUAGGAUACCGAGAACAGGGGAAUGGCAAAACAAAACAGAGCACAAACCAAUGAAACCAAUAAAACAACCAGAGCCAUGUUUCAUGUUUAGACAACAGGCUUGGCUAUAGGUGAGUGAUCUAGAAUACGUUCUAUGGAGAUAAGAACAAAAUAAGACACCUAUAUGAUGCAUAGUGAAAACUAAAACAGAGCAGUAUCAUUCUCAAAUCACCCCAAGGAAAAUAGAUGAACUAGCCAUAAUAAAAUCCAUGGACCAAACAGGAAUCGUAAAACUGAACGUAUAAUCGAACAAAUCCACAGAAAAUAUCAAGAAAAAGGGAAUGAGACUAUAGUGUGAUAAAGAAAAUCCAAGGAUACAGGGCAGUCAUACCUCUCUUUUCUUCUUCCUCAAGCUCUCUGUCUUCUCCCAAGGCUCCUCCGGAAUCUUCUUUUCCUUUCGCUUGCAGCCUCCCAACUUUCUUUCUAGCUCCCCAAAAAAAAUAUCUCCCUCCGGUAGCCAAGGCACACCUCUCUCUUGCAGCUCCUCCCAAAAUAUCCUAACUGCAGUACUCCCCAAAAAAAAAACCUCACACAGCUGCCUCUCUCCCUCAGAAAGAACCUCUCCAAAAAUCUCCUCCUCUCUCUAAAGCUCUCUUCUCCACCCAACAAUCUCUGCCGAAACAGCCACCAAAAGCCCCCCUACUACUCUGCAGCCUCUGAAUAUCAAGCUUGCUCCUCCAACAAUCUCUGCAGAAACAGCCACCUCCCCUGCACCCUUCUCCUCAUGCAGCUGGCCACCCCCCCUAACGGAAAACACGCUCUCUUCUUCUAGAAGAAUCCUAUGCCACUUGUUAAACCUCCAUUGGCAUCCUAAAAGCAACAUCUGAUUCCGCACCAGCCUCUCAAGAGAAGACACGUGGUGGAGCAAAGCUCUUCCACGUGGCAAAAUGAGCAGUUGCUAGAAUGGCCCCAAAUGGGGGGUCUACACAUAUGCUUUUCCAUUUCAUUUUCAAAAAAUGAAAAACAGGUUUGGGAAACAGAACCGGUGAAGCCUCCCUUAAUAUUCUCUUGCUGAGUUCUCUGUAGGGUUUUCUUGUUCAUGGAUUUGCAUUUGGGUUGUCAUAUGUGUUUGCUUUGGUAUUCUUCCAUGCUAAAAUGGAGAAUGUUUCAGAAGUCUUCAUCCUCUGUUAGUUGUUGUUGAUUUUGAGGUGGGUGAUCGAGAUGUUUUUGUGCUUUUGAAUUUGUGAUGUGCUUUUCAAUUGAACCUAUACGUUUGGGAGUGGGUUACAUGGAAGGACCUUGUGUGAUAUCACUACCAACCUUUUUUAUUUAGAAAUUAGCCAUGAUGAUGAAAGAAUAGUAUAACAAUUGUGUUGUCCUCCAUUUUUGUUUUCCUUUUUCUGGUGAUACUGUUGCAUCAUUGGGUAGACCCCUAAUUAACACAGAGAGUUAACCCCUACAUAGGAUCAUCCCCCAAAAUUUACAUCGUUGAUUGCUUUCCAAAUCACUCUUUGAAAUGGCAAUAUGGACAUGAUAUGACGCUUUUGACAGCUUCUGAUACCGCUUCUUUUUUAUCGGGGUAGUGACCCUAAAUGAGUCAUGAAUCCUUCAAUGUAGACUCUGCCUGAGUGGUUUCUAGGAUCAUGCAUAUGUUUUACAUAACCUUGAUUUUGUGCUUCGUGUACUGAAUAAUACCUCAUUUCUUCUUUGACAAUAAUUUCUUUUCAAGUAUAAGUCUUUAAUGCAAUGUUAUCAAAGGCAAUCGCUUGGGUUGCCUAGAAAAUAAAGUCGCCUCUUGAAAACCCAAACAAGGCGGUUUCAAAGAGGCGACACCUAGGCAGUCGCCUUGGGAUAAGACACAAGGUAUAGAGGUGAUCGCUUUUGAUUAUGAGUUAAGAUUUAACAUACUUUGAUUGAAAUUUCAUUCAAUCUAAUAUAAAAUGAAAUAUUAUAUUAUCAGUCAUAGUGAUAAUGAGAUGGAAAGCUAUUAAUCUAGUUUCGAUGGAAGUAAUGACAAUUUUAAUUUCAAUUAUGACCAUAAUAAUGAUGCCCAAAGUUUCUCUAUGAUGUUCAUUCCCUUAUUUUGUUUUAUAAUACAAUUUUUAGUAGUUUGAAAAAGUAGAAUAUGUAUUUAAAUAGGAUGGAUAUCUCUAAACAAUAUAAUGUUUCUUAUGAUGUAGGAUAUAAUAUUUAACAUUUUGAAUAAUUAUUACUAUUUUGUUAAUUUAAUAAGAUAUCAUGAGGGAUGAAAAAUUAAUAGUGUAAUAGAUUGUUGAAGAUGACGUUUAUAUUGGUUAAGUAUCAAAUAGGUAAAUGUAUGUAUAUUUUUUUAUUGUUUUACUAUAGUUAGACUGUAGCCUUAUUUUUUGUCUUUCACCUUGGGUGAAAAAGAGUUUUAUUGCCUUGGCAUUGCCUUAUGCUUUUGACAAUAUUGCUUUAAUAUCUUCAAAGACUAAAAAGCCUAUUUGGUUUGUGAAAACACACAGCAACAAUUUUCUGUAUUUAUAUUCCAUCAAAUUAUCUAUAUGCCUUUGCUUUGGGGUUGUUCUUAAUAUACCUUGAAAGUAAAGAGAUAGUAUGGGUUGCCUUGGUUUUCUUUGUGCCUAAGAGAAGGAAGCAACAAGAGAAAAAAAAACAACCAUAUAUUGCAAAAAGUGGUGCAAUUACCCGAUAUUUUAAUGCAUAUCAAUGGCCGUAUACAAGCACUUACAAUAUAUUUAGAAGUUGAUUUUAUUGAGUUUUUCAUAUCACCUUUAUGUUGUCUUACUUUGCUGUUUUAAGUGGAUAACUUUGUAUAAAUGUUGGAGUUCCAGUGGUUUAUGAGUCUUGUGAUGAGACCACACUCUUUUAUCCAUUUUUAUAGUAUCAUAACAUGGGAUCACCUUAAUAUUUUUAUUGUAAAGUAUGGAUUCAAAUAGUAUGUGUUUGAGUUUUUUUGUUUUUUCAAUUUAAAGGGAAGUAGAUUUUGUAGGGACCCCUCCCCUUGGGAAACACGUGGCACGCAGCUCAUAGUGACGCGUGGCACGUGUUAUCAGCCGGACCAUCAUCAUCCGGAUUCCCUUAAGGAUAUGCAUGGUGCAGUUAUCCUAUCCGGACCGCUUCAAGGAAAGGCAAACGACGUUUCAUCUUCUCCUAUCCAAGGAAGAGCAAACGACGCUGGCAGAGCGUACACAUCCGGAUAGCCUCCACAACACAUCCGGAUAAUCAGCAUGAGCCAUCCGGAUAUAAAUCUUCUGGAUGGUCAAUUAAAGUAAAGCGAGUCUUACACGCAAUCACAACAAGCAGCCAUGGCCCACAUCCCAUCACCUGCAGAAUGAGAAGACAAGAGGAAGUGACAGCAAGUCACUUCCCACGAUCAUUCUGCAUAAUCGCUUCCCACGAUCUCUGACGGCCGCAUCACCUACCAUAGUCUCUGACAGCCAUUCGUAGGAUGAUAGUGCUCCUACUAACACCUAUUGUCAUCAUCACAACAGAAAAGAUCUCCUCACCAUUAAUGAGAGGAACAGUACCCCUGAAGCUGGAUAUAUAUACCUUCGCACGAAGAAGAAAAGGGGACCUCCUGGUAAUCUCUUGAUACCUAGAAAAAGGCCAACUGAUUUAUAUAUCUCUUUCUCACCAUGGCUAACAAAACCAUCGGAGGGUGCGUCCGGACACCCUGUCCGGAUGCCUUUUGCAGGUGCAACCACUGAAUCAAGAACCCCUUGUGUGUUGAGAAUCACGUAUCCAUCCAUAUAGCAGCAACGUGGACCAUCGGGUACGCGAGGCGACAACAUUGGCGCCGUCUGUGGGAAACUUCUACUUUUUAUUUUGAUUCAGUCACUAGCAAAGAUGGCCACACCUUCCCAAAGUCGAUCAUCUGGUAGAGAGGAAGAAGAUAAUUACGAAUGGCGUCAAGCCAUCGAAAAAAGACAGUUGGCGAGCGAAAAACAGCUAAAAGCUCUCCUCCAGGAGACGGAGAGGUUAAGGGAAGAAAACGCUGUGUUACGCAUUCAAGCCUCAACAUCAGGACCUCCUCGUCGUCAGCGCUCAAAAGGCCAGGUGGCAAACUCAAAGCCAGAGCCAGAAUCAAUAUAUCCUGGGUCAACAGGAGCUAUCCCAGGAACGUACAACGCAAGGCCCUAUGAGCCACGCACACCCAUGCCUCGAGCUCCCCGUGAGGAAAGCUCAGAUUCCACUCAUUUCUCAGCAAAAAGACAGCGUGAUAGAAAAUCACAGUUGUCAAGUUCUAUGCGCGCAAGACUAGGCCCACAAGAGCCUGGGAGAUCAAGGCCACCAGCAGCCACAACCCGGGCGCCACGCCCCGAUCCUAUGAUCGCUCCCAUGGUGCAGAACGUACCUCCGCAUCGUGACCCCAUGGUCACCCCAGCGAUGCGGAACGUUCACUCACACCUAGCGGAACGACCAGCUGGGAGAAACCUUCCAAACGAGCCACCCAUUGGCUCCAUCAGCAAAAGGCUGGAUGACAUGCUCUCCACGCCCUUUUGCUCUCAUAUCACUCAUUACGAACCCCCAAGGGGAUUCCUCGUACCGAAGUUUUCCACAUAUGAUGGGACCAACGACCCCUUCGAUCACAUCAUGCACUAUCGACAGCUUAUGACGCUCGAUAUUGGNNNNNNNNNNNNNNNNNNNNNNNNNNNNNNNNNNNNNNNNNNNNNNNNNNNNNNNNNNNNNNNNNNNNNNNNNNNNNNNNNNNNNNNNNNNNNNNNNNNNNNNNNNNNNNNNNNNNNNNNNNNNNNNNNNNNNNNNNNNNNNNNNNCAUGCACUAUCGACAGCUUAUGACGCUCGAUAUUGGCAACGAUGCAUUGUUAUGCAAAGUAUUCCCCGCCAGCCUUCAAGGGCAGGCCCUCUCAUGGUUUCAUCGCCUACCUCCUAACUCUAUUGACAAUUUCAGGGACCUCUCUGAAGCAUUCGUGGGACAGUACUUGUGCUCUGCUCGACACAAGCAGAAUAUCAGCACCCUCCAGAACAUAAAAAUGAGAGACAACGAAUCAUUGAGGGAAUUUGUGAAACGAUUUGGCCAAGCCGUACUCCAAAUAGAGGUUUGCAGCAUGGAUGCUGUCCUACAAAUCUUCAAGAGAAGCAUUUGUCCAGGCACUCCAUUUUUUGAAUCACUGGCAAAAAAGCCUCCUACAACGAUGGACGAUUUGUUCAGACGUGCUAACAAAUAUUCAAUGCUCGAAGAUGACGUGCGUGCAGCCACUCAACAAGUAUUGGUUGCCGGACGGGCUUCUAGAGAUAACGCGGACAGGCAUGCCAAGCCUCCGGACCGUCCAAAACCAGUUGACCGGAGACAGGACGGGCCGAGUCGUCCGAAUAGGUCGCCCGUCACACCCCUAUCCGUAUCAUACGAAAAACUUCUCCCAAUGAUCCAGGGGUUGUCCGACUUCAGGUGGCCUAGACCCCUCGAAACGGACCCAUCCAUAAGAGACCGCAGCAAGAAAUGCGCCUUCCACAAAGACCAUGGUCAUACAACAGAGACGUGUCGAUCCCUCCAGUAUCUAGUUGAAAGGCUCAUCAAAGCAGGACAUCUAAAACAGUACCUCCGCUCAGAUACUGGAGGAAGGGACGUAUCUCAGCAUCAUAACUCUGAGGCCCCGAGGGCCCCAGUCGCCCCCAAGGCUGUGAUAAACUAUAUCAAUGGGGGCCCGUCUGACGAGGAAUACGGUUCCAGGCGUAAAAGGCAGAAAUUGCUGCGGGCCGCGUCAAUACGCGAGCGCAUUAAUUCCAUCCGGCCGGGUCUUACUGGAGAGGGCCCUCGCCCCAUAGAUGGGACAAUCAUUUUCCCACCAGUAGAUCCCACCCGGACGCUACAGCCACAUCGCGACGCCCUCAUCCUCUCUCUAGAAAUAGGAGAUUUUGAUGUAAGACGUAUCUUGGUUGAUCCAGGCAGUUCAGCCGAUCUAGUACAAGCAUCAGUCAUUGGCCAUAUGGGACAUGGUCUCGCGGGUCUCGAAAACCCCGGACGAAUCCUAUCCGGAUUCAACGGAUCAUCAACAACAUCCUUAGGAGACAUUAUACUGCCGGUUCGAGUUGGACCAGUCAUUCUCAACGUGCAAUUCUCGGUGGUGCAAGAAUUGUCACCCUUCAAUAUCAUCUUGGGACGCAUAUGGCUUCACUACAUGAAAGCCAUCCCUUCCACAUAUCAUCAAAUGGUGAGUUUCCUCACCAAUGAAGGGCAAACUGACUUGUAUGGCAGCCAGUUAGCCGCUCGCCAGUGCUACCAAAUAGCACGUGAAGCAGUCGCUAACCAGGAGGAUGCAUCUCCCCCUGAACCUAGCAUUGCGCGCGACCAAUAGCAAUUAUUGGGUCCGGUGGACAAGGAUCCCCCGGUAGCAGAUCCUUUACAAACAAUCCAAAUCUCAGAAGAGAAUGAUCACCUCACAAACAUCAGUUCCCUCAUGACACAAGAAGAAACCCAGAGCAUACAGAAUAUCCUUCGAAGUAACCAUGACAUCUUCGCAUGGACACAUUCGGAUAUGAAGGGAAUUCAUCCCUCUAUCGCCUCUCACAAGCUUAACGUCUUUCCAGCAGCCAGACCCAUUCGACAGAAGAUUAGACGAUUUCACCCGGAUAGACAAAGAGUUAUCCAAGAUGAAAUUAACAAAUUGUUGGAAGCCGGAUUCAUCAGAGAGGUAUCUUANNNNNNNNNNNNNNNNNNNNNNNNNNNNNNNNNNNNNNNNNNNNNNNNNNNNNNNNNNNNNNNNNNNNNNNNNNNNNNNNNNNNNNNNNNNNNNNNNNNNCCAUUCGGACUCAAAAACGCUGGCGCCACGUAUCAAAGAUUGAUGACUAAAAUCUUCAAACCUCUGAUAGGCCGCUCGGUCGAGGUAUACAUUGACGAUAUCGUGGUUAAAAGCAAAACUCGAGAGCAGCAUAUCCUCCAUUUACAAGAAGUAUUUUACCUCUUGCGAAAGUAUGACAUGAAGCUAAAUCCUUCCAAAUGUGCCUUUGGCGUGAGUGCUGGCAAAUUUCUGGGAUUUAUGGUCAGCCAAAGAGGCAUAGAAGUCAGCCCGGAUCAAGUCAAAGCAGUCAUGGAGACACCUCCUCCCAGGAACAAAAAGGAGUUACAACGCCUCACAGGUAAGCUCGUUGCGUUAGGACGUUUUAUAGCCCGCUUCACUGAUGAGUUGCGACCCUUCUUCUUAGCGAUACGAAAAGCUGGAAAGCAGGGAUGGACGGACAAUUGCCAAAAUGCGUUGGAAAGAAUUAAACACUGUCUUAUGCAUCCGCCCAUCUUGAGCAGCCCCAUCCCAAAGGAGAAGCUAUAUAUGUAUUUAGCUGUCUCAGAAUGGGCAAUCAGCGCCGUUCUAUUCCGCUGCCCUUCGCCAAAGGAGCAGAAACCUGUCUACUAUGUCAGCAGAGCUUUGGCAAAUGUAGAAACCAGGUAUUCAAAAAUGGAGCUAACAGCCUUAGCUCUUCGAAGUGCUGCUCAAAAGCUCCGCCCCUAUUUUCAAGCCCACCCAGUGAUUGUACUGACCGACCAGCCCCUUCGUAGCAUUCUCCACAAGCCAGAUUUAACUGGGCGAAUGCUACAAUGGGCCAUCGAAUUGAGCGAAUUUGGAAUCGAAUUCCAACCCAGAUUAUCCAAAAAAGGCCAAGUAAUGGCCGACUUCGUGCUCGAAUAUUCACGAAGACCCGACCAGCACCACGAAUCAGGUGAACAGGAGUGGUGGACUCUACGAGUUGACGGAGCCUCACGCUCAUCAGGCUCUGGAGUUGGGCUCUUAUUGCAGUCCCCAACUGGGGGACAUCUGGAGCAGGCCNNNNNNNNNNNNNNNNNNNNNNNNNNNNNNNNNNNNNNNNNNNNNNNNNNNNNNNNNNNNNNNNNNNNNNNNNNNNNNNNNNNNNNNNNNNNNNNNNNNNNNNNNNNNNNNNNNNNNNNNNNNNNNNNNNNNNNNNNNNNNNNNNNNNNNNNNNNNNNNNNNNNNNNNNNNNNNNNNNNNNNNNNNNNNNNNNNNNNNNNNNNNNNNNNNNNNNNNNNNNNNNNNNNNNNNNNNNNNNNNNNNNNNNNNNNNNNNNNNNNNNNNNNNNNNNNNNNNNNNNNNNNNNNNNNNNNNNNNNNNNNNNNNNNNNNNNNNNNNNNNNNNNNNNNNNNNNNNNNNNNNNNNNNNNNNNNNNNNNNNNNNNNNNNNNNNNNNNNNNNNNNNNNNNNNNNNNNNNNNNNNNNNNNNNNNNNNNNNNNNNNNNNNNNNNNNNNNNNNNNNNNNNNNNNNNNNNNNNNNNNNNNNNNNNNNNNNNNNNNNNNNNNNNNNNNNNNNNNNNNNNNNNNNNNNNNNNNNNNNNNNNNNNNNNNNNNNNNNNNNNNNNNNNNNNNNNNNNNNNNNNNNNNNNNNNNNNNNNNNNNNNNNNNNNNNNNNNNNNNNNNNNNNNNNNNNNNNNNNNNNNNNNNNNNNNNNNNNNNNNNNNNNNNNNNNNNNNNNNNNNNNNNNNNNNNNNNNNNNNNNNNNNNNNNNNNNNNNNNNNNNNNNNNNNNNNNNNNNNNNNNNNNNNNNNNNNNNNNNNNNNNNNNNNNNNNNNNNNNNNNNNNNNNNNNNNNNNNNNNNNNNNNNNNNNNNNNNNNNNNNNNNNNNNNNNNNNNNNNNNNNNNAAGGGAAGUGGGUGGAGGAACUACCCGGCGUCCUGUGGGCCUAUCGAACCACACCCGGACGACCAACAGGAAAUACUCCUUUUGCCCUCACAUAUGGAAUGGAUGCAGUCAUUCCCACUGAAAUAGGUCUUCCUACUAUCCGGACUGAUGCAGCAAAGCAAAAAGACGCCGACACGGAACUAGGAAGAAAUUUGGACUGGGCAGACGAAGUCAGAGAAAGCGCAUCCAUCCGGAUGGCAGAUUAUCAACAAAGAGCAUCAGCGCAUUACAAUCGAAAAGUCAGGCCCAGAAACUUCAAAAAUGGUACGCUAGUACUUAGAAAAGUUUUUGAAAAUACUGCUGAAGUAGGCGCAGGAAAAUUCCAAGCCAAUUGGGAAGGACCCUACAUAGUGUCUAAGGCAAAUGAAAAUGGAGCCUAUCAUUUACAAAAGCUAGAUGGCACUCCGUUACUCAGACCAUGGAAUGUGUUUAAUUUAAAGCAGUAUUAUCAGUAGAAAGUGUACACAAGUGCAAAUGAGAAAGAAGUAAGUUUUAUUGAUAUGAGUAAAUGUAAUUACAAAGAGACAUCCGGACUACAAAAAUAUACAGAAGGAAAAAUUACAGCAGAAAAAUUGCAAGAAGAGAUAAACUAUCAGGGAGCAGGUUUCUCAUGGAGCUUCUUUUCUUCACUUGGAGGAAUUGAAGGGGUAUCUCGCUUUAUACCGUUCUUCUUCAUGCAGCAGCGAUACCCAAAUAUAAAUGUAUCAUCCACUUGUUUCUGGUAAUCCGCUGCAAGUUCCUCCCUUUCCACAGCAAACUCCCGUUCAAGUUCCUCUUUUUGCACAUCCAAACGCAGCUGCAAGUCUUCCUUCUGUUUCUUUUCAUUCAAAACUUCUGUCCGGAGUCGACUCAAUUCAUCCCUUAGCCGGGCUGCCUCACCCUCCGCCUCAUGAAGGCGGCCCGCAAUUGAUUCUUCUCGACCCUUUGCCUCACCCAACUCCACCCGGAGGGCUUCAUUUUCCUCUCGCAUGGUGGAUAGACUGGCCUCAGCCUCCUCCAUCCUCAGACGCAGUUGAUUUUCAAUCUCUUGGUGCCGAGAGGAGAAGGUCCUCAUAUAGUCUGCAGUCUGCAGCAGCUGAGUAAAAAGAGCGUGUUGUUGAGACAUGCUGCGGAGGCCCCUCACCAGCUAACACACAAACAAGAAAAGCAAAAACAUAAAUCAUACUACAACAAACACAUCAGUGCAACAAAAAGUCAAAAAGCAAAAACACAAGACAACGGUGUACCGUUUCUAUCAUAUCAAACAUCUUAGCAGAGGGCUUGAUGGCUUUCCAGUCAGGAGUAAUCUGCUUUAACUUAGCUUCCAACUCCGCGUAGCUGAAAGGGCUAGCGGGAGCGGCGUCAUCAGCAGAUUCCUCCUCAGAUGAGGAAGGAGAGGGUAGCUCGUGUCCCGGAAUCGGAGCCCCCAUAUUUUCAUCCGGGCACAUAGGUCCGGAUGCAUCCUCAGCCGGAAUUAUUGCCGGAGCGGCUGAGGUCUCAGUAGCCAUCUCCACCUCGCCUCCAUCCGGAUGAGCGUCAUGGGCAGAAGCGCAGCUAAUUUCAAUCUCUUGCUGCCGCUCUUGAAGCCGCUCAAAGAGUCCGGACUGUAGAUCGCGCGUCAAACGCGGCUUCUUGAGGGGAGGCCCUUUCACCAGGACUAUAGCCAGGCGAUCCGGGUCGUCGGAAGGCUGACUUUGGCUUUCUGCUCCCGCUUCCUCCAACGGGGCCGUUUCAGCUGCAUCAGCAUCCGGAUUAAGGUUGCCCGGACGGUUGAUGGAUGCAGCUUCCUCAGCCACGUUAGCCAGACGCGCAGCCGCCACCAAGGAAGGACCUGAGUGAUUCAACCCCGACAUGCGUCCGGGGCCGCUUGAGAUAGAGUGCGGAGCAGCAUUUACUGGCUCCUCUAUCAAUACUUCCCCCUCAUAGGUAGUUUGGGGAGGAGGGAACUCCUUGGGAGGAGUGGGUUCCUUCACAUCCUUCCCAUGCUUCUUCACUAGCUUCCCCCUCUUGCCUGGAAUUUUCUUCGAAGGAGGGUCCGGCCCCCCCUUCUGUCCGGGAGCCUUCCGGAUAGUGCCUUCAGUCUUUUUCUGAUCUCUAUCCUCCAGGAGCUUUCGCCGCCUUUCAGCGUCAGCCUCUUUAGCUUCCUGAUAGAGGGGGAGCUCCUUCACUGUAUAAUGCUCCCCAGGCACUAUCUCAUCCUUUGCCAGUUUCCUAGGAAGAAUAUUGAUAACAUAUUCCUGAGGCUCCCGGACGACCUCUGUCAAAUUCCGCGCGGAGAGCAAUGUUUUGUAGGCCCUCUCCUUGGGGUCUAUUUCAAAUAAUUUGCAGACGCAGGCAAAGGACGCCUUUUCCACCCAAUCCACAAGGUGGCCCCUCAAUUCCAAACCUGCAUUGUCAGCAGCAAAAGGUGAAAAUUCUGUCCGGAAAAAUCAGAAAAAAUCAGCAAAGCAAAAUCCGGAUAAAAAAUCGCAAAACAAGAUUACCCGGAAUUUUUAAGCUAUAAUUCGGAGAAAAAGGCCUCGACGGAUGCUGCGAUAGCCCCGCCCAUCCACCCCAGACUGCCACCAGCCCCUUCGCCCCUCCCUUUGUCGAAUCUGGCAGUUCUGUCACCAUUUGAAGGGAGGGCAGGUGAGCGGACACACUGAAGAUAUCAUUCUUUGCUUUCUUCAGGGAAUAGACAAAGAACAAUUCCAGUAGCGUAAGGUCGAGGCUGUACAGCAUGUUGAUAAUGCUGCAUCCCAUCAGCACCCGGACAAGGUUGGGAUGAAUGAAGAUGGGUGGAAUCUGAGAGAAGUGGAGGAAUUCCUUGAACAAGGCUGGCAGAGGGAACCGGAGCCCCGCGUUGAAUUGUUCCUUUGUGAAGAGGAUAGCGUUUUUUCCACCUUUCUCAGUAGGCAUAGCCGCCUCCUCGUUCACCAGGUCUAUCAAUACGUCAUGGGGGAUGCGGAAUCGCUCCCGAAACUCCUUCGCAUUUAGUUUAUCUAUCGCCUUUUCGCCAGCCUCGCUGACCCGGACAGACGAAACAGUCUUUUUUGGAGCCAUUUCUUACCACAAAGCCAAAGCAAAAUCUAUACGCAAAAACAAUGCAAACGGUUCAGACCAAGCAAUCAGAAAAUACACAAACCCUAACUCAAAGCCGUCAGAAAAACCCCUCAAAAACCCCUCCAAACAACAACAAAGUACCAACAUUCAACAACAAUUGCAAACGACUCGUCCAAAACAAUGCCCAAGCAAGCCAGAAAACAAGUGUAAAGAACCAGCAAACGCAACCAAAGGAACGGCAGUAGCAAAGAGAUACGUACCAAAUACAGCACCGAAGAAGAAGAACGGGUACCGCCUUGAUACAAAAUCACCAGCAGCAAACCAACAAAGUCGCGAUACAAAAGCACUGGUACAAAAGAGCUUUCGGAGUUUUUUUUCUCAGAAAAGCAAAGGGCGUAGAAAAAGCAGUAAGAAGAAAGACUCUCAAGAGAAUGCAGUAGGAAAAAAUACAAAAAGAGGUACAGUACCCUAUUUAUAGCAGGACAGCCCCUCGGAAAGCCAAACCAACAGCCAUGUUAUCAUUGAAACGACAUAUUGUCUGGGGAUACGCAGGGUCGGCGGCUCGUCAUAAAUGCCUUUUUGGCUUCCGCACCCCCACUCGCCACGUGGCCCAGUCAGACGAAGGGACUUCUUCAGUUUUCAAAAGCCAGUUAUUUUUAACCAGCCCAUUUUUUAGGCAAAAUAGGCAAGUUAAAAAGGGGGGCAAUGUAGGGACCCCUCCCCUUGGGAAACACGUGGCACGCAGCUCAUAGUGACGCGUGGCACGUGUUAUCAGCCGGACCAUCAUCAUCCGGAUUCCCUUAAGGAUAUGCAUGGUGCAGUUAUCCUAUCCGGACCGCUUCAAGGAAAGGCAAACGAGUUUCAUCUUCUCCUAUCCAAGGAAGAGCAAACGACGCUGGCAGAGCGUACACAUCCGGAUAGCCUCCACAACACAUCCGGAUAAUCAGCAUGAGCCAUCCGGAUAUAAAUCUUCUGGAUGGUCAAUUAAAGUAAAGCGAGUCUUACACGCAAUCACAACAAGCAGCCAUGGCCCACAUCCCAUCACCUGCAGAAUGAGAAGACAAGAGGAAGUGACAGCAAGUCACUUCCCACGAUCAUUCUGCAUAAUCGCUUCCCACGAUCUCUGACGGCCGCAUCACCUACCAUAGUCUCUGACAGCCAUUCGUAGGAUGAUAGUGCUCCUACUAACACCUAUUGUCAUCAUCACAACAGAAAAGAUCUCCUCACCAUUAAUGAGAGGAACAGUACCCCUGAAGCUGGAUAUAUAUACCUUCGCACGAAGAAGAAAAGGGGACCUCCUGGUAAUCUCUUGAUACCUAGAAAAAGGCCAACUGAUUUAUAUAUCUCUUUCUCACCAUGGCUAACAAAACCAUCGGAGGGUGCGUCCGGACACCCUGUCCGGAUGUCUUUUGCAGGUGCAACCACUGAAUCAAGAACCCCUUGUGUGUUGAGAAUCACGUAUCCAUCCAUAUAGCAGCAACGUGGACCAUCGGGUACGCGAGGCGACAACAGAUUUCUCAAUGAAAAUUAAAUAAGAUGUGAUCAGAAGGACCACUCAACACUGUGUCUCUUGUUCAUACCACCACCAAAUCACCACCUCAUUUGGGGUUCUCUUUUUAAUUCUAAAAUCGAUGCCUAAUAUAUAUGCAAUAAAAUCUAAAUGUCCAUUUUGGCAAUUCAUCAAUACUAAAAGUGUAUUUAGUGUGAGAUAACACAUAACCAAAAAUACUAUCAGAACAGUGUUUUCCGAAGUAUAUCUAAGCAUUCAUAAAACCUCUUCUGCUAUGGGCUAAAAGCACUCAUCCGAAUCACUUCCAAAUUGGCUAUUCUUUCAUUCUUUUCAACAGAUGUGAUUUUGCCAUUGUUUGGAUGUUUUGGCUUUCAUAUUUGCCUAUAAGAAAAAACACUGGCUGAUAUUUUUGUGGAAAUGUAAUUUAGGCAUAAGCCUGAUCUCUGAACAAAAGGGAAGGCAGUGAGUGCCUUGACAGCCCCCUUUUUGUUUCUUUUUCAUUUUUACUGGUAACCAUUUUUUGGUUCAUGGAAUCAAACCUGAAAUCUCCCCAACCCUUUCCAUCCUGAACCAGGCCCUAGGGGAUAAUGCUUAGUUCCCUGAGGGGAGCCUGAUGGCAACCCUAGGCGCACAGAACAAAGAUAACCCACUUUGUAUCCCACUAUCCUAGGUCCAAUUGCAACUUCUCCAUGUUUGUACUUGGAACAUUAUCAUUAUCUGUCGGAUUAUCAAUUGCUCAUUUGGCUUAGAGAGACCAUGUUUUGUAGUAAUAAAUGUGUUAGGAAUUUGAGGCUAAUCCAACCUAUGGUAAUCACCUUAGAGGGGGGGGUGAAUAGGGUGAUUGUCUCUUUUUCACAAAUUUAAACUAUGCAAAAAUAAGAGACAAUUAUAUGCAAAUAUAUAAUAAACAAACUAAACACAAUUGCAUAUAAUUUAAAAGAGUAGGGAAGAGAGAAUGAAAACACAAGAUUUAUAGUGGUUCGGCGCAACCCGGCCUACAUCCACUCUCCUCUAGCUUCAAUCCCAAGCUUGAGGUUCCACUAAUUCAAGGCUUCCAAACCAAGCCUUCAAGCAAUACAAUUGGAUUAUGGUUCCAAUCCACCCUCUUGGACUUUUGGCUCCAAGCACCCUUUACACUUCUCAAGAGAUACCACACUCUUGGAAAACUUCCUCUCAAAGAUUUACAAUUACAAGAUCUCACAAAAUCCUAGUACAAAAGCUUUAAGCUCAAAUGAUACAAGAAACUAGGAUUGAAUGGUGCACUAAUGAUAUGCAAGUUUUGGAACAAUGGUGCACUCAAAACACUUCUUCAAAGGCUCAAAUAUAUUCAAGAAACGUUUAGGAAGGUUAAGCUCCUUAAACAAUGAAGAUUGGAGCCUUUUUAUAGAAGAAAAAAGUCAAACUAGCCGUUUGGGGUUCGACCGGUCGAGCUGGGGGUCGACCGGUUGACUAGCCGUUAGCAUUUAAUGCUUGGCAGGUGACCGUUGGGCCUCGACCGGACCUUGACCGGACCUCGACCGGACGAGGUUCAACCUUGACCGGUUGAACAACCGUUCUGGAAGAAAGAGAAAAAUUUUGCAUUUUUUCGAACGGUCGACCGGUUACUGUUCAUACACCUCAACCGGUUGUGCUGGGGGUCAAUCGGUUACUGUUCAUCCGAUUCAACCGAUUGAGCCAUUUUUGGGUCAACACCCAACUUUUUCAACUUAAAACCUUUAAAACAAGUUUGGAAGAUAUUUGACACAAGGUUUUAAUUGAAAACAUGAAAUCAUCCAAUUUUAAAAGGAUUUAAAAUGAAUUAAAUCUUGGAUGAUUUUGGUGCAUAAGUAAAGAAUGUAAUGCAUGAAAAAACCUAGUGCACCAACAACCUUACAAAGAGAUCUUAUGAAGCUUGGGUCUUGAAAAGCACUUCUCUUUGAGGUGGUCUUCUUCUUCAUGAUUUCUCUUUGGCUUGAUAUGUCUUUGUAAUUGCCACUUUGGAAAUCAUCUUGCCUAAUCACACUUAAAAUAUAAUCAUUAGUUCUAAACAAUGUUUUGUUAUCAUCAAAACCGAGAUUAACCAAACCUUGGUUUCACAAAAUGCACCAAAUAUUGGAGUGAUGUAUUGGAACAUGAUUGUAUGACUUGUUUCCCAUCUACAGAAUUUUCUUUUGUUUUUAUCUACAUUAUGGUGGAUGUAGAGAUGAACGGGAAUGCCAUUAAUAUUUUAUUUAUUUAUUUAUCUAUUUAUUUAUUAUUAUUAUUUGUUUAUUUUUUAAUCUCACAUAGUGAAGGAUGAUUGGAUUUCUCUUCCAAAGCAUUAAUUAAAGACUUUGGUUUCUUAGAUUUCUCAAAAAAAAAAAAAAAAAUUGUACAAACGAUUCUUUUGAGCUGCGGUUUCUUCCCCUCUUCGCUUUUGGUUGAAAUCUACAACUAGGGCUUUCCCAUAGGGAAACAAUUAGAUGAUUUAAAUUGGUGUUGGCUGCAACUGAUCUUUGAGCAUUUUCUAUAUAUAAAUGAACUCGGACCCGCUAACUAUAGUAAUAAAACUAUCUUGUAAUGCUUUGUUAUUAGGAUAUUUUUCUUAGACUUGGGUUUGUUAAGAGACAGUCUUAUAUGGUUACAAGAUGUACAUGUGUCAUAUGCUCAUUGGUUUUUUUCUAUUAUUGUUAGGUGAAUUGUUAGAGAAUUUGCUUGUUAUGUCUACUAUAUAUAUUACUCUGUAAACAGCAGAAUAGUGAGAGAGAAAAAUAAAAAACAGAAAAUCACUUUACCAUUCUCAGUUCUGUUACCUUCCUUCCUCGUCUCUAUUAGUUUCUUUACAUGGUAUCAGAGCAAUUUCAAAGAAAAUUGAGACUGAAAAGAUGAUUGUCCAAUAUGUUUAAUGUUCAAACCUGUUCCAUUGCCCAUCAUGAUCUUAUCUUGCCCAACAAAUUCAGUUUUAUUCAUCAGAUUAUGAAUGUCUGGUAUGAUUUGUAGCUCCAGAAUCUGGGUACCAGCUAGAGUCAUAGGUAAAUUCAAGAGUAGUAGCAACCAUGGCAGUCAUUCGUGAUGAAUCUUGAGUAGAAGGAAACCCAUUCUAAAAUGAAGAUGGAAACAAGCAAAUUUUUGGUAAUAGAAGGAACAUGAAGAAGAUAAUUUAAAGAGAGCAUAUGACACAUGUACAUCUUGGAAACAAGCAAUGACUGAUGAAUUGAUGGCUCUUUUGAAGAAUAAUACAUGGUCCUUAGUCCCAUUACCACUUGGAAGAACACCUAUUGGCUACAAAUGGGUAUUUAAAGUGAAGGAAAACCCCAAUGGCUCAAUUCAGAAGUGCAAAGCCAGGUUAGUGGCAAAAGGGUUUCAUCAAGUUGCUGGUUUUGAUUUCAUAGAAACUUUCAGUCCAAUUGUUAAACCUGGAACAACUCGGGUUAUGCUUACUAUAGCUUUGUCUAGAGGUUGGUUAAUUCAUCAAUUAGACGUUAAUAAUGCCUUUUUGAAUGGAGUGUUGCAUGAGGAAGUUUUUAUAGAACAACCCCUUGGAUUUAUUCAGCACAACCAGUCUCAUCUUGUUUGUAAAUUGCAUAAAUCUUUAUAUGGCUUAAAACAAGCACCAAGGGCCUGGUUUGAAAAGUUAAGUACAACCCUAUAUGCCUUUGGAUUUAUCUCUGCCAAGUCAGAUCAGUCUUUGUUCAUUCGUGUGACAAAAAGUCAUUCUACCUAUAUUCUUGUAUAUGUAGAUGACAUUCUUAUCACUGGUAGUAGUGAACAAGUUGUGAUGCAUCUUAUUACCAGUUUGAAUAGAGAGUUUGCCUUAAAAGAUCUUGGAGAAGUCAACUAUUUUUUAGGGAUUGAAGUGAAUCAUACUUCUGAAGGUAUUCACCUUUCUCAAGGAAAAUACAUAACUGAUCUAUUAUGCAAAGCCAAAAUGCAAGGUGUCAAUCCUAUUUCUACUCCUAUGACCAGUGGACAGAAACUUUUAGGCUAUGGAAGUGAAUCAGUUCAAGAUGUCAAGUUGUACAGAUCAAUUGUAGGGGCUUUGCAAUAUGUAAUAGUUACUAGGCCUGAAACUGCCUAUAGUGUUAAUAUAGUAUGUCAAUAUAUGCAAGCUCCAUUAGAAUCUCAUUGGAAAGUAGUCAAAAGAAUUCUCAGAUACUUGAAAGGCACUCUUCAUCAUGGAUUACAUUUAAGAAAGUCUCCUACUCUUGAUCUUGUAGCAUUUUGUGAUGCUGAUUAGGCCUCUAAUCCUGAUGAUCAAAGAUCAACUUCAUGAUGUUGUGUAUAUUUUGGUUCAAAUUUAGUCACUUGGCAAUCAAAGAAACAACAUACUGUAUCUAGAUCAAGUACAGAAGCAGAGUACAGAAGCCUAGCUAGUUUGGUUGCAGAAAUCACUUGGCUACAAUCUCUUCUCUCAGAAAUUAAAGUCACUUUGCCUACACCACCAAUUAUUUGGUGUGAUAAUCUCAGCACUAUUAUGUUAGAUGCUAAUCUAAUAUUGCAUGCCAAGACAAAACACAUUGAAUUAGAUUUGUAUUUUGUCAGGGAAAAGGUUCUACAAAGAAACGUUUCAGUCCAACAUGUGCCUUCCAUUGAUCAAGUAGCAGAUGUCUUGACUAAAGCUGUCUCAAGCACUUAGUUUGUAAAUCUAAGAAACAAACUCAAAGUAGAAAAUCUUUAUACCUUAAGUUUGAGGGAGAAUGUUAAGAGAUAGUUUUAUAUGGUUACAAGAUGUACAUGUGUCAUAUACUCAUUGGUUUUCUUCUAUUAUUGUUAGGUGAAUUGUUAGAGAAUUUGUUGGUUAUGUCUACUAUAUAUAUUACUCUGUAAACAACAGAAUAGUGAGAGAAAAAUAAAAAACAGAAAAUUACUUUACCAUUCUCAGUUCUGUUACCUUCUUUUCUCGUCUCUGUUACUUUCUUUACAGGGUUUGAUGUUGUUGACUUUGUAUUGGAUGGAGUUGCUUGAGUCCAUAGUUGGAUAAAUCUCGAUUAGUUAAGACCUGUAGUGUUUUGGUUUAUGCUGGUUCCUUGAUGGUGAUGAAUAAGGUGGAUCUGUUUUUAUGCCCGUGAAUUUGAAGUUAAAUCUUUUGAUGUUGAAAGAAGUAAAACUGAAAGAAGAAUGCAAAUGGUAGGAGAAACCUUGUGAAACACCAUCUUUUGAUGUUGUGGAGAAACUGUUGUUUCUUCGUCGACCUCCAAGCGGAUUGAGGGAGAGGAGAAAAACGAGUGUGCUUUGACUGGAAACUAAUACCUUAGAAGAACACCAGUCGAUGGAGAACCAACUAGGAUUCCCCCAACAAACAUCCUUGCACCUUCCCAAGUAAAAAAAAAACCACUAGAGAGCAAGAAAGUGAUUGGGGUGAGGUGAGCAAGAAAGUCCUGAUAAAUGGACUACCACCGGUCUUUAUUUCACCUGGUCAAACUACAACCACUACUCCUGUCCUUUUAAAUUGCUAUGUUGUGUUUUUUGGUUGGGGUGGGGUGAGCAAGAAAGUCCAAGUCUUUCUUGUAGAACACGAUGAUACAUGUAUGACCACCGGUCUUCAUUUCUCCUACCCAAACUACAAGUCUACAAACCACCAGUCUUACCCUUACCUUUUAUUGCUAGAUUGUUUGUUUAGGGAGGGAGGGAUGUUUAGAAACAUUUUUUUUUAUUUAGAAAAUCACCUAUUAAGUUUUUCCUUAAAAAAAUAAUAAUAUAACAAUAGCUGCUAAAUAAAAAAGAGUUAGCAGAACAAAGAAUUUUUAUGAAAGCUUCUUUUAGAUUUUUGUUGGUAAUUUUUAUACGGGUUAUGAAAAUUUUAUGGUACAUCUUUAUUAUCAUACCUAAUUUUAAAUCUUGGACUUAAUGUGAAUAAAUUUGAAUUGUGAAAAAAAGGUAAAAAAAAAAAAGUGAAAAAUAUAAAUAAAUGAGAUUAAUAAAUAAAGAAAUGGAACAUCAAUCCUGAAAAUGAAAGAAUUAUUUAAUUAUAAACAAAUAAGACUUAUGUGGUUGUAUGACCAUGUUUAAUUAAUUGUCACAAAAAAAAAGUGAUUUUUUUUACAUUAGAAAAUAAAUUAUUCUUCUACAUAGAACAAAGGAAAAACAGCGAUGCAACUUUGUUCAUGUCAUUUUUUGUAAAAUCCACAUGGAUCAAGCAUAUUGAAUUACUUGUCUAAUAGAUGCCAUGCCCGGUCUAUCAUAUGAUAACUAAUUACAAAAUGUUGGUCUCCACUAACAUGACAUAGUGCAUCUUGACCUUCAUCUCCAAUAUAUGGACAAAUCCAUAUUCUUUCCAUAUAGCCCUCACACCAUAGUGCUAUAUCAUGCAAAUUUGGGUACCAAUAAUCAAACAUACUCUUUGGGUUAUUUAGAUAAUUAACUACCUAUAAUGAAUGUCAAGGGGAUCACUCCUAUCAUACCUGUUGGAGAAAGGUGACACUAUGAUAAUUAUCGAUUUACCGACUAGAAUCAAUCAUUAAUCAAGGUGAGAUUAACAUGCAAGAGCCCGUCAAGGUUAGAAAGAAAGAGCAGGAAGACUACUGUAUUUUUGAGAUAAAUGUUAUCUCCAAAAACUUCCACAUUAUCAAUUAAUGUGAAAAUUACAAUUUUAGGAUAUAUAUUAUUAAAAGGAAAAGUGUGUUUUUAUAAACAUCCUUAGAAAAAAAUCACAAUAUCAGAACUUAGGUUUGGAAAAUCCAAAUAAAGAAAGAAGAUUUUUUUUGGUACUCCUUAAUCUUUUUGAUUCAAUGUUACUUUCUCCAACCUUCUCACGUCUCUCACUUUGCUCCACUUUUCCCCUAAACCACCGACAAAUUCCCCAUUUCACGUGAACCUUAUAUGAACAAACUUAAUGAGAGUAGAUGUCAAAUUUUCAAUUUUAGCAUAAAUUUGGCUGUCAUUAGUACAGGUAAGGUGGACUAAAGACUGUAUUGGUUGAAAGAUUAAUGUGGAUGGGUUGCCAUGUCUAUAGGGUUUGGUGAAUUGGAGUGAUGGCCCAUUGAUGCCCACAUUCAUGGCUUCUUAUUCAGGCCCAUUUCUAUACACACUUUCUCCAAUAACUUCCUUUCAGUGUCAGUGGUGGGCCUUCAACUGCAUCGAGCAUCUCAAUUCUCAACUUUCCUUGCCUUAUUAAUAGGCUUAGGGAUCCAUUCUCCCAUAACCCCUUUUUCUUUUGUAUUUUUUUUCUUUUUUUGUUAUCUUUCUCCAUAAUUUAGAUCCGAAAGCCUUUAGGAAAAAGAAUAACAGAUAGGAAUUUAAAUCAUCUUUUUCUUUACAACUGAAUAAAAGAAAUUGAUUUUUAUUUUCUAAAUCAUUUGGCUAUUUUUCUUUUACUCUCUCUCUCUCUCUUUUUCAAUUUGAUCUAUGUCUCAAUUUAAUCCUUUUUUUUAAUAGCCUUAAAUUAUGUAUAAAUAUUAAAUAAGCCCUUUUAAUAAGAUUUUGUCAAAAAUGAAUGGAGAAAUCCAUGGAAUAACAAUAACUUGACUUUUUUCUAAUAUUAUAAUAUAUUUAUGUGUCUAAAUCAAACCAGUUUUUCCAUCUUCUUUUCUAAAAAAAAUUAUUAAAAUAAUAAUUUGAAUUAGAUCAUAAUUUAUGAUUGAUAUUAUUUUAAAAAAUAUUUAAGAACUAAAAUAAAAUACUAUUAUUAUAUAUAUUUGGCUCACCUCAAAAUUAAAAUCAAGCAGCCAAAACUAUAGAGUAUUCAAUUGUUUAAAUUAUGGAAAUAAUGGAAAAAUAGUGUGAAUUUUUAUUAUAUGAAAAUUAUACAAAUGGAAGGAAACAAAAAAAAUAUAAAAGAAAUUAAGAAAUUUAUGGAAGUAAAACAAAAGGGAAGAAAUUAAACAAAUAUUUAAUUCCCAAAAAUAUUAAAAAUUUUAAAUUUCAUAAUUUUUUUAUUGUUUUUUAUAAUCUUAUUCACAUCUUUAAACAAAGAAUGGGGACUUUCAAAUUGAAUGUUGAUUUUUUUUUCUUUUUAUUUUUUUUAAAUACAAAUAAAUAAAAAAGAGGGUUAAUCGUAUCAAUCUUUUCUAGUUUAGACCUAGAAGACUUAAUUCUAAAAUCAUUGAUAUUGUUUUGAAAAAUUCUAAAAUUGUUAACACGACUCAUACAUGAAGACAAAAAAAACAACCAAAUAAAAAUACCGUAAAAAAGUGCAUAUUAAAAAUUCUAUACAUUAAACUAUAUACAUAAUCUACACAAUUAAGAUAAAUAUACGAAGACUUAGCUCAUCGAGUGAAAUUUCAUACUUUUACAUUGUAAUUAUUGUGGGGUAAAAUCAUGAACUACUUCAUAUUUUAACCAAGUUUCUAGGGGAAAAAAAAAAACUACAUUGGAAAUGAUAAUUCACAUAUUCAAUAUCAAAUUACAACUAAGAAAAGAAUAAAUACUAAUUGUUGUAGUAAUGAGAAUUUGGUUAACAACAUUGUGAACAAUCACAAAAAUGUAAAUUUUGAUAUGAAAUAACAUUUGAGUAGUAUGUCUAUGGCCAAAUCCAAAUGAGAAAGUAGGGAGAAGUGUAUAACAUUCAAAAUAACCCCUAAAAUUCUAUUACAAGGCUUGCUAACUCAUUGUUUACUAGAAACUAAAAUAGCAUAUUCUAUACUUUUUAAUUUCAAUAAACCUAAUUGAAAAUGCAUCACAGAAAGCCAAAAAGGGGAAAAAGAAAAAGAAACCCUAUAACAUUGUGGACAAACAAUCUCUUGAGAUUAAGAGAAAACAAAACAAAAAUUUUUUUUUAAUGAUUUUUAAAAUAAUACAGUAAAAAUUCUAUAAAAUAAUAUUCUUGAGAUUAAGAGAAAUUAUUAUGUUAUUGAUUAUUAAUAAAUGAAUAAUUUAUUAAUUUAUUUAUAAAAAUGUUUAUUAAUUUGGUAAAAGUAAUAUUUUUUAUUGUAUCACACUUGUAUAUGUAUGAUUCGUAAAUCCAAAAAUAAUAAAUGUAGUUGAAUGUUAAUACAUAGAACCCUACCACACAUUAUCGAAGAAGGGGUAGUUAUUCAUUGUAUAAUAGAAAGACCCUUAAAACGAAGAGAUAAUGUCAAAACUCAAUAUCCUAAAAAAUAAGGAGAUUUCAAGUAUGCUAUGAUUUUGAGAAAAAGUUGAAUUAAAAAAGUUGUAAUCGGUUACUCAUUACUAUAUGAAUUUUUUGUUUGCAAUUUUUUUAUAAACCUUAUUAAUUAUUAAUUUAUAUUUUCUCGAACCUUUAAGAUUUCUAAAAAAAUUAUUAUCUUAUGCAUUUAACGAAAUUAUUAAUUUAAUACAUUGGUCGGAGUUAAACUAGAAGAUUUUACUAUUAUUUGGUUACAUUAACCUUUCAAAAAUGUGAAAAAAAAAAAAAUCAUUAAAAAAAUAAUGAGUACAAAUUUGAAAACAAUAAAUAUUUCUUGUGUGUGCUAUGAUUGAGAAAGCUAUAUUUUAGAAAGAUAGGAUUAUUUGUACAAAUAUGGGUAUCAUUGAUAGUGUAAUUUAAACCAUUUGAAAAGAACAUAAUAAAGGGAAGUUUUCAGUGAGUAAAAGCUUUGCUUUUAAACAUGUUCUUUUGUCUAGCUUUUCAGAUGGAGGAUGAAUUGCAGCUUAUCUCUCAGAAUCUCUCACCUGAUGGAUGAAAUAUCCCCCAGCAAUAGAGGGUUGGACUGCUCUAUCUUUGGUGGCCAUAUGGAUUGAGGUUGGUUAAUUAGCUUAUAGCUCAAGCUGGGUAGCUGGCUGAAGUGAGUUUGCAGUUCAAAUCCAUAGACCUGGUUCUUUACAUGAAGAAUUCAGGGAGAACUAUGUAUAUAUAUUGUCAGUUCAGAUAGUCUCAUAAGCAUCCUGGUACAAAAUACAAAAGAGUUUUGAACCAUGAAAAGACAAGCCAACUAAAAGAUUUCUCUUUCUUUUCCUUUUAUUGAUAGACAAAUGGUUUACUACCAAACCUUUCAGCCCAAAACAUACUUUUCCCUUUCCUUUUCCUACCCUAACUACAACCACCACUCCAGUCCUUAUCUUUAAUUGCUUUUAGGUCUAAUUUUUAUGGUUAGUGAACCAAUUUUUUCAAACAAAGUAGCCAAAACAUACAAUAAAGUUCAAAAAAACCAGGCAAGGCCUCAAUGAGGCAAAGCUCAUAUCCAUCCAAGGGUAACAAUAAAGACCAAGUCAAGAGAGUUACCAGAACAAAGACUUCAGUGAAGUUUCUUUUGGAUUUUUGUUGGUAAUUUUUAUAUGGUUCAAGAAAAGUCUAUGAUACAUCUUUAUUAUCAUACCUAAUUUUAAAUCUCGGCCUUAAAACAUGUGAUUAAAUUUGAAUUGGUGAACAAAAUUAUAAUAGAAAUGAGAAUUAAAUAUAAAUAAAUGAGAUUAGUAUACAAGGAAAUGAAAACUCAAUCAUGAAAGUGAAAGAAUCAUUUUAGUUAUAAAUAAAUAGAACUUAUAUGGCUGCAUAUUCAUUUUUAAUUAAUUAUCACAAAAAAUGAUUUUUGAAUACCAUAAAAUAAUUUUAAAAAUCAUUUUUAUGUCUUCUAGAUAGGCGUGAUUAAUAUAGAAAGAACGAUACAACUUUGUUCAUGUUUAUUUUAUAAAAUCUAUAUGAACCAGACAUAUCAAAUCAUAUGUUUAAUAUACGUCAAGUGGGUUCCAUCAUAAGACGACUAAUUACGAAAUGUCACAUGUCAUUGUAUGUAAUAUUACAUCUUCAAGAUCACUCUCCACUAACGUUGAUACGUAGCACAUCCCAUUCUUGAUCUUCAAUAUAUAGACAAAUCCUCUCAUAUAACCCUUACAUCAUAGUGUUAUAUUAUUUGACUUUGGGCACCAAUUUCUAAACAUAGUCUUGGGUUAUCACGAGACAUGAAUGCUCACUUACCUACUUGAGUCAAGAAUAGAGUUGGGGGAUCUAAAAUGGGCUUGUUGUAUCUUAAUGGUGAAAUUGAUCUUUUACCAUUAAACAUUUUGAGAUUGGUUUGACGGUCUUGAUUUGGUAGUUGGAAUCGAAAAUUCUUCAAAGUGGAAUCAAUAUGCAACAACCCAUCUCAACUAAAAAGAAAUAGAGGGAGACUUGUUUCUUUGGGAUGUGUCAAUCUCCAAAAACUUUCAUAUCAUCAUCGAUCUAUUAACAUGGAUGUUACUAUUUUAGAGCACCAUAACAAAGUAAGAAGAUUUUUCUAGCUCUCCUUGGUGAUCUCUUUAAUUCAAUACAACUCUCCCCAACCUUCUCACGUCUCUCACUUUACUCCACUUUCCCUUACAUUAUUGAGAAAUUCACCAUUGCAUGUGAUUAACCUACUACAUAUAAGAACCUUAUAUGAAGAAACUUAAUGAGAGUAGCUGUCAAAUUUUCAAUUUUAGCAUACAUUAGGCUGUCAUUAGUACAGGGGAGGUAAAGUAAAUAAUGAAUUGGUUGAAAGAUUAAUAUGGAUGGGUUGCCAUGUCUCUAGGGUUUGGUGAAUUGGAGUGAUGGCCCAUUGAUGCCCACAUUCAUGUCUUCUCAGGGCCAUUCUUAAACCUCCCUUCAGUGUCAGUGGUGGGCCUUCAACUACAUCAACCAUCUCAAUUCUCAACCUUCCUUGACUUGUUAAUAGGGCUAGGAAUCCAUUCUCUCAUAACCUCCUUUUUUUUUCUUUUUCUUUUUUUUUUUUAAAUUUUAUUUUCCUUCCUAUUAUUUCCUUUUUUUUUUCCUCCCUAAUUUAGAAAUCAAAUUUUAUUUUUCUAAAUCAUUUGGAUUUUUUUUAGUAAACUUUAAAGACAAUUUUACAAUUUCAUCUUUGUGGCAAUUUAAUCCUUUUUUUAAAAAAAAAAUAAUAAUUAAAACCAUAAAUUAUGUGUAAAUAUCAAACAACCCCUUUGAAUAAGAUUUUGUCAAAAUUGAAUAAAGAAAUUCAUGUACACACAACAAUAACUUGGCUUUUAUCAAAUAUUAUGAUAUUUAUGUGUCUAAAUCAUACCAAAAUUUCCAUCUAUUUCUUAACAAAAAUUCUUUAAAAAAAUUAUUUGAUAUUGGAUCAUAGUUUAUGAUUGAUAUUAUUUGAAUAAAAAUUGAAUUUUUAUUAUAUGAUAAUUGUAAAAAUGGAAGGAAACAAAAAUAUAAAGAAAUUAGUGAAAGGUAGGGAGAGAAAUUUAUGGAAGUAAAACAAAAGGGAAGAAAAAUAAAUAUUUAAUUUCCAUAAAUAUUAAUAAAAUUUAAAUUCCAUUUUUUUUUUUACUUUUUAUAACCUUAUUCACAUCUUUAAACAAAGAAUGGGUACUUUAAAUGUAGAUUUUUUCUCUUUUUUUUUUCCUCAUUGGCAUUUUUUUUAGCAAAGUCGGCUUUUCUUCACUAUUUUUAUAGUAAGAUAAAUAAAAAGAAGCUAUUUAAAAAUGAAUAGAAAAAGAAAAAAAACCAUAAAAAAUUUAUUUUAUGAUAUAUAUUAAAUUUUCUUCCUAAAAAAAUUACUGAUGAUACUUGAAUUUACCCAUUAUUAGUUAUAUAUAUAUAUAUAUAUAUAAAUUAAAAUUUCUCCCCAAUCUUUAACAUGCUGCCAACGUUUUGAAAAACUAAUAUCCAAACAAGGCCCUGACGACAUGAAUCACGUGUGUUUUCGGACUAUUCUUAUACUGAGAUUUACGAAAUAAAAAAAUAAAUAAUUUUUAUUUAUUUUAAUCAUAAUAAAAAAUAAAAAAUAUUAAAAAAAGGAAAUAAAUAAUUUUAAAAUUAUAAAUUCAAACAAGCAAAGGGGAAGGGGGGAAGAGGGAAGGGGAGGAGGAAAGGGCCAAAGGCACCGCGUAUUUUCAAAGUCGGCGAUGAUGCUGACGUCAUCACAUCUCUUUCCCUCUUCCUCUCUUAAUAAAACUUUGGCUUUUGCUUUUCAUUUCAGCAAAAGCAACCUCCCUUCUCUCUGACACCACCGUUCCAUCAAAUUUCGCCCUCCUAAUUAAUCGUCUUCCAUCCAUCGCCGAUCACCCCCUCCUUUGACCAAUCUCAAACCUUCGGAAUUCGACGCCAUAGAUCGUUCAGGUCUUCACUGCAGAAGCCUAGCUCUGAAUUAAAAGGUCAGGAUCAUUUUUCUGUUAUUUCUUUGAAACCUUAACCUAACCCUAGAGGGCCCAGAUGGCGGAUUUUGGAAACAGCUUCGGAUCAUUCGGAAAAUCCAAGUCCAGGCCCUUCUUCUUUGGUCGCUCUAUGACUGUGCGCGAAGCCCCCAUCGAGGCGCCUCAGCUUGACCGGAGCGGAUCCAUGAGGAAAUUCUACAAUUCCUUCGAAUCGGUGAUUUCUACUGGAAAUUCCAUCAAGGGGAAGGUAAAGAAGCUCUGCAGUUUAUUUGAAAAGGCGGACGAUUCACAAUCCCAGUCGCAACCCCAAUCACGAUCACAAUCACCCACUAAAUUGAAGGCCUCGAAACUCGGUACUACUGAUUUGAGGGUUUCUUCCCUUUCUGGCAAUCAUUGGAUUGGGCUACCAGGCGCUGAAGAUCGAAUUGUGGUGUAUUUCACUAGUUUGCGGGGAAUUCGGAGGACUUACGAGGAUUGUUAUGCAGUUCGGAUGAUUUUUCGUGCAUUUAGGGUUUGGGUGGACGAGAGAGACAUAUCUAUGGACUCUGCCUAUAGGAAAGAGUUGCAAUGUGUGUUGGGAGAGAAGAAUGUGAGCUUGCCACAGGUGUUUAUUAGGGGGAAGUAUAUGGGAGGGGCUGAUGUGGUGAAGCAGCUUUAUGAAACUGGUGAAUUGGCUAAGAUUCUUGAGGGCUUUCCCGUUAGGGCACCUGGGUAUGUAUGUGAGAGUUGUGGGGAUGUGAGGUUUAUUCCAUGUAUGGAUUGCAGUGGAAGCAGGAAGGUUUUUGAUGAGGAUGAAGGCUUAUUGAAGAGAUGCUUGGAGUGCAAUGAGAAUGGAUUGAUUCGAUGUCCCGAUUGUUGUUCUUGAAUUCUUUUCUAUAUGGGUGAAAGUGCUUUGGUUCUUAUAUUUUGGUGUUCUCUGAUUGAUCAAUACUAAUGAGUGUAGUAUCACUGAAUGUAUAUAGAAAUAUGUUUGCCCAUGGUUUGGAUUCAAAAACUCAUUGGAGUCAUUGGAUUUUCACUUUGUCAAUGUACAUUUUUCAUGAAUUGUGGGGUUUUAUUUUCACCACCUCUGUGAUCAAUACUAUUAAAUAAAAGGGAAUGUUUGUUGCACACAACGUUGCAAUUGCUGUACUUCAUGUCUGAUUGUUUCUCCAUCUUCGUGGGGAUGUAAAUUUGAUUCUUUCUAUACAUCUAGUAUCAAUUUGCUGUGGCAGAUUCAUCUGUUUGAGGCUUUGUCGUCAUGAUCUCUAUGAAUGGCAUUAAGAAAUACAAGCACAAAUUAUCAGAUAUAGAACUGUUGCAAAUAUAUUGAUUGUAAAUUGCAAGAGUUUUUUCAUCUUCAUAGUAGUGUAAGUCUGUUCUAUAUGUAUUUGGUAUGAUUUUUCUAAAUCAAGAUGUAAGAAAUGCCUUGAAUGAGGAACUGCCAUGGGCUGCAUGUCUUUUGCUGCUUGUGGUGAGAAUUUAAUGAAGGCAGCUUACUCCUAAUUCAGUGAAUGUUGUGAACAUGUUUAUCUAGGGUUUUUGCUCUCACCCCUUACCUUGACUUCUCUUCAUCAGUUGGCAUAAUUAUGGGUUUGCUUCAGUUUGCAAAUUCUUGCUGAGUUGUGUCAUGUCUUGAGUCCUAAUUCUUCUUAGAUGCCUAAAUUUUUUAGGGCAAAAGUUUUCAUAAUUGUAUUGUGUUCACUGGAAUUCGGGUUUCAUCUCAAAUUUUAUUCUCAUAAGUUAUUUUUUCCCCUUUUCUGUCAAAUUUUAAGAUGACACUCUUUUGCAAAAAAGUAUAAGAAGUGCAAGUUGAAGUUUCUGUUACACCUUCCUUCAUUUGGAUUCUUCUCACUGUUUGGAAUAAUGUUUUUAGGUAUAUUUUUAUUUUUAUUUUUUGAUGGGUAUGUUUUUAGGUUUAUUUUGUCCAUAAAUUUAAUGAUUUUGCUAUGGAGGGACUCUAUCCUAAUUUUGUUGUAGAACUGCUUUGCAAAUUGCUAGCCGAUUUAUUAACAUUUGUUUAUUGCUUAUUGUUGGCAGUCCACGAGCUGGCUCAUGUUUCCUUGAUUUUGCCAGACAUUUUUUCCUGUUUUUAUAUUUAAAUUUUGUUGUAAAUUGUAGCCUGAUGAACUCAAUGAGGAUGUCUGAUUUCUUAAAAUUCCCCCUUUUCCUCUGAACAGGGACUGAGUUUAUCCUUUAACUUGAUUCUUGCAUCUUGUCCCUGUCAAAGUUCAGUUGAUUAUUAUCUCUAGUUAUCCAUCUAUGCAAAGUGCUUUUGUCAAAUCAUGAAUUAUCUUUAAUAGAUGAUUUAACCACAUUUUACUGGAUUCUUCUUCCCUCAUUAUGAAAUAAAAGAUUGUCCGUUUGCCUUUGUAUUUUGUUUUUAGGUUUGAUGAAUAGGAGGAACAUAAUCCUACCUAACACCUUUUACCGCAUUUUCAAGUUGGUUUUCUUUUCAUAUCCCUUCAUAACAAUUGCUCUAUAAUUUCUUGUUGUGGCUGUAAACCCCUUAUAUCAGAUCAGUGACUCAGUCAAGGUGGAGAAAUUGAUGUUCCCCUUGAAUAUCUCCUUUUCUAUUUGUUUCUUUGGCCUAGUAGUUGUAGGGGUUUGGUUUUCUGCUUGGGUUUUUUCUGGAACCAGAAUCUAGAACAUGGGUUGUUCAGAUAUCCGGGCAUUCAGGAUAUGACAUAUUAACCCAUUUCCAUACUGGUUGUGACUGGAUUAUUUCCAGUUGAGUUAUGUCUCCAUCAACAAAAUGUUGAUUGUUACCCAGGUCUAUCCAAUUCCCAAAUUUUCCAUGUUGAGGGACACUACAGGCUCUGUUCAUUUACCAAGAAGUAGAAAAGGACACUCGUUAGAAUCUCUCACAGCGGUGCCGUAACUUUUGUUCAUUCUGCCAAAAUUCAAUGUUUGUCGUCCUCUUAGCUAUCAAACAAAAGCACUGUUACUAUGUUACUGAAAUUUUUUAGAGGAAUGAAAGGUAUUUGCUUUUUCUUUUCUUUUCUUUCUCAGGUCUUGUGCCUGCUUUUCCCUGUCUGUAUGAUAUAAUCUCAUCAGGCAGUUCCAGCAUCGCCAAGAUUUUUGUACCUUGCUUGUUGAUACAUAAUAUAAUACAAGUGGAUCCACACAUUCUCUUGUGACCGACAUAUUGUAAAAUUCCUCAAUAGUCUUAAAGAUGAGAACAAGGAUUGCAGCAAAAUAGAGCCACUAUCAGGAUGGAAAUGCAUGGCAAGGCCCCAAGUUACAUUUCCAGGAAUUUUGGCAUCAUAUGGAUCGGUUACAUUUCUGGGAAUUCGCUGUGCCUGCUAUUGACUAAGAGGAACACAUUCAAGCUCGAUCUCCAGCACUCCCCUUUCGACAUUCUGUAGUUUGAGACUGACGUCCUGCAUCACCUUCCCAUCUGUCAGGCUUAUGACACUGUCUUUUACCAGGGUGUUUUCUUUGCUUGCUACCAACUUGCCGAAUUCCAUUGGUUCAUUUAACGUGGAAUUCUCGUGGGCUAUGGCAGCAGAAACCAGAGGUUGGAUGUCAAUCUCGGCCUCCCCCAUGAAAUCAUCGGUUGAGAAUGUAUCCUUGUCAUACACAAACUGCAAGCCAUAAUUCCCAACAAGUUUUUAAUGUAAUUGAUGGUUGCCCUGCUGUAUAAAUAUAUGACAAAAUGGGGUUCAACCAAAAUGAAAAUCAAAAUAUGCAAUCUUGAGAAGUUUGUAGGCAAAAGGCCCCUUGAUUCAUCAGUAAUAUACUUCACUGGUAACUCCAAUAAGGCUAUAAUCAAAAUUCUUGGAAGUUCAUCAAACCAACCGGCUUCUAAGCAUUCUAAUCUUUUAUUGAUCUAAUGCUACUGGUUAGAGAGACGUCCCCAUGGUAGCAGAAUGUAGAGGUAAACUGUCAUAGAGAGCUUGUUUUUAUGUCCAGCCCAUGUUCUGACAGCAUCUAACCAAUGUUUAAUGUUAUAAACAGAAAUGGAGUUUACCAUGUGCAGAAGAGGAUGGAGGGCUAGUUUUUAUCAAUUACUUUGUGCUAUACAAAGACAAAGUUCAGUUUUAGUCUCUAAUAACUAAUGACCAAGAAUAAAUUGAAUCUUAUCUCCUAAGCUCAAGUGCAGACCCCUAGCAAAAAACCAUUCCACUCCCGUGCAUAGCCUCUAAUAGUUCUUCCCCAUACAGUCAUUUUGCAGACUCUAGUUCAGAUCAUAUGGUAGGACUAAAGCAGUGAUAUACCUGAAUAAGUAGCACAUGCUAUGAUACGGUUCACAUAUAUUAGAUGAAGAGCAAGGACAGGUAAAUGUGGAUUUUUAAUAUUUUAGUUGUGUUUUAAUUUCACACGUAUGCAUUUUAUACAUGUAGAGAUUAGAGGCAAACGUACCACUCUUAAUGGUGGAAUUUGUUCUGGAAUUGACAACAUUAACCUUUCAUUCCAUACUGGAUUAAGGUUGUUCUUUAUGACACGCGUCUUCACCGACUGCAACAAGAUAUGUGAUUAUUGACACAAUUCCUUUCAUUUUCAAUUUAGUAAUAAUAAUAAGAAAGUUGAUCAGUUCUGUGCAGUGGGAGAAGAGGCUCACUUGUUGUCCCAAUGCAAGGAGAACGUAUGGAUCACUUGUCAUUACAUCACGGACAGCUAGGUUGGUGCCUUUGACUACAUUGACCUUUAUCAAUCCAACAAAUUCGAUCAUGCCUGCCUGUAGGAGUACAACAAGGGUAUAAGAUUUAGUAUUGAUGUAAAAUUUCCAUCCAAGGUGAUGACUUGGUGAUACAUUUUGAUGCUCGCAUGUGUUUAGUUUGUAUAUCAUCAAUGCAACAUGGAAUACCAUUAAUUAGUUUGUAUCAUGUUUCAUAAAACAUGGUUUCCACAAAGAAUACCUUUUGAGAGUAUCAUCUCAAGGAAGAGAAGCCCCAAGAAGCCUAAUUCAAGUUAACAAUCAAAAAGUGGCCAGACACAUCAGUUUCUUCCCUGGUAACAGCCCAAGUAGAACUGAAGAAAUCUGAGAAAUAUGCUGUUCUUGUUCUCAAACAACCUUUGGAAUGAAAAUGGAUUUUUGCAGCAAAUUUAGCAGAGCACACUUCUAUAGUAGCAUAUUGAAGUAGAAAUGAAAGCAAAUCCAAACACCCCUUGAGCGAGCUGAUAAAAAUAAAGCCUUGAUCAUACAAAAUUAUUACCGAUGAGCUGCUCUUCUUGACAGGCUUGUGCUCAGGCUCUUUUCUUCUCCAACUAUUGCGAAAUGCCAGCCCAAGUCCAUGGAGACGAUGGGUAGUUGUCUGUUUCUCAUAGUGCUUCUUCUCUGGGGGUAAACCAGACUGAUUGCUUGAAGAACCACCUUGGGAGGAUGGUGAGCACAAACCUUGAGGUGGAAAGGGGCAGAACAUCUGUUCAUCAGAGUUGAAAAAUUGUUGCAUCUCAUAUUUUCUCCUGAGUAUUCAAGAAGUGGGUUUCUGAUUCAGCAUGGUAUAAGUUCCCAUUAGAAAUUUAUGCCAAGUGUAUUAAUAGUAAUACCUAAUGAAAUCAGAGCGUUCCUCUGUAGAGGAAUCUGGUCUUGGUUUUCUGAUGUAGUCCGGAAUGGAAGCUUCAUACUUCAUGUUUGCCUCACUGUUUCCACCCAUACCCGUCAACGUAUCAACCUGUUCAUCUGUCCAUUCAUCUAGCUUAAUUGAUAAAACCUGCAUCAUAAGCAUCAUAUGAAUGUAGAAAUUUGUUAUACAAGCGUGAAAACUUUAUGAUACAUUUUGGUGCAUGAAUAUUACUCAACUCCUGAUUUAUAAAUCAAAUAGGGUUUUCAUAUUAGUAUCAACCAUCUGGCCCUCAUGCUGGACUGAGCAGCAGAUUCAGCCUUAUGGUUUUUUAUGUUGCCUUACAGAAACUGUGCUGACAAAGCAAACAGACAAAUUAAGACAACAUGGCAUUUACUUGAUAUUCUUAAAUCCUGUCACAAAAGAGAUAGGGAAACAAAGCUACACUGUAAUAGGUUUUUAGGUAGCUCUUAUAGUGUUCUUGUAACAGAUACAGAGUCUAUAAAUGCUCAUAUUCCAAUCACAGGAUGCUUAACUGAUAAACUGUCAUCAAGAUGUGCUUGAUGUAGGAAAAUAAUGGUAAGAUACUACUCAUAAUAGAAACUAUAAAGAGAUGGAAAGACUUGUUGGUUUGGGCAUGUGAAACACUUCCAUUAAGAGUAGAUCCAGCCCUGGAAGACUGUCUCCAAGUAGCAGGUGGAUGUCACCCUUUACUAUCUAGGAUACGAUAACCAAUAUGCAACAAUUAUCAAUAAGCGAUUCUUUUCCUCUAGAAGCAGAAAUAGAGACAAGUGAAUGGAAGCAGAGAUAGCAAGCUAGAGGAAGCAAGAAGACAGAGAGGAUAGAGACAAGUGAAACUAUGGUGGCAGAGAGGCAAAGAAACAGGAGGAAGAAGACUUGAGGCUGUUGAAGAGACUGACCCUCAUGUCAGCAAUGGGGUACAGGCUGUUGAAAGAAAAUGAUUCUUCCGGUAGCAAAAGCUAGGGUUUCACUUUCUUGAAGGUAUGAAGAAAAAUUCAAAAAGCAGAGAGAACAGGUUCCAAAAAUAUUUUCUGUAAUGAAAGAAGAGAUUUGACCAACUUAGUCUCGUAUGCAUGUGAGAACAGUACACCCCAUGAUCCCAUAAUUCCACUAAGGCUUAAGUGUAUUCCAUAGCUAUCAUGAAGGUUCUACUUUUAAUUCAACAUGUACAAAGGUCUUUCCCUUGUUUAUGAGAAGCCAAGACUGUUGGAAGGAAAAAGCUGAAUCCAUGAUUGUUCACUUCUUUAUAUCAUCAGCCUCUCCAUGAUUGAUCACUUCUUUAUGUCAUCUGCCUCUUUCUUUGUUCUUUAGAAAGGAAGAAUUCCUCACACAGAAUUCUGAAGGUCUUAAAAUGCCUAAUUAGUGCCAUUAUGUGCAGCUGUGACAUUAUGUUAGUUGAAUAUAAUUAGAAAUUAAAAAAUUAUAAGAUAGGAGCUUAAGAAGAAUACUUUGGACACAGUACCUUUGAGACAUGUGCUCCGAGGCUUCUAUGUACACCAGAACACUUGAUACAAAUAAAUACUCCAAGACUUACAGAUCUGAUAUUCAAAUGAAAUGAUGACAAUGCAGUAUAAGUUGAAUAGGCACAGAGCAAUGAAGAAACUUAUGUAAAUGCAUGUAUACACCAAGGAAGAUUGAUUUGGAAUGUUAUUUCAAUAAACAUAAGAAAAAGGAGAGCUGCUUGACAUUUAUAUUACACAUGUUCCCUAAUCUUAACAAACCGAAAUGAAAAUUUUGAGUUUGCUUUCAAAUUAGAGAAAUAUAUCCACAAUUAGAUGACAUAUCAAAUACAAAAUAGGAGAAAAACAAAUCCAUUUUACUAGCUCUGUUACAUUUGUAAUAUGCAGCAUAUUAAAUGGAAACAAAUAAGAGAAUAUGUUGAGGGCCACAAUGAUGUAGCAAAAGAUUUGGAAAACUUUGAACAGUGAUUAGGUAAUGCAAGAUGCACAUUUGAACUAAUAUUGCUCAUAUUUCUCUUUUAUCAAGAAAACAAAGAAACCAUACAAGGGUUUUGACAUGGAAAUGGAACAGCCUCACUUAUUUUUUAUUACAAACAAUAGAAUCAGUACUUACAGCAUGAGUGGCCGAAUCAGCAAUUCUUUUUUCAUUCUAUGCCCCAGACCCCUUCGUCAACCAGGCUUGGGCAGGACAGCAGACCAAGUACAGGUGCUGGGAAUCGUGUUAGGCCUAAUUCCUACUAGUUCGGCUGGAUUAUUUGCAGAUGUACUUUUACAUUACUGACAUGGUGAUCAGUAGGGCUUUUGAUAAAUUAUGUAUUUUUUAAUCCACAGGAGAUCAAAUUCAGAUUUCUGUUUCAAGUUAAUCCCAUGUACCUUCAGAGAUCCUUAGAUUCCUAGGCAGUUUCAGUAUACAUCACACACAACAAAAUUCUAGGCAACUUAGCUACCCUCCUGAAAUGAGGUGCUAAUAAUUUAGUUGCAUUGAAUGUUAAAAUUCUGCUGCUAGAAGUAUUGGUUAAAGUUUCUUUAAGAUACGUACACAUUUACAGUAUGAUUUCCACCAGUCCACAUCCAUGGAUGAUAUGAUCCAUGGGGCCAGUUCUCAAAUAUUCAAUAUGUCACAUUUGUAUUAUUUAUUUCAUGGUCAAAAGCAUAUGAUCAGAGCCUUUACCUUUUAUCUUAUAUGGAUUUGGUACAAAUUUCUCACAAUAGUUCACUUUGACCAUUAUCAUCAGUAGACAAAAAUAUCAAAAGCAAAAAUUCCUGGUUCACUCACCAGUAAACAGAAUACUUACACCCAUUUUGGAUCUGGAGAUCCACAAUCUGCACAAAUGUUAUUUCCUGAUUGACACAAAAGAUUCUCCAACCUUCCUCGUGGACCUGAUCAAUGAAAAACGUAGAGAAUAUGGACAAGGUUAUCUUAACUUUAUUAAGUCAAAGCUUCCAAGAGACAUCAAAGGAGAUAUAUUUCUUCAACCAGCAUUUCAAAUAUUAUGGCCAUAUGAUAGUAGUUAUAAGUAAUGGAGAUUGAAUAUUGCUCUAUAGAAAACACAUAUGGUAAGACAAGCAUUUACCAACACUAGAUGACUAUAAAGACAAUUUUGAGCAUAGGAAUGAUUCAUGAAAGUAACAAGCAAGCAAGUAAUGAUCAGAAGUUCAAUGGUUAGAAAUUGAUGGAAGCUACUGAUUAACCUACACAAGAUGGGGGAACUAACCCUUCAUUAUUCAUUUGAUUAUAUGUCAAAAUGGUUGGAUGACCAUGUUCAAGAAUUACAAAAAAGAAAAGAAAAGAAAAGAAAAGGAACAUCUAAUAGGCAUUGGUUCACAUUCAUAAUGUAGAUGAAUGAAGAUCCACUACAUAAGAAAAGCAACCAUUAAUUUUAUUGGUUCAUCAAAAUAAUUAAAUGCUCAUGAUAGGCAUACAUAUUUCUGUAAGUGUUAUAUUCAUACAUGUAGACCGGAUAUCCUCGACAAAUACACUUUUUAAUAAACUUGUUUAUAGUAUUUUGAAAUCUAAUUUAGGAUUACUCGUCUCUCCUGCUUAUAAAACUAAAAUACAAGUGGAAAAGAAACUUGGAGGUCAUUAAACUAAUGCAUUCAAUAUAUAGCUUUUUCUUGAGAUAUGGUUGGAGAUUGCUCCUAGAACUAUGCAUUCAAUGUGGAGGUUCAUUACAACUAUAAACUGGUAGGCAUUAUGUUUCAAACUUAUAAACCCCAUAGUUUACUACAUAAGGCAGAAUUAUAUAUGCUGCAUGCUAAGGCUCAACAAAAAUCAUAAGUAAAUAUCACCAUAAAUGGCGUUGAAUUAUUCCCUUUUCGAGGAAAAUCGAUCAAGUGUGCUUCUGCAGGAAAAUACCAAAAUAUAAAGGAUAAAUAUGCUUCUCUACAGUUGAAAUUAAAUGUGAUAACCUUCAAGCAAAGAAAUCUUUUAGGAAAUUAGAUUAAGUGAUUUCAUGGUAAUUAGUAACCUUGGUCUUUAUGUGUCAUAUGUUUCACUGUUACUUUUAGAAUAUCACUGUUUAGUUGUAACAUGAAAUGCAAACCAGAUCAGAUAGAUUAGUACAUGCAAAAGUGAAAUCAAGUUGAAAUACUGAAACAGCAUCACUUAUUGCCCAAAAAGAGUAACAACUAAAACAAUAGACUCAAAUAUUAAGCUCAAGAUACCAGAAGAUGUUUGUCCUUCCUUUCGACAAUUCCAAUAGAUGUCUGAACGUAAGAGGUCCAGUAGGGAAGACCCUGUUCCUACAAACCCAACAACAUCCUUUAAGAAAAUCUCAUUUUUCAUAAGAAGUUUAACAUCAUAAGCACUUUUUAUCUCUUGCUUACUAAAAGUAAGUCAUAAUUCAAAAGUAAAAUACUCAUUGAGGAUAGAUAAGCAAUAAGCGGUCUAAAUCAUACAAGAUCAGGAUGAGAAACAUCAGCAUGCUGUCAAAUGAAAACUAAUUUAACCAUGUUGCUGAGAGAAACACCAAUACUUUGAUAACUAACAAGAUUCAGAAAGAUACAACCCGACUUAGAGAAAAAAUGUUCCAGCCAUGAUACCAUACUGACAUUAUUAUAGAGAUUUGAGGGCCAAUCAUGAUGAAGCGUAAUUUGAGAAAUUGGGUACUUUCCAGGUAUGACUGGGAUACACUAAUGAAACAGCCUAAUAACUUUAAGGUACGGUGGGGUUCAAAACAACACUAGGCUUCUCAUGAUUAAUAAAGUAUGGAUAAUUUGGAAUAAAACUUAUUAAAUGAGAGAAACUUUAUGUAGAAUAGUGUAAAAUUAAUGGCUUUAAUUACUUGAACCAAAGUGGCCCUCAUCAAAUUUCAUUUCAAAGAGUAGCAUUCAGCUUUCAAGACUACCAAUAAUCAUAAGUUAAUUACAGAAUGUACGAUAAGUUAACAAAAAUUCUUCUAGUUACCACAUGUGUAAAUUAAUAUUAUAGUUGAGUAUAUAUGGGUCUUUUAGUGAUGUAUUCCAGCUGUAUCAAUAUCCUAUAUUUCUAUAGUUUGCCCUGUCAAUGUCUAGGUAUUGUUGUGACUUUCUUGUAUCCAUGUCUAUGCUACAUGGAGAAGAGACAACAUGACAGCAAUGGUAACAUUAAACUAAACUAAAUGGAUAAAUACAUUGAUAAAAGAUCUAAUAGAGCAAUAAAAGAUCAUGUAUGAAGUUCAUCUUCCAAAGAUCAGGGACAUGGCUAUGUCACAACCAAAUUAAUUGCAAUGAGCUCAUUGGCAAUCCACACCAAAGAAUAAAUAACUGAGAGGCUGAAACAGGCAGAAAAGCAAACCUUUUAUGUUGGAGGAGUAAACAAUAGAGGAUGCCUAUUGCAAUCCUUCAACAGGUAAUGAAGACUCGAAACAGAGGCUGAACUAGCAAAAUCUGAUCCCAGCCAGCCCCGUCUCUUAGGGAACAAUCAUAAUGAGUAAGAAAAUGAAUUGAGGAUAUGUACAUGGAGGCAUAGGGAGCAGAAAUGGACAGUAUGUAUACAACGUAACAGUCAGAAAAAUAUAAGCUGUGGUGGCAUGUUUAAACACAGUAGUGAAGGUAAAAACAAAGCAAAUGGAUUGUUUAUUUCAUAUUCAGAGAUUAGGCAGUAGAGUUGGUUCAACUAUUGAUAUGAAAAGAAGAACCAGCUUAUCAAAUCGAGGUCCUUGAAACAGAUUAAUAAAUCAGAGGUACAAAACACAGUAAAAGCGGAAAAUAAACAAGGUUAUAAAAUUAACCUAUUCUGAAUGUUAUCCAACCUAAAUGCUCAACCAAAACACGCAUCACUCUCCACAUAAGUUAAGUUUGAAUCUCACAAUGCAUCAGACUUGCUCCGCAUGAUUAACUUUUAACAUGUAGUAUUCAUAAUAAACAAAGGGAGUCAAAAUAGAAGCUACAAUGUCAUACCUACCCUCAUCAACAAGAGAUGGGCAAAAAAGGUUUGUAGAGCACCACUGCCCCUCCUCCCCUUCUCCACCCUCCCCACCCCUCCAUACCUCCUCCACCCAAUGGACAUAAUUUGGGCAAUCUCUGAUGCCAAUCCCGGAAGGAACUGAUAUAAAAGAUUUGAUCUCAAAAUUCUAUAUACCUAAAAUUGGUUUAACAAUUGAUUUUCAGUUGGAAAAAAUCUUAAUAUCUUCAUUGAAAGUCAGCUGUCUCCCAUACCAAAGGCUAAUCCACUGAUCUCUUUAUCUUCCCAUAUCACUCCAGUCUUCCAGCUUCUUUUCCCAACAUGGCAAACUAUCUUUUCUGGUCUUGAAGCAUAUGAGGUAAAAGAUUGUUAAAAAACACUUAGACCCAUCAUAUUCAUCUAAUUUGGAGCGUCUCAACCCAUAGUCAGGAAAACAGAUAUAUACUGUUUUCCAUCCCUAUCUCUAUCAUUUACUCGUUUCAUCAUUCAAAGAAAAAAAGAAUCAUAUAUUCUUUCUCUCAAGCAGUUUAAAAUUCUACGCUUUCAGGGUAUGAUCUUAGUUUCUAGUCCACAAAUCUCCACCAUGAUUCAGUGAACUGCAUGAACCACCCCAAACUCCACUUUCCACUAAUGAAUUUAUGACCCGGGCCUUUCACUUACAUAUCUAAAGAAUGAGGGAUAUAUGAUUCUUGUUAUCAUAGAAACAUGGCCAAGAAAAAGACUAAAAACUCAGGGACCACCAGAGAGUCAUGAUUAGGUUCUCUGUUUGGUGCUCCGCUGACAAAAGUACAAAGCAAAAAAUUGCAGUUUAAAUUAUGAGAAACUAAUUGUAGGCUUGUCACAGUUUACCUCAAAGAACUAAUAAAAUUAAACCAUUUCCAAAACUAAAAAAUGCUUUUGCCAAUUCUUUAACUGUUGGUCUAACAGUCAAAACAACAUCAAUUGGCUGUUGGAUGACAUUAUUUUUAACUGCAAAUACAAGACCAGAUAAUUUGCAACCAACAAAUUACAUUAUAAAACCUUGUUCAUCUAUUUCACUAUAAUUAUCCUAUUUUUAUUCAAUUCUAAUAUAUAUAUUGAUUUUCCUUUUGAAAAAUUAUCAUAAUUUUGAAACUUAUGUUCAAACUAAUUUUCCCAAAUUCACCCAAUUCCAAAACAACAAUCCUGGUUUGGCCAAUACCCAUUUAUCAAUUUUGUUUUGCAGACAAACUCUAUAAUCAUAGUUCCUUUCUGUAACUUUUCAGGGUUAGCAACAGAAAUCAUAGCCUUCUAUCCCACACCACAAAAAUUCUUUUUCUCACAGAAAUAUGGGAAAACUAAUUAAAGGAAAAGAACAAGCCCAUCAGCUCUUAACCUUCCUUGUACCCUUCUACCAAUCGGUACAUGAAUUCAUUUGCCAAAAUUAUACAUACAUCAAAACAAGAGAGGGAACAAUUGAAUUUUUACAAAUAAUCAAGAACUUAGGCAUAAAAUUUACAAUAAAAACCAGAGAAAUUUACCAGAACCAUUGUUGGAAUCUGUAUUGUCUUGCCGUGUGGGCAUUUUGAGUCCCCAAGCGUUCAGACCCAGGUCAUCAAAUACAGCUAAAAUCUGAAUAUACCCAUCGUUCCUCUGUAUGCAGCAAAAUCCAAAUCAACCCAGAUAUCAAAACACAUUCAUAAUUCAAAACAUGAGGAACAGAGGAUGAACAGAGCAUUAAAUUUGAAAAGGGUACUCACAGAUACAAUGAAAAAACAAAACCUUUGAUUGAAGUUGGAGAUGAAUUGAUUAUCAAUAAUGGAUUGUGCCACCCAAAAGGAAAUUUAAAUACAAUUUGUAUUUGGAUAAUGGAAUUAUUUGGGAAAGAAACAAAGCCAAGAUUCAGGAUAAUGAUACGGGUAUGAUGAGAAGAAUCAGAACUUGGCUUUUUUUCUUUCCAACCAUUUUUUUUUCAGUUUUUUUUUAAUAAAAUAUAAAUGCCACCAAAAAAGUCAAGGUGGACAUUGGAUUUUGGGAAUGACCCAGCUUUUUGGUUGGUUGGUUGGUUUAUCAAUGCUGGAGCACUUCUGUAUCCCAACCGCUGCCAUAGCGCGUGUAAUACACUCUCGUUUAAAACGUAAAAAUUAAAAAUAAAUAAAUAAAAGAUAGAAAUAAAUCAAGCAAAAUUUGAGAUUUUUUUUUUCAUCAGGAAAAUUGAUUCGAUUAUUAUUUUUCAAUUAAUUAAAAAUUUCGAAUAUUUUAUCUUUAAAUAUAAUUUUAGCUAAUUUAAAGCAUUUUGUUAAAAAAAAUUUAAAUCAUAUUAAAUUUACUUCUAAAGAGUUGAAAGUUCUUUUCAAUUUCAAUGAGAAUUUUAUUUAGGUAAUUUUGUUAAAAAAUAUUUAUUUUUUAAAAAAAGAUCAUUCCGGCUUUUUCCUUUGAUUUCACACUUAUUAGCUGAUGUUUUGAAAGAGUUUUUGAUAAAAUAAAAAGAAAAAAAAAUAGAAAAGUAAAUUUUCAAAUUAUGAGUUCUCUUCCACUCGUUAAUUCACGAGGGCAAAAUAGAAGUAAUUAUUCUCUAGUUCUUUGAAAUGUUAGAGUAUAUUUGAAAGUCUAUAUCUUAUAAAAUUGAUUUUUAGAUUAGGAGGGUGUCCGGUAAAAUAACUUAAUGACUUAAUUUAAAUUAUUAAAUAAAUUAAAUAUAUUAAUUAAAAUAACCUAAUAUCAUAACUAAAUUUUUUUUAAAUAAUUUUAAAUAUUAAGUUAAAAUAAUUAACUUAUUCUUACUUAAAUAUAAUAUUAUAUUAAAAAAUAAUUCAAAAUUUAUAUAAAUUAAGCCGUUAACUUAUUAUUAAGCUGAUUUAUUAAAUACUUGCCCAAAGUGAAUAAACAAGCCUUUUAAAACUUUGUCUCAUGGGCUCGAGGGGGACGUUGCGGGUGAGACACCCACCAAACCGACCAACCUCAACGUGCAAUACAUUACAUGGAAGAGAUAAAGCUCCAAGAAGUUGAGAUAAAGCUGUCCACGUUUUAUCUGGAAAAUCAUGAUUUUGUGAAUUGGUUGAGUUGGGUUUCAACACUCUUAUUUAAGGGGUUGUAAUUAAGGUAGUAAGUCCUUCAAUAAAUAGGAAUUAACUUAAAGGGGUAAACUUGUAUUUAGGUGUCAAUUAAUGUACCUUUUAAUUUCAAUUCAUAAAGAAAGAAGAUUUAAAAAAGAUAAUUAAUUUAGAAUUUUGAAACUCUUUCCAUGAAUCAUGCUUGGUUGCAGUUCUAUUUAUUUAUUUAUUUUUAUUUUUAAAAAUUUUGGUUGAAUAUUGUAGAAUGAUCAAGAAGUAAAGAAAGUAAAAUAAUUUUUUUUACAAUUUUUUUAUUUUUAGAAACAAGAUACAAGGUGGAUGCAUGGGAAUUUAUCUCUAUAUAUAGUUUAUGCAUUUUUUUUUUCAAUAGGAUAAUUUGUAUAUUUUAUCAUUGAAAUUAAUUUCACCCAAAGCGAUGGAAAUCAUUCGGCACAAUCCAAUGUGAUGUUGCUUAGGAAUUGUAUUAAAUGUUACAAAAAUGUAUUAAUACUACAAGAAAUUAGGUUUUUAGCAAUAAAAUAUUUUGUCACUAAAAAUUUGAAUUUUGCCUACAAAAGCAUUUUUUUUUUAUGAAAAGUAUUUCAUGUCUUAUUUGUCGCCUUACACUCGUCAUUGAAAGUAUCCAAUGAAAAGUCCAAUUUCAUCUACUAAAGUUUUUCCUGAUAAAAUAUAAAUUUAAUUUGUAAAGGGUUUCUCCAAAGAAAUAUUGCAUCAAGAAAGGGACAAAUUUUCAUCAUUGAAAAAGAAAAAAAAAAUGUCCCAAAACAUUAUUAAUGAUUAAAAGUGACAAAUUCAUUUUGUUGCCAAAUUUUUAAUAAAAAAUAAUUGCCUAUAAAAAAUAUCAUCAAUGAAUUAUAAAUUUAUUGUAGAUGAUAUGAGAACAUUUAAUAUCAAAAUAUGUUUCAUUGGGAAAUAUCUUUAUUUAUGUGGUUACAUAUAAAUAAAAUUGGAUUUUUAAUAAUUCUUAAUGGAGGUAAUUUUUCUUGAAAAUUAAAUUUAUUAAGUCUUGAACUUAUGAAAAUAAUUUAAUUUUAAAAAAUUUAAGGAAAUAAAUCUUAUGAAUUAACAAUAAUUUUAAGAAGAAUUUAUAGCUUUUUGAAUACUUGAAAGAUAAAAAUUUUCAAUUAUUAGAAAUGUUAGAAGUACUUAAAACAAAGGAGAAAAGUUUACUUUUGGAAAAAUUAUUCUCAAGGAUUUUAAAACAUUUAUUUUAAAAUUAUUUUAUAAGAAUAUUUGUUGAUAAAGUUUUUCUUAUUGGAUAAAGUGUUUUCCAUGUUUUUUCAAUUUUUUUUUCAAUUUCCUUAUUACACCAAUCCUCAAUUAAUGGAACAAUUAAAUAUUUUUUUAAAAAAAUUUCAAGAUGGAUAAUUUAUUAUUAAGGGAAUUACUAAAAGUUGUAUUUUUAGUAAUUUUUAAUGACAUAAAUUAUUAUGAAAAUAAUAUUCCAUAUUUAAGGAUAUUUAUUAAAUUGAAAAGGUGUAGGAAUAAUGAAAAUAAGUAUUAGGAGGAAUUUUAAAUAUGAGAGCUAAAGUUCCAUCUUAAAUUUAUUCUUUAAUAUUUAAAAUAUUUUCUUUAAGUUUAUUUUUGAGAAUCCUUAAGAAUUAAUUUUUUUUUUAGUUGGAUAAGAUGCUCUUUAUUUUUCAAAAGUUUCAUAAAUUGGAAGUUUUCUUAUUACACAAGAGAUUCCAAUUUGGGCAAUAAGUAUUUUGAAAAUUUUCGUUAGAGAUAAUUUAUUAUUAAAGGACACUACCAUGAAGGUUUAGUAAAACUUAAUUAGUAAGUUGAUGGAAAUAGAUUUCUUUGAAAAUACUAAAGUUCCCUUUUAAAUUUAUUAUUUAUGAUUUAAACUGAAUCUCAGAAGAAUUAAAUAUUUCUUAAUUAGAUAAAGUGCUCUCAAUCUUUCAAAAUAUCAUAAAUCAGAAGUUUUCUUAUUACACAAGAGAUUCCAACAUGGAGAAUAAGUAUUUAGCAAUUUUUAUUAGAGAUAAUUUAUCAUUAAAGGACAAUGCCAAGAAGGUUUAAUGAAACUUAGCAAUUUAAUGAAAAUAGAUUUCUUUGAAGAUAUUUCCAAGAUAAAAUAUUUAUUAAAAUUAACAUAUGUGAAAGAAGGAGAAUUUUAUGAAAAUAGAUUUUAAAAUCUAAAAGUAAAGAUUUUAUCUAAUUAGCUUUUGGAUAAAAUACUCUCAUAUAAAUUUUAAGAUUUUCAAAAUUUUGUUAUUCUAGGCUUCCAAUUAGGAAAUAAAUAUUUCUUUAGAAAUGUUCAUAGAAGAUGAUUUAUUCAUUAAGGUAAUUAUUAAGGUUUUGAAAGCUCUUAAUUACUUCAAAAUAUUAAGUGGGAAUGGACCCUCGGCAAGCUCAUAGCUUCCAAGAUCAACUCAUCUUGAUUUGGCUUAUUAUGUACUAUCCUAAAGACGGUUUGGUCCAAGAAAUCAAAGGAUAUGAACUGUGAAUUUUCUUAAGAAUAAGAUUACAUAUGUUUGUAGUGAGAGUAGUCAAUCCUAAAGAUGAAACUUUUCAUUUAGUCCUAAGAGCAUUACAUUAUUGUUAAACUUACCAACUACCUCGAAUGCUCAUUGAUCAAUGCAUGAAUUUAAUUAUUUUUAUAGGUAUCAUCUCUUUCUAUUCCUAUCACCUCUAUUUUCUCAAGUGGACCUCAUCAAGUGAACUAGAAAAAUAAUUUAGAUAUAGUAACUAACAACAUAAAAGCUAAAAUAGGUAACAUAUAGAGCUAACCAAUCCUUAUGAACAAACCUAGUAAGAAGAAAAAGUGGUAUAUAUAUCAAAGAUGACCUAAGAUGGAUUCGAAUACCAAGUGUCUCAUACUUAGGUGUUUGGAUAAUGUGUUGUAACAACAACAUAUGUUUAUUGUCAUGGUCUAUAACAUUCUUUUUAGUUUGCAAGGAAUAUUUGGUGAUAAGGGUGGAUCAUUUAGAUAAAUUGCCCUUAGGAUUAUUAUGAACACGAGGUUUGUGUGAUCUUAAAGACCUCAUUGAAUUCCUUUAGGAUGACUAAGGGGAUUCUCAAGGAUUAGAAGAAUGUUCAUAUGGAAGUCAAAGGUUUUUCAAAUUCUUCUACCAUGAAUAAGAAGAACAAUACUAGAUAAGAAAAGUUUAAUAUAAGGAAUGGAAAAACAAGCUCUAGAUAGUUAUUCUUUUGUGACCUUUUUUGGACAUUGGAAAAAGAAUGUUCGGAUCACCUAAUGAAAAUGGAAAGUGCACAUCAUAUUGUCAUUGUUAAAUGUAUAGUGGUAGAUACAUUCUAGGCCCAAUAUUUGCAAUUCUUUACAGGUUUUCAAAAAGUGAGAAGGUUACAUGAUAAGAAUGUAGUUACCUUAGCCUUGGUUGCAAGAUUAACUAUGUAGGCUAGUGGGAGAUACUACUUCUUUCUUGUAUUACUCUACUACCACUCUUUCCUAAUAAUAGGAAUUGUCUAAUCUCACUAAAAUUAAGGAUCCAAAAACUAGAUGUCUAGGACAUUUGACAUUUUUAUUCUAGAAGAACUUUUAGUCUAUGAAUCUUGUAUAGAAGGUAAAAUGAUCAAGAUAGUCCUUUACUACUAAAGAACAUAGAGCUAAGGAAUAUUUGGAAUUAGUAUAUAAUGAAAUGUGUGUGACUUUUAGUGUUCAUGCAUGGAGAGGGUAUGAGUACUUCAUCACUUUUAUUGAUGAUUACUCUAGGUUUAGUUAUAUGUACCUAAUAUGUAGAUAAUUCAAUGCCUCAGAUAAAUUCAUUUAACUUAAGACAGAAUUGGAUAAUCUAUUGGAUAAACAUAUUAAGACACUUUAAUUAGAUCAAAGUAGUGAGCUUAUAUCUAGUAAGUUUGAUCAUUUCCUUAGCGAGUAUGUGAUUAUAUCUUAGUUGAAUGCACUCGAAAUGUCAUUGCAAAAUAGAGGAGAGAAGAAAUGUUAUUUUUAUUAAUGAAAAAGGAAAAUACUUCCAACUUUGAAGGUCAUAGGGUACGAAUAUAGAAUAUUCUAAUGAUUCUUCAUUUUUUAAUCUUAUCCUUUUCCAUGGUGUUUUUGCUAGAUCUUUUUAAUGGGUUCCUUCUAGAGUUUAUAGAUAAUGAUAUCAUAAGCUCUAGGAUAGUGUGAUUUUAUUUCAUCAUUUCCCAAGCUUUUAUAAAAAAGUAAAGUGUUUGUGACAUUGAAUUUUGGGGGGUUGUAUUUAUUAUUCUAACAUGUGGUAUUGUACAAAGCAUUUAGUUGUAGACUAGAGGUCAUUAGAAUCUUAACAUUUUUUCCUUGCAUUUUUUUUUUCAAACAUAUUAUUAGAUAAACUUUAUUCCAUUCUUUUUCUAGUUUUUCCCAUUGUAAGUGAAAAAAAAAAUCUUAUUCUUGAAUUGUUAUGUUUUACGCUCUACGAACCACCAUAAAAAGGAGGAGGGAGGGGGGAUUGAGCAGUUAUUCUUGCUCAUAUGAUAAUGUGUUGGAUUGAACAUCCAUGACUACGAUUAAUAUUAUAAAAUAAAAAUGGUAUGCUGCUUAUUAGUUGUUGUAUGUAUAAUUUAAAAGUUUUAUGUUCUUCCUAUCUCUAUUUACAGGUUGCAAAGGCAACUAGUUUGUCAAAAAAAAAAAAAAAAAAAUCAUUACACCGAAAAUCAUGAAGAUUGCAUCAAUGAAAUCAUUAGGAGGUUGAAUUAGGUUUUUCUAUAUUAUGAUUUAUCUUUGUAGUCAUUACACUACUGUUUAUUCAUGUGUUGAAAGAAAAUUAUAAUUUUUUUAUUGAAAUAUUUUGAUUUAAUUAACAAAUUUUCUUCAAUAACUAUCCUUGACUCAUGCUGAUUUUCUUAUAUUCAAAUCCAUUAAAUCAAAGGAAAAUACUAAAGUACCAUAGUGGUACCUAUCGAACAAAAAAUUUACAUUAUUAAAUAUGAUUAAUGGUGAGAUCUAGACUAUUAAAUAAUUGUAUGAACGAAUAAAAUUAAGGUAUAAUGAUACAAAUAAAUGAGACUAGAAUGUAAAUAAUAAGAUUAGAAAAUAUAUAUUUAACACUACUUGAUCGAUGAUGUCUUUUCGAUAGGUAUAAAAAAAAGUACGAUUCGAUAUACUGAAACCCCAUUCAAAUGUUACCAUUUUUUCUCGGGAUGGAAGGACAAUGUUUUGUUCAUCACAUAAUAUUAGCCUGGCCCUUACGGCAAAUUCUCUUUCAUACGUUCAAAAACCAUAACAGCCAUUCAUUUCAUUAGAAAUUCUCCAGCACAGUUUUCUUCCAUGGACUUGACUUAUUGAUACAGAAAGUUGACCGCGACCAAUCUUAUGGACACCAAUUUUAUGAAUAAAAUGUAAGCUUAAUCUUGUCAUUAUGUCAUCAUGCUUGCGAGCUCAUUGGUUUACCCAUAAUCAUUCCAUAGAUCAUAUUUGUGUUUGAUGUAUGUAUGUUAGAAGAUUUAACUUAGUCUUCAUGGAGCUUGAAAGUCAUUUUUUAUUUUUUUUAAUAUUUCUAAGUUUUUUAUUUGAAAGUUAGAAAUUGAAAAAAAAAUAAGCAUUUUUUUUAAUUACCAUUUGAUAUAAAUUUUUUUUCAGAAAUCAUUUUUUCUUUAGCAAAAUAUUAUCAAUAAAAUAAAUAAAUAAAUAAAAACCCACUUGGGUUAUAUCUAAAUAUUAAGGGUGACUGAAUGCUAAAAAUCCAAGAAUCCUAUGCUCCAGCUUAAACAGGAAAAAGUAGUUAUCUAACACAUUAGGGAGGAAGAGGUCUCAUCUGAGCGAGGCUGAUGGAAACUGGUCAUCGAAGCAGUCAACACGGUUGUCAUUUAGUGAGGUUUUACCAAAAUGAGAAGCCCAUGAAAUUUUCCUGCUCCUGGGGUUCUCACCAUUGAAAACUACACAAUCCAUGGAAACCACGUUCAAAAUUUCUACGACCAUUAGCUAGCACAACAUAAACCAUUUCUUCUGGAUCUGUUGUACAAUUUGGGACUGAUUUCUGCAAAGUAACUAACCAUGGCUUUUGUUGGAGAGGCUUUUCUAUCUGCUUCCAUUCAGAAGCUUGUCGAUAUGUUGGCCUGCCCCGACCUCCGGAAGUUCGCCCGCGAAGAACAAGUCCACGCCGAGCUCAAGAAGUGGGAGGGAAUACUGCUGAAAAUCCAUGCAGUGCUUCAUGAUGCUGAGGAGAAGCAGAUGACUAAUCGGUUCGUGCAGAUAUGGUUAGCCGAGCUCAGAGACUUGGCCUAUGAUGUUGAGGACAUCUUGGACGACUUCGCCACUGAAGCUUUACGGCGCAACCUGAUCAAAGAUGAUCCUCAGCCAAGUACUAGUACGGUACGCAGCCUCAUCUCCUCCUUAUCUUCUCGUUUCAAUCCAAAUGCUUUGGUGUAUAAUCUCAAUAUGGGGUCUAAGAUAGAGGAGAUCACUGCAAGAUUACAUGAGAUUUCUACCCAAAAGGGUGACCUGGAUUUGAGAGAGAAUGUUGAAGGGAGGUCCCACAGGAAGAGAAAAAGAGUCCCUGAAACAGCUUCUCUGGUGGUCGAGUCUCGUGUUUAUGGCAGGGAAACUGAUAAAGAGGCGAUACUUGAAGUGUUGCUGAGGGAUGAAUUGAUUCAUGAUAAUGAAGUCUGCGUGAUUCCUAUAGUCGGCAUGGGAGGUGUCGGCAAAACUACACUUGCCCAGCUUGCCUACAACGACGACAGAGUGAAGAAUCACUUUGAUCUGAGGGCUUGGGUUUGUGUUUCUGAUGAUUUUGAUGUUUUGAGGAUAACAAAAACGCUUUUACAGUCAAUUGCUUCUUAUACCCGUGAGAUCAAUGAUCUAAACUUGCUUCAAGUCAAGAUGAAAGAGAAAUUGUCUGGAAAGAAGUUUCUGCUUGUUCUAGAUGAUGUCUGGAACGAGAACUAUGACAAAUGGGAUAGCUUGUGCACUCCCUUGCGAGCUGGGGGACCUGGAAGUAAGGUUAUCAUCACUACUCGCAACAUGGGUGUCGCGACACUUACCAGAACGGUUUCGCCUUACCUUCUGCAGGAGCUGUCAAAUGAUGAUUGUCGAGCUGUGUUCGCGCAGCAUGCAUUGGGAGCAAGGAACUUUGAAGCUCAUCCGCACUUGAAAAUAAUUGGAGAGGAAAUGGUGAACAGGUGCAGGGGCUUGCCUUUGGUGGCAAAGGCCCUAGGAGGCAUCUUGCGAAAUGAACUAAACCAUGAGGCAUGGGACGAUAUAUUGAAGAGUAAGAUCUGGGAUCUACCAGAAGAGAAAAGUGGUGUUCUUCCAGCUCUCAAAUUGAGCUAUCAUCACCUGCCAUCUCAUCUGAAGCAGUGCUUUGCUUAUUGCGCUAUUUUUCCCAAGGGAUAUGAAUUCAAAAAGGAUGAAUUAAUCCUUUUAUGGAUGGGAGAAGGAUUUCUGCAGCAAACAAAAGGGAAGAAGCGAAUGGAGGACUUAGGUUCCAAAUACUUCUCUGAGUUGUUAUCAAGGUCGUUCUUUCAACAAUCAAGUAACAUAAUGCCACGAUUCAUGAUGCAUGAUCUCAUCCAUGAUUUGGCUCAAUCUAUUGCCGGAAAUGUAUGUUUGAAUUUGGAGGAUAAGUUGGAGAAUAAUGAGAAUAUUUUUCAAAAGGCUCGCCAUUUGUCAUUCAUUCGUCAGGCCAAUGAGAUCUUCAAAAAAUUUGAAGUUGUCGAUAAAGGGAAGUAUCUUAGAACUUUUCUAGCUUUACCCAUCAGUGUAUCAUUUAUGAAAAGUUUGUCAUUCAUAACUACGAAGGUGACACAUGACCUCUUAAUGGAAAUGAAAUGCUUACGGGUACUAUCUUUAAGUGGCUAUAAGAUGAGUGAUCUGCCGAGUUCAAUUGAUAAUUUGAGUCACCUACGAUAUCUCAAUCUAUGUCGCUCUUCAAUUAAAAGGUUACCUAAUUCAGUAGGUCAUCUGUAUAAUUUACAAACCUUAAUAUUACGAGAUUGUUGGAGUCUCACUGAGAUGCCUGUGGGGAUGGGAAAUUUAAUCAACCUUCGACAUCUUGAUAUUGCUGGGACAAGUCAAUUAGAAGAGAUGCCCCCACGAAUGGGCAGCCUGACAAAUUUGCAAACAUUGUCUAAGUUUAUUGUGGGGAAAGGUAACGGGUCGAGCAUACAAGAAUUGAAGCACUUGUUGGAUCUUCAAGGAGAACUUUCCAUUCAAGGAUUGCAUAAUGUGAGAAAUACUCGAGAUGCAAUGGAUGCUUGUUUAAAGAAUAAGUGCCACAUUGAAGAACUAACAAUGGGAUGGAGUGGUGAUUUUGAUGAUUCACGAAAUGAAUUGAAUGAAAUGCUUGUGCUCGAGUUGCUACAACCUCAAAGAAAUCUGAAAAAGCUCACAGUUGAGUUCUAUGGAGGACCGAAAUUCCCAAGCUGGAUAGGGAAUCCUUCAUUCUCAAAAAUGGAGUCCCUGACCCUUAAAAAUUGUGGAAAAUGCACAUCGCUACCAUGUCUUGGACGACUAUCUCUACUCAAAGCCUUGCGCAUUCAAGGAAUGUGUAAAGUUAAAACCAUAGGUGAUGAAUUUUUUGGGGAGGUCUCUCUUUUCCAGCCUUUUCCAUGCUUGGAGUCUCUAAGGUUUGAGGAUAUGCCAGAAUGGGAAGACUGGUGUUUUUCUGAUAUGGUUGAGGAAUGUGAAGGAUUAUUUUCUUGCCUUCGAGAGCUUAGAAUAAGGGAAUGUCCCAAACUGACUGGAAGCUUGCCCAAUUGCCUACCUUCUCUGGCAGAGCUCGAAAUUUUUGAAUGCCCAAAGUUGAAGGCUGCACUUCCAAGACUUGCAUAUGUUUGUAGCUUAAACGUUGUAGAAUGUAAUGAGGUUGUGUUGAGAAACGGGGUUGAUCUGAGCUCCCUCACUACACUAAACAUUCAGAGAAUUUCCAGAUUAACUUGUCUAAGGGAAGGAUUUACCCAGUUGUUAGCAGCCCUUCAAAAACUGGUGAUAAGAGGAUGUGGGGAGAUGACAUCUUUGUGGGAGAACAGAUUUGGAUUAGAAUGCCUUCGGGGUCUUGAAAGUAUAGAUAUCUGGCAGUGCCAUGGACUUGUAUCCUUGGAGGAGCAAAGGCUGCCGUGCAAUCUCAAACAUUUGAAAAUAGAAAACUGUGCUAACCUGCAGAGGCUGCCUAAUGGUCUGCAACGUCUCACAUGUCUUGAAGAGUUGUCAUUACAGAGUUGCCCCAAACUGGAGUCAUUUCCAGAGAUGGGCUUGCCACCGAUGCUGAGAAGUCUCGUGCUGCAGAAAUGCAACACUCUGAAGUUACUACCUCAUAAUUACAACUCAGGUUUCCUUGAAUAUUUGGAGAUUGAACACUGCCCAUGCCUCAUUAGCUUUCCAGAAGGUGAGCUGCCUGCCUCACUUAAGCAACUGAAGAUCAAGGAUUGUGCAAAUCUACAGACUCUGCCAGAGGGAAUGACGCACCACAAUUCUAUGGUUAGCAACAACUCUUGUUGUCUUGAAGUCUUGGAGAUCAGAAAAUGUUCAUCCCUUCCAUCCCUUCCAACAGGCGAGCUACCCUCCACCCUUAAGCGGCUUGAGAUAUGGGACUGCAGGCAAUUUCAACCAAUUUCAGAGAAGAUGCUGCACAGCAAUACUGCACUUGAACAUUUGUCCAUUUCCAAUUAUCCAAACAUGAAAAUCCUUCCAGGAUUCCUCCACAGUCUCACGUAUCUCUAUAUAUAUGGUUGUCAAGGUCUUGUGUCCUUUCCAGAAAGGGGCUUGCCCACUCCCAAUCUCAGAGACCUUUAUAUUAACAACUGUGAGAACCUGAAGUCCCUUCCUCAUCAAAUGCAGAACCUUUUAUCUCUUCAAGAACUGAAUAUUAGGAAUUGUCAGGGCUUGGAGUCAUUUCCAGAAUGCGGUUUGGCCCCCAACCUUACUUCGCUCUCAAUCAGAGAUUGUGUGAAUCUGAAGGUGCCAUUAUCUGAAUGGGGCCUCCACAGGCUCACUUCUCUUUCAUCACUGUACAUUUCCGGUGUAUGUCCAAGUCUGGCAUCUCUUUCAGAUGAUGAGUGUCUUCUUCCUACAACUCUGAGCAAACUUUUUAUCAGUAAGCUGGAUUCCCUGGUCUGUCUGGCUCUCAAAAACCUCUCUUCCCUUGAAAGGAUAUCCAUCUACAGAUGCCCUAAGCUCCGGUCCAUUGGGCUGCCUGAAACGCUAUCAAGACUUGAAAUAAGGGAUUGCUAACAACAUCCCAAGAUGAAUUCUGCGCCCUGUAUAAAAAAAGGGAAAAAAAAACUCACUCAGGUAUGCCUAUUUGCAACUCAAUCCCAGUUUCAUAUUGUCCUGUUAAUCUGAUUUUCCAUGUGUUUAUUGAAGGCUUGGGUGGGCGGUGGCUUUUGACAGCAUCACCGGCUUAUGGCUAAAACCGAGUGUAAAAUCUCUUGCCCUGCUUAAGCUGUUUUGUUCUUAUUUGUUUCAGAUCAAGGAAGCCGUUCAAUGACUCACUUGUCGUUUGCAUUGUGUUUUUCCCUCCUUCAACAAGGUAUGCCUACUGCCUAUUCACAGUGUGCAUCUCCCAUUUUCAUUGGCAAAAUUCUGAGUUCAUUUCGAAAUAAAGAAUGGAAAUUUCUCUCUACUACAUACAGGAAGGAAAGAAAUAAAGAAGAAUAGAAACAUAUGAAAUCCAAAAUUUCCGAACAUUAAGCAGCAAAUUCACAUGGUGAUGGUAUGUUUUUUACCUCAAUCUUAGGUGAUUAUCUAUUUUGUUUUUCCUUUUGACAAUUCCCGAUAUGGGUUCCCCAAUUUUGUAAGUGGAUGGUUCCUUUUUGGAAUUUCUUAUUUCAGGUAGGAAGAAAAGAAUGAUGAAGGUGGUCAGUGCUUAUCAGGACUUGUUUUUCUGGUUUCUGCUAUUGUACACAAGCAUGAAUAUGUAUGCUAUUCUCAGUUACAUAUCAUAUACUUCUAUUGAUUUAUUUAUUUUCCAACUUCAAGUAAAGGUUGGUGUAGCGUAGUGUUUAUGACUUGUUCUAUUAUACUCCUCAAGCUGUUGUUGCAGAGGGGCCAGUUGCCUUCUCUUCUGCUUUCACACAGCAAUUUGAUUAGGCCCAAAUGCCAUAACCACCCCUUAAUUAACACUUACUCCAAGGCUUAACGAUUUGAAGGCUCCUGAUGGGACUUGACUAUCCCACAACACACCUAUCCUAAGGCUCUUUUUACCUAUAGUAUGUCUUAACAAUCACAACGGAGACUGACCAUCCCACAACACACCUGUCUUGAGGACUUUGGGCUUGCCUUACACACCUAUCCUGGGAUUAUUGUUUUAGCUAUCAUUUUCUCAAUGAGUCAUAGACUCGUAAUAUCACAUACCUAACAACUCUUCCCUUAACAUUCCAUUUCUAUACCUUAACCCCAUGACCUAGUUCCAAUACCACUUUUUGUAUGUUUGGAAAAAACUUUGAUAUCACUUGUUGUGUUGGAAAAAGCUCUAACAUUGAUUUAAUUAACUAUUUUUAUAUCCAUGGAUGAAAGAAAAUAAUUUCAUUGUACCAUAAAAAUAUUAUAAAUGACAAAAAAAAUCUCAUAUUUCUCUACUCCUUAUAUAUAUCUACACAUUGAAUCAUGAGCUAUUAUUCUACUUGGGGUUUUUCACUAGAUCUUUCUCAUAUUUCUAUCUAUCAUACAUAGUUUUUAUAAACUCAUUUUCAUCGUGUAAAUUUUUUGCUUUAAAAUAUAGAAAAUUUGUAAAGAUAUUUUAAUAACUUUUCUGGUAUAAAAAAAUCUAAUAUUAUAAUAUCAUAUCAACAUAGCAAAUAUUGUAUGUAAAAUUCAAUACAAUAUAUAUAUAUAUAUAUAUAUAUAUAUAUAUAUAUAUAUAUAUUAAUUAAGAAUUUGAGAUAGAUGACAACUAAUAAGGAAUAUAUACUAACUAGUCGAAUCCCAUUAAAUUUCAUGUACUUCUUUGUGUGAUUUUAUUAAAGCCAAGAAAAAUGGAACAUGUAAGAAAAUUGUAGAAGAAAUUUUGGUUAAAGGUGGAAUAAAUUAUUCUCUAAUAAGAAUGUAAUAUAUAAAACAUAUACUUCAUUAUCUGUAAUAAAUAUGGUCUUUCCUACGUAUUUAUUGGAUCUUGAAAGGUGGAAAUUAUGAAGUGGUCGAAUAGUCUAGUGCAUGAGGGGACCAUGGCUUAUGAGGGGACCAUGGUACACAAGAGGACCAUGGCUUAGGCGGAGACCAUGACAUGCGGAGAAGUUGUGGUAUGAAGUGAAAAUAUGGUUAAGAAAAGUAACCAAGUGGAGUAUAAUAACUGGUUGCCUUGAUUAUGGUAUAGUAAAGCAAUCGAGUGCAUCAAUAGAAAUAUGUGCAAAAAAUCUAUGCGUGUGUGUGAUGAAAUAUGUGUUACGAAGAGAAAAGAUUAACUCCAUGAAAUUUAAUCCAAGUUAGAAAGUGUCUCAAAUUACCAUUUUGCAUAUUCAUUUGAUAAAAGAAAUAUGGUUUUAUUAUUUGGCAUUUUCUAAAAAAGCUUAGGAUAUAUUUUUUAAAAUUAAUUAAUUUAUUAAAACCAAUUAAAUAAGUAAAAAGCUGCCAUUUUCCCUAUCUUCUUAUGGUCUUCUCUAAUGGGCAUUAGUUCACAUUUCACCUCACGAAUAUGAACUCAGAAGAGCAGCCCAUGUGCGGCAUUUUCAACAUACCAACCCUGUCGACCAACCGAGAAUAAGUCCAAGGACAUCCACUAAAGGUCUCACAUUUUGUAUUUUUGUGACUGGAACAGUCACUUUCCAUCGUUCAGACCGUCUGGACCGUCACUUCCACGGAAUUCAUUGCCGUAUUUCGUAUUUCCAAAUACUUUUCUUCUGAAGAGUUGCAGACUUCCCCUAAUCAUUUUUUAGCUACAAACUUUUCUUCUGAAGAAUAUCUAAUAUCUUACAGAUCUGUUGCAGAGAGUUCCCUUAAUCAAUCCCUUGUUACCCACAAGAAAAGAAAAAAAAAAGAAAAAGGAGAAAACAUGGCUGGUUUUGUUGGAGAAGCCGUUUUUUCUGGGUUCAUUCAGAAGUUGGUCAACAUGGUCGCCUCGCCGGAGCUCUGGAAGUACGCAUGUGAAGAGCAAGUGGAUUCUGAGCUGAACAAGUGGAAGAAAAUAUUGAUGAAGAUCUACGCAGUGCUCCAUGACGCAGAGGAGAAGCAGAUGACAAACCCCCUGGUGAAGAUGUGGCUACACGACGUCAGAGACUUGGCUUAUGAUGUGGAGGACAUCUUGGACGACUUCGCCACCCAAGCUUUGCGACGCAACUUGAUCGUGGCUCAACCCCAACCGCCCACUGGUACCGUUCGGAGCGUUUUAUCUUAUGUGUCUACUAGUCUCACUUUGAGUGCUGCUUGGUCCAAUUUAAGUAUGGGUUCCAAGAUAGAGGAGAUCACUGCCAGAUUACAAGAUAUUUCAGCCCAAAAAAGGCAACUGGAUUUAAGAGAUAUUUCUGCAGGUUGGUCUGGUAGAAAGAGACUACGGAGACUGCCAUCCACUUCUUUGGUGAUUGAAUCUCGUAUUUAUGGCAGGGAAACAGAUAAAGCUGCCAUACUUGCCAUGCUGCUCAAGGAUGAUCCAAGUGAUGAUGAAGUCUGCGUGAUCCCUAUCGUCGGCAUGGGAGGUAUAGGCAAAACUACUCUUGCUCAACUUGCGUUUAAUGACAAUAAAGUGAAGGAUCAUUUUGAUUUGCGAGCUUGGGUCUGUGUUUCCGAUGAUUUUGAUGUUUUGAGGGUGACCAAAACUAUUCUGCAAUCACUUUCUCCACAUACACGUUAUGCCAACAAUCUUAAUUUGCUUCAGAUUGAGCUCAGGGAGAAACUUUACCGGAAGAAAUUUCUUCUUAUCUUGGACGACGUUUGGAAUGAGAAUUUUGAUGAAUGGGAUAUUUUGUGCAUGCCGAUGAGAGCCGGAGCGUCAGGUAGUAAGCUUAUUGUCACAACCCGUAAUAAAGGGGUUGUAUCUGUUACCGGAACUUGUUCAGCUUAUCCCCUUCAGGAGUUAUCAUAUGAUGAUUGUCUAUCUUUAUUCACCCGACAUGCAUUAGGGGCAAGAAACUUUGAUGCUUAUCCACACCUGAAAGAAGUUGGAGAGGAGAUAGUCAGAAGGUGCAAAGGCCUGCCUUUGGCAGCAAAGGCGCUUGGUGGCAUGUUGCGCAAUCAACUAAAUCGCAGAGCAUGGGAAGAUAUAUUAACAAGCAAGAUAUGGGAUCUCCCGGAGGAGAAAAGUCAUAUUCUUCCGGCUCUCAAGCUAAGCUACCAUCAUCUUCCUUCUCAUUUGAAGCGGUGUUUUGCUUAUUGCUCGAUAUUUCCAAAAGACUAUGAAUUCGACAAAGAUGAAUUAAUCCUAUUAUGGAUGGCAGAAGGUUUUCUGCAACAAACAAAGGGAGAGAACCAGCCUGAGAAGUUAGGUUGUGAGUACUUUGAUGAUUUAUUCUCAAGGUCAUUUUUUCAACAAUCAACUCAAAAUUCAUCCCAAUUUUUAAUGCAUGAUCUUGUUAACGAUUUAGCACAAUCUAUUGCUGGAGACAUAUGCUUUAAUUUGGACGAUGAGUUAGAGAAUAAUAAGCAAUCCACGGCUGUUUCAGAGAAGGCUCGUCAUUUGUCAUUCAAUCGUCAACGUUAUGAGAUGAUGAGAAAAUUCGAAGCGUUUCAUAAGGCUAAGUGUUUGCGGACGUUAGUUGCUUUGCCACUCACUACUUUUUCUACAUAUUUCAUUUCAAGUAAGGUGCUAGAUGACCUUUUAAAAGAAAUGAAAUGUUUGCGGGUAUUGUCAUUAAGCGGUUAUUUCAUAAGUGAGAUGUUACCAAAUUCCAUAGGUGGUUUGAAACAUCUGCGCGCGCUAUUUGAAUUUAUCUGAUUCUUUGAUGAAUAGGUUACCCGAUUCAGUGGGUCAUCUUCAUAAUUUGCAAACACUGAUAUUACGCAAUUGCUAUAGACUUGUUGAGUUGCCUAUGGGAAUUGGAGGCCUCAUCAACCUUCGACAUGUUGAUAUUUCUGGUGCAGUUCAACUACAGGAGAUGCCCCCUCAAAUGGGAAACUUAACCAAUUUGCAAACAUUAUCCGACUUUAUUGUGGGCAAAGGUAGCAGGUCGGGUAUCAAAGAAUUAAAGAAUUUGUUGGGUCUCCAAGGAAAGCUUUCCAUUUCAGGGUUGCAUAAUGUGGUAGAUAUUCAAGAUGCAAGGAGUGUUAAUUUACAGAAGAAGCAGAACAUCAAAGAGUUAACACUGAAAUGGAGCAGUGAUUUUGGUGAAUCAAGAAAUAAAAUGAAUGAGACGCUUGUUUUAGAGUGGCUACAACCUCAUAGAAAUCUGGAAAAGCUCACCAUUGCAUUCUAUGGUGGACCAAACUUUCCAAGUUGGAUAAAGAAUCCCUCAUUCCCUUUAAUGACACACUUGGUUCUCAAGAAUUGCAAGAUAUGCACAUUGUUACCGGCUCUCGGCCAAUUAUCCUUACUCAAAAACUUGCAUAUCGAAGGGAUGAGUGAAGUUAGAACCAUAGAUGAGGAGUUUUAUGGAGGGAUUGUCAAGUCUUUUCCAUCCUUGGAGUUUCUGAAGUUUGAAAAUAUGCCAACAUGGAAAGAUUGGUUUUUUCCAGAUGCAGAUGAACAAGUGGGACCAUUUCCAUUCCUUCGAGAACUUACAAUAAGGAGAUGCUCAAAGCUAGGUAUACAGUUGCCUUAUUGCCUACCUUCUCUGGUUAAACUUGAUAUCUUUGGGUGUCCAAAUUUGAAAGUUCCCUUUUCAGGAUUUGCAUCUCUUGGUGAAUUAAGUUUAGAAGAAUGUGAAGGGGUGGUGUUCAGAAGUGGGGUUGGUAGUUGUCUUGAAACAUUAGCUAUUGGACGGUGUCACUGGCUUGUAACGUUGGAGGAGCAAAUGCUACCUUGCAAACUUAAAAUUUUGAAAAUACAAGACUGUGCUAACCUGGAGGAGCUGCCAAACGGAUUGCAAAGUCUCAUUUCUCUCCAAGAGUUGAAAUUAGAGAGGUGCCCCAAACUGGUUUCAUUUCCAGAGGCCGCUUUGUCACCCUUGCUCAGAUCUCUGGUGCUGCAGAACUGCCCAUCUCUCAUAUGCUUUCCAAAUGGUGAGCUGCCCACCACGCUCAAGCAUCUGAGGGUUGAAGAUUGUGAAAAUUUGGAGUCUCUACCAGAGGGAAUGAUGCACCACAAGUCCUCUUCCACUGUAAGCAAAAACACUUGUUGCCUUGAAAAAUUGUGGAUAAAGAAUUGUUCCUCUCUCAAGUUCUUUCCAACAGGGGAGUUACCCUCCACCCUUGAGCUCCUUUGUAUUUGGGGAUGUGCAAACUUGGAGUCAAUGUCAGAGAAAAUGUCACCCAAUGGCACAGCUCUUGAAUAUUUAGACAUAAGGGGCUAUCCAAAUCUGAAAAUCCUACCAGAAUGCCUUACAAGCCUCAAGGAGCUCCACAUAGAAGAUUGUGGAGGUCUGGAGUGUUUUCCAAAAAGAGGGUUGUCCACCCCCAACCUCAGGCACCUUCGUAUUUGGAGAUGUGUGAAUCUCAGGUCCCUUCCGCAUCAAAUGAAAAACCUCACAUCUCUUCACGUUCUCAGCAUACGGGGUUGUCCAGGAGUGGAGUCCUUUCCAGAAGCGGGCUUGCCCGCCAAUCUAACAUCACUUUAUGUUGGAUGGUGUGAGAAUCUGAAAAAACCCAUAUCUGAAUGGAGCCUCUAUACCUUCACCUCUCUUUCUGCAUUGACCAUUUGUAGAGUGUUUCCCAAUAUGGCUUCUUUUUCGGAUGAAGAGUGUCUGCUUCCUCCAUCUCUGACCUAUCUUUCCAUCAGUGAACUGGAAUCUUUAACCUCCAUGGCUCUCCAAAAUCUGGUGUCUCUAAAAGAACUAGCUUUUUAUUGGUGCCGCAAGCUCAGGUCCUUGGAGCUGCCUGCAACACUUGGAAGACUUGAAAUCAGUGAUUGUCCUAUAAUAAAAGAAAGCUGCUCAAAGGAGAAGGGAGGAUAUUGGCCCAACAUCGCCCACAUCCCCUGCAUUCAAAUAGAUGGCUCAUACAUCCAUUGAAAGAUAGCAGAGUCAGAUUGAAAUACACUUUUCUCUUGUCAAGAAGGAGGAAUCCUUUCAAAUUCAUGCUUACAUUAUUCAGUCAGACUGAGAUUGAAUUACAACCCCCUUCUGCUUUUCUAGCCUUUGUUUACUUUCCAAUAUUUCCAAUAUUUCGUGCUCGAAAGUAUUUCAAGAGAUCCAAUGAUUCUGAAAUUGUAUGUAAUUAUUUCUCUUCAUAAUGCUGGUGAAGUUAUAACCAAUUUAUGUUCUUGCCUCAUACAUUCAGAGGGAUACGGCUUGGUAGAGAUGUGGCAGGAAGCAGAGGGUGAAGAUGACAGAAGAUCUUUGACAGAGGUUACUCACUGAGCUGGGGGCUAGGGAUUUGAGCACAUAGCUUCUUACAAAGAAGUUACUUCCCAAUAUUGUGGGAGUAUUGUGAUUUGAUUGUAUUGUCUUACUAUGAAAGUGGGGUGAUCAAAUUGACCACAUUGGUGAUGAUCAAUAAAGCCACGGGAAUGGUUAGGAUUAACAUUUACAUCAUUAUUCAUCCUGAUCUCAAUUGUCCCACUUUGGUUAUGAAGUGUUGCCUUAUUGUGAAAGGGGUUUUCAAAUUGACUACAUACUCUUACACCAUUUGUUAUGCUCAAAGUAGUCAUCUAAUCUAACAACCAAUUAAUUGCUCAAAAGAUCAAUGUGUUUAUGUGAUUCAAGGAACAUCAAAUUAGUCAUAAGCUAAUACAAUCUUAAGGUCAACACUAAGAUGAUAAUACUACUAAUGGGUUGUUAUUAAUUUAUAUUAAAGUAUUAGAGUUGUACAUAAUUCUAUAAAUUUUCAAAUUAUUAGAGAACAAAAUAAUUUUCUAAAUGCUUGGGAAGAAAGAUGCAUAUAUAAAUAACAUGAUUAGCAUAAUUAAGUGGAGUUGAUUUUUGUUACAAAGAAGGAACCAUAAAACCAAUGGGGGUACAUCAUUUCCUUUAUGUUAUAGGAAAUUGCCUUAGAAUGUAGCACUGCUUCCAAUAUUAUUUGCAUAAACAGAAUAUAUAAUUAUAAUUAUUAUAUAUAUAUAUAUAUAUAUAUAUAUAUAUAUAUAUAUAUAUAUAUCUAUAUAUAUUAAAAUCCCUUCAAAAAUGUAUAAAAAGCUGUUAACAUUUGUGUCCCCUUCCCCUUGUCUCCCUUCAGUGAUGCAUAUUAAUUCAUCUUUCACCUCAAUGAGCGGUGCUUGAUAUUGACAUGGUGGGUAUGGAAACCGUGUGGACCUCCCAUUGAUUGAACCAUUGAAUCCAAUGCCAGCCUCCCAGUUUCAAAAUAUCAAAGCCAUUCAACCAUGAUAUUAACAUGAUUAAAAUAUCAACAUAGUUUCUCAACAUGAUGAUAACUGAUCUUUAAAUGUUUUAGGAAAACAUUCAAGUGCUCGAAUUCGAAUUCAAAUCAAGGGGAAAAGGGCUUAGAUGCAACAUAGUAAAUUGUUUUGGAUUUCCUUGAAACAUAGUAAAUUUAGUAUUUUUUUCUGCAAGCGUUUAUAAUUAAUGGACUUAGAUGUGGAUACCUAGAUGCAGUUUUCUAUUCCAAUAUUAGAGUUGCUAUGGAAAAGAUGAAUGAAGGAAACCUAUAAAUGAUGAAACUUAAGCUAGCCAAGGACGCAGAGGAUUCAAGUUGGUGCCGAAUCAAAGAAUGAAGAAUCAUGCAUUGCUUUCCAAAUAUUCCUAACUUGUAAUGUUUACUUGUCACUCAUUCAGCCUCUUCCAUUGUAAUCCUAAACUGAAACUCCCUGUAAACUAUCUUGAACUAUUACAUUUUCAUUAAUAAUGUUUCCAAAGUUCUCACAAGUUCUCAUUUUCCUUUCCUGCUUAUUUGACCUCCAAUUUCCAUUGUACAUUCAGAUGGGUCCAGCUCGACAGGAAUGUUCCAUUCCUUGAUGAAUAGAUGAUUUUGGCUGCAGUUGCUAGUCAAGCAAUGAAAGCAAACAAAUACGUACGUCUGCCCAUCUGCCCAUUCACGAUACCUGACUUCCAAUUUCAGUGGCUUACCAUUUCCACUUUCAGAUACUAAUAGAAAAUUCCUCUGAAGAUGUAGGAAGGGGAAAAGAAUGGUGAAGAUUAUAUGAAAAUUUUCCUACUCAUAGCUGCAAUCUAUUCCCAUGUUGGUAUGUUAUUGAUUUCUCCAAAAGAUGUUAUUUUUUUCCUUUUAUCUAUUUGUGCAAGUUGAUUGACUUCAUUCUUUAUACUAGCAUACUUCUAUCACCAAUUUAGUUGUUUUUUGUAAGAUGUUUCAUUCAUGUCUUCACCAAGAGGUGGAUUUUGUGCAAGUUAUGUCUUGGCAUCUUCUCUUAAUUUUGUUCUCAUGCUGCUUUGAUCCUCUGUUUUGGCAGACACAACUUUCUUCUAGCUUAGUGUGAUUGACCUGACUUUACAUAUAUACUUAUGAAUUGUUUUGCUGCAAAGCAAUGCAGUUUCAUGUAUGAAACUCUGAUGUGAUAUCUUUUGAUUUUAAAAUUCCGGAUUGCAUUUACUCUUUUCAGGAAUUAUAUGUUACUUCUUUAGAGCUUUGAGACUAGAACAGUAUCUCAAAAUUAAUAGAAGUUCAUUGUUUGCUUAUGCAUGUUAACUUUAAGGACAAUUUAUGUUGAGGCUAUAACAGUUUCAUUUCGGUUUCAGUUUUGUAAGAAGGGCUGUUGGUUGCAACUCUUCUGAAUUUUAUUUUUAUAUCACAAAAAUGGAAACAGAGACCAUGUCAUUCACAAAAGACAACUCUUAUGGAGUUGAUAUGAGUUUCUAAUUUGACACUCGAAAAGUUGAAACAUAAAUUUUUCCCUUUGAUACCAUUGAAAUUCUCCUGCAGUUCUGUUCAUCUCAAAUGUCCUAAGCUUAUGUCAUUAUUUUCCAAAGGAAAUUUCCUAUUCUAAACAAAAUGUCUAAAGGAGAAAGAAGGAUAUUGAUUCAAACUACGUAGAUCCCCUGUUCUGCUAUUUCAUUGGUUGUAUGAGUUGGAACUAAAUUCUGUUUUCCCUGAACAAAAAUAGAAGCAGAUACCUUACUUCCUUCCCUUGUUUCAUGCAGGUAUGCCUGCCUACUCACAAAUCAACAACGGUUAUAUCAAUGGUUCAACAACAGUGGUAGUUGUUAUAUAGACAGAAAUUUCCUUUCUGCAUGUAGGAGGAAAAGAACAACAAGGGUGAUGAAUUAAAAAAAUUUCCAACCAAAGCUCAGCCUAUUCAAAUGGUGGUUUGUUAAGGACGUCAACUGUAGAUGAUGGCUUUUUCUCUUUCUUUUCAAGUAAGUCUGAUAGUUUUCUGCUCUGGAGGUUGAUAUGCUCAUCUUUUGUUUCAUUGUGAUGGUAUGGCAAAGUAAAUUACUCUUCGAUUGAUCACUAUAGCUUUUCAUUGAUGGUUUCACUAGAGAUUGAUUUGGAAUGCAAUUAUGUAUGGCAUUCUCUUGAGUUCUGUUCCUCACAGUGCUCUUUUCCUCUAUUCCCCUUUCUUUGUACAAUUAUGAUAUUUAUAUUUGUAUGUAUGAUUUUUCAAGAUGAAAGAAACUUGAUCAGCAUCCUAUUACCUUUUGCAACAUUUUGACCCUGGCAUCACCUCUGUAUAGUUCCAGCAUGGCUUAUGAACUCCUUUGCCACAAAACAAAGGCAUGUGUGCAUCUUGAGGUCUAGUAAGAUAUAUUUUAGUUGCACAAAACCUUUAGGCUCCCUUUGGAUCAUUAAAAGAGCUAAGGACAAUCAUGGUAGAAAUAUCAAAAUUCUCUUAUUUGGUUUACCAUGGAAAGUACAAAGCAAAAUCAAGUAUAAUCAAAUUUAACUAAAAUUUUACAUAUUUUUUAAUUCUUCAUUCUUUACAUAGAGGAAGAAAAAAACACGUGUUUGAAGAAACAUGUAUGAAAAUAUUAUUACGUUUAAUAUGUAUUUUAUUAUCUUUCUUCGUCUUUACUUUCAUUCUACUUUCUCCUUUUUUCCCCUCAAAUUUUCCAUGAUCCGAACAAAGUCCCACUGUUUUUUAUUUUAGAUCUUUCACAAAAAUUGCUUUGAAGGAGAAAGAAGGAUGUGUUUGAAAGUUUUUAAAACAAAAUGUAUAUUACACUUAAUAAACACGAAGCAAUUUCCUCUUUGACCUAUAAUCUUCCUCUUUUUUACCAUAUCAUUGUUGGUGCAUGGAUGAUGUGCUUAACAAAUAUCCUAGCACAACAAGAAUUGCAUGGUGAUGUUUAAGGUUGUAAAUGUAAUUGUAUUACAAUGUAGAAAAUUUUUUAAUUGUGAUGUUUUUUUAUUCGUACUUAUUUUGGCAUCUAGACUUAAUCUUAUGCAUGGCAUUUCCUCUGUGCUACAAAGUUUGCCUUUGGUCGGACAAAAAUGAUCAAUGAAUGUCAUGAUAAAGGUUUUCCUGAAGGCUUCCUGUUAAUCAAUUUGACCUUAACUUUCUCUAAGUUUGGGAAUGAUUGGGAAUAAUUGCAGAGUGGUUGUGGAGGGAUUUUACGUGGCAAAGAAUGGGAAAUAAGUUAAGAAUUAGAAUCAUGGAUGAUUUUCUCACCAUAGUGGGUUCAGGUUAGAGAAGGUUGGGGUCAUUAAAUGAGGUCUUAUUAGGAAAAUGGCUUUAUAGAUCUGCAGUGGGGACCCAUUGUGGAGGAAGAUGGUAAGAAGGAAGUAUUGGAGAAAAAUGAGGUGAAGUUUAUUUGGUGAGUUUGCAAAAAGGCAUUGGAAAUAAUUGUCAAAAAAUUUGAUAAACCUACAACACACACAUGAUUGGGGUGAAAAGAACAAGCUUAGAUUUUGGCUGGAUGUUUUGUAUAGUGAUAUGAUCCUAAAUUGAAUCCUAUCCAUACCCAAUGAAAUUGUUCAUGAGAUGUAGAGUGGAGCUAAAGGGAGCUCUUCUUUGUAGGAAGCAUAAGACAGUAGAGUGUCAAGGAAGGUAUAAAUUUUCAUGGGGAAGACCCAUUCAAAUAGAGUUAUUAUUACUGAUAAUUAGGUGAACAAAGGAAAUGCCCCUCCCAAAUUGCUUCUAUUGGAUUGUUAAAUAGGCAAAAAAAAAAACAGUAGAUCAAUUGGUGAUGCAUUUUUUGGUGACUACAGGUUAAUGGCAAUCUUGGGUGUUGUAGGUAAGGAGUUGUUAUCAGGUUGUCAUAGAAAAGUUGUGGCUUAGAGCAUGAGUACUAUGUAGAUGGUAGUGAUUUUAAGUUUUUAGUCUAGAAUGGAUGGAGAAAAAAGAAAUUUAAGAAAUUCUUGAGGGAAAGAGGCUCCUUUAACAUAUAAGAACAAAGGGGGUUCUGUCAUGAGUUUUCUUGAUGAUGUACAACUGUCCAAUGCAUUCUCUUCCUUUGACAGUUAUCUUUUCAUCUUUUUCCUUUUCUAUUUCCUUUUGGGAUCCACAUAUACACUUUGAAUCAUCUAUAUGCUUUAAACUCUUCUGUAUAGAGCAAUUAAGAACAUAUUGUGUUUAUUGAUUAGAUCCUUAUAAACAGUUGUUUUCAUUUAGUAAGAUGAGUCCAUUUAUAGUUCAUUGGCUUACAAUAAGAUUUUUUUCCAAAAUUUCAGGCAUUCAUGUUUGGACACAUUCUUUAGGAGGGAGGCUACAACAUGGUCUUGCUCCUUCUAGAAGCUCAAUAGAUCUUGUUGCAUUUUUGGAGUUCCAGUACUAAGGUAAGACAAAACUAUAGGUAUAUAUAUAUAUAUAUGUAUGUAUGUAUUGCUUUUGAAGCUUUAGCAUGUGGACUUGGUCAAUGCUAUAAGCUUGUUGAACACAAUUACAUCUAUUGGCUUCUAACUACUCCCUGUUAUUUCUUCUCUCCCACUCAAUGCCACAAAACUAGAAUCUGCAGGUUGACUUUGGUGCAUCUAUUAGUGUUGGUCUCCUCAGUUCCAAAGCCUCAUACUGGAUAGAAGAGCCUCAUUAACUCCCUAGUCAUUGGAAUACCUUAAAGGGGAGUUGUGGGUCUUAUCAAAUAGUUCAAAAAAUACUUGGCUAUGUGCUUCUUUUUCAUUUUGUCCAAGCCACUUUGCUUGCAGAUACUUCCACAAAGCUACUAUUGCAUUUAUAUUGAUGGGUCUGUUAUAAUUUACCAAUACUAAUAUUACAAAAUUUUCAUUAUAAUAGAAAAGACCAUUUAAUUAUAUAUUUAUUAAAAAUUCAACUCAAAUCCAAUAUAGCACCUAUGCUACAUAAGAAAUGUGUUAGAGUCUUUUUUUUUUUUAAUGACAACUUCAAAUAAUUAGGAAGAAAUGGUGCAACAAGAAUAAGAAUUUCAAGAAUAUUUGAAAAACAUUUAUUCUAAGUAGAAGAGCAACUUUUAUGUGAGUUAUUGCUCUCGGAAGAGAUUGGAAGCCUGGUCAACCUUGACAUCUCAAUCUUAUUAAUGCUCUCGAGUUAUAAAAUUGAAACAUUUGUUGUUGAAUCCUUAGGAAAAUAUUUGGAUAUGGAAAAGUCGUUGAUUUAAAGGAUGAUGGAAUGGAGUUCAUGAGAUAAUGGAGAUCCCAAAAACCAAAGAAAUGGAAUAGGCUAUCUUGAUCCUUAUUUGAAUCUUACAGUUGUUUUUUUACUAUUUUAUGGUGGAAUAAUAAAUUUCAAAGUCAAAUGAGGAAUUUUCAUUCUCAAUCGUAGAAAUCUACUUGAGGAUGGAUGGAGAAAGGAUUAUUUGAGUGAUAACUGAUAGAAUAAAUAUGGACCGACAUCAUAUUAACCAUUGUUCAGGAUUUAGCUAUCUGUUUAUAUACGAUUUCUAGUUGAUCUAGAGUAUGGGCCACCUAAUAUGUAGAGCUCAAUGCUAUCACGAGCCUUAGAUGAUGGGCCUAAGACUCGUGAGGCCCAAUAACCCAAUGGGUAUAGUUCCUAAGGCAGGAGGGUAUAAAAAUAGGGUGAGGCUUUUGUCUGUUCUAUUAUUUUAUCGCAUCUUUUGAAACAAACAUCUUUUGAACAAAAGGAACCUGUUCUCUCCCACUCCCAUUGUCAUAGAGAAUCCAGUUAGAGGUGGCACCCUCUACAACCUUUGAAGAUCCAUACUUUUUCAUCAAAAGCACAAAAUGGAUUCAAGUUGGUUCUCUAUCUAGUGAUUGUUGUUGAAUAUAUCCAGUAUCUGUGUGUUUGGUGUUAAUGGAGAAUAUUGAAGUUUAACAAUUUGGUAUCAGAGCCCAAGGUUCCGAUUCCAUUUUCACCAAAAACAAUCUUAAAAAAAAAAAAUAAAAAAAGAGUAUUUAAGGCGUUGUUACAAGCCUCCUUAUAGGCGUUCAGAUGUCGUUCAAGGGCCAUCCGACGCCGUUCAGACGCCGUUUAGAGGCGUCGUUUCAGGCGCCGUUCAGGUGCCAUUCAAGGCGCACCUCAGCCACCAUUCUGACAUUGUUUAGGCCCGAUUUAGAGGCGUUGCAGCGACGUCUUUCAGGCGAUGUUCUGAUGCCGUUUAGGCGCAAUUGGAGGCGCUACAGGCAUCCGUUCUAGGCACCAUUCAAGAGUCAUCUUAGUUUCAAGCUACGCUGGCGAUUCCAAUCCACAACGUCACUGUUCUGGUGCCAUUUCUAGCAAAAUGGUGGCAUCUUCCUUAUGAUGCCACUUGUAGGAACGCUGCAGACAUCGUCGUUUGGCGUCAUUUUCCCAUGAGAAGCUCAAUCUCCCUGCACUAUUGCAGGGUGCUGACGCUGUUCAUGGGGUUUUUCGGUUGGAAAUCAGAGAGGUUUAGAUGUCGUUUGGCGUCGUUUUCAGUUGAAGACGCCGUUUUGAGGAUAGCUCCGGCGCCAUUUUGGCGCCGUUGAUGAUAUUGCUGCCAACGUCCUUUGCUGUCAUUUGGCAGUGCCCUUUGGUUGAGUAAUGUAAAGAAAAUAUUAGAAUUUUGAUAGAAACCAACUUGAUGGUCAUGUGGAGUCUAUGGGUAUUUUAAUUGUGUGAUCAACCUACAAUCCUUUCAACUACAGAUCCUAAACCAUAAAGUCAGUAAAAAAAUGAUACAAAAUAUUUGAUAAAAUAUUGGCAUGGAAUAUUACAAAGAAAUAGGCUUUAAUUAUCAAUAGGCCACAUGCCCAUUCAUGGCCUAAGCCAGAAUGGCUACCUUAAUGACCAGUGGGCCAAACCCCCCAUGCAAGCAAUUUUUAAAGGAAUUUUCAUGGACAUAACCGAACCUUUUAAAGAUCACAUUAAAGAUAAUAUAUAUAUAUAUAUAUAUCACUUGCAUGCAAGAGAAUAGGAGAAAUAAACAAGUUCCAUUUAUUAAUCAUUUAGUUUAUAAAUUUCUUGGAAUCCUCUUUCUCCAGAAAUAGGAUGGAUUAACUUGUUUUGAGCUCUUUCUUGUAAAUAAAUAAAUUAAUAACUUGCUAAAUUUGUGUUUAAUAUUUUAAAAUAAAUGAAUUAGGUACGUUAAUUGCCAAAGUAACUUAUAUUAUAUAAUUUAUUUAUUUUAUAAUAUCUAAACAUGUUAUUAUUAUUAUUUUAAUAUAAUAAUAAAUAAAGUAGUCAUAAAUAUGUGACAUAUAAUGUUUAUCUUGCAUUCGAUAUGUUAGUCCAAAGACAUGCAUAUUGUUUUCGGUUUUAUUACUUCUCAAUUUUGUUUGUUUAGAAAUUAAUUUAGUUAUAAUGCCUAUUGACACUUGGUGGAUAGAUACAAGUACAACUACUCACAUAAGUGUCACUAUGCAGGUUUGCCUAAAGAGUCAAAUGCCAACUGAUGGUGAAAGAUACAUCUAUGUGGGAAAUGGCAACAAGGCUACAAUAAAGGCUAUUAGUCUUUUUAAAUUACAGUUAGACUCUGGAUGUACAUUGGAUUUGGAAGAGACUUUUGUGGUACCGUCGUUUAGACGAAAUUUAAUUUCUGUUUCAUGUCUAGACAAAUUUGGAUAUUAUUGUUCAUUUAGAAAUGAAAUGGUUAAUCUUUAUCUAAAUUUAAAUGUUAUUGAUACAAGUAGUCUAACAGACAAAUUAUACAAAUUGAACAUAAAGGCCACUAUGAAACCUUGCAUUCAAGUAAUUAUGGCAUUAAGCGAAAAUUAACGAAUGAGAAUUCAUCAAUGUUAUGGCACAAGCGUUUGGGUCAUAUUUCAAAUCAACAGAUUCAAAGGCUUGUGUCAGAAGAAAUUCUUGAUCCAUUUGAUUUCUCAGACUUUCAAGUCCGUAUAGAGUGCAUUAAGGGUAAACAAACAAAUAUGAGGAAAAAGGAUGCUAAUAGGUGCAACGACGUCUUGGAAUUGAUACAUACAAACAUUUGUGGUCCAUUUCCUACCCCUUCUUGGAAUGGACAACAAUAUUUUAUCAUUUUCAUUGACGAUUACUUGCGCUAUGGCUAUCUUUAUUUGAUUCAUGAGAAGUCUCAAUCAUUGGAUGUGUUCAAGAAUUUCAAAGCUGAAGUUGAGAAGUGUACCUUUCUUUUCACGCGAAGCAACGUAUUUGGUACAUGUGUUCUUCAUAUGACCAACCUUCUUGCAAAAGAAACAAGUUAUCUCCUUAUCUUGUUUAUUCUGCACAUUUUUCUUUGAUGUCCCAGAAACUGCAAUUUGUUUUCCUUUAUUGUCCUUCUUUCUUUUCUUGUUGGUACCAAAUCCCUGAUAUGUGGAAGCCAAGUGAGCACUUUCUAUCUUUUCUUGUUUCAAUCUCUCAUUCUCUUGUACACACUAAGCAAUAAGCUCAUUCAAAGUCCAUUUUUCCUUUUGUGUGUUGUAACUGAUUUUGAAUGGACUAAAUUGUGUAGGUAGAGAGAUCAAGACCAAGUGCAUGAGUAUGUCCUCCGAAAACUCUAACUUUAGUGCCUUGAGUCUCGUCACAAGAUUAGACAUUUCCAUAAUGUACUACCUUAUAUUCUCUUUCCCUUUGUAUCGCAUGGAGACAAGCGUACUAAGAAUAGUGCUUGUCUCAACCUCUUUGUUUGCAGCAAAUCGAUUUGCUAUCUGGUCCAAGAAUGCCUUGGUUCGGGUUUCCUCAGGUAUUGCACCUCUUAUAGCUUCUAGAAUUGAGUGCUUCAUUAUCAUAAGACUCAUGCGAUUGGAUCGCUCCUAUUUUUCCAUAGUAGACCUUUGCUCAACAGUGAUGGCACUAGUAAGGUUUGGAGGGCGAUCCUUUCUUUAUGCAUAGUCUAAAUCCAUGCACCCGAGCACAAUUAUAACGUGCUCCUUCCAUUUCUUGAAGUUUGUGCCAUUAAGCACAAGAAUGCUAUUGACAUUUGCAAAUAUAGAAGAUGUUGAAUUCAUAAUAAUAAAGCUCACAAUUAGUCACAUAAACAUCAUACAUACAUGAAUAAAUAAACAUCAUACAAGAUACCUAGCACAAACAUUAAUAUUCGGUGUUUGGACAAAAACAUCAACUUGUAAUUGACAUCCUUAUACAAAAUUAAUUCAUAAAUAUUUGAUGGAGUGUGGUAUCGUUCCUUAAUACACCAUGCUAGGGACUCCAAACGAAAAUGGUAUAGUAGAAAGGCGAAACCGUACUCUUAAGGAUAUGGUAAGAAGUAUGAUCAAUCAUUCCACAUUCCCAGAACCACUUUGGGGCAAAGUUGUCAAAACUGCAGUUUACAUUUUGAAUAGAGUCCCAAGCAAAGAAGUAGCCAAAACCCCAUAUGAGUUAUGGACUAGCAAGAAACUUAGUAUUAGUGUAGACCCUCAAUUUUGUCCCUUUAGCACAUGUCUUUAAAUUCAUUUUCAGUGUUCCACAGUAGUUCCUUAAUGGUCCAUUGCUACUCAUACUACUUACCUUUUUUGAGCCACCUCGAAGACUUUGGUUGAGGGAUUUAUCCAGUUCCACAUUAUGACCUUGGAUGCCCUUCAAGUUUAGAUUAGGCUCCAGUUAGGUACACUUUAGGUUGGACUUAGUUAGGCCCACCUAUUCUCACCCUAGGCCCGUAUAAGUAUACUUAGCCCAUUAGACAUCACCAUAAGCCUAUUUAGGACACUUAGUUCACUUAGGCCCACUUAGUCCAUUAAUGUAGACUUAGAUACCAUCCUAAACAUCCUAGACACCUCCCGACUUGUACACAUUCACCCGAGGUCACCUAAACACUUUUUCAGAAUAGGUCACUUAGACACUUCUUUUGGCAUAGUUCACUUAGGCAUGUUUUUUAUUUUAUUUUUCCGAGAUAAGAUGAAUAUUAGCUUGACUAUAUAUUGCAUGAAAUGAAAUUUUAUUUUUUUAUUUUUGAGGGUUUGAGUUUGACAUUUAAAUUAUUAUAAUCCGUUGCAUCAAUUUUAAAUUUUUUCUAUUUUUUCUUCCUAAUUGCAUAUGUCCAAUAUUUAUUUUUAUGCCCUUAUCAAUCUAUUUUUUUAUUUACUCAAUUAUUUAUUCAUUCUUUAAUUCCAUGAAUUGACAUCUUGGAUUCUAUAGCUAUGUGAUUUGAUUUUCUACUUGAUUUUAUUCUACUCCUAAAUAAGUGAUUUUUUUCUUUGAACUUUAUUUUAUUUUUUAUUUUUUAUUUUGCAUGAGAAUGGGAAAACUACCAAUUGGUCCUAGAGAGGAAUGAGGGCUGAUCAUGUUGUUCUUUGAGUGGAGAAGGCACAACACUUUGGGAGCAUUCAGCACGCACCCUUGAGGAAUCCCAGACAUGCGGCUUGCAUUCUUAAUCUAACCGCACCACAUAAGGACAACGAUUUGAAUGAAUUCAUGCACCAUUCACUCAUUCUAAAUAAGCAGUCUACCAUGUUGCCUAUAGGAAGGAAGUGGCCAUUUUGUGCACAACACGCAUAUAGUGGGCUGUAACAGAGAUUCUUUUUGUUUUUAGAAAGAAAAGUCAACAUGCUUUAUCACUUACCAAAUAAGACACGACUGCAUCCUUAGAGAAAUCUCCAAGUAAGCCACACAUGUAUAGACUUCCUAUAUUCACGCGCAUUUCUAGAAAGGAAACAAAGAAUUCCAUAGAAAGGAUGGGUUGCCAUAUAAAUAUUAAAAAAAAAUGACAAAAUGAAUGGGGAGGAACAAAUUUUUUAGGGAAGAGACACGCAUAGAGAAAAAUAGUCUUCGGCAAAGAAAUCCACACAGAGAAAAAUACUUUUGGGCAAGGAAGUUCACACGCAAAGGAGAAUUUUUUGAAAGGAGGACAUGCACAAGAAUUUUGGGAGGAGAACAGAAGAUUUCAGAUGAGAAACAGGUUGCCACUUUGAUACAUCUAGAGAGUCUUAUUUCCGAUACAACACGGGUUAGUUUUCGUUUCCGAUAGAGCAUAUUUUUUUAGUUUAGAUUUUAGUCCACUGGUUUAAUUAAUUCUUUGUGAUAAAUUCUUUUAAAUAUCAAUUCGUACAAAUCUUUUAUUUUUCUUAGAUUAGAUUUUUUUUUUUUGUGGUUAUAGUUCAUUAGUUCCAUGCUAGUUUAUCUUAAUUUAUAUGACAGUUUAAAUAAAGUUAGUGUUUUUUUUUUAAUUUCAAUUAGUUUGAUUUUAAUUUGUUUUUAGUUUAAAUACAUUUGUUGAUUUUAAUUCUUUAGUUUAAAUAAUCAUAUUGAAUAAAGUUUGUGUUUUUAAUUCCAAUUAGUUUGAUUUUAAUUUGUUUUUAGUUUAAAUACAUUUGUUGAUCUUAAUUCUUUAGUUUAAAUAAUCAUAUUGAAUAAAGUUUGUGUUUUUAAUUCCAAUUGGUUUAAUUUUAAUUUGUUUUUAGUUUAAAUACAUUUGUUGAUCUUAAUUCUUUAGUUUAAAUAAUCAUAUUGAAUAAAAUUUGUGUUCUUAAUUCCAAUUAGUUUGAUCUUAAUUUGUUUUUAGUUUAAAUAUAUUUGUUGAUCUUAGUUCUUUAGUUUAAAUAAUCAUAUUGAAUAAAGUUUAUAUUUUUAAUUUCAAUUAGUUUGAUUUUAAUUUGUUUAAAUACAUUUGUUGAUCUUAAUUCUUUAGUUUAAAUGGUCGUAUCAAAUAAAGUUUGUGUUUUUAAUUCCAAUAAUAUUAUUAAAUAGAAUUUAAUUUCAAUUUAGUUUGAUUUUAAUUUAUUUUAUAAUUUGAAUGCGUUCAUGAUUUUAAUUCAAUUGUUUAAUUAACCCUCUUAGACAAAUCCCAUAUUUUUAAUUUCGAUUUUAGUUUAAUUUUAUUUUUUUAAUUAAUUUAUUUGUUUAAAUAUAUUUGCAAUUUCAAUUUGAUAGUUUAGCCAAUCUUAUUAGAUGAUGUUAAUGUUUCUGAUUUAAUCUAAUGUCAAUUAUUUUUAGUAUUGGAUGUGUUUGUGCGUUUCUAAAUUCGUUAAUUUUGAUUUUAAUCCAUUUAUAUCCAAUUUAGUAGUUGAUCACAAUUUUAGUUAAUUAAUUUAGUCAAUCACAUGAUAUCAUAUUCACAUUUUAAGUAUGAAAAUUUCAUAUUUGAUUUGUCAAUAUUUAGUAUGAGUUUUUUUGGAUAAUCAAUCUAGUUCAUUGCAUGUUAUUGUUUUCAUAUUUUCAAGUUUGCUAAACUUUGGUUUUUUUUUUUUUAAUUUAUCAUAUUUUGUUAGAGUGCUAAUUUACUUUAAUUGAUUCCACAUUAUUGUCUCCAUAUGCUAAAUUUGUUGACUUUAAUCCUCGAUUGUUCUUUUCUAUCAUGUGUUUCUUGAAAUCUAGAUGUUAGUUUUGGAUAAUAUUUGUGUUAGUUUGUUUGAUUAGGAAAUCAUUAGUUUGACGCAUUAGUGAUUGUUGGUUAAAUAUUUUUUUUAGGACCAUUGGAAACCCAUGAAGGUUGGCCCUAUUCUCAUCAGUUUAAUUGACAUGAUUUUCAAAAUCUUUAUUUUGUGAUCUUCGUUCCCUUUUUUUUUAUUGAUAUUUUGUUUUCUAUGUUUUGUUAUUUUAAAAAAAAUUAAUUUCUUUUAUUUUAAAACAAAAAUACUUUUCUCAAAAGAUUCCUUUAAAAAUCUAUUUCAAAAACUCAUUUAGAGUCUUCAGGAUCAAAAUCUCUUCUUUUUUUUUAAAAUAAUGUGCAACCAUAUCUUGAUCGGUUUGCAUCUUUCUUGGUUUUAAUUUAAUGAAAAUUUUGGUUUCGAACAAAACACAAACCAAAGCUUCUGGCCUCAAAUAAAUGGGAUAAUUCUAGGCUAAAUUCAUGUAUAUUAAUUUGGGGAAUUGGUGAAACCCCUACAUAAGAAAAUCUUUUCAAUACUUAUUUUUGCUACCACUCUUUCCAUUUGUCUUAAUCAUAUCUAUCUAUUUUUUUAGGAAUUAUAUACAAGAUGCGUGUGAUACUUGAUUAUUUUGUACAUUUUGAAUCAUUUUUUCUAUGCUAAUUAGAUAUGCAUGUUAGGAUUUCUUGUUUUAUUAUUUAUUAAUUAACCCCUCAUGCCCUGAGGAAGCGAAUUACGAGUUAUCUAUGCUAUCUAGGUACGUCCCCUAUCACCUACUUUCUAAAUUCUGUAAAUAUGAUUGUCAUUGUGAACUAUGCAUAUGUUUGACAAUGCUUAGGUGCUUUGAUAUAUUUGUUUCAUUGUUCAAUCAUUUAUGAUAAAACGCAUGUUGGGUGAUAUAUUAUUUAAACUAACCAUUGAUGUUUUAUGAUAGUGCUCAAGAAGUGGUCUAGGUACGCACCCUAAAUCUUUUAUAUGAUUAUGAUUGGUUUUCUUGUUAGGCAUGUUAUUUUUUAAAUCACCUAGCCUUCUAUAGUUAACCGAUUAAUUGCCACAUUUCCCUCAACUUAGUCAGUAGAGACCUUUGUAGGGCUUAGAGGGGUACUACCUUUUAGAGGUAUAUUUGUUGCCAAUAAGUAACCUGAUCUCCGGACUUAGACUCGAGUUUUUCAAAGACAUGUUUUUUCCAAAGACAUGUUUUUUCCAAAAAAUUAUGGAGUCAUUUUUUAAGGUUUUAUUUCUUGCUUUAUUUUCCUUUUCAAAAAUAAAAUAAAAUAAGUGGUGACUCCGACUUUUCCAAAAAUUAUUUUUUCACAAAUAAAAGUGAGUCUUGCUAAUCGAGUGGGGGCACACGUGAAAAAUACGGGUCCACAAUUAGGCACUUGCAUGUCUGGGGUUGUCCAACUGAAGCUAGGCCUUACAAGCCAAAUGAAAAGAAAUUAGACUCCAGAUAGUGAGCUGCUACUUUGUAGGGUAUUCUGAAAUGUCAAGAGGUUUCAAAUUUUAUGACCCCUCAACUAGAUCUUUCUUUGAAAUGGGUAAUGCUAAGUUCAUUGAGGAUGUUGAGUUAAGUGGGAGAGAGCCAUUAAGAAAGGUGAUCUUUGAAGAGGAAUUUGUUAAUAUUCCUAUUAUUAUGACUGGACAUGGUCAUAUUAUGUUUGAUGACACUAUUCAAAAUGUACAUUCGAUAAUAGAGAUUCCUCCUGCUCAAGUUAUGGAACUGAUUCAAGUUCAUGAAGAGGUAACUCAACAACCUCAAGAACCUCAAGUACAAGUGCCACUGAGGAGAUCCACUAGAGAAAGGAGAAGUACAAUUUCAUAUGAUUAUGUUGUAUAUAUCCAAGAACAUGAGUUUGACAUGGGUCUGGAAGACGAUCCAAUUUAAAUUAGUCAAGUCAAACAAAGUUCUGACUUUGAAAAGUGGAUAAAAGCCAUGAAGGAUAAGAUGAAAUCAAUGAAGGACAAUGGUGUUUGGGACCUAGUAGAGUUGCCUGGAGGUGUAAAGCUGAUUGGUUGUAAAUGGAUUUUUAAGACCAAGCGGGAUUCAAAAGGCAACAUUGUUAGAUAUAAGGCACGCCUAGUCGCAAAAGGUUUCACUCAAAAGGAAGGCAUUGAUUAUAAGGAUACUUUUUCACCGGUUUCAUCAAAUGACUCCUUUAGAAUCAUCAUGGCACUUGUAACUCAUUAUGAUUUAGAGCUACAUCAAAUGGACGUUAAAACUAUGUUUCUUAAUGGCAAUACGGAUGAGACAAUAUACAUGGUGCAACCGGAGAACUUUGAGUCUAAUGAUUCAAAGCAACCUGUAUGCAGAUUAAAAAGGUCUAUAUAUGGUUUAAAGCAAGCAUCCCGACAAUGGUACCGAAAGUUUGAUCAGGUGAUUACUUCAUUUGGUUUUAAGGAGAACACCGUUGAUCAAUGCAUAUACCUCAAGUUCAGUGGGAGCAAAUUCAUUAUCUUGGUGUUAUAUGUUGAUGAUAUUCUUCUUGCAAGUAGUGAUGUGGGACUUUUGCAUGAAACCAAGCGAUUUCUAUCUAGUAAAUUUGACAUGAAGGAUCUUGGUGAUGCAUCUUUUGUAUUGGGUAUACAGAUCCAUAGGGAUCGUUCAAGAGGUAUUCUUGGGCUAUCACAAAAGGCUUACAUCGAUAAAGUGUUGAGUAGAUUUGGCAUGAGUAAUUGUGCAUUAGGAAACACGCCUGUGGCAAAAGGCGAUAAAUUUAGUUUGCACCAAUGUCCGAAAAAUGAACUUAAGAAGAAGGAUAUGGAGAGGUUUCCCUAUGCCUCGGUAGUAGGAAGUCUCAUGUAUGCACAAGUUUGUACGCAUCCGGAUAUUGUGUACAUUGUUGGAAUGUUAGGUAGAUAUUUGAGUAACCUAGGUAUGGAUCACAGGAAAAAGGCAAAACGGGUUAUGUAGUAUUUACAAAGAACUAAAGAUUACAUGCUCACAUAUUGUAGAUCCAGUCAUUUAGAGAUCGUGGGAUAUUCUGACUCCAAUUUCGCGGGAUGUCUUGAACGCAAGAGAUCCACUUCAGGCUACAUCUUCAUGUUGGCUGGAGGAGCAAUUUCAUGGAAAAGUGUUAAACAAACACUUAUUGCUUCUUCCACCAUGGAGGUAGAAUUCAUAGCUUGCUACGAAGCAUCAAACCAUGGGAUAUGGCUACGAAAUUUUGUCACUCAAUUGCGAAUCGUUGAUGGGAUUGAGAAGCCAUUGCGAAUCAAUUGUGAUAAUAAGGUCGCAGAAUUGUAUACUAAGAACAACCGAAGUUCAUCAAAGUCUAAACACAUUGACAUCAAGUUCUUGGUUGUGAAAGAAAGAGUUCAGAGUCUUCAAGUAUCGAUUGAACACAUAAGCACAAACUCCAUGAUUGCGGAUCGACUCACUAAGGGUUUGCCACCCAAAGUAUAUCAUGAGCACAUCACACAUAUAGGUGUUGUACACAUUGAUGAUGUGCUAGUAUAGUUGGAGUUUGUAUUUAGAUUUUGUGUUUAUUUUCUUGAUGUGAUAUUAUGUUGUGUUAUCUGUACAGACCUUGAUUUUAAAGAUUAUUGUAUUUAUAUUCUCUGAAUUGAAAUGAUGACUUUCAGAAGCAGUUUAGCAUCAAGUGUUGAAAGUGGUAUUUGACUAUUUUUAGUUGUAAAGUAGGAUCAAUUGGAAAUAGACAUAGUAAAGAUCACAUUCUAUGUAAUUUCCAUGCUACACAUCCAUACUUGAUCCAUGUUGCUAAUUUUGUUAAUGUUGUGAUCAUUGAUUGGUUUAGUUAUGAUUAUGAUUAACGAAGGCCGCUUUAAUCCUAUGCUAACAUAAUUAGUAGACCGGAAUGUUUAAGGAUAUUUGAAUAGGAUAGCAAAGAUGAGCUCAAUAAGGUACUAUCAUGAAUAUUGUUUUGUAAUAUAUGUGGUCUAAGUGGGAGAUUGAUAGAAUAAAUGUGGACCGACAUCAUAUUAACCAUUGUUCAGGAUUUAGCUAUCUGUUUAUAUAUGAUUUCUAAUUGAUCUAGAGUAUGGGCCACCUAAUGUGUAGACCCCAAUGCCAUCACGGGCCUUAGAUGAUGGCCCUAAGACUCGUGAGGUGUAAUAGCCCAAUGGGUAUGGUCCCUAAGGUAGGAGGGUAUAAAAAUAGGGUGAGGCUUUUGUCUGUUCUAUUAUUUUAUCGCAUCUUUUGGAACAAACAUCUUUUGAAACAAAAUGAACCUGUUCUCUCCCACUCCCAUUGUUAGAGAGAAUUCAGUUAGAGGUGGUGCCCUCCACAGCCUUAGAAGAUCCAUACCUCUUCAUCAAAAACACAAAAUGGAUUCAGGUUGGUUCCCUAUCCGGUGAUUGUUGUUGAAUAUAUCAUGUAUCUAUGUGUUUGGUUUUAAUGGAGAAUAUUGAAGUCUAACAAUAACAAGUUGAGAUUGAAGGAGUUGCUGAAAAGAAGUGGAAGCACUAACCCCUUCAAUCAUGUCCUCACAUUAUGUGACAUCUUGUAAGCAUAUUCACAACUCAUAUUCACUUUUCAUACUAGUUUGUUGUGGAAACGGUUUUUGAUAAGUGUACACAAUUUUAAAAAAUUAUUUGUAAACUAUAGUAGUGAAGAAAAUAUUUUUGAAUCUUUAAUAGUUUUUGCUGAAUAGGAAAAAGAGUUUAUCAUAUAAUUUGAUUCGGCUCUUAUAAAGACGAUUUCUAAAAAUUCAUAUAUUUAGGCAAAAAUCAUCUUUUGAAGAGCUCAUCCUUAAAUGUUCUUUAAAAAAAUCAAAGCAGAAAUCAUUUCUUCAAGAAAAGAUUUUUUUUUUUUUUAAAGAAAUUAUAUGCAAAAUUUAUCUCUUGAAGAGAUGAUUUCAAAAAAUUAAUUUUAAAGAAAAAAAUAUUUUUAUGCUACAUGUUUUUGUAUUAUUAUGUGUUGUAAAAUUAAUUAAUUUUAUUUAUUAAAUUCAAUACAUAAAAAUAAUUAUAAUUAUUUUUGAUAUAUUACUCAUAAUUAUAAUAUUUAUAAAAAUAUAAAUUAUAUUUAUCAUCUUAUAUUCAUUAAAAUAAUAUUUUGACCAUUAUCUUGAAUUUUAUCAUUCAAUUAAUUAAAUUAAUUAUUAUUAAAUUAAAUAUAAAUUAAUUUAAUUUUAUACUCAUAAUUUUAUCCUUUUGUUCUUUCUACUAUAAAUACCGGUUUAGGUUUAUUCAAUUCUCUUGACCUCGGUCUCCAUUAUCAUUCUUCAUCUCAUUCAAUUUUGGUUGGAUCUCUACGAAACCAUCUGACCCAACUUCUUCUUCUUCAUUUAUUUAUUUAUUUAUUUAUUUAUUUUUUAUCAUCCCUAAUAUCUCGGUCUCAAUCUACGAGACCAUCUGACCGAACUUCUUGCUAUCCUCAGUCACUAUAGUGUUUAUGACUUGUUCUAUUAUACUCCUCAAGCUGUUGUUGUAGAGGGGCCAGCUGCCUUCUCUUCUGCUUUGACACAGCAAUUUGAUUAGGCCCAAAUGCCAUAACCACCCCUUGACUGUUACCAAGGAGUGAAAUACAUGUCAUCCUAAAUUCCAUACAUUUUCUAAAAUGGACCUAUAUUCAGCAGCUGUAUUGGAAUACAUGUUAUCAGCAUGCUUUCAUCAUUUUCAUUUCUUAUAUUCUCAAAAAAUCAUAAAAGAAUUUUCAUGUCCCCCUUACCAAACAGACCCUCGAAUUAAUUUAGCACUUGACAUCAUUUCUCAAAUAUUUGCGUGAAAACGAUGAGAACGAUAUCAAGAAUGUCAAGAAUAUUGAUAAGAACUAUGAGAAAUCUACUUAUAAGACUCAAAGCAUCAAAUAUGCAUAGAAACCAUGUACAAAAAUCCCAUCAACAUAAAAUCACAGGUCUUUGUUGAUUUGCAGAGUAUAUAUAUUCAAUAUGAAAAACAAAUACACAAAUUUAUGUGAUUGACACAGUCUUUUCCCUUGAGACUUACUUUACCUAAAAUCUAACAGCUUCUGGGUCCUAGAGAUGUUCCAACAGCUUCUGGCCAUACUGCCGGCUCUGGUUUGAUAGGAUCAUUAUUCUUGAUUAUUGUCCUUAGGCAUCACAUUCAAAAUUCAACUAUAGCAGAUGUCUCUUCUAGUUUGGCCUUUUCAAACUUGGGUGCUUUGGAACUAUUCCCCGUAAUGAGAAUUCAAGCUUAUAAAAUCUUUUAAGACCAGCACUUCUAUCAUAAAUCUUGGUUGUCUCGACACUUGUACUACGAAUAGACCCACCAAAUUGAUUUUUUAAUUUCUCCCCUUGUAAAUUAUAGUCAACAAGAUUCUCAUUCAACUUAGUUUGGGCUAAAAACAAUUGCAGACUAUCAAGAAUAUUGUAAUGUCGUAAUAUGUAGACCGAUAUUAAUAUCCAGGUUUAAGGCUUUGGUGGAUAAAUGAAGGGUAUGGACACAUGUCCUUAGAUGAGAGUUGCAAAAUACUUUUUCGGUUGUUAAUGUUAUAGGUUUCAAAAUGAAACUUAUCAAGAAAUUAAGGUAUAUGAUGUUGUAUUUGUUGAUGGGUGUUAAUAUAAUUGUUCAUGUUUGAGUAUAACCAUGGAAUUCUUUCAAUUUUUUAAUAUCAAGUUAGAGGGGAGCAAGAAGGAAGGAGUUGAGUUAUGGUGUUACAAUUAAGGGAUUUGGGAUUUGUGUUUUUGUAGUAUAGGAUUUUGUGAUAUUGAAAAGUUCUUUAAUAUUAUAAAAAUUGAGAACUAAAAUUGUGUGAAAUAAUUAUUGUUUUGUUCUAUGAUUUUUAUAGCAAAAAGUUUCUAAGGUUAUAAAGGUCGUUCAUAGAGGAAAAAGAUAACUUACAAAAGUUAAACCAAAACUAAAAAAUGUUAAAUUGAAAAUAAGGGAAGAAAAGUUAGCACAUGGUUUUGUGGGGUUGAUGUCAUGCCCCAAGACCCAUUUCAAAAGUGUCACGGUUAUUUCACACCUAAAGCCUAAAGACUCAAAGUGUAAAUGACUCAAACAAUUGUAAUUUAAUGUUAUCGAUUACCAAAUUUUUGUUCAGAAUAGUAAAACAUCCUAUAAUCCUUAUAACUCAACUUUUUAAAAAAAAAUUAAAAAAAUUAACUAACAUACCAACCACUAUGCUGUCAUCCAAACAACUUAAAAAAUUCUUAAAAAGGUCAAACAAUAAUUAAUUUUAUCUAACGUAACAUUUAAAUAAUGUUCAAAAUAAAAGUUUAAACCACAAAUCCUAAUAAAAACAAAUUCCUAUUCUAACUAAACACAUACAUUAAAGGAAUAUUUGAAUUGAAUUUUACCACAAACUUAUCAAAAUUUCAAAUUAUUAUUCAUGACAAAAACUAGGGUAGCUUCAAUAUAAAAAAACCACAAAUCAUAGGUUUAUUGAUGAGUCUCAACUAUCAAAAUAUAAAAAGGUUUUUUUUCUUAAAUUUAAUAGCAUGCAUUCUUUUUAUUUUCACUAAAAUUAGAACCUAAAAAGUUCACAAAAUAUCAUAUAAAAGUGUACUUCUACUUACUCAACUCUAUUUUUCAAACUAUCGACCAAUAGUUUAGAAGUCAAGUUGUUUAUAUGGUGAAAAGUCCAUCUUUACUGUUUAUUUUGUACUGAUGGUUUAAUUUUUCUUCGAUAACUAUCAUUGAUUGAUUGUGAUUUUCUUAUAUUCAAACUCAUUAAAUCAAAGGAAAACUCUAAAGUAUUAUAGUGGUACCUAUCAAAUAAAAGAUUUACAUCAUUCAAUAUGAAUGAGGAGAUCUAAAUCGUUGAACAAUAGUAUAAAUGAAUAAAAUUUAGGUACAAAGAUAUAAAUAAAUUAGACUAAAAUAUAAAUAAUAAAACAAAAAAAAUAUUUUAUAUUACUUUAUCGAUGAUGUCUUUUCAACAAGUAUAAAAAUAGUACAAAUCAGUACACCAAAACCCCAAUUCAAAUGUGGCCACUUUUUUUUAGGAUGGAAGAACAAUGUUUUCUUCACCCCCGUGACCCUCAUGUCAAAUUCUCUUUCAUACAUUCAACAACCCCAACCAUUCACUUAAUUAGAAAUCCUCCAACACAAUUUUCUUCCAUUGACUUGGCUCCUUGACCUGUUCUUCCAUUGACUUGACUCCUUGACCUAGAAAGUUGACCGCAACAAAUCUUAUACACCAAUUUUAUGAAUAAAAUGUAAGUUUAAUCCUGUCAUUAUGUCAUCACGCUUGUAAGCUAAAUGGUUCACCCAUAUUUGUCCCAUAGAUUAUAUUUGUGUUUAUUGUACUUAUGUUAGAAGAUUCAACUUAAUCUUCAUCGUGUUUGAAAGUCAUUUUUUUUUUUUUUUAAAGAUUAGAAGCUUUUUUUUUUCCUUUUAAUAUUUCAAAGUUUUUUAUUUGAAAGUUGGAUUUUAGAUAAAAAUUUUAAGAAUUGUUCUUAAUUACCAUUUGAUAAUAAUCGACGAAUCUUAUGCAUCAGCGGAAAAAGUUCAUACCUAACACAUGAGGGAGGAAGAGGUCUCGUCUGAAGGAGGCUGAUGGAAACUGGUAAUCAAAGCAGUCAACACAGUUGUCAUUUUGUGAGGUUUUACUUCAAUGAGUAGCCCAUGAAAAUUUCCAACUCAGGGGGCCCUCACCAUUGAACGCUCCAGAAUCCCUGGGAACCAUAUUCAAAAUUUCUACGACCAUUAGUUAGCACAACAUAAACCAUUUCUUCUGGUUCUGUUGUACGAUUUGGGACUGAUUUCUGCGAAGUAACUGACCAUGGCUUUUGUUGGAGAGGCCUUUCUAUCUGCUUCCAUUCAGAAGCUGGUCGACAUGUUGGCCUGCCCCGACCUCCGGAAGUUCGCCCGCGAAGAACAAGUCCACGCCGAGCUCAAGAAGUGGGAGGGAAUACUGCUGAAAAUCCAUGCAGUGCUUCAUGAUGCUGAGGAGAAGCAGAUGACCAAUCGGUUCGUGCAGAUAUGGUUAGCCGAGCUCAGAGACUUGGCCUAUGAUGUUGAGGACAUCUUGGACGACUUCGCCACCGAAGCUUUACGGCGCAAGCUGAUCACAGAUGAUCCUCAGCCAAGUACUAGUACGGUGCGCAGCAUCAUCUCCUCCUUGUCUUCUCGUUUCAAUCCAAAUGCUUUAGUGUAUAAUCUCAAUAUGGGGUCUAAGUUAGAGGAGAUUACUGCAAGAUUACAUGAGAUUUCCACCCAAAAGGGUGACCUGGAUUUGAGAGAGAAUGUUGAAGAGAGAUCCAACAGGAAGAGAAAAAGAGUCCCUGAAACAACUUCUCUGGUGGUUGAGUCUCGUGUUUAUGGCAGGGAAACUGAUAAAGAGGCGAUACUUGAAGUGCUGCUGAGGGAUGAAUCGAUUCAUGAUAAUGAAGUCUGCGUGAUUCCUAUAGUCGGCAUGGGAGGUGUCGGCAAAACUACCCUUGCCCAGCUUGCCUACCACGACGACAGAGUGAAGAAUCAUUUUGAUCUGAGGGCUUGGGUUUGUGUUUCUGAUGAUUUUGAUGUUUUGAGGAUAACAAAAACGCUUCUACAGUCAAUUGCUUCUUACGCCCGUGAGAUCAAUGAUCUAAACUUGCUUCAAGUCAAGCUGAAAGAGAAAUUGUCUGGAAAGAAGUUUCUGCUUGUUCUAGAUGAUGUCUGGAACGAGAACUAUGACAAAUGGGAUAGGUUGUGCACCCCUUUACGAGCAGGGGGACCCGGCAGUAAGGUUAUCAUCACUACUCGCAACAUGGGUGUCGCCUCACUUACCAGAACGGUUUCGCCUUACCCCCUGCAGGAGCUGUCAAAUGAUGAUUGUCGAGCUGUGUUCGCGCAGCAUGCAUUGGGAGCAAGGAACUUUGAAGCUCAUCCGCACGUGAAAAUAAUUGGAGAGGAAAUGGUGAACAGAUGCAGGGGCUUGCCUUUGGUCGCAAAGGCCCUGGGAGGCAUCUUGCGAAAUGAACUAAACCAUGAGGCAUGGGACGAUAUAUUGAAGAGUAAGAUAUGGGAUCUACCAGAAGAGAAAAGUGGUGUUCUUCCAGCUCUCAAAUUGAGCUAUCAUCACCUCCCAUCUCAUCUGAAGCAGUGCUUUGCUUACUGCGCUAUUUUUCCCAAGGGAUAUGAAUUCAAAAAGGAUGAAUUAAUCCUUUUAUGGAUGGGAGAAGGAUUUCUGCAAACAAAAGGGAAGAAGCGAAUGGAGGACUUAGGUUCCAAAUACUUCUCAGAGUUGUUAUCAAGGUCAUUCUUUCAACAAUCAAGUGACGUAAUGCCGCGAUUCAUGAUGCAUGAUCUCAUCCAUGAUCUGGCUCAAUCCAUUGCCGGAAAUGUAUCUUUCAAUUUGGAGGAUAAGUUGGAGAAUAAUGAGAAUAUUUUUCAAAAGGCUCGCCAUUUGUCAUUCAUUCGUCAGGCCAAUGAGAUCUUCAAAAAAUUUGAAGUUGUCGAUAAAGGGAAGUAUCUUCGAACUUUUCUAGCUUUACCCAUUAGUGUAUCAUUUAUGAAAAGUUUGUCAUUCAUAACUACGAAGGUGACACAUGACCUCUUAAUGGAAAUGAAAUGCUUACGGGUACUAUCUUUAAGUGGCUAUAAGAUGAGUGAGCUGCCGAGUUCAAUUGAUAAUUUGAGUCAUCUACGAUAUCUCAAUCUAUGUCGCUCUUCAAUUAAAAGGUUACCUAAUUCAGUAGGUCAUCUGUAUAAUUUACAAACCUUAAUAUUACGAGAUUGUUGGAGUCUCACUGAGAUGCCUGUGGGGAUGGGAAAUUUAAUCAACCUUCGACAUCUUGAUAUUGCAGGGACAAGUCAAUUAGAAGAGAUGCCCCCACGAAUGGGCUGCCUGACAAAUUUGCAAACAUUGUCUAAGUUUAUUGUGGGAAAAGGUAACGGGUCGAGCAUACAAGAAUUGAAGCACUUGUUGGAUCUUCAAGGAGAACUUUCCAUUCAAGGAUUGCAUAAUGUGAGAAAUACUCGAGAUGCAGUGGAUGCUUGUUUAAAGAAUAAGUGCCACAUUGAAGAACUAACAAUGGGAUGGAGUGGUGAUUUUGAUGAUUCACGAAAUGAAUUGAAUGAAAUGCUUGUGCUCGAGUUGCUACAACCUCAAAGAAAUCUGAAAAAGCUCACAGUUGAGUUCUAUGGAGGACCGAAAUUCCCAAGCUGGAUAGGGAAUCCUUCAUUCUCAAAAAUGGAGUCCCUGACCCUUAAAAAUUGUGGAAAAUGCACAUCGCUACCAUGUCUUGGACGACUAUCUCUACUCAAAGCCUUGCGCAUUCAAGGAAUGUGUAAAGUUAAAACCAUAGGUGAUGAAUUUUUUGGGGAGGUCUCUCUUUUCAAGCCUUUUCCAUGCUUGGAGUCUCUAAGGUUUGAGGAUAUGCCAGAAUGGGAAGACUGGUGUUUUUCUGAUAUGGUUGAGGAAUGUGAAGGAUUAUUUUCUUGCCUUCGAGAGCUUAGAAUAAGGGAAUGUCCCAAACUGACUGGAAGCUUGCCCAAUUGCCUACCUUCUCUGGCAGAGCUCGAAAUUUUUGAAUGCCCAAAGUUGAAGGCUGCACUUCCAAGACUUGCAUAUGUUUGUAGCUUAAACGUUGUAGAAUGUAAUGAGGUUGUGUUGAGAAACGGGGUUGAUCUGAGCUCCCUCACUACACUAAACAUUCAGAGAAUUUCACGAUUAACUUGUCUAAGGGAAGGAUUUACCCAGUUGUUAGCAGCCCUUCAAAAACUGGUGAUAAGAGGAUGUGGGGAGAUGACAUCUUUGUGGGAGAACAGAUUCGGAUUAGAAUGCCUUCGGGGUCUUGAAAGUAUAGAUAUCUGGCAGUGCCAUGGACUUGAAUCCUUGGAGGAGCAAAGGCUGCCGUGCAAUCUCAAACAUUUGAAAAUAGAAAACUGUGCUAACCUGCAGAGGCUGCCUAAUGGUCUGCAAAGUCUCACAUGUCUUGAAGAGUUGUCAUUACAGAGUUGCCCCAAACUGGAGUCAUUUCCAGAGAUGGGCUUGCCACCGAUGCUGAGAAGUCUCGUGCUGCAGAAAUGCAACACUCUGAAGUUACUACCUCAUAAUUACAACUCAGGUUUCCUUGAAUAUUUGGAAAUUGAACACUGCCCAUGCCUCAUUAGCUUUCCAGAAGGUGAGCUGCCUGCCUCACUUAAGCAACUGAAGAUCAAGGAUUGUGCAAAUCUACAGACUUUGCCAGAGGGAAUGAUGCACCACAAUUCUAUGGUUAGCAACAACUCUUGUUGUCUUGAAGUCUUGGAGAUCAGAAAAUGUUCAUCCCUUCCAUCCCUUCCAACAGGCGAGCUACCCUCCACCCUUAAGCGGCUUGAGAUAUGGGACUGCAGGCAAUUUCAACCAAUUUCAGAGAAGAUGCUGCACAGCAAUACUGCACUUGAACAUUUGUCCAUUUCCAAUUAUCCAAACAUGAAAAUCCUUCCAGGAUUCCUCCACAGUCUCACGUAUCUCUAUAUGUAUGGUUGUCAAGGUCUUGUGUCCUUUCCAGAAAGAGGCUUGCCCACUCCCAAUCUCAGAGACCUUUAUAUUAACAACUGUGAGAACCUGAAGUCCCUUCCUCAUCAAAUGCAGAACCUUUUAUCUCUUCAAGAACUGAAUAUUAGGAAUUGUCAGGGCUUGGAGUCAUUUCCAGAAUGCGGUUUGGCCCCCAACCUUACCUCGCUCUCAAUCAGAGAUUGUGUGAAUCUGAAGGUGCCAUUAUCUGAAUGGGGCCUCCACAGGCUCACUUCUCUUUCAUCACUGUACAUUUCCGGUGUAUGUCCAAGUCUGGCAUCUCUUUCAGAUGAUGACUGUCUUCUUCCUUCAACUCUGAGCAAACUUUUUAUCAGUAAGCUGGAUUCCCUGGCCUGUCUGGCUCUCAAAAACCUCUCUUCCCUUGAAAGGAUAUCCAUCUACAGAUGCCCUAAGCUCCGGUCAAUUGGGCUGCCUGAAACGCUAUCAAGACUUGAAAUAAGGGAUUGCUAACAACAUCCCAAGAUGAAUUCUGCGCCCUGUAUAAAAAAAGGAAAAAAACUCACUCAGGUAUGCCUAUUUGCAACUCAAUCCCAGUUUCAUAUUGUCCUGUUAAUCUGAUUUUCCAUGUGUUUAUUGAAGGCUUGGAUGGGCGGUGGCUUUUGACAGCAUCACCGGCUUAUGGCUAAAACUGAGUGUAAAAUCUCUUGCCCUGCUUAAGCUGUUUUGUUCUUAUUUGUUUCAGAUCAAGGAAGCCGUUCAAUGACUCAUUUGUCGUUUGCAUUGUGUUUUUCCCUCCUUCAACAAGGUAUGCCUACUGCCUAUUCACAGUGUGCAUCUCCCAUUUUCAUUGGCAAAAUUCUGAGUUCAUUUCGAAAUAAAGAGUGGAAAUUUCUCUCUACAUACAGGAAGGAAAGAAAUAAAGAAGAAAAGAAACAUAUGAAAUCCAAAAUUUCCGAACAUUAAGCAGCAAAUUCACAUGGUGAUGGUAUGUUUUUUACCUCAAUCUUAGAUGAUUAUCUAUUUUGUUUUUCCUUCUGACAAUUCCUGAUAUGGGUUCCCCAAUUUUGUAAGUGGAUGGUUCCUUUUUGGAAUUUCUUAUUUCAGGUAGGAAGAAAAGAAUGAUGAAGGUGGUCAGUGCUUAUCAGGACUUGUUUUUCUGGUUUCUGCUAUUGUACACAAGCAUGAAUAUGUAUGCUAUUCUCAGUUACAUAUCAUAUACUUCUAUUGAUUUAUUUAUUUUCCAACUUCAAGUAAAGGUUGGUGUAGCGUAGUGUUUAUGACUUGUUCUAUUAUACUCCUCAAGCUGUUGUUGCAGAGGGGCCAGUUGCCUUCUCUUCUGCUUUCACACAGCAAUUUGAUUAGGCCCAAAUGCCAUAACCACCCCUUAAUUAACACUUACUCCAAGGCUUAACGAUUUGAAGGCUCAUGAUGGGACUUGACUAUCCCACAACACACCUAUCCUAAGGCUCUUUUUACCUAUAGUAUGUCUUAACAAUCACAACGGAGACUGACCAUCCCAUAACACACCUGUCUUGAGGACUUUGGGCUUGCCUUACACACCUAUCCCGGGAUCAUUGUUUUAGCUAUCAUUUUCUCAAUGAGUCAUAGACUCGUAAUAUCACAUACCUAACAACUCUUCCCUUAACAUUCCAUUUCUAUACCUUAACCCCAUGACCUAGUUCCAAUACCACUUUUUGUAUGUUUGGAAAAACCUUUGAUAUCACUUGUUGUGUUGGAAAAAGCUCUAACAUUGAUUUAAUUAACUAUUUUUAUAUCCAUGGAUGAGAGAAAAUAAUUUCAUUGUACCAUAAAAAUAUUAUAAAUGACAAAAAAAAUCUCAUAUUUCUCUACUCCUUAUAUAUAUCUACACAUUGAAUCAUGAGCUAUUAUUCUACUUGGGGUUUUUCACUAGAUCUUUCUCAUAUUUCUAUCUAUCAUACAUUGUUUUCAUAAACUCAUUUUCAUCGUGUAAAUUUUUUGCUUUAAAAUAUAGAAAAUUUGUAAAGAUAUUUUAAUAACUUUUCUUGUAUAAAAAAAUUUAAUAUUAUAAUAUCAUAUCAACAUAGCAAAUAUUGUAUGUAAAAUUCAAUACAAUAUAUAUAUAUAUAUAUAUAUAUAUAUAUAUAUAUAUAUAUAUAUAUUAAUUAAGAAUUUGAGAUAGAUGACAACUAAUAAGGAAUAUAUACUAACUAGUCGAAUCCCAUUAAAUUUCAUGUAAUUCUUUGUGUGAUUUUAUUAAAGCCAAGAAAAAUGGAACAUGUAAGAAAAUUGUAAAAGAAAUUUUGGUUAAAGGUGGAAUAAAUUAUUCUCUAAUAAGAAUGUAAUAUAUAAAACAUAUACUUCAUUAUCUGUAAUAAAUAUGGUCUUUCCUACGUAUUUAUUGGAUCUUGAAAGGUGGAAAUUAUGAAGUGGUCGAAUAGUCUAGUGCAUGAGGGGACCAUGGCUUAUGAGGGGACCAUGGUACACAAGAGGACCAUGACAUGCGGAGAAGUUGUGGUAUGAAGUGAAAAUAUGGUUAAGAAAAGUAACCAAGCGGAGUAUAAUUACGGGUUGCCUUGAUUAUGGUAUAGUAAAGCAAUCGAGUGCAUCAAUAGAAAUAUGUGCAAACAAUCUGUGUGAUAAAAUAUGUGUUACGCAGAGAUAAAAGAUUAACUCGAUGAAAUUUAAUUCAAGCUAGAAAGUGUCUCAAAUUAUCAUUUUGCAUAUUCAUUUGGUAAAAGAAAUAUGGUUUUAUUAUUUGGCAUUUUCUAAAAAAACUUAGGAUAUAUUUUUUAAAAUUAAUUAAUUUAUUAAAACCAAUCAAAUAAGUAAAAAGCUGUCAUUUUCCCUAUCUUCUUCUUCUUAUGGUCUUCUCUAAUGGCAUUAGUUCACAUUUCACCUCACGAAUAUGAAUUCAGAAGAGCAGCCCAUGUGCGGCAUUUUCAACAUACCAACCCUGUCGACCAACCGAGAAUAAGUCCAAGGACAUCCACUAAAGGUCUCACAUUUUGUAUUUUUGUGACUGGAACAGUCACUUUCCAUCGUUCAGACCGUCUGGACCGUCACUUCCACGGAAUUCAUUGCCGUAUUUCCAAAUACUUUUCUUCUGAAGAGUUGCAGACUUCCCCUAAUCAUUUUUUAGCUACAACUUUUCUCAUGAAGAAUAUCUAAUAUCUUAAAGAUCUGUUGCAGAGAGUUCCCUUAAUUAAUCCCUACUCCUUAUGCGUAUACCUUGAAUUAUGAGUUAUUAUUCUACUUAGUGUCUCUCGCUCUUUUUCGUAUUUCUAUCUAUCAUAUAUAGUUUUUAUAAACUCAUCUUCAUCAUAUAAAUUUUUUGCCUUAAUAUCUAGAAAAUUUGUAAAGACAUUUCCAAUAGCAUUCCUUAUUGUAUAAAGAAAUCUAAUAUUACAAUAUCAUAUCAACAUUACAAAUAUUCUAUAUAUAUUAACUAGUCGAAUCACAUUAAACUUCAUGUACUUCUUUGUGUGAACUUACUAAAGCUAAGAAGAAUGGAACAUAUAAAGCAUAUAUUUCAUUAUCUAUAAUAAAUGAGGGGACCAUAGUACAAAAGAGCACCAUGGCUCGUGAGGAGACCAUGACAUGUGAAGAAGUUUUGGCAUGAAGUGAAAAUAUGGAUCAGAAAAGUUUCCAAGUGAAGAUAGCUUGUUGCCUUGAUUACGGUAUAUUAAAACAAUCCAGGGCACUAAUAAAAAUAUGUGCAAAAAAUUCAUUUGUGUGAUGAAAUACAUGUUAUGAAGAGAUAAAAAAUUAACUCAAGGAAAUUUAAUCCAAGGUAGAAAGUGUCUCAAAUAUUAUGAGAUGAGGAUAAACAUAAAAGUUGCAGAGACUUCCAUGGAAUUCAAUGCCGUAUUCCCAAAUACUUUUCUUCUCAAGAGUUGCAGAGACUUCCCCUGAUCCUUUUUUAGCUACAAACUUUACUUCUGAAGAAUAUCUAAUAUUCUUAAAGAUCUGUUGCAGAGAGUUCCCUUAAUCAAUCCCUUGUUACCUACAAGAAAAGAAAAAAAAACAUGGCUGGUUUUGUUGGAGAAGCCGUUUUGUCUGGGUUCAUUCAGAAGUUGGUCGACAUGGUCGCCUCGCCGGAGCUGUGGAAGUACGCACGUGAAGAGCAAGUGGAUUCUGAACUGAACGAGUGGAAGAAAAUAUUGAUGAAGAUCUACGCAGUGCUCCAUGACGCGGAGGACAAGCAGAUGACAAACCCCCUGGUGAAGAUGUGGCUACACGACCUCAGAGACUUGGCUUAUGAUGUAGAGGACAUCUUGGAUGAAUUCGCCACCCAAGCUUUGCGACGCAACUUGAUCGUGGCUCAACCCCAACCGCCCACUGGUACUGUUCAGAGCAUUUUCUCUUCUUUGUCUACUAGUCUCACUUUGAGUGCUGCUUGGUCCAAUUUAAGUAUGGGUUCCAAGAUAGAGGAGAUCACUGCCAGAUUGCAAGAUAUUUCAGCCCAAAAAAAGCACCUGGAUUUAAGAGAUGUUUCUGCUGGUUGGUCUGGUAGAAAGAGACUACGGAGACUGCCAUCCACUUCUUUGGUGAUAGAAUCUCGUAUUUACGGCAGGGAAACAGAAAAAGCAGCCAUACUUGCCAUGCUGCUCAAGGAUGAUCCAAGUGAUGAUGAAGUCUGCGUGAUCCCUAUCGUCGGCAUGGGAGGUAUAGGCAAAACUACUCUUGCUCAACUUGCGUUUAAUGACGAUAAAGUGAAGGAUCAUUUUAAUUUGCGAGCUUGGGUCUGUGUUUCCGAUGAUUUUGAUGUUUUGAGGGUGACCAAAACUAUUCUGCAAUCNNNNNNNNNNNNNNNNNNNNNNNNNNNNNNNNNNNNNNNNNNNNNNNNNNNNNNNNNNNNNNNNNNNNNNNNNNNNNNNNNNNNNNNNNNNNNNNNNNNNNNNNNNNNNNNNNNNNNNNNNNNNNNNNNNNNNNNNNNNNNNNNNNNNNNNNNNNNNNNNNNNNNNNNNNNNNNNNNNNNNNNNNNNNNNNNNNNNNNNNNNNNNNNNNNNNNNNNNNNNNNNNNNNNNNNNNNNNNNNNNNNNNNNNNNNNNNNNNNNNNNNNNNNNNNNNNNNNNNNNNNNNNNNNNNNNNNNNNNNNNNNNNNNNNNNNNNNNNNNNNNNNNNNNNNNNNNNNNNNNNNNNNNNNNNNNNNNNNNNNNNNNNNNNNNNNNNNNNNNNNNNNNNNNNNNNNNNNNNNNNNNNNNNNNNNNNNNNNNNNNNNNNNNNNNNNNNNNNNNNNNNNNNNNNNNNNNNNNNNNNNNNAUGAAUGAGAGGCUUGUUUUAGAGUGGCUACAACCUCAUAGAAAUCUGGAAAAGCUCACCAUUGCAUUCUAUGGUGGACCAAACUUUCCAAGUUGGAUAAAGAAUCCCUCAUUCCCUUUAAUGACACACUUGGUUCUCAAGAAUUGCAAGAUAUGCACAUCGUUACCGGCUCUCGGCCAAUUAUCCUUACUCAAAAACUUGCAUAUCGAAGGGAUGAGUGAAGUUAGAACCAUAGAUGAGGACUUUUAUGGAGGGAUUGUCAAGUCUUUUCCAUCCUUGGAGUUUCUGAAGUUUGAAAAUAUGCCAACAUGGAAAGAUUGGUUUUUUCCAGAUGCAGAUGAACAAGUGGGACCAUUUCCAUUCCUUCGAGAACUUACAAUAAGGAGAUGCUCAAAGCUAGGUAUACAGUUGCCUGAUUGCCUACCUUCUCUGGUUAAACUUGAUAUCUUUGGGUGUCCAAAUUUGAAAGUUCCCUUUUCAGGAUUUGCAUCUCUUGGUGAAUUAAGUUUAGAAGAAUGUGAAGGGGUGGUGUUCAGAAGUGGGGUUGAUAGUUGUCUUGAGACAUUAGCUAUUGGACGGUGUCACUGGCUUGUAACGUUGGAGGAGCAAAUGCUACCUUGCAAACUUAAAAUUUUGAAAAUACAAGACUGUGCUAACCUGGAGGAGCUGCCAAACGGAUUGCAAAGUCUCAUAUCUCUCCAAGAGUUGAAAUUAGAGAGGUGCCCCAAACUGAUUUCAUUUCCAGAGGCCGCUUUGUCACCCUUGCUCAGAUCUCUGGUGCUGCAGAACUGCCCAUCUCUCAUAUGCUUUCCAAAUGGUGAGCUGCCCACCACGCUCAAGCAUAUGAGGGUUGAAGAUUGUGAAAAUUUGGAGUCUCUACCAGAGGGAAUGAUGCACCACAAGUCCUCUUCCACUGUAAGCAAAAACACUUGUUGCCUUGAAAAAUUGUGGAUAAAGAAUUGUUCCUCUCUCAAGUUCUUUCCAACAGGAGAGUUACCCUCCACCCUUGAGCUCCUUUGUAUUUGGGGAUGCGCAAACUUGGAGUCAAUAUCAGAGAAAAUGUCACCCAAUGGCACAGCUCUUGAAUAUUUAGACAUAAGGGGCUAUCCAAAUCUGAAAAUCCUACCAGAAUGCCUUACAAGCCUCAAGGAGCUCCACAUAGAAGAUUGUGGAGGUCUGGAGUGUUUUCCAAAAAGAGGGUUGUCAACCCCCAACCUCAUGCACCUUCGUAUUUGGAGAUGUGUGAAUCUCAGGUCCCUUCCACAGCAAAUGAAAAACCUCACAUCUGUUCACACUCUCAGCAUACGGGGUUUUCCAGGAGUGGAAUCCUUUCUAGAAGGGGGUUUGCCCCCCAAUCUAACAUCACUUUACGUUGGAUUGUGUCAGAAUCUGAAAACACCCAUAUCUGAAUGGGGACUCCUUACCCUCACCUCUCUUUCUGAAUUGUCCAUUUGUGGAGUGUUUCCCAAUAUGGCUUCUUUUUCGGAUGAAGAGAGUCUGCUUCCUCCAUCUCUGACCUAUCUUUUCAUCAGUGAACUGGAAUCUUUAACCACCCUGGCUCUCCAAAAUCUGGUGUCUCUUACUGAACUAGGUAUUGAUUGUUGCUGCAAGCUCAGUUCCUUGGAGUUGCCUGCAACACUUGGAAGACUUGAAAUCACUGGUUGUCCUAUUAUAAAAGAAAGCUGCUUAAAGGAGAAGGGAGGAUACUGGCCCAACUUCUCCCACAUCCCCUGCAUUCAAAUAGAUGGCUCAUACAUCCAUUGAAAGAUAGUAGACUCAGAUUGAAAUACAUUUUUCUCUUGUCAAGAAGGAUAGAUCCAUUCAUCUUUAUGCUUACUUUAGUCAAUCAGGUACAACCCACUUCUGCUUUUCUAGGCUUUUUUUACUUUCCAAUAUUUAAACCAAUUGUCUUGGAUUUAGUCCAAAUUUUUUACACAAAUAAAAGUUCUGUAGAGAAGAUGAAAGUAAGUAAACCUAUAAUUCAGAUGAUGAAACCUAUGAUAGCAUUUAAGUUUAGUAUUACUUUUCGAAAUGGUUCUUACUCUGUAAAUAUUUACUUUGUCAUUUUAUUUUGUCCUUGAAACUAUUUCAAGAGAUCCAAUCAUUCUGAAAUUUUAUGUAAUUAUUUCUCUUCAUAAUACUGGUGAAGUUGUAACCAAUUUCUGUUCUUGCCUUGUAGAUUCAGAGGGAUAAUGCUUGGUAGAGAUGUGGCAGGAAGCACAGGGUGAAGAUGACAGAAGAUCUUUGACAGAAGUUACUCACUGGGGUGGGUUCUUCUCUCACUUAUUGUCUCUUCAACUGUGUCCUUUUUAUUUUUAUAAUUGUUGGUAGACUUGUAUAGUGAUUUGAAAAAUGCUUUGCAAUGAUCAUUUAUAAAUAUUUACAUUGUCAUGUCACUAAGUCUUUGAUGGUAUUUCAAGAAAUUGUUCAUUGUUGCUCACUUCAAAUUUCUAUCCAAACAUCACUCAUUCAACCACAGAGUGUCAUUAUGAACUGAAGCUAUGUAUAAACUAUCUUGAACGAGCUCAUUUUGAUUGAUAAUGUUAGUGUAGUUCUUGCUAAUUCUUUUCCUGCUAAUGUGACUGCCAAUUUUCAUUCUAAAUUCAUGGGGUUCUGGCUUGACAAGGAUGUUGCAGAGGUAAACAGGUAUGUCUCCCUUAGAGUUCUGGUUUCCCUAGUGUAGAGAUGAAAGCAAACUAAUAGGUAUGUCUCCCUGUUCAGAAUAUGUGGCUUCCCAUUUCAUUGGCCCCAUAUUGGUUUGGCCUUCAGAAAAUAAAUGAAAUUUCUUCUCAACAUGUAGGAUGAAAAAAAUAUGGUGAAUUUCUAUGACUGGUGCAAUUGAUUUUUAAUUUCUCACAAGAUUUUUCAUUGAUGUUUCAUUUAGAGGUGGAUAUCGACUGUAGUUAUGGCUUGGCAUUCUCUCUUUGCUUUUCAUGCUGCUGUUAAUCCUCUGUUUCACACAAACAGAGUCAUUUUUCUAGAUGAAGUAACGUUGGCAUUCUGUUGUUUUUGCAGUGUGAUUAACCCUAAUUUUACACAUAUACAGUCCCAUCCACAGAUCCAUGAAUUGUACUACAGGUUUAUUUGUGCAAGGUUAUACUGCUUUUGUUUUGAGUUCAAGCCAGUCUUAAGAAGAUUGGAGAGGGCAUUAAACAAACCUUCUGGCUGACUCUGGAUGUAUACUAUAGUAUCUUAAGAAAGGUGCCUACAUAUUUAUUGACCACCUAAUCUCUGGUCCUUGGGCUGCCUGCAAUACUUAGAAGGCUUAGCACAGGUUGUCCUAUUCUAAAAGAAAUGUGCUUAUAAGAGAACUACAUUGCCCACAUCCCCUUUAUUGAUAUAGAUAUUAGAUAUAUCCAUUUACUGUCCCAGCCAUAUCCUCUCUUGCUUCCAAUCAGGCACGGGCUUUCAUAUCAUAAAUAUUAGCAAUUUUCUUCAAACUCUACUUUCCCUACUCAAAAUAACAAAAGCAGAGACCACUCUUACUUAUUUUAAACUGGGUAUGUCUGCCCAUUCAUUUAAAUUGGGUAUGUUUUGCCAUGAUGUAGGUUUUGACAAAGGAAAGGGCUGCCUGCAACACUCCCAAUGCUUGAAUCAAGAAAUUUCAUAUUCUAAAAACUGAUGGUAAGAGGACGUGGGGAGAUUGCAUCUUUUGUAGGAGAGCAGGUUUGGAUUAGAAUGCCUCAGUGGUCUUGAAAGUCUGGAGAUCUGGUAGUGGAAUGGACUUGUACCCUUUGGACUUUAAAGCAGCAGGGCUGCUUGGCAAUCUUAAAUAUUUGCAAUUGGAAGACUGGGCUAACCAGAAGAAGCAGAAGACUGCAGUUUAGCCUCCAACCUUACAUCACUUUAUAUGGGAGAUCAUGUGAAUCUGAAGCUGCCAUUAUCUGAGUAGGGCCUCCACAGGCUCACUUCUCUUUCAUCAUUUGUACAUUUCUGGUGUAUGUCCAGCUCUGGCUUCUCUAUCAGAUGAUGACUAUCUUUUUCCCACAACUGAGCAAUUUUUUUAUUCGUAAACUGGAUUCCAUCGCAUCUGUGGCUUUCAAAAACCUGCGUUCUCUUGAAACUAUAUCCAUCUAUAGGUGUCCUAAGCUCUGGUCCAAAGGGUUGACUGAAAAACUUUCGAGGCAUGACCUCAAUACUACAUGAUUAUCUGCUUUCUUCAAGACCAUUUUGAGUAAGCAUGAUAAGUUAGUGCUUCAUUUUUUCUUUUAAUUUCUUCUUUCAGGUAAGAAGAGAAGAAUGAUGAAGUAAUUCAAUGCCAACAUUGAAGUAUCAAGCAUGAAUAUGUUACUUUUCAGUUAUAUAUUGAUUUUUAUUUUAUUUUUUCUUAUCUCAAGUAAAUUUUCUUUCUGCACCAAAUCCUAAGGCAAUACAAUCUUGAGCUUACUUUUUAAGAUUGAUAUUUGACUUGCUCUUUGAACCAUAAUUUGCCAAAGAGUGUUGUGAUAACGUUAAAUCUUGAGUCAUCUUAGGUGUAACAGAAUCCGUAGGCCAAACACAAUCGAAUUAAUCCUUGAGCCAUUAUUUUUUGAAGGGGGUGUUUGGUACGUCAAAAUAAGGAAUGGAAAUAAAUAUUUUGUUUCUAUUCCUAUUUCUUAGUGGAUAAAAAUGAAUUUGAUGAUUCUAUUUCUAGCAUUUGGACGAAUUUAGGAAUGCAAGAUUGGAAUGAUUAUUUGUUUCAAUUCCAAUGUUUGAUAAUAAUAGGAAUGGAAAUGAAAAAGAAAUAAAUUUACAAUAAUAUCAUUACAUAUAAUUUAAAAUAUUUUUUAUUUUAUUUUUAAAAAAUAAAUUUUGAGAGUUUUUUUGUUGUUAAAUAAUAAGACUAAAAAAAUAUAUAUAUACUAAAUAAAUAAAAAACUAACCAUAAAAAAUUAUAUAACCCUAAUGUACAAAUAUUCAAUUAUUAUUUUUAUUAAAAAUUUGAAUAAUUUGAUAUGCUUAAGUAGUUAUAAAAUUAUAUUUUACCAAAAAAAAAAGAAAAAUAUAUAUUUAUUAUAAUAUUUAAAUGAACAUCCAAAACCCUAAAAAUUAGAAAUUGAAAUUUCUUUUCUAAAUGUUGUGAAAGAUUUGAUUGAUUCAGUUUGGGAAAAUCACUUAUUGCAGAGAAGUGGAUGAUGAAUGAGUCUCUAGCUUUGUAAAGAAGAUAAGCAUUGAACUUAAAAAAAUGAGAUAAGAGGGCAAAAUAGUAAAUUUAGGUUAUUUUAUAUUAUCAAAUGAGUUCAAUGAAUCAGAAUACCACUUACUUUUGAUAAAUUCAAAUCCGACUUAUAAGUUGGAUUUGAUUUCUGCAUAAAUAAUUUUUUAUUUCAUUUCUAUCUUCUUAACAUUUAUCCAAACAUAAGAAUAAAGAAGAAAAUGAAUGAGAUGUCUAUUCUCACUUUCUAUUCCCAUGUACCAAACACUACCGAAUAGUAGAAAAAUAAUUGUGCAUACUUCUCAGGGUCAAUAGUUCUAGCUUGGGUCAUUAUAUCUUAAGGAGUGACAAUGUUGCAAAUUUGACACAAUCACAAAGCUAAUACCAAGCUUUGAGCAUAUGAAAUUUCCUAGGGCAAUUCCAAGUCAACACAAUCUUGGGUUUACUCCUUGAGCCAUUAUUUCCAAAAUGUGCUAUAGUUACAAAUCUACAUAAUAAUAGGGCUCACCCCCCAAAUCUCAAGCCAAAAAAUCCCUAGCCAACAUCUUGAACCAUCAUUUCUUGAGGCUCAUCUAAUUCAUUUUCUCUUUUUUUGACUUGUUCUUCAACUUGUUUGGAAAAGAAAUGAAAGAUUCUUAGCCAUUGUGAUUUGAUCAUAUUGUCAUAUUAUGAAAGUGGGGUGAUCAAAUGACCACAUUGGUAAUGAUCAAUAAAGCCAUGGGAAUGGUUACGAUUAACAUUUACAUUGUUGUUUGUCAUGAUCUCAAUUGUCCCACUUUGAUUAUGAAGUUUUGUCUUAUUGUGAAAGAGGUUUUCAAAUUGACUACAUACUCCUAUACCAUUUGUUAUGCUCAAACUCAUAGCCAUUUUAUCUAACAAUCAAUUAAUUGCUUAAGAGAUCAAGGUAAACCUAUUUAUGUGAUUCAAGGAAUAUUAGAUCAGUCAUAAGCUAAUACAAUCUUAGGGUUAACUACAAAAUGUUGAGUAUAUAAAAUCUUGAGAUCAUUACUUCUUAAAACAAAACCAAAUCUUAAGUCAACACAAUUUUAGGCUAAUUACUUUCAAAUUCAAUAUUAAACCUGAAGCAUAUCAAAUCCCUAUAACCAAGAUACUUCUUCGAUCAUAAAAAAUUCCAAGGACUAUCCUUGAUUCAUCAUUUCCAAGGAACAAUAUGAUUUCAAACCUUACAAGUAAAUAAUCAUGGAUGACAUAUCUUUCUUUUCUUUUUUUUUUUCAUUAUCUAGCAUCAUUAUCUAGCAAUGAACAUGAAUUAAUAACUUGUUACAUGAGUUGUGUUGAUUAGGGAUCCCUUGUUUGCAUAACCGUGAAUGAAAGUAUAACCUAGGAGAUAAAAAUCAUGAAGCUAAAAAAUUUGUGCACCCUAAAGGAGAAGUACCAAAGUUUUGGGUUGGAAUUUCUUUGACCCUUAUUUUUAUGCUAGUAAAUUACAAAAUAAUCAAUCAAAUGAGUGGUGUGAUUUUUUUUCCUAAAUAACGAGUUAUUUAGGUUUUCUAUGUAUAAAUUAUUACAUGUUGUCUUCUAUUAGAUACUAAAUUUUCUAUAUUAUAAACUAAAAUUAGUAAUGGUAAUAAAAAACUAAAAAUUCUUUAUAUACAUCGGGUUAGAGUUCUCUCAUGUUUUUAAAUAUACAAGUCUAUGGGCCCUCAACUUUUGCUAUUUUUAUUUCAUACCAUAGCACCACAAAAAAAGUCUACAAAUUCAUAUGUAGACAAAACAAAGUUAAAGUAAAAGUGGACCAAUCUUAUCUCCUUUUCCCCAAACCAUCCACAAUUGUCAUUUGAUCACUAGGCCAAUACAAAAUAUUUGAUUGACCUUUUUUUCACACACAUUAUAUUAUGAGUAUGUUUGAAAUGUUGAAUUAUUGCAUUUCAAUUAUUUGUCCAAAAUCAAAAUCAAAAUUUUAUUAUCAUAAAACUAAUUUUAUUAAAAAAUUUAAUUAUUUUUUACACAGUAUUUUAAUUCAUCUUUAUUUGUGUUUCUAUUAUGAUUCUUAUUCUUCAAUAUUACUAUUUCAAAAAUAAGGUAAAAAUCUUCCUUUAAUAAAAGAUGUAUUUCAAAUAUGUCACAUCAUUAAAAAAUUUGUAGUUAAGAUGAUAGUACUACAAAUGGGUUGUUAUUGAUUUAUAUUAAAGUACUAGAGCUAUUGCAUAAUUCUAUAAAAUUUCAAAUGAACCAUGAAAAUAUUGGGAAGGGGGGUGGGGUGUGGGUUACAACAUUUACUUUAUGUUAAAGGAAAUUGCCUAGAAUGUAGCUAUGCUUCAAAUAUUAUUUAUAUAAAUAUAAUUACAUAAUUAUUAUUAUUUUAUAUAUUUAUUAAAAUCCCUUCAAAAUUGUAUAAAAAAGUUGUUGAACAUUUGUGUUAUAUUCCCUUUAUCUUCCUAUUGGUGGUGUAUAUUAAUUCAUCUUUCACCUCAAUCAACAAUUAAUACUUGAUAUUGACAUGACAGAUAAACCCUUAAUCAAUAAGAUGGGUUGAGGUGUUUUUAAAUCCUUAAUCAAUUUCAAAACGAUUGUGUAUAUAUGUGUGAAUAGAAAUUGGAGACUUACGAUCCAACUAUAAAAAUUCUAUUUAUAUUCACUCUACCCAUCACAAAGUCAAUGUCAUAAUUCAUAGCUAUUAAUAACAAUCAAUAGUAAAAAACUAAAUCAACGGAAAUCCAAAAUUGCUAAAAGAUUAUGAGCCAGAUUUAUAGAUCCGUUUAAGAAAAUCUAACAAAUAGUACUAAUGGGUUAUUAUUUAUUUAUAUUAAAGAACUAGAAUUAUUGCAUAAUUCUAUAAAACUUCAAAUUAUUAGAGCAUAAAAUAAUUUUCUAAACACUUAGGAAGAAAAAUAUGUAUAUAAAUAACAUGAUUAGCAUAAUUAGGUGAAGUUGAUUUUUGUGCACAUAUCUUACAAAGAAGGAACCCUAAAAAUAAAUGGGUGUACAUCAUUUACUUUAUGUUAUAGGAAAUUGCCUAGAAUGUAGCACUUCUUCAAAUAUUAUUUGUAUAAAUAAAAAUAUAUAAUUAUUAUAAUUUUAUAUAUUUAUUAAAAUCUCUUCAAAAUUGUAUAGAAAAGUUGUUGACAUUUGCGUCCCUUCCCCUUUUCUUCCUAUGACUUUUCAGUGGUGCACUCAAUGAGCAAUUAAUGCUUGAUAUUAACAUGUUAGGUAUAGAAACCGUGUGGACCUCCCAUUGAUUGAACCUUGGAAUCCAACUUGUUUCUUUUUUUUUUCUUUGAUGAAAAUAUUUCCAAGUUUCACAGCGAGGCUGAUAAUUGAACUCCAAAGUUUAUCUGUGAUAUAGAUGAUGUAACAUCAUAGAUAUACAAUUUUAUAUAUUAUAAAAAUUAAAAUUAAUUAUAUGAAGUGGAAAUUAUAUGUAAAUAAUUAAAAACCUUAAACUAUUUUAUAUGAUGAGAAAAAUGGGUUUUUAUUUACUAAUUUAAAUAAGUGAACGUAAAACUAAUUUAUAGAAGUUCGGGUUUUUUAUCUAUAUUUUUUUAAAAAAAUUAAUGAAUUAAAACCCAAUUUUUCCUUUUAUUAUUGCAUUAAAAAAAAAAGUCUACAAAUUCAAACAUAGGCUAAAGCAAAAGUGGACUAAACUUAUCUCUUUUUUCCCAAACCAUGAUUGUCAUUUGUUCUCAAAGCCAAUAUAAAAUAUUUGAUAGGUCCUUUUUCCACACAUUAUAAUAUGAAAAUGUUUGAAAUGUUGAAUUAUUGCAUUUCAAUUAUUUGUUAAAAAUAAAAGUUCAAAGCAAAAUUUUAUCCUUGUGAAAAUCAAAUAUAACUAAUUAAAAUUUUAAUUUUUUUUUACAUAGUAUUAAAAUUCCAUUUGAAAAAAAAAAAGGGAAACUUUUUCCCACUCUGAUUUGAUUGUAAAGUGUUGUCUUAUUAUGACAAUGAGGUGAUUAAAUUGAACACAUUAGUAAUUGCCAAUAAAGUCAUAGGAAUGGUUAGGAUUAACAUUUAGGUUGUUGUCCGUCAUGAUCUCAAUUGUCCCACUUUGAUUAUAAAGCAUUGCCUUAUUGUAAAAGAUCUAUUCAAAUUGAUUGCAUACUCUUAGACCAUUUGUUAUAGCAACCAAUUAAUUAUUCAAGAGAUCAAUGUAAAACCAAUUAUGUGAUUAGAGGAACAUCAAAUUAGUCAUAAGCUAAUACAAUCUUCAGUCCAACACCAAAAUGCAGAGUGAAUAAAAUCGUAAGAUUACUUCUUACAAAUAACAUGAUUAGCUUAAUUAGGUUGAGUUGAUUUUUGUGCCCAUAGCUUCUUACAAAGAAGGAACUAUAAAAAUAAUGGGGGUACAUCAUUUACUUUAUGGUAUAAGAAAUUGCCUAGAAUGUACCACUUCUCCAAAUUUUCUUUUUUUACAAAAAAAAAAAAAAAAAAAAGUUGUCAACAUUUGUGUGCCCUUCCCCUUAUCUUCCAUGACUUUUCAGUGAUGCCUAUUAAUUCUAUCUUUCACCUCAAUGAGCAGUGCUUGAUAUUAACAUGGUAGGUAUAGAAACCGUGUGGACCUCCCAUUGAUUGAACCAUUGAACCAUUGAUAUUGACAUGAUUCAAAUAUCAAAAUAGUUUCCCAACAUGAUGAUAACUGAUUACUCAUCUUCAAAUGUUUUUGGGAAACAUUCAAGUGCUCAAAAUCGGAUUCGAAUUGAGAGAAGGAGGCUCCAUCUGAGGAGUUUGUGGUUUAAGAAAAUGAAAAAAAUUACUAACUGUUGAUAUUUUUUUUACAAAAAACAAAAAAAAAAAAAAUUACAAAUGGGAAGAGUUGUCGGUCCGUUCAAUACCCGUUCAAAGCCAAGAAUGGUCUAAAAUGGGAAUCAAAUCAAAUACAUGAUUGGUCGGUGGUUCAACUUGUUUUUUUGAGUAUUUUCAAAUAUUUCUUAAGAAUAAUUUUUAUUUAUAAUAAGUUAUUUUUAAUAUUUUUCAUACUAUUUUAAUCAUUAGUCACAUUUAUAUUAUUAUUUUUUUAAAUAAUCUCACCAAACAUUUAAUAAUAUUUUUAAAUUAUUUAAAUAUAUUAUAUGAAAAAAAAAUACUAUUUUCAAAAUUAAUUCUAAAAAUAAUAAUUUGUAUAAAAGAUAUUCAAACCAUGUUUUCCCAUCUUUAAAAUAGUUUUUUAUUUUUAAUAACAAAAAAACUAAUUUUAAAAAACAAUUCACCAACACAGUCUUAGGUUUUUUUUCAUCACUUGAAAUAAAAUAAUAAAUAAGAAGCUGUCAAUAUUUGUGUCUUGGUCUCCUUCCUUCUAUCAUUUCAUGGAUGCAUGACAGUUCAUCUUUUAGUGAUAGACAAUGUGGACCUCCCAAGUCCCAAUGAAUCCGAUAAAGCAAUGGAAUUCAAUGCCAUAAUUGUAUCCACCACCUUUCAACCUUUUUUUUUUUUCAUAAGAAUAUAUACACCACUCGACUGUUAUUAUUCAAUGGUUAUUAUUAAUGUUAAGUGGAAUUAUUUGUUAUUAUGAUAAUACAUUUUAUUCAUGAUUAUAAAAUUUUUAUAUUUAUAUUUAUUUUAUUAAAUAAUUUAAAUAUAAUAAAAAAUAGGAAAUAGAAUCAAUUUUCAUUAAUUUUAACUUUUAAUUUCAAUAUUUGCAACAUGCUCACCUUCAAUUUAUUCAAAAAUUUCCAAGGGAAAUUUCCUUGUUUUUAGAGAAGCUCCCUUCCGACAAUGGUGUGGCACCUCACCAUUAUCAAGCACAAAAGUCACCAUGGUGACAAAACCUAUGUUGUAGUCAUUACCCAUUGUUAGUCUACUUCCGGAGCUUCAAUUGGGCAGGUAGGAAGCUGCAUGGAAAUUUCUCAUUGAUGUAUUAUCCUUGAAGAAAAAAGGCUAGCUACUCCACUAAACAAAAAGAAUUUUAAAAUGUUAAACUAGAUUAGUAUUAAUAUAUAGCCUUUAAACCAUAUGGUUAUUUUUUGAACAAAUAUAAUUUGAAUUUAGUGAAAGUAUUUUAUAUAAAAAUAUUUUUAGAAAAAUCAUAUAUUUGUGUUUGUUUAAGAAGAAUUAUAAGUGAUUUUUUAAUUUUUUAAAAAUAUUUUUAAAGUUAUUAAAUAAUUAAUUUUUCUUCAAAAAUAUUUUAAAUUUUAAAAGUGCUUUCUUAAAGCAGUGUAAAACUGAAUCUUAUAAUAUUAAGAUAAAAAAAAAAAAGAGAAAAAUGGAGAAAUUGUAGGAGAAACUAAAUUAAAUUAAUUAUAUACAGAGUAAUAAUUGUGGAAUGUGGGUAUGAAUGGAGAAAGGAUUUGAAUGGAUUUGAAUGUGCUGCACAUUCCACGAUACACCCUUGUGGACCCUCACCACUACCACCAUUCACUUCCAUGGAAUCCAAUGAACCUAACCAAAGUAACAAUUCACAAGUAUUUUCUUCCUCAAGUUCAACGGUAUCUGUUCUUCAGAGUUGCAGAGAGUCCCCUUCAUCCCUUGUUACCUACAAACUUUUCUUCAGAGUUGCAGAGUUUCCCCUUCAUCCCUUGUUACCUACAAACACAAACAUGGCUGGUAUUGUCGGAGAAGCUGUUUUGUCUUGUUUCAUCCAGAAGUUGGUUGACAUGGUCACCUCCCCGGAGCUGUGGAAGUAUGCACGUAAAGAGCAAGUUGAUUCUGAGCUGAAAAGGUGCAAGAAUAUAUUGACAAAGAUCUGUUUAGUGCUCAAUGACGCAGAGGAGAAGCAGAUGACAAACCCUCUGGUCAAAAUAUGGCUGGACGAGCUUAGAGACUUGGCUUACGAUGUGGAGGACAUCUUGGACGACUUCGCCAUCGAAGCUUUGCGAAGCAGCUUGAUCAUGGCUCAACCCCAACAAGGCAUUAGUAAGUUACGAGACAUGCUCUCUUCUCUCAUUCCGAGUGCUUCUACGUCUAAUUCUAGUAUGCGUUCCAAGAUUAAGGAGAUCACUGAAAGAUUACAAGAGAUUUCAGCCCAAAAGAAUGACCUGGAUUUACGAGAGAUUGCUGGAGGGUGGUGGUCUGAUAGAAAGAGAAAGCGAGAGCAAACCACUUCUCUGGUGGUUGAAUCCGAUGUUUAUGGUAGGGAAAAAAAUAAAGCGGAUAUAGUUGACAUGUUACUCAAGCACGAUCCAAGUAGUGAUGAUGAAGUCUCCGUAAUUCCAAUUGUCGGUAUGGGAGGUAUCGGCAAAACUACUCUGGCUCAGCUUGCCUUCAAUGAUGAUGAAGUGAAGGGCCGUUUUGAUUUGAGAGCAUGGGUCUGUGUUUCUGAUGACUUUGAUGUUUUGAGAAUAACCAAGACCAUUCUACAAUCCGUUGAUCCGGAUAGUCGUGAUGUCAAUGAUCUCAAUUUGCUUCAGGUCAAAUUGAAGGAGAAAUUUUCUGAGAAGAAGUUUCUUCUUGUGCUAGACGAUGUUUGGAAUGAGAAUUGUCAUGAAUGGGAUACUUUGUGCAUGCCAAUGAGAGCUGGGGCAGCCGGUAGUAAACUCAUCGUGACAACCCGUAAUGAAGGUGUCGCAGCAGUUACCAGAACUUGUCCAGCUUAUCCCCUACGGGAGUUAUCAAACAACGAUUGUUUGUCUUUAUUCACUCAGCAAGCAUUGAGGACAAGAAACUUUGAUGCCCAUCCACACUUGAAAGAGCUCGGUGAGGAAAUAGUGAGAAGGUGCAAAGGCUUGCCUUUGGCUGCGAAGGCACUCGGUGGCAUGUUGCGCAACCAACUAAGUCGCGAUGCAUGGGCAAAUAUAUUAACAAGCAGGAUAUGGGAUUUACCGGAAGAUAAAAGCCACAUUCUUCCCGCUCUCAUGUUAAGCUACCAUCAUCUCCCUUCUCAUUUGAAGCGGUGUUUUGCAUAUUGCUCCAUGUUUCCAAAGGACUAUGAAUUCAACAAGGAUGACUUAGUCCUCUUAUGGAUGGCAGAAGGCUUUUUGCAGAAAACGGAGGCAGCUAGGCCAGAAGACUUAGGUUCUAAAUACUUCAAUGAUUUGUUCUCCAGGUCAUUUUUUCAACAUUCAAGUCGAAAUUCAUCCCGAUAUGUGAUGCAUGAUCUCAUCAAUGAUCUAGCUCAGUCAGUUGCAGGAGAAAUAUACUUUCAUUUGGAUAGUGCACGGGAGAAUAACAAACAAUCCACCGUUUUUGAGAAGACUCGUCAUUCAUCAUUCAAUCGUCAAAAGUUUGAGACACAGAGAAAAUUUGAACCCUUUCACAAGGUGAAGUGUUUGAGAACAUUGGCUGCACUACCCAUGGACCACGAUCCAGCUUUUAUCCGUGAAUACAUAUCAAGUAAGGUGUUAGAUGACCUUUUAAAGGAAGUGAAAUAUUUACGGGUAUUAUCUUUAAGUGGCUACGAAAUAUAUGAGUUACCGGAUUCAAUUGGCAAUCUUAAAUAUUUGCGGUAUCUCAAUUUGUCAAAUUCUCCCGUAAGAAGGUUACCUGAUUCAGUAUGCCAUCUCUACAACUUACAAGCACUGAUAUUAUAUUAUUGCAAAAACCUUAAGAGGUUGCCUGUGGGAAUUGGAAACCUAAUCAACCUUCGACACCUUCAUAUCUCUGAUACAUCUCAAUUACAAGAAAUGCCUUCUCAAAUCGGAAACCUAACAAAUCUACAAACCUUAUCUAAGUUUAUUGUGGGUGAAGGCAACGGCUUGGGGAUAAGAGAAUUGAAGAAUUUGUUUGAUCUUCGAGGAGAGCUUUCAAUUUUUGGGUUGCACAAUGUAAUGGAUAUUCAAGAUGUAAGGGAUGCCAAUUUAGAAAGUAAGCACCACAUUGAGGAGUUAAGAGUGGAAUGGAGCAAUGACUUUGGUGCUUCACGAAAUGAAAUGCAUGAGAGGCAUGUUUUGGAGCAGCUACGACCUCAUAGAAAUCUGAAAAAGCUCACAAUUGCAUCUUAUGGUGGAUCAGAAUUCCCAAGUUGGAUGAAGGACCCAUCAUUCCCAAUAAUGACACACUUAAUUCUCAAGGACUGCAAGAGAUGCACAUCAUUACCCGCGCUUGGCCAAUUAUCCUCACUCAAAGUCUUGCAUAUUAAAGGUAUGAGUGAAGUGAGAACCAUAAAUGAGGAGUUUUAUGGAGGGAUUGUGAAGCCUUUUCCAUCCUUGGAGUCUCUAACGUUUGAGGUAAUGGCAGAAUGGGAAUACUGGUUUUGUCCUGAUGCAGUUAACGAAGGUGAAUUAUUUCCAUGUCUUCGAUUGCUUACAAUAAGAGAUUGUAGGAAGUUACAACAAUUGCCUAAUUGCCUACCUUCCCAAGUGAAAUUUGACAUCUCUUGUUGUACAAAUUUGGGAUUUGCUUCUUCAAGAUUUGCAUCUCUUGGUGAAGUAAGUUUAGAAGCAUGUAAUGAGAGGGUGCAAAUAAGUGAGGUGAUAAGUGGGGUUGUCGGAGGUCUUCAUGCAGUUAUGAGAUGGAGUGAUUGGCUUGUUUUGUUGGAGGAGCAAAGGCUGCCUUGCAAUCUUAAAAUGUUGAGCAUACAAGACGAUGCUAAUCUGGAAAAGCUGCCUAAUGGAUUGCAAACUCUCACGUGUCUUGAACAGUUGGAAAUAAGUAGAUGCCCUAAACUAGAGUCAUUUCCAGAGACGGGGCUGCCACCAAUGCUAAGAAGCCUUAAGGUGAUUGGUUGUGAGAAUCUAAAAUGGUUGCCUCAUAACUACAACUCAUGUGCCCUUGAAUUCUUGGACAUUACUAGCUGUCCAUCUCUCAGAUGCUUUCCAAAUUGUGAGCUACCAACCACACUCAAGAGUUUAUGGAUUGAAGAUUGUGAAAAUCUAGAGUCUUUACCAGAGGGAAUGAUGCCCCACGAUUCCACUUGUUGUCUUGAAGAGCUGCAAAUAAAGGGAUGCCCCAGACUGGAGUCAUUUCCCGAUACGGGGUUGCCACCAUUGCUAAGACGACUUAUAGUGAGUGUUUGCAAGGGUCUGAAAUCGCUGCCUCAUAACUACAGCUCAUGUGCCCUUGAAUCCUUGGAGAUUAGAUAUUGUCCAUCUCUCCGAUGCUUUCCAAAUGGUGAGCUACCAACCACACUUAAAAGUGUAUGGAUUGAAGAUUGUGAAAAUCUAGAGUCUUUACCAGAGAGAAUGAUGCAUCACAAUUCCACUUGUUGUCUUGAAUUAUUGACGAUAAGGAAUUGUUCAUCUCUCAAGUCCUUUUCAACAAGGGAGUUACCCUCCACCCUUAAGAAACCUGAGAUUUGCGGGUGCCCCGAAUUGGAGUCCAUGUCAGAGAACAUGUGCCCCAACAAUUCAGCUCUUGACAAUUUAGUCCUUGAGGGUUAUCCAAAUCUGAAAAUCCUACCAGAAUGCCUUCACAGCCUCAAGAGUCUCCAAAUAAUUAACUGUGAAGGUCUGGAGUGCUUUCCAGCAAGAGGCUUGUCCACCCCCACCCUCACAAGUCUUCGAAUUGAGGGAUGUGAGAAUCUGAAAUCCCUGCCACAUCAAAUGAGAGACCUCAAAUCUCUUAGAGAUCUUACCAUAUCGUUUUGUCCGGGAGUGGAAUCCUUUCCAGAAGAUGGUAUGCCCCCCAAUCUGAUAUCACUUGAGAUUUCUUACUGUGAGAAUCUGAAAAAGCCCAUAUCGGCGUUCCACACCCUCACCUCUCUUUUUUCAUUGACUAUUGAGAAUGUGUUUCCCGAUAUGGUUUCCUUUCCGGAUGUAGAGUGUCUUCUUCCCAUAUCUCUCACCUCCCUCAGAAUCACUGAAAUGGAAUCCCUAGCCUACCUGUCUCUCCAAAAUCUCAUCUCUCUUCAAUACCUAGAUGUGACAACUUGCCCUAACCUCGGAUCCUUAGGGUCGAUGCCAGCAACACUUGAAAAACUUGAAAUCUGGCAAUGUCCUAUACUAGAAGAAAGGUACUCAAAGGAGAAAGGAGAAUAUUGGCCCAAGAUCGCUCACAUUCCAUGCAUUGCAAUGCGUGGUCAAUAUAUCCAUUGAAGCAUAGAUGUUGAAAGUGAAAUGCAGUUUGUGGGUUGUGGAAAAGAAACAGAAGCGGAAACACAUUCAACCCCCAGUCCUUACAGGUACAAAAUCACUUCCAUUUUCGUAUCCUUUCUUUACUUUACUUCUGUUUAGGGAUAGGUUUAAUUGUGUAUAAGAUCCUCGGAACCAUAAAAACCGCUAUUCAGCUUCCAACUCCAUCUUCACAUUGACUUACCAAAUUCCCCUUCACAUUCUUUUCUUUUUCUUUUCUUUCUCCUUCAAAUUUUUUUGUUUUGAUUUUUUAGGACUAUUGUUUUGGAUUUACUUGAAACAUAGUAAAUUUAGUUUCUUUUUUUUUCCUGCAAGCGUUUAUAUUUAAUGGACUUAGAUAUGGAUACCUAGAUGCAAUUUUCUAUUCAAAUAUUAGACGUGCUAUGGAAAAGAUGAAUGAAGGAAACCUAUACAUGAUGAAGCUUAAGCUAGCCAUGGUCGUAGAGGAUUCAAAUUAGUGCUGAAUUAAAGAAUGAAGCGUCAUGCAUUGCUUUCCAAAUCGAUACAGGGUGUAAAUAUUUCUAAAUUCUAAUGUUCACUAGUCAUUCCAUUUAAUGGUUGGAAGAAUUAUUUUGACAGAUCCCUUCAUUAUUGCUCUCCCUGUAUUUGCAUCUAAAUAUCACUCAUUCAACCUCUUCCAUUGUAAUCAUAAAGUGAAACUCUGUGUAAAAACUAUCUUGAAAUAUUACAUUUUCAUUAAUAGUGUUUCCAAAGUUCUCACAAGUUCUCAUUUUUCUUUCCUGCUAAUUUGACCUCCAAUUUCCAUUGUACAUUCAGAUGGGUCCUGCUUGACAGGAAUGUUCCAUUCCCUCGAUGAAUUGGUGAUUUUGUCUGCAGUUACUAGUCAAGCAAUGAAAGCAAACAAAUAGGUACAUCUGCCCAUUCACGAUACCUGACUUCCAAUUUCAGUGGCCCAAUACCAUUUUCAGUUUCAGAUACUAAAAGAAAAUUCCUCUGAAGAUGUAGUAAGGGGGUAAAAGAUGAAGAUCAAAUGAAAAUUUUCCUAAUCAUAGCUGCAGCCUAUUCUCAUGCUGGUAUGUGCUUGAUUGCUCCAAUAAUGAUUUUUUCUUUUUUUUUUUCCUUUUAUCUUUUUGUGCAAGUUGAUCAGCUUCAAUUCAUCAAUUCAGUUGCUUUUUUAAGUUGUUUCACCAAGAGGUGGAUUUUGACUGUAGUUAUGUCUUGGCAUCUUCUCUUAAAUUUUGUUAGUCAGGCUGUUUUUAUCCUCUGUUUUGACAGACACAACUAUUCUUGUAGCUUAGCAUGAUUGACCUGACUUCACAUAUAUACUUAUGAAUUGUUUUAAUGCAAGACAAUGCAUUUACUCUUUCUAAUUACACAAUUACAAACAAAGCCUCAAAUAUUUUGCUUUUCUCAGGAAUUAUAUGUUACUUCUUUAGAUCUUUGAAACUAGCACAGUAUAUCAAAAUUAAUAGAAGUUCAUUGUUGGUUUAUGUAUGCUAACUUUAAGGCAUUUUACAUUAAGGCUAUAACAGUUUUGUUUUGGUUUCAGUUUGAUCUUAAGAAGAUAGGAGUUGGCAACAAAACCUUCUGGUUGACUUUGUAUAUGAAUUACGGUAUCUCAAGAAAGGUGUCCAUAUAUUGGUUGGUCCCUUAACCUCCAGUUAUUAGGGCUUCCAGCAGUAUUUAGAAGGCUUAUCAUAGGUUGUCCUAUUCUAAAACAAAGGUGCAUAAAGGAGAAAGGGGAGUGCUGGCCCAACAUUGUCCAUGUCCCCUGCAUGGAUAUUAACUGUGAUAACUUGAGAUUGAAGGUCAUUUCUCUAGGCUUAAACUUAGAAGGAAAAUUCAUUCAACCCUAUCCUAUCCUUACUUUUAAUCAGGUAUGACCAUUCAUAUUAUCAAUGCAGUUUUAUUUGAAUUCUAUUUUUCCCACUCAGAAAAAGAGAAGAAAAAGCAAACAGAAAGAAAGAAAUCAAAGACAGCAAUCCCCUCCUUAUAUCAAUCAUUAGAUUUGCCUUUCCAUACACAAUGCAUAACUCCCAAUACCAUUUACUGUUAGAUAAUUUUAGAAAUUUCUUGGUUAAACUUACCUUCAUAGUCAUCACCAUUGUCAGGAAGGUAACUUAUUGAAUCAUCAGAUUCUGCAUAAGAGUAAGAGUAUUUGUGAUUUGCAGGCUAGGUGCAGGACCCUUGAAAAAAGGCUAGACUUAGGAGCGCAAGCCCUACCGGGUUGAGCUGUUGUUAGCCGUGGAUAGGUGUUUGUUAGGCUGUAAGGUGGUUGGGGUGACGUCUCAUCAGGUCUGUUAAUCUACUAUUAGGCUCUAGUUCAAAACCCUAAAAUGAAUUCUAUUUUCAGAACCAUGUCUAGGAGAUCCAGUGAUUCUCAAGAUACUGUUGUAAACAGUGAAGAGAUCAAUUAUCCUAAGAUCCAAAAUGAUCUAGAUGAUUGGAAGCUACCUAAGGUGUCUACCCAAGAAAUUUACAAGAAAGGAACCUUUAAGUUUCUCACAGACUACACCAUUAGAACCUCUGAAAUGUCAGUAAGCUUAUAACAAGAUAAUCAAAUUAUAAGACUCUUAGAUGGUAAUUCCAUUGAUAAGCAUAAGAAAGAUGGGUAUAGUUUCAUACACUUUGGUAUGAUCUAAGUAGCAGCUAAACCUUUGACAAGAUCAGGUUUAAACACCUCUAUUGUCAUGUGUUUAAGAGAUAAUAGGCAUCUCGAUUAUCGAGAUUUUAUUAUUGGAGCAGUCCAAGCUGGACUAAAUGAUGGCCCAGUUUAUUUCCAGUGUUUCCCUAACUUCACAGUUAGAUUAAGAGACGCGGACAUCUUAGAUACUGUUGUCCUGCACGUUAAGACUCAUGGCUUUAAGUUCAAGGAAGGAAACAGUCCUGUUUCCAUCAUUACCAGGUUUGCUUAUAAGAGUAUGACUACAAGCGUUGGAUCUGGGGCUUUAUGCACCAGUCCUAAGGGAGAAACUACUCUCUUUCAUUCAGAUGGCAUAAAUAAGUCCAACAUCAUCGUCCCCAUGAAGAUAAGUUGGGAUGAGGUUGAAUUCCCAGAAAGCUGGCAUUUCUCUAAUGUCGUUCCAGCCAUAGAGUAGAGAUCUGAAAGGAUUGAACAAAUUGUUCAAUAUCCUGAUGGGGGUGGAGAUCUUAUUUUCUCCAAUUCCUUUCGUCAUUCUAGUAACCCUAGAGUUUCAGGUUAUGAACCAGCUAGAUCUUCAAGCUCAUCUAUCCCAGUAAGGAUCACUAGGGAAGAUGAAGGUACCAGUUCAAAUCCUAAGAACAUCAAGCUAACAGGUGUUAGAAGUCACACCAAUUUGGCCAGACCCUUUUACACUGAGGAAAAGGACUCUACUCAUGAAUCUCAACAGGAUGAGUCUCCUACAUAUUCUCAGAUGAUCAACACCAUAAGCUAUGGUGAUGAAGACUUUGAGAUCAACAAGGAACUCUUAAGGAAGGACUUCUAUUCUGAAGUCAAUAAGGAAAAGAAAGAUUGGUUUUUUAUAACUAUUCCUAAAGUUUUUAGAACCAUUCUCCAAGAGGAAUUUUAUUCCUACUUAAGACAAGAAAAGAAAAAUAUUAAGUUCUGGAUCUGGUUUGAACUCUUCAAACAAGAGGAAUAUCCAGAUUAUCCUUGUAAAUACAUUUACAACACAUCCUCAAAAACUAAGAUAUGGAAAACUAGUGAUAAUAUUGUCAUAGAGUCCAUUCAUCCUCCUAAAGCCAAGAUUGAAAUGGACAUAAAUGGAACCAUUGUUAGUGCUUCACCUUUUAAGACCAAGCUUGAGGAUAAGGGAACUGUCAGUAUUAUAGAUAUUAAGAGAAUAAUGGAACAAAAUAAUUAUACUAAUAUGUUCCUCUUAACCAUUGGUAAUCAACUCAAUAGAAUUGAGGAUAUUAUGGAAACUCAACGUUACACUAAGAAUUCUUUUGUUAAAAAUGAUAAUAAGCCUUUGUUCAAACCUUUUCAAUUCUCUAAAAAAUUUCAGGAAAACCCCCAUAUUGAUCAAACUUUCAUUGAAAGAAUAAGCCAGAAGGUUAAGGAUAACCUUAUCAUCCCAGAAACACCUCAGCAUUCCCAUAGGAGAAUUUGUAUGGUUAAGCAGAACUUUAAGGGUAAUAAGCUUAUUAAGUCAACCGGUGAUUAUUCCAGGCAAAACCAAGAUCCUACCCUAAGUAUAAUAACUAUCAAGGAUUUAUAAGAAGAAGUUAAGCAGUAUAAGAAAGAGAUUAAGGAAUCAAGUAUCAAAAGGAUUGAUACUUGUCCCAACUACCUUAAUCAAGAUAGCCUUAAGACUCCUAAAUCACCCCAUGACAAUAACAGAAAGGCAGAGGUAUACUUAAAUACUAUCAGCAGGGUUAUUUCCCAAAAAUGGGAAGUCCACCUUACUAUAGUAAUUAAGAAUAAAAUUGCCAUUGAUAUUAUUGCCCUUAUUGAUUCAGGAGCAGCUUUGAAUUGUCUUCAAGAAGGUCUUAUACCUACCUAGUUUUAUGAAAAAACUAAACAAGAUCUUUUUGGAGCUAAUGGUCAAAACCUUAAUAUUAAUUACAAACUGUUUGAUGCUCAUAUUUGUAAUCAAGGCAUUUGUAUUAAGCAAACUAUCAUUCUUGUCAAAGAUCUUAAAGAAAAAGCUCUCAUUGGAAUUCCCUUUUUAAGCUCUAUCUUUCCUAUCUGGAUUGAUAAACAAGGAAUAAGGACAAAGCUUUUUGGUAGAAAUAUUCUCUUUGGAUUUGCCAACCCUCUUAGUAAAAGAAAUAUAAACACCCUAAAUGAUCAAGUGAUAGUUGCCAAGAAAAAUCAUGUUAAGUCCUUAAAGCAAGAAAUUAAUAUGAUUAGGAUUGAAGAUUAAUUACAAAUUAAGAAAACCCAAGAUGCAAUAGAAAGUCUUAAGAAUAAAAUUAUUAAGGAAAUCUGCUCUAACAUCCCCAAUGCUUUUUGGCACAGAAAACAACAUAAGAUAGAAUUACCCUACGAACCAGACUUUAGUGAAAAGAAUAUCCCCACUAAAGCCAAACCAAUCCAGAUGAGCAAAGAAUUAUUAAGCUAUUGUGAAAAGGAAAUCCAUGAUCUUCUUGACAAAAAUUUGAUAAGAAAAUCCAAAUCCCCUUGGAGUUGUUCAGCCUUUUAUGUUAAAAAACAAGCUGAGUUGGAAAGAGGAACUCCUAGGUUAGUCAUCAAUUAUAAGCCCCUUAAUGAUGCUCUAAGAUGGAUUAGAUAUCCUAUUCCAAACAAAAAAGACCUCCUUCAAAGGCUAGUUAAUUCCAGGAUUUUUUCUAAGUUUGACAUGAAGUCGGGUUUUUGGCAAAUCCAAGUGGCUGAAAAGGAUAGGUAUAAAACUGCCUUUGUUGUCCCAUUUGGUCACUAUGAAUGGAAUGUUAUGCCUUUUGGCCUUAAGAAUGCUCCUUCAGAAUUCCAAAAUAUGAUGAAUGAAAUCUUUAACCAAUUUUCAGAUUUCAUCAUAGUCUAUAUUGAUGAUGUUUUAGUAUAUUCUAGUUCUAUUGAAUAGCAUUGGAAGCAUCUCAAUAAGUUUAUUGAAACUGUUAAAAGCAACGGAUUAAGCCUAUCAACUACUAAGAUUAAACUUUUUCAAACUAGGAUAAGAUUCCUUGGUCAUUAUAUUCACCAAGGAUCCAUCACUCCUAUUCAAAGAUCUUUAGAAUUUGCUGAUAAGUUUCCUGAUGAAAUCAAAGAUAAGAAACAGUUGCAACGUUUCCUAGGAAGCCUUAAUUAUGUGUCAGAUUUCAUACAAGAUUUAAGCUAGUUGUGUGCCCCUUUAAGACAAAGACUUAAGAAAAAUCCAGUUCCUUGGAAUGAGGAUCAUACCAAGAUUGUGAAGAUAGUCAAAUCUAAAGUUAAGACCUUACCGUGUCUUGCCCUAGCUGACCCUACAGCCUUUAAAUUUGUUGAGACUGAUGCCUCAGAUAUAGGAUAUGGUGGUAUUCUUAAACAGAAAAUCGACACUCAAGAAAAGUUGGUUAGAUAUACUUCAGGAACUUGGAAUAAUGCCCAACUCAACUAUAACACCAUUAAAAAAGAAAUUUUAAGCAUUGUUUUAUGCAUUUCAAAAUUUCAAGAUGAUCUUUUAAAUCAAGAAUUUUUAUUAAGGGUUGAUUGUUUAUCGGCAAAAUCAGUUUUGCAAAAAGAUGUUAAAAAUAUAGCUUCUAAGCAUAUUUUUGCUAGAUGGCAAGCCAUUUUAAGCAAUUUUGAUUUUCAAAUUGAAUAUAUUAAAGGAGAAAAUAACUCAAUCCCUGAUUUCGGUACUCGUGAAUUUUUGCAAGAUUCACAAGAUCAUGGCUCCCAAAAAAGAAAAGCAAUCCUUUAAGAAAUCAUCAUCUUACAUGAAACCUCUUUCAGUCUUAUCAGAAAAAUUCAAACCCUUGUAUUAUGAUUAUGCUUCAGGAUCUCAAGGAUCUUCUUCUGAUCCUUUUCCUCCAGUCUUAAGCAUCCUUUCUCCCCUGUUUUGGAAUAAGGAAAUAUUUCGGGUUCUCUACCUUUUGUGGAAGAAACCAUCCCCUUAAACUCCUCUACUUUUGAUACUAACCCCUUAUCUGUUCAUAAGAGUAUUUGUGAUUUGCAGGUGAUUACUACUCAAAACAUGCUAUUUUGUAGCUUGUUAUUAGCUCUUUUAAGCACCCUUGAGUAGUAAUUAUUACCUUUUAACUCAAUUAACAUGUUAGGGACCCUUGCAAUUGUUUCUAAUCAAUUUGUGUUAAGUUUUGGUGUUUUUUGAUAGCUUUAUGCUCACCAAAGCAAUUUAAGAAUGAGGGAGAGCUAUAUAUAAUUCAUGGCAAAGCUUUUGGAAGCUCAAAUUUAAGAAGAAACCAAGCUUUGGAGCCUCAUAAUCCUUUGCCUUAGUCGUUCAAAGUAUGCAAGGAAAGAACAAUGGAGAAGAGGAAAACAGGGUGAUGAAAAUAGGGGACACAGCUGCAGUCUUUCAUCGCACUUUUGGAGCACUUCCCGAAGUCCAUUUUCUACAUUCUAUAUACCAUUUCAAAGCUCAGAAAGUCAAGAAUCCAACGAUUCAAACCAUGUAUGAUUUGGAGCUGAAAUGAGGAAGAUAUGGCCUCCGGAAGACAACUGCAUCAAGCUGAGGGACAAUUUCGCACGAUGGAAAUCAAGGUGCGAAUUCCUCAGUCCAAAGUGUGGGAAUUUCGCACACCUGAAACCAAAGUGCGAAAUUGGAACUGCAACGUGCGAAAAUUGGAUAUUUUUGCCGACUCUUUUUCUUCUGAUAUUUUUGUGUCUAAAUUUCCAUUUUCUCCUUGUAUUCAGCCACUCAUGUAAUUCCUUAGCUAGGAAGUAUCCAAGGAAGGGUAAAAUUACCUUCCUAUAUAAAUUCUCUUGUAAACACUGAAGAGGCACUCUCGGGGAGCUUUCUCCAGGAGACCAACUGAUGUAAAUUCUACACUUAGUGAAAUACAGAGAUCUCUUUUGCUUUCUUUUUCUCUCUACUAUUUUCUAUUUUCUUGGAAGCCAAACAGCCUCUGAGGAUGUUUUCCCAGAGGAUGAGAGGCUAAACUUAUAGUUUCUUGGAGUAAAGGAAGCUAGGUGAAAAGUCCAGAUUAAAAGGUGGAGCGUUUCCGUGCAUUAAAUUCAGGUGGUUGGAGUCCAUAAAUGGUUUCUAAAUUCAAAGUUUUGCUUUAAAUCCCUUAGAAUCACUUUGACUAGCCAAUACAUGGUAAGCUUCAGGUCUCUGUGGAUGCUUAUUGCUAGAUCCAUAUCAGUCCAUUAGUUAUCAUGUACGAGCUAGUGGAAAGUGAUUCAAGGUGAUAACCCAUAGUGUCUUAAGCCAUUAAUGGAUCUCGACUACCAUCUCUAUUGACUUUUUAUGGAUUAAAUCUUCAUUGUCAAACCUAUACCGGUUCGGGAAAUAACUAUAGGUUAAAUCCCCAAUGCGAGGAGAAAAAUCCGGAAUUUUCCACUUUGCAUCCUGAACUUGAACCUAGCAACCUUUAGCUCCGGGAGACUUUCUUUCUUCUAUUUUUACUUAGUUUUAUGUGAGUUUAGUUUCAAUCACCACUUUCAAAACAAUUUUAUUUUCUUUUAAAUUUCAAGUUUGUGCUAAAGGAAAUCAUCAGAAUCAAUUUCUAAUUUAGAGUUUGUCACUGAUAGAGUGAAAACCCAUCCCUGAGUUCGACCCUAGAACUGCUAUACUAUAGUAGCUUUGCUACGCCAGUAUAAGGUCAUAGGAUUUAUAAAUGUUUUUUAUUAAAAGACCCGGCUGGGCAAUGAAUCAAAUGGAGCCGUUGCCGGGGAUGGUGCCACAAUACAGUGAUGCAACCUUUUAGAGGCUACUUGUGAAUCCAUCACAAGUUUGGUGAAUUCCUUUUUCAUUAACUUCAUUUCCUUUCAUUUUCCUUUUGUUAAGUUUAUUUUCAUUUUCUUCCUAACCUUAACUUUUUUCUAGGUUUCUUUUGUUUUUGUUUUAUUUCAGGUAAGUAGUAACUUGUGCAUGCCCUAUUGGAUCAGGGACCAAGAGGGAAGAUUAGUAAGGAUUGAGAAUCCUCAAGACACAGAGUUGGAUAUCUGUGUAAACAUCAUGGACCCUCCACCAGAGGAUCAGAAUUCUCAACAAGGUCAAGGGGGUAAUCCCAAUGCAUAUCUAUCCAUGAGGGAUAGAAAGCAUCCACCAAGGAUGAGUGCACCCUCAUGCAUCCUACCCCCUCUUGAGCAGUUGGUUAUAAGGCCCCAUAUUAUGCCCCUCCUACCAAAUUUCCAUGGAAUGGAGAGUGAGAAUCCAUAUGCUCACAUCAAGGAGUUUGAGGAGGUGUGUAAUACCUUUAGAGAGGGAGGAGCUUCAAUAGACUUGAUGAGACUCAAGCUAUUCCCUUUCACUUUGAAGGACAAGGCAAAAAUAUGGCUUAAUUCUUUAAGGCCAAGGAGCAUAAGCAAUUGGGUUGAUCUUCAGGCUGAGUUUUUGAAAAAAAAUUUCCCCACCCAUAGGACCAAUGGGUUGAAGAGGCAAAUCUCAAACUUUUCUGCAAAAGAAAAUGAGAAGUUCCAUGAAUGUUGGGAAAGGUAUAUGGAAGCCAUCAAUGCUUGUCCUCAUCAUGGUUUUGAUACAUGGCUCCUAGUGAGCUAUUUUUAUGAUGGAAUGUCUUCUUCCAUGAAGCAAAUUCUUGAAACCAUGUGUGGGAGAGAUUUUAUGAGUAAGAAUCCUGAAGAAGCCAUGGACUUUUUAAGUUAUGUGGCUGAGGUGUCAAGAGGUUGGGAUGAGCCCAACUCAAGAGAGAAAGGAAAGUUUCCCUCUCAACAAACCCAAAAUCCAAAGGCUGGAAUGUACAUGUUGAGUGAAGACGUGGACAUGAAAGCUAAAGUGGCAACAUUAGCUAGGAGGUUAGAAGAACUUGAGUUGAAAAAGAUGCAUGAAGUCCAAGCCAUUUCCGAUACCCAAGUUCAUGUCAUGCCAUGCACCAUUUGCCAAUCAUGUGAUCAUGUGGUAGAUGAGUGCCCAACCAUGCCAGCAGUGAGAGAAAUGUUAGGUGAUCAAGUAAAUGUUGUGGGGCAAUUUAGGCCCAACAACAGUGCAUCCUAUGGUAACACCUAUAAUUCAAGCUGGAGAAACCAUCCAAAUUUUUCUUGGAAACCAAGACCACCUUCAUACCAACUGCAAGCCCAAACUCAAGCACCUCAACAAACCUCUUUAGUGGAGCAAGCCAUUGCAAACCUAAGUAAAGUCAUGAAUGACUUUGUGGAUGAACAAAGGGCAAUCAACUCCCAAUUGCACCAAAAGAUUGAGAAUGUUGAGAGUUCUCUAAAUAAGAGAAUGGAUGGGAUGCAAAAUGAUCUAUAUCAUAAGAUAGAUAAUAUUCAGUACUCCAUCUCUAGACUUACCAACCUCAACACAGUGAAUGAGAAGGGAAAGUUCCCCUCUCAACCAAGCCAAAAUCCCAAGGGUGUUCAUGAAGUUGAAACCCAAGAUGGUGAGUCUUCAAAUUUGAGAGAGGUCAAAGCUGUGAUCACCUUGAGGAGUGGAAAGGAGGUUGAUCAACCCUUGCCUAAGGUAAGGCAAGAUGAAGAACUCAUGUCAAAGAGACCUUUGAUUAAAGAGAGCAAUAGCCAAGAAGAGCAGAGUGGGAAGAAAAGUACAUCCAAAUCAAGCACUGAAGAAGAACCAAGGAUAGUGAUUAAGGAGGAUAUGAUGAAAAAACAUAUGCCUCCCCCUUUUCCUCAAGCUUUACAUGGAAAGAAAGAAAUCAAGAAUUCAUCAGAAAUUCUUGAGGUUCUGAGACAAGUGAAGGUGAAUAUACCCUUACUUGAUAUGAUCAAGCAAGUCCCCACAUAUGCAAAGUUUCUAAAGGACUUGUGCACAGUCAAGAGAGGGUUACAGGUGACAAAGAAUGCAUUCCUCACUGAACAAGUGAGUGCUAUCAUUCAGAGUAAGUCCUCAGUUAAGUAUAAAGAUCCGGGAUGUCCCACCAUAUCAGUUAACAUUGGAGGGACACAUGUGGAGAAAGCUUUACUAGACUUGGGGGCAAGUGUGAAUUUGCUCCCAUACUCUGUGUAUAAGCAACUGGGACUUGGAGGAUUGAAGCCCACAACCAUGACCCUCUCCUUAGCUAAUAGGUCAGUCAAAAUCCCAAGAGGGGUGAUAGAGGAUGUUCUAGUUCAAGUAGACAAAUUCUACUACCCUGUUGAUUUUGUGGUACUUGAUACUGAUUCCACUAUCAAGGAAGAAAAUUAUGUGCCAAUCAUCCUAGGGAGGCCUUUCCUAGCUACCUCCAAUGCUAUCAUUAAUUGUAGGAAUGGGGUGAUGCAGCUCACAUUUGGAAACAUGACAUUGGAAUUAAUCAUAUUCCACCUAUGCAAGAGGCAUCUUCACCCUGAAGAGGAGGAAGGAUUUGAGGAGGUAUGCUUGAUCAACACUUUGGUCGAAGAGCACUGUGACAAGAAUUUAGAAGAGAGCUUGAAUGAAAGCCUGGAAGUGCUUGAAGAUGGGUUCCCUGAACCCUCUGAUGUGCUAGACAUUAUGUCUCCUUGGAGGAGACGGGAAGAGAUCUUACCACUGUUCAACCAGGAAGACUCACAAGGAGUUGCUGUGGAUGACCCUCCAAAGCUUAUUUUAAAGCCACUUCCUGUGGAUUUGAAGUAUGCAUACUUGGAGGAUGAUGAGAAAUGUCCAGUGGUGGUUUCCUCAACUCUCACUAGUGAUCAAGAGGAUAGUCUUUUAGGAGUCCUCAGAAAAUGCAAGAAAGCCAUUGGAUGGCAAAUUUCUGAUCUGAAAGGGAUUAGCCCUUUGGUCUGCACCCACCAUAUCUAUAUGGAAGAGGAUGCAAAACCAGUGAGGCAACCCCAGAGGAGACUGAAUCCUCACAUGCAAGAGGUGGUGAGGGGUGAAGUUCUUAAGCUACUUCAAGCUGGGAUCAUAUAUCCCAUCUCAGACAGCUUGUGGGUGAGUCCCACCCAAGUAGUCCCAAAGAAAUCUGGAAUUACUGUAAUCCAGAAUGAGAAAGGGGAGGAAGUCUCUACACAUCCUACCUCAGGAUGGAGGGUGUGUAUAAACUAUAGGAGGUUGAAUUCAGUAACUAGGAAGGAUCAUUUUCCAUUGCCUUUCAUGGACCAAGUCCUUGAGAGAGUCUCAGGACAUCCUUUCUAUUGUUUUCUAGAUGGUUAUUCAGGGUACUUCCAAAUAGAAAUUGAUUUGGAAGAUCAAGAAAAGACAAUCUUCACUUGCCCCUUUGGUACUUUUGCAUAUAGGAGAAUGCCCUUUGGUCUAUGUAAUGCUCCUGCAACUUUCCAAAGAUGUAUGCUAAGCAUCUUCAGUGAUAUGGUGGAACGCAUCAUGGAAGUUUUCAUGGAUGAUAUCACUGUAUAUGGAAGUUCUUAUGAGGAGUGUUUAUUGCAUUUAGAAGCUGUUCUCCAUAGAUGUAUUGAGAAAGACCUAGUGCUAAAUUGGGAGAAGUGCCAUUUUAUGGUACAAAAAAGAAUUGUCUUAAGACAUAUCAUCUCCAAGAAUGGCAUUGAGGUAGAUAAGGCAAAGGUGGAGCUAAUUGUUAAGUUGCCACCUCCCACAAAUGUUAAAGGAAUUAGGCAAUUCCUAGGACAUGCCGGGUUCUAUAGGAGUUCAUUNNNNNNNNNNNNNNNNNNNNNNNNNNNNNNNNNNNNNNNNNNNNNNNNNNNNNNNNNNNNNNNNNNNNNNNNNNNNNNNNNNNNNNNNNNNNNNNNNNNNGGGGCUGUUUUGGGGCAAAGACAAGAUGGAAAGCCCUAUGUGAUUUAUUAUGCAAGCAAAACUUUGAAUGAGGCUCAAAGGAACUACACAACUACUGAGAAGGAGUUGUUGGCAGUAGUUUUUGCCUUGGAUAAGUUUCGUGCUUAUUUGGUAGGGUCCUCUAUAGUGGUGUUCACUGACCAUUCUGCUUUGAAAUACUUGCUAACCAAGCAAGAUGCCAAGGCAAGAUUGAUAAGAUGGAUUCUUUUGCUCCAAGAAUUCAAUCUCCAAAUCCGGGAUAAAAAGGGGGUAGAAAAUGUGGUAGCUGACCACUUGUCCAGACUUGUGAUAGCACAUGACUCACAUGGUCUGCCUAUCAAUGAUGACUUCCCUGAGGAGUCUCUCAUGUCAAUAGAUGUAACUCCAUGGUAUUCUCACAUUGCAAACUUUUUAGUUACUGGAGAAGUACCAAGUGAGUGGAGUGCCCAAGAUAAGAGGCAUUUCUUUGCCAAGAUCCAUGCCUAUUAUUGGGAGGAGCCUUUUCUUUUUAAAUAUUGUGCGGAUCAAAUCAUAAGGAAAUGUGUUCCUGAGCAAGAGCAAUCGGGAAUUCUUUCCCAUUGCCAUGAUAGUGCAUGUGGAGGUCAUUUUGCCUCCCAGAAAACAGCUAUGAAAGUGAUCCAAUCAGGCUUCUGGUGGCCCUCUCUUUUCAAAUAUGCCCACUCUAUAUGCAAGGGAUGUGAUCGGUGUCAAAGGCUUGGUAAGCUAACACGCCGAAAUAUGAUGCCCUUGAACCUCAUCCUAAUAGUGGAUAUCUUUGAUGUUUGGGGGAUAGACUUCAUGGGACCAUUUCCAAUGUCAUUUGGACAUUCCUACAUUUUGGUGGGAGUGGAUUAUGUCUCUAAGUGGGUAGAAGCAAUCCCAUGUAGGAGCAAUGAUCAUAAGGUGGUUCUUAAAUUCCUCAAGGACAACAUCUUUGCAAGAUUUGGAGUGCCAAAGGCCAUUAUAAGUGAUGGGGAAACCCACUUUUGCAAUAAACCUUUUGAGACUCUUCUAGCCAAGUAUGGGGUUAAGCACAAGGUAGCUACACCUUAUCACCCUCAAACAAGUGGCCAAGUUGAGUUAGCCAACCGUGAGAUCAAGAAUAUAUUGAUGAAGGUGGUCAAUGUGAAUAGGAAGGAUUGGUCUAUCAAGCUCCUGGAUUCCUUAUGGGCUUAUAGGACCGCUUACAAGACCAUUCUAUGAAUGUCUCCCUAUCGCCUUGUUUAUGGCAAAGCGUGUCAUCUUCCAGUGGAGAUUGAGUAUAAAGCAUGGUGGGCAAUCAAAAAGCUCAACAUGGAUUUGACAAGAGUCGGGUUAAAGAGAUGUUUGGAUUUGAAUGAAUUGGAGGAAAUGAGGAAUGAUGCAUACCUCAAUUCAAAAAUUGCAAAAGCAAGGUUAAAAAAAUGGCAUGAUCAAUUGGUAAAUCAGAAGAAUUUGACCAAGGGACAAAGAGUUUUGCUUUAUGAUUCUAAACUUCAUCUCUUUCCAGGAAAAUUGAAAUCCAGGUGGACGCGUCCUUUCAUAAUUCAUGAAGUGCAUCCCAACGGAGUGGUGGAAGUAUUCAAUCCCACAGGCAAUCAAACCUUCAAAGUCAAUGGCCAUCGUCUCAAGCCAUUCAUAGAGCCUUACAGUACAGACAAGGAGGAGAUCAACCUCCUUGAACCACAGUAACUCUGAGGAAAAGCAGGGUAUCAUGGACUAAAUAAGUCCAUGAAUUUUUUGUUAUAGUUUUAUAAUUAUAUCAUUAUUUUUGUUUCUUUUGAUUAUAAUUUUUCCUCAAACUUAGUUUAUUUUGUCUUAAUUCAAGUCAAUUUUGAUGAUAAAUUUCAGAAAAAAAUCAAGAAAAGGUGGAGAACUCUUCAAAAGCAAGACAAGGGAGCAAAACCAAGGGAACAGAACGCUGCAUUUCAAGGUGCGAAAAUUUCGCACGAUGCAUUUCAAGGUGCGAAUUCCUUAGUCGAAAGGGUAGCAAUUUCGCACACCUCAAAACAAGGUGCGAAAUUGAAAGCAAGGUGCGAAAUCCCCUGUUCAAGGUGCGAAUUCCCCAAAUGCCAUUUUCGCACACCACUGUUCAAGGUGCGAAAAUUUUCGCACCAUGCGAAAUCCCUUCCUGGCACACGAGUGCCAUUUUCGCACACCUCAAGCCAAAUUUCGCACCGUGAGAAACAAGGUGCAAAAUUUUCGCAUAGUGCGAAAUUGAUUUCAAGGUGCGAAAACCACUGUCCAAAGGGUACCAUUUUCGCACACUCAAAUCCAAGGUGCGAAAUUUCUAGUCCAAGGUGCGAAAAUUUCGCACGGUAAAAUUUUAAGUUCCAAAAAUUUUAAAUUGACUUUUAAAUUAAAAUUUUACCCCCGAAAUUGUGCCUAACGUCCAAAAACGACUUUUCGGUUGCCUUGGAAAUUUUUAAAACCCCCCAGACCCCAUCCCUAUAUAAACCCUUGAAGCCAAAAAAGACUCCCCCGCGCACCAGCUGAGAAGCCUCUGGAAUCCUGAACAGCCACCUCCCUUCAUUUCGGCCAUGGCAAAGACCAAAAGAGGCCUUUCCGCCUCCCCAUCAUCACCGACGCCUCGACCACAGUAAGCCACCAUGGGAGGCGCCGCUUCGCCACCUGUUCAGGCCCCGGCCAUUUCCCCAUCUGAGAGGGGAACCCCUUCUCAGCGCCGAUACCCCACUAGGAGGCCACCCACUGAACCUGUGCCUCCUACCGACCAACCUCAGAGACCUGCUUCUCGACCCCCUGCGAAGAGAACUAAGUUCUCGGGUCCUGGAGAGCCAUCCCAUGCGCCUCAGGCAGAGCCGCCUACAGAGGAACCUCGGAUUCUUGUGGGGAUUCCUCCCGAGACCGUUAUCAGGCGUCCCAUGAUAGCCGGACCACCGAUAGAGGGCAACCUGGAUUGCCAAGAUCGAUCCUUCCACUCCGAGACCUACUUUGAUAUAGAGGCCCUCAGACAGCAGCCAGAGCUCAGAGAUUCAUUCCGACUACUGCAGAGAUAUCACAUGGAGCAUCUUCUCACUCCUAGGCAAUUCUAUUAUCCCAGAGUAGUUCUAGAUUUUUAUCAAUCUAUGACUACUCGAGGCCUCCGCAAUCCUAUUCUUAUCCAAUUUACCAUAGACGGACGCCAGGGUGCCAUUGGAGCUCGCCACAUUGCUGAGGCCCUCCGUAUACCUUAUGAGCCUGUGAUUCAGGCAGACUUCAGGGAGUGGUCCUCAUUCUCUCAAAGCGACAUGGUCCGUAUCUUGUCCAGGGGGACUUCUACAGCCUCAGUGUUGACUAGGAAAAAGCUUCCAUCUGGGAUGCUCCUUAUUGAUGUGCUCCUGCAUGCCAACAUCUUCCCACUUCAGCAUAAAGUUCAGAGGAGAUGAGCUAUACUUGAGGCAUUAUUUAGGAUUUCUGAGGGCUAUUACUUCGGCCCUCAUCAUUUGAUUAUGACUUCUCUUCUUCAUUUUGAAGAGAAAGUCCAUCAGAAGAAGCUUCAGAGGGCAGAUGGCAUCCCAUUAUUAUUUCUGAGGCUCCUCUGUCAGAUUUUAGAGCACCUGGGCUAUCCUGAAGAGCCCCGCCUUGAGAGGCGCCGCCAUUGCCGAGAGGACUUCUCUCUCGACAAAUGGCAUCACUUGACAGCCUACUUUGCAGCUCAGGGAGCCCCAGUUGUACCUGCACCUCCAGAGCUACCCCGAGAUGAGCAACUAUCUCAGGCCCAGCAGGAUGAGAUUCUCACAGACACCACACCUCCUGCCCCUGCAGCACACACCUCAGUGAAUAUGCCUGAGGCUAUACAUCCUACUUCUCCUCUCACUCAGGGUGCUCCACCAGUAGUGCCAGCUACCCCAGCACCUUCUCCUUCAUCUGAGCCCACUGUCACCGUUUCUCUUACGGAAUUCAGAGGCUUAGUGCAUUCAUUGCAGACACUGAGCACUGCUCAGGAUUUUAUUAUCCAGCAGAUGGCCACUAUUCGUGCGCACCAGGAUCAGAUCAUGGCUACUCAGGCCCAGCAUACCACGAUCCUUUAUCAGAUCCAGCAGCAUCUGAGUAUGCAGACACCUCUUGGGCAUGAUAGGUCUGCACCAUCCGAGCCUCUAGUGCCAGAUGAGGAGACCAUACCAGCUGAGCAGCCCAUAUCAGCUGAGGAGAUCAGAGCAGAGCCAUCACAUGAUCCCACUACUAUCUGAUCUUUUUAUGUUUUACUUGUUUUUAUAUAUUAGACUUGUAAAUCCCAUCUUUUUCAUGUUUAUAAACUGGGAUUGGAUAUAUUACUGGAACAUCAUGCAUUGUAUAUUUCUUUUCCAAGAAAUAUAUAUAUAUAUAUAUAUCCUUUUUUAUUAUAUUCCCUUUUCUCAUUAUUCUUUUGUAUUUGGAACAUGUGGUUUAAGGUAUUCCAUACCUCCUAUACACUCAGACUUUGAACCACAGGAGGUACCACUUCCUCCCUUUUCUUUUAAAUCGCUCUUUAAACAUUGAGGACAAUGUUUAGCUUGGUUGGGGGGAGAGUUGAGAAAGGAAGUUUUGUUGUUAAUACUAAGUUAUUUUGGUAAUUUAGUUGAUUUCUGCUUAAAGUUUAAAAUUUUUAAAAAAGUUUUUUUUGAAUCAUUCUCUAUGGUUGUUAAAGAUAAUUUCUCAAAAAUAAAAUAGGAUAAGUCGAGUUUUAACUUAAUUAUUUAAGUCUUAGAGUUUGUUUUAUGCUUUCAAAGUUAAUAAUCUAUUGAAGCCCUCUUUGAUUUCAAACUUAUUUCUUCCAUUUCAAGCUUUACACACACUGUGCACAUUAGAUCCCGGAUAUAUGAUGUAAAACUUUCCCACCUUCUAAGCUUAGGAAAAUUUUGACUUGGUUCAUUACAUAACCUCUCUUUAAUAGUGUUGGGACGCCUCAUAAAGACCAAUGAGUCUUUGAAAAAAAAAAAAAAAAGAGAGAAUAAGCUUCUUUUCUUUUCUUGAAACCUAAGCAUGAUCCGAAGGGGUGGCAAAAGCCUUUAAAGCCCGAUGCCCUAAACCUUGAUUGGUUGGGAGUCAUCGAUCCUCUGCUUGCUACAUAGGUGAAUUGGUUAAGUUUAGUGAGUAAAAAGAAUUGUGAAUAAGAAGGUGUGUUCCUAACCUAUUAAGAGUUAGUUAAUUUUUCCAAUGUUCGAGAAAAGCUUAGGUUGGAGGGAGAGGAUAGUUGUACAUAUUAUAUCCGGAAGCUAAUCUCAUUAACACUUAGCUCAUUAUGGAAGAGUUUGAUUUGGAACCUUGAGAGUAGAGAUUCUUUUGAUACUUAAUUGCAUAAUCUCCACUCUUUGUACUUUUUGUUUAAGUUUUAGUUUUGACAACUCCUAUUGUAUUUUGAAUCUUCAUAUCUUUAGUUUACCAUGUGAGAUGUGUUUUGAUAUCAGUCAUGCCACUCAAUUAUUUUUUGGAAUGAUUUGCAUGACCUCUUUUAUGUAUAUUAUUACGUUUGCUUAGUUUUUCUCUCCUUAAUUGCUAAGGGACUAGCAAUAUGUUGGUUGGGGGGAGUGAUUACUACUCAAAACAUGCUAUUUUGUAGCUUGUUAUUAGCUCUUUUAAGCACCCUUGAGUAGUAAUUAUUACCUUUUAACUCAAUUAACAUGUUAGGGACCCUUGCAAUCGUUUCUAAUCAAUUUGUGUUAAGUUUUGGUGCUUUUUAAUAGCUUUAUGCUCACCAAAGCAAUUUAAGAAUGAGGGAGAGCUAUAUAUAAUUCAUGGCAAAGCUUUUGGAAGCUCAAAUUUAAGAAGAAACCCAGCUUUGGAGCCUCAUAAUCCUUUGCCUUAGUUGUUCAAAGUAUGCAAGGAAAGAACAAUGGAGAAGAGGAAAACAGGGUGAUGAAAACAGGGGACACAGCUGCAGUCUUUCAUCGCACUUUUGGAGCACUUCCCGAAGUCCAUUUUCUACAUUCUAUAUAUCAUUUCAAAGCUCAUAAAGUCAAAAAUCCAACGAUUCAAACCAUGUACGAUUUGGAGCUGAAAUGAGGAAUAUAUGGCCUCCAGAAGACAACUGCAUCAAGCUGAGGGACAAUUUCGCAUGAUGGAAAUCAAGGUGCGAAUUCCUCAGUCCAAAGUGUGGGAAUUUCGCACACCUGAAACCAAAGUGCGAAAUUGGAACUGCAACGUGCGAAAAUUGGAUAUUUUUGCCGACUCUUUUUCUUCUGAUAUUUUUGUGUCUAAAUUUCCAUUUUCUCCUUGUAUUCAGCCACUCAUGUAAUUCCUUAGCUAGGAAGUAUCCAAGGAAGGGUAAAAUUACCUUCCUAUAUAAAUUCUCUUGUAAACACUGAAGAGGCACUCUCGGGGAGCUUUCUCCAGGAGACCAACUGAUGUAAAUUCUACACUUAGUGAAAUACAGAGAUCUCUUUUGCUUUCUUUUUCUCUCUACUAUUUUCUAUUUUCUUGGAAGCCAAAAAGCCUCUGAGGAUGUUUUCCCAGAGGAUGAGAGACUAAACUUAUAGUUUCUUGGAGUAAAGAAAGCUAGGUGAAAAGUCCAGAUUAAAAGGUGGAGCGUUUCCGUGCAUUAAAUUCAGGUGGUUGGAGUCCAUAAAUGGUUUCUAAAUUCAAAGUUUUGCUUUAAAUCCCUUAGAAUCACUUUGACUAGCCAAUACAUGGUAAGCUUCAGGUCUCUGUGGAUGCUUAUUGCUAGAUCCAUAUCAGUCCAUUAGUUAUCAUGUACGAGCUAGUGGAAAGUGAUUCAAGGUGAUAACCCAUAGUGUCUUAAGCCAUUAAUGGAUCUCGACUACCAUCUCUAUUGAUUUUUUAUGGAUUAAAUCUUCAUUGUCAAACCUAUACCGGUUCGGGAAAUAACUAUAGGUUAAAUCCCCAAUGCGAGGAGAAAAAUCCGGAAUUUUCCACUUUGCAUCCUGAACUUGAACCUAGCAACCUUUAGCUCCGGGAGACUUUCUUUCUUCUAUUUUUACUUAGUUUUAUGUGAGUUUAGUUUCAAUCACCACUUUCAAAACAAUUUUAUUUUCUUUUAAAUUUCAAGUUUGUGCUAAAGGAAAUCAUCAGAAUCAAUUUCUAAUUUAGAGUCUAUCACUGAUAGAGUGAAAACCCAUCCCUGAGUUCGACCCUAGAACUGCUAUACUAUAGUAGCUUUGCUACGCCAGUAUAAGGUCAUAGGAUUUAUAAAUGUUUUUGAUUAAAAGACCCGGCUGGGCAACGAAUCAGCAGGCUAGGUGUAGGACCCUUGAAAAAAGGCUAGAAAUAGCUAAUUUUCCUAAAGAAGAUAUAAGCCAAGCCCCUUUUUUCCCCACUGGAAAAUGGUGAGAAAAAACCAUUCACCCCACUAGUGAAUGAGAAAUUAAGUAAGGAUGAGCAGGAGUGCAUUCUCUUUAGAAUGUUUCAUCGUAGGAAUCAGAUCUUGUACACUCUUAAACUAGAUGAUAUUUAUCAACUAAUUUUUUAAAAAGCCAAGACCAGUGCAGAAGAAAAGCAAGUUUUUAUUUCGGCCUAUCUUCAGGAUCUGCACAUUUAUCUCUCAGCUAUUCCUGGUCUCAGUGUUCCAGGAUUGAAUUUAACUAAGGAAUUGGAAUUUGACGGUUCAAAAGUUUGCAGAAAUUGUAGUGAACCGCUUCUUCAUCAACAUGACAACAGGCAAUUUUGCAACUGCAAUAGAAAUUUCACUAUCAGCAGAGCCUGCAUUGAUCUGCAGUAUUACCAACCAAUUAACCUUGCUUUCAAAAGAGAUGUUUUAAUCCUAACCCCUAAAAUGCUUCUUGAUUAUGGGUUAGUCUACCAACUUAUCUGUUCUGAUCCAAGUUAAGCUAGCAAUUUUGGCAGAAAGGUUAACCUAAGCUUAACCCAAGGUUUUAAGUUAAACAAGAAGUUUGUUGACGCUAUUUUUAUUAGCAAAGCUCCUGAAUGGAUUUCUAGAGGCAACAUUCUUCUAGCCCAACACUAUGUUAAUCUUCAUUAUCAUAAUAGAAGACUGAUUCGUGCCCAAUUGGUGUCUCAGCUGAUUCGUGUCCAGCUGGUGCUCCUUGAUUGAGGGAGUAAUCAACAAAAUUUAUAACCUAUUACACCAUAUACUAGGGUAGCAAAGACAAAGCUACUAUAGCAUAGUGGCUCUAGGAUCAUUCACUAGGAUGGGUUUUCACUUCACAAAUGAUAUUAAUUCAAAGUUGAAUUAGUGCCUUUUCAUUUCAAGGUUAGCUUUAAAAGAAAACAUAAAGAUGUUUGAAUGAAAAAGGUUUGGUUUUAAACUAACCAAAAAUAGUAACUGAUUUUACUUACAAAGAAAAGUGUUUCUUGGAGUUUCAGAUCACUAGGCUCAGAUUCCUCAUACAAAAAGGGAGUUCCGGUCACUUGUUUCUUUUCCUCGCAUUAGAGAAUUAACAUAUAGUUAAUUCUCUAACCGGUGCUAUACAGAUGCUUCCCAUUAAUGGGUUCAAACACUAAAUCCCUCUCAUUGAUGCACCUUGCAAUGGCUCAUACCUCUCACCUAGCACUUGCCAUUCAAGGUGAUCUUUAACCUUGGAUUACCCGUUAAAAGCUCGCAAGAGAUAACUAAUGGAUGUCUCCUUGGAGUCCAAAAGCUUACCAAGUGUUGGCAAUUCUAGAAAAUCCUACCUUCAAGUCACCUCCCAAAAGCUCGCAAGAGAUAAACUAGUGCAUCUCCAUGGACGGAGAUCACUUGCCUUACCAAGUGUUGGCUCAGGUGAUUUAAAGGCGUUUUAAGUUAACUAAAAAGAUAAAAACCAUUAACGGGUCACACUUUCUCUUCAUUAAAAACUAAAACAACAAAACUUCCAAAUUAUGCAUGUGGAAACUUACCCGGCUUUCCUCACUCCAAGAGACAAAAAGCCUAGCCUUUCAUCCUCUAAGGAAAAAUCCUCAGAGAAUGUUUGGCUAGCAAGAAAAUGAAAAUGAAAAAGAAGGAAAAACAGAGCAAGGCUCUGUAUAUUCUAUAUAUUUAUAUAUCUAUAUCCCGUUGGAUUACAUGAUGCCCUAAGAACAAGCUCCCGAGAGCUAUAUAUAAAGAAAAUUACAAAACAAAAUAUCUCAGGUUAUUCACCACUUUUCCAAACUUAAUAACUAAGGAAUCCUAUAAUUGGUGGGUUACAAGGAGAAAAUGGGGAUUUAGACAUCAAAAAUCUGAAGCAAAAUAUCCAAAAGUGUCGGUCGCAACUAUCGGGAAGCUUCAGGAGAACACCCGUGCACUGUGCAAAAUGGCUGCGAAAUUCUCGCAGCAAAAGGCUGAUUUCACAGCCGUGCAAAAAUCUUCCUUCAUCUUGGAGUGAUCUGCUUGCAAUGGCUGUAACUCCUUCGUUUCAACUCCGAAUCGCGCACCAUUUAAAGAAUUAGAUUUUCGACUUCCUGAGCUUUGAAACGACAUAUUGCAUGUAUAAUUUGGACUCCCAAAAGUGCUCCAAAAGUGGCUGACAUGACUGUCAUCAAAAAUUGCUUCAUGGCAGAUUUCUCUUUGCUUCCCCUCCUUGCAUUCCGGAUUUGCUUAUGGCAAAGGAUUUCAAAGCUUCGGUUCUUCAUGUUUUUGAGCUUUCCAUUACUUUGCCAUGGAUUCCAAAUAACUCUCCUCAAUCUCAUAUUGCUUUGGUGAUAAAAAAGUUAUCAAAACACCAAAACUUAACACAAUUUGAUUAGAAUUGAUUGCAAGGGUCCUUAAUAUGUUAAUUGGGUUAAAAGGCAAUAACUACUACUCAAAAGUGUUUAAAAGAGUUAAUUACAAGCUAUCAAAUAGCACAUUUUGAGUAGUAAUCAAAGACCUACACUUUUGUCCAGUCCCUUAGUACAAGCCGAUAUUUGCGCAGAGCCAAUUAUUAAGUAAAUCAAGCAUUGGAGAGCCAGAGUCAUCAGUAGAGAUUUUGAAACCUACCCUAAAAACAUGGGGCAUCUCAUUGCUGCGGAUUCCCUACAUCAGAUAUUUUGCAGUAAAAGAAUUGACCAUUUACCGUUCAAAUCCACUAUUCAAGAUACUCAGCUCCUAAUGGAUCAUCGCUCAGAAUAUAUUCCUCCCUGAUCAGCCGUCAUUUCAGUUGAAAGCAAGAUUCAGGGUCAAAAGUAAAAAAUGCUACAGUUCCCUUUCACUGUUCACUUUUACUAUUCAAGCACAGGACUACUAUUCAUUAUUACUAUUUAAGAUUCCUUUUUGCCUAUUUAAGGGGGCUCGGUCCUCAUUUGUAAGCAGAAUGUAAUUUUUCCAUUCCAUAUGCUCCUCCUUCUCUCUUAUUUCUCUCUCAUCAUGUAAGCUCUCAAGCCUUCAAGCUUUCUUCAAACUUUCCUACCCUCGUCCAUUGUAAGAUAUUUCUCCUUAUGUAUAAAAUAAAUAUGUUUUGAUUACCUCCUAUAUGGAUGGUUUUUAAUUAAGUUUUGUUUUCAUUUCAAUUUAUAUUCUUGUACCUCCUACAUGUAUGGUUUUAAUUAAAAGCUUUGAUUUUAAUUUUAUGUUUUUCAUUUGUGUAGCGCAUAUCAUGGACGGUUUUACUCUUCUACAGGAUAUCUAANNNNNNNNNNNNNNNNNNNNNNNNNNNNNNNNNNNNNNNNNNNNNNNNNNNNNNNNNNNNNNNNNNNNNNNNNNNNNNNNNNNNNNNNNNNNNNNNNNNNAUGUAGGAGGUACAAGAAUAUAAAUUGAAAUGAAAACAAAACUUAAUUAAAAACCAUCCAUAUAGGAGGUAAUCAAAACAUAUUUAUUUUAUACAUAAGGAGAAAUAUCUUACAAUGGACGAGGGUAGGAAAGCUUGAAGAAAGCUUGAAGGCUUGAGAGCUUACAUGAUGAGAGAGAAAUAAGAGAGAAGGAGGAGCAUAUGGAAUGGAAAAAUUACAUUCUGCUUACAAAUGAGGACCGAGCCCCCUUAAAUAGGCAAAAAGGAAUCUUAAAUAGUAAUAAUGAACAGUAGUCCCGUGCUUGAAUAGUAAAAGUGAACAGUGAAAGGGAACUGUAGCAUUUUUGACUUUUGACCCUGAAUCUUGCUUUCGGCUGAAAUGAUGGCUGACCAGGGAGGAAUAUAUUCUGAGCGAUGAUCCAUUAGGAGCUGAGUAUCUUGAAUAGCGGAUUUGAACGGUAAAGGGUCAAUCUUUUUACUGCAAAAUAUCUGAUGUAGGGAAUCCGCAGCAAUGAGAUGCCCCAUGUUUUUAGGGUAGGCUUCAAAAUCUCUGCUGAUGACUGUAGCUCUCCAAUGCUUGAUUUACUUAAUAAUUGGCUCUGCGCAAAUAUCGGCUUGUACUAAGGGACUGGACAGAAGUGUAGGUCUUCUAUUAUGAUAAUGAAGAUUAACAUAGUGUUGGGUUGGAAGAAUGUUGCCUCUAGAAAUCCAUUCAAGAGCUUUGCUAAUAAAAAUAGUGUCAGCAAACUUCUUGUUUAACUUAAAACCUUGGGUUAAGCUUAGGUUAACCUUUCUGCCAAAAUUGCUAGCUUGACUUGGAUCGGAACAAAUAAGUUGGUAGACUAACCCAUAAUCAAGAAGCAUUUCAGGGGUUAGGAUUAAAACAUCUCCUUUGAAAGCAAGGUUAAUUGGCUGGUAAUACUGCAGAUCAAUGCAGGCUCUGCUGAUAGUGAAAUUUCUAUUGUAGUUGCAAAAUUGCCUGUUGUCAUGUUGAUGAAGAAGCGGUUCACUACAAUUUAUGCAAACUUUUGAACCAUCAAAUUCCAAUUCCUUAGUUAAAUUCAAUCCUGGAACACUGAGACUAGGAAUAGCUGAGAGAUAAAUGUGCAGAUCCUGAAGAUAGGCCGAAAUAAAAACUUGCUUUUCUUCUACACUGGUCUUGGCUUUUUCAAAAAUUAGCUUAUAAAUAUCAUCUAGCUUAAGAGUGUACAGGAUCUGAUUCCUACAGUGAAACAUUCUAAAGAGAAUGCACUCCUGCUCAUCCUUACUUAAUUUCUCAUUCACCAGUGGGGUGAAUGGUUUUUUCUCACCAUUUUCCAAUGGGGAAAAAGAGGCUUGGCUUAUAUCUUCUUUAGGAAAAUUAGCUAUUUCUAGCCUUUUUUAAAGGGUCCUACACCUAGCCUGCAAAUCACAAAUACUCUUAUGAACAGAUAAGGAGUUAGUAUCAAAAGUAGAAAAGUUUAAGGGGAUGGGUUCUUACACAAAAGGUAGAGAACUCGAAAUAUUUCCUUAUUCCAAAACAGGGGAGAAAGGAUGCUUAAGAACUGGAGGAAAAGGAUCAGAAGAAGAUCCUUGAGAUCCUGAAGCAUAAUCAUAAUACAAGGGUUUGAAUUUUUCUGAUAAGACUGAAAAAGGUUUCAUGUAAGAUGAUGAUUUCUUAAAGGAUUGCUUUUCUUUUUUGGGAGCCAUGAUCUUGUGAAUCUUGCAAAAAUUCAUGAGUUAGGAAAUCAGGGAUUGAGUUAUUUUCUCCUUUAAUAUAUUCAAUUUGAAAAUCAAAAUUGCUUAAAAUGGCUUGCCAUCUAGCAAAAAUACGCUUAGAAGCUAUAUUUUUAACAUUUUUUUGCAAAAUUGAUUUUGCCGAUAAACAAUCAACCCUUAAUAAAAAUUCUUGAUUUAAAAGAUCAUCUUGAAAUUUGAAAUGCAUAAAACAAUGCUUAAAAUUUCUUUUUUAAUGGUGCUAUAGUUGAGUUGGGCAUUAUUCCAAGUUCCUGAAGUAUAUCUAACCAACUUUUCUUGAGUGUCGAUUUUCUGUUUAAGAAUACCACCAUAUCCUAUAUCUGAGGCAUCAGUCUCAAAUAUUUUAAAGGCUGUAGGGUCAGCUAGGGCAAGACACGGUAAGGUCUUAACUUUAGAUUUGACUAUCUUCACAAUCUUGGUAUGAUCCUCAUUCCAAGGAACUGGAUUUUUCUUAAGUCUUUGUCUUAAAGGGGCACACAACUGGCUUAAAUCUUGUAUGAAAUCUGACACAUAAUUAAGGCUUCCUAGGAAACGUUGCAACUGUUUCUUAUCUUUGAUUUCAUCAGGAAACUUAUCAGCAAAUUCUAAAGAUCUUUGAAUAGGAGUGAUGGAUCCUUGGUGAAUAUAAUGACCAAGGAAUCUUAUCCUAGUUUGAAAAAGGUUAAUCUUAGUAGUUGAUAGGCUUAAUCCAUUGCUUUUAACAGUUUCAAUAAACUUAUUGAGAUGCUUCCAAUGCUGUUCAACAGAACUAGAAUAUACUAAAACAUCAUCAAUAUAGACUAUGAUGAAAUUCAUCAUAUUUUGGAAUUCUGAAGGAGCAUUCUUAAGGCCAAAAGGCAUAACAUUCCAUUCAUAGUGACCAAAUGGGACAACAAAGGCAGUUUUAUACCUAUCCUUUUCAGCCACUUGGAUUUGCCAAAAACCUGACUUCAUGUCAAACUUAGAAAAAAUCCUGGAAUUAACUAGCCUUUGAAGGAGGUAUUUUUUGUUUGGAAUAAGAUAUCUAAUCCAUCUUAGAGCAUCAUUAAGGGGCUUAUAAUUGAUGACUAACCUAGGAGUUCCUCUUUCCAACUCAGCUUGUUUUUUAACAUAAAAGGCUGAACAACUCCAAGGGGAUUUGGAUUUUCUUAUCAAAUUUUUGUCAAGAAGAUCAUGGAUUUCCUUUUCACAAUAGCUUAAUAAUUCUUUGCUCAUCUGGAUUGGUUUGGCUUUAGUGGGGAUAUUCUUUUCACUGAAGUCUGGUUCGUAGGGUAAUUCUAUCUUAUGUUGUUUUCUGUGCCAAAAAGCAUUGGGGAUGUUAGAGCAGAUUUCCUUAAUAAUUUUAUUCUUAAGAAUUUCUAUUGCAUCUUGGGUUUUCUUAAUUUGUAAUUGAUCUUCAAUCCUAAUCAUAUUAAUUUCUUACUUUAAGAACUUAACAUGAUUUUUCUUGGCAACUAUCACUUGAUCAUUUAGGGUGUUUAUAUUUCUUUUACUAGGAAGGUUGGCAAAUCCAAAGAGAAUAUUUCUACCAAAAAACUUUGUCCUUAUUCCUUGUUUAUCAAUCCAGAUAGGAAAGAUAGAGCUUAAAAGGGGAAUUCCAAUGAGAGCUUUUUCUUUAAGAUCUUUGACAAGAAUGAAAGUUUGCUUAAUACAAAAGCCUUGAUUACAAAUAUGAGCAUCAGACAGUUUGUAAUUAAUAUUAAGGUUUUGACCAUUAGCUCCAAAAAGAUCUUGUUUAGUUUUUUCAUAAAACUGGGUAGGUAUAAGACCUUCUUGAAGACAAUUCAAAGCUGCUCCUGAAUCAAUAAGGGCAAUAAUAUCAAUGGCAAUUUUAUUCUUAAUUACUUUAGUAAGGUGGACUUCCCACUUUUGGGAAAUAACCCUGCUGACAGUAUUUAAGUAUACCUCUGCCUUUCUGUUAUUGUCAUGGGGUGAUUUAGGAGUCUUAAGGCUAUCUUGAUUAAGGUAGUUGGGACAAGUAUCAAUCCUUUUGAUACUUGAUUCCUUAAUCUCUUUCUUAUACUGCUUAACUUCUUCUUGUAAAUCCUUGAUAGUUAUUAUACUUAGGGUAGGAUCUUGGUUUUGCCUAGAAUAAUCACUAGUUGACUUAAUAAGCUUAUUACCCUUAAAGUUCUGCUUAACCAUACAAAUUCUCCUAUGGGAAUGCUGAGGUGUUUCUGGGAUGAUAAGGUUAUCCUUAACCUUCUGGCUUAUUCUUUCAAUGAAAGUUUGAUCAAUAUAGGGGUUUUCCUGAAAUUUUUUAGAGAAUUGAAAAGGUUUCAAUAAAGGCUUAUUAUCAUUUUUAACAAAAGAAUUCUUAGUGUAACGUUGAGUUUCCAUAAUAUCCUCAAUUCUAUUGAGUUGAUUACCAAUGGUUAAGAGGAACAUAUUAGUAUAAUUAUUUUGUUCCAUUAUUCUCUUAAUAUCUAUAAUACUGACAGUUCCCUUAUCAUCAAGCUUGGUCUUAAAAGGUGAAGCACUAACAAUGGUUCCAUUUAUGUCCAUUUCAAUCUUGGCUUUAGGAGGAUGAAUGGACUCUAUGACAAUAUUAUCACUAGUUUUCCAUAUCUUAGUUUUUGAGGAUGUGUUGUAAAUGUAUUUACAAGGAUAAUCUGGAUAUUCCUCUUGUUUGAAGAGUUCAAACCAGAUCCAGAACUUAAUAUUUUUCUUUUCUUGUCUUAAGUAGGAAUAAAAUUCCUCUUGGAGAAUGGUUCUAAAAACUUUAGGAAUAGUUCUAAAAAACCAAUCUUUCUUUUCCUUAUUGACUUCAGAAUAGAAGUCCUUCCUUAAGAGUUCCUUGUUGAUCUCAAAGUCUUCAUCACCAUAGCUUAUGGUGUUGAUCAUCUGAGAAUAUGUAGGAGACUCAUCCUGUUGAGAUUCAUGAGUAGAGUCCUUUUCCUCAGUGUAAAAGGGUCUGGCCAAAUUGGUGUGACUUCUAACACCUGUUAGCUUGAUGUUCUUAGGAUUUGAACUGGUACCUUCAUCUUCCCUAGUGAUCCUUACUGGGAUAGAUGAGCUUGAAGAUCUAGCUGGUUCAUAACCUGAAACUCUAGGGUUACUAGAAUGACGAAAGGAAUUGGAGAAAAUAAGAUCUCCACCCCCAUCAGGAUAUUGAACAAUUUUUGUUCAAUCCUUUCAGAUCUCUGCUCUAUGGCUGGAACGACAUUAGAGAAAUGCCAGCUUUCUGGGAAUUCAACCUCAUCCCAACUUAUCUUCAUGGGGACGAUGAUGUUGGACUUAUUUAUGCCGUCUGAAUGAAAGAGAGUAGUUUCUCCCUUAGGACUGGUGCAUAAAGCCCUAGAUCCAACGCUUGUAGUCAUACUCUUGUAAGCAAACCUGGUAAUGAUGGAAACAGGACUGUUUCCUUCCUUGAACUUAAAGCCAUGAGUCUUAACGUGCAGGACAACAGUAUCUAAGAUGUCCGCGUCUCUUAAUCUAACUGUGAAGUUAGGGAAACACUGGAAAUAAACUGGGCCAUCAUUUAGUCCAGCUUGGACUACUCCAAUAAUAGAAUCUCGAUAAUCGAGAUGCCUAUUAUCUCUUAAACACAUGACAAUAGAGGUGUUUAAACCUAAUCUUGUCAAAGGCUUAGCUGCUACUUGGAUCAUACCAAAGUGUAUGAAACUAUACCCAUCUUUCUUAUGCUUAUCAAUGGAAUUACCAUCUAAGAGUCUUAUAAUUUGAUUAUCUUGUUCUAAGCUUACUGACACUUCAGAGGUUCUAAUGGUGUAGUCUGUGAAAAACUUAAAGGUUCCUUUCUUGUAAAUUUCUUGGGUAGACACCUUAGGUAGCUUCCAAUCAUCUAGAUCAUUUUGGAUCUUAGGAUAAUUGAUCUCUUCAUUGUUUACAACAGUAUCUUGAGAAUCACUGGAUCUCCUAGACAUGGUUCUGAAAAUAGAAUUCAUUUUAGGGUUUUGAACUAGAGCCUAAUAGCAGAUUAACAGACCUGAUGAGACGUCACCCCAACCACCUUACAGCCUAACAAACGCCUAUCCACGGCUAACAACGACUCAACCCGGCAGGGCUCGCUCUCCUAGGCACAAUGCUACUUCUCCUUGGGUAGGUCAAAACUUACCAAAACAAACCCAACUUCCCUUCCCAUGGCUCUGAUACCAACAACACCCAGGACAAGGUCAUAUGCAAUGGAGACAUGAAUUAUCUCAAAAUUCAAAACAAAGAAGAGGAAUUAGAAAAUACAAAAGAUAUCCAACAAGAAAUAUAUAUAUAUAUAUUCCUUUCCACACAUGCACAUAAUUUUUCAAGAGUAAAGAGCCUUGGCAGAUCUAUCAUUUUUUGUAGUGCUUUGGACCCUUUGGCUAAGAAAUGCAGUUUCAUAUCUCACUCUGGUAUACAAAAGUUAUGGCUAGAUAUUUCUUUUCAUACAUGCAUAUAUAUUCAUGUUGCUCUUAUCUUCCUUUCCACUCAUGCACAUAAAUUUUCAAGAGUAAAGAGCCUUGGCAGAUCUAUCAUUUUUUGCAGUACUUUGGACACUUUCUUCAACCAAGAAAUGUAGUUUCAUAUCUCACUCUGGUCAGACACUUUUUGUUCUUAUAGUUUCUUUAUAGAAUUUACCCUUUUCAAGUACAUGGUAACACACAAAGCCUUAAAUAUGUUUCUUAGUUAUUCACUGAAUACAUAUGCUAUUUUGAGAAAAUGGCAAUCAUUGAAUGCUUAAGCUUAGGUGCCUUUUGCCGAAGGAAGGCCUGUUAGUAGCCACACUUCUGAAUCUAGAAAUUCUGGGCUUUGCCCUUUGAUGGUCGAAAUUGAGAGGUUUAACCCAAAAUAGUGCACAUCCCAACUUAGGGAUAACUUUUCUUCUAUGAACACUUUUUUUUUUUAAUUUUAUUUUUAUACUCAAAAUAGUGCACAUCCCAGUUUGGGGAUAGCUUUUCAUGUAUGAACACAUUUCUUUUGAAUUUUAUUUUUAUAUCACAAAAAUGGAAGCAGAUGCCAUCUAAUUCACAAAAGACAACUCUUAUGGACUUGAUACAAGUUUCUACUUUGAUACUUGAAAAGGUGAAACAUAAAUUUUUACCUUUGAUACCAUUGAAAUUCUCUUUCAUUGCCUUCUAGCUCAGUGAGGCUUCCAUUGGGUCGUGGUGUUGGUGGUCCAUUUCCAUAUUCAUUGCCUUUUCAGAUGAUGAAUUUCUGUUUCUACAAUUUAUAAUCCCUAGCAUCCCUGGUUACCACUUACCAAAACCUCACUUCUCUUGCAGUGCUGUUCAUCUCAAAUGUCCCAAGCUCAAGUCAUUUUUUCAAAGGAAAUUUCCUAUUGUUAACAAGGUGUCCAAAUGAGAAAGAAGAAGAUUGAUUCAAAACUGUACGGAUCCCCUAUUCAGCUACUUCAUUGGAUAUAUGAGUUGGAACUAAAUUCUGUUUUCUGUGCACAAAAAGAGAAGAAGAUACAUUUCUUCCUUCCAUUUUUUCAUGCAGGUCUGCCUGUCUACUCACAAAUACACAACGACUAAUAUCAUUGGUUCAAAUACAAUUUCAAUUAUUAUAUAUUGAUGGAAAUUUCCUCUCUCUGUGCAUGUAGGAGGAAAAGAACAAUAAAGGAAAUGAGUUUAAAAAUUUUCCAACCAAAGCUCAGCCUAUUCAAAGGGUGGUAAGUUAAUGAUGUGAACUGUAGAUGAUGGUUUUUUCUUUGUCUUUUCAAGUAAAUCUAAUAGUUCUCUGCUCUGGAGGUUGAGAUGCUUCAUGUUUCAUUUUAUUGUGUUUGUAUGGCCCAAUAAAUUGCAUUUUAAAUGAUCGCUAGAAUUUCAUUCAUGAUUUGAGUAGAGGUGGAUUUGGAAUGCAGUUAUUGUGGAAAUUAUAAAGCCAAAUCAAGUAUAAUCAAAUGUAUUUAAAAUUUUAUAUAUUUUCUAAAUUCUUCAUUCUUUAUAUAGAGGAUGAAAAGAGCAAUAUGUUUUAAGAUGAUUGGAAAUUUUAUUAAGUUUAAUAUCAAGUUUUUUUCGUCAUUUUUAGUUCCCUUCAAUUUUCCCUCUAUUUUUUUCCCUUGUACUUUCUCUCAAACAUUCUAUGAUCUAAAUAGAGUCUCAUUGUUUUUAAUUUUAGAACUAUCACAAAAAUUUCUCUGAAGGGGAAAAAAGGAUGUGCUUGGAAGUUUUUAGAACAGAACGUAUAUCACACUUAUUAAACAUGAAGCAAUUUAUUCAUUGAGCUGUAAACUGCCCCAUUUUUACCAUAUUAUUGUUGGUGCAUGCAUGAUGUGCUUAACAAAUAUCCUAGCAUAGUAAGAAUUGCAUGACAAUCUUUAAAGUUGCAAAUGUAAUUGUGUUACAAUGUUUAAAGUUUUUAAUUUUGAUUUUUUGUUUAGUAGCCAUUUUGGUAUCUGUAUUUAGUCUUGUGUAUGACAAUUUCCUCUAUGCUACAAAGUUCCCCUUUGGUCAGAUAGUGAGAGGCUUCAUCUUAAAUCAAUUCAACCUUAACUUUUUCACUGGGCUUGGAUAUGAUAAGGAAUAAUUGUAGAGUGGUUAAGGAGGGAUUUCCCAUGGCAAAGAAUGGGGAAUAAGUUAAGAAUCGGGAUGAUUUUCUCACCAUAUAAGAUAAUGGGUUUGGGUAUGACAAGGUUGGGGCCAUUCGACAAUGCUUAUUAGGCAUCUGUCUUCAGAGAUCUGCAAUGGAGACCAGAUUGUUGAGGAAGUAUGAGAGGAAAAUGAGGUGAAGGUUAUUUGGUGAUUUUGUGGAAAGCCAUUGAAAAUGGUUGUCAAAAACUUUAAUAAACCUAUAACACAUAUGAUUGGGGUGAUAAGAGCAAGCUUAGAUUUUGGCUGGAUUUUUUGCACAGUGAUAGCAUCCUAAAUUGAAGCCUAUUCAGACUCAUUCAAAUUUGUCAUGAGAUGCAGACUGAAGCCAGAAGCAAAUUUUCUUUGAAGAAGGUAUCAGACAGUGGGGUGCAAGGAAGUUAUCACUUUUCAUGAAACAACAUGAGUUGGUAGUGCAUUUUUUGGCGGCUGCAGGGUUAAUGGCUCUUUUUGGGUGUUGUGGGUGACCUCAAACCAUACAGAAGUUGUUAUCAGGUUGUCAUAGAAGAGUUGUGGCUUAGCACCAAAGAACAAUGUGGAUGACAGGUUUUAUAAGCAUUUAGUCUGGAAUAGAUGGAGAAAAAAGAGAUAGAAGAAAUUCUCAAGGGAAUGAGGUUUCUUUAACAUGUAAGAACAAAUGGCUUUUAUCAUGAGUUUCCUUGAUGAUAUGUGUUUUCCAAUGCAUUCUCUUCCCUUGAUAAUUAUCUUUUUGUUUUUUUCCUUUUUUGUUUUCUUUUGGGAUCCACAUAUAUACUUUGAAUCCUUUAUCUGCUUCAGACCCUUCUGUAGUCAUGCUUUUGAGCUAUUAAGAAGAUACUACUUUAUUUAUUGGAUGCUCAUGAACACUUUUUUUUUUCUUUUUUUUUCAUAAAAUAGUUUUGCGGAUAUACAAGAUUUUUUUUUUCUUUCAAAUUUUGAGGGUAUUCACGUUUAGACACUUUCUGCAGGGGAGCUACAACAUGGUCUUACACCUCUGAGAAGCCCCAUAAGUACUCUUGUUGUAUUUUGGAAUUCUAGUGCUAAGGUAGGGAAAUACUAAAAAAAGUUGUUUACUCACCGUUAGAUGUAUGUAUAAAUUCAUUUGAGUAGGCCUCAAUACUGGUGGUCAAUUUCCAUAUUGGUUUCCUUUUCAAAUGAUUAAUUUCUAUUUCUACAGUCUCUCUUCCCUAGGUCUCCAAAACAUCACUUCACUUACAGUGUUAUUCAUGUCAAAUUGCCCUAAGCUCUGGUCCUUCUACCAAAAGCAGGACUGCCUGUAAGAUCCUCAAUGCUUGAAAUUCUUAAACAAGGUGCCUAAAGGAGAAACAAGAAUAUAGAUCCAAGACUGUGCACAUACCUUAUAUUCAGCUACAUCACUUGUUGGACUAUAUGAGUUGGAAUUGGAUUGUACUUUCUCUGCUCGAUCAUAGAAGCAGAUACCAAUCUUCCCUUCUUUUUUCAGCCAGGUAUGCCUACCUAAUCACAAAUACACAGCUCUCCUUAAGCAUAUGUGAAAGUUAAUAUGUGUCAUCCCUUCUAACACAAUAUUUGUAUGGCCAACUUAAUUAAUUAUUUUUUUGUUUCUCCCUAGAUUUUUCAUUGAUGAUUUCAUUGGAGGUGAAUUUUGAUGGCAAUUAUGUAUUGGUGUUCUCUUGAGCUUUGUUCCUUAUAUUGCUCUUUUUUCCUCUGUUCCAUGAUCCUGUCCUAUUUCCAAAUCAUAUCUACAAUGUGCAUAUAUUUUAUGUACAAUUUUCUGGGAUGAGAGAUAUUUGGGUGACAUCACCUUUAUAUAGUUCAAGCACAAUUUAUGAACUCAUUUGCCCCAAAACAAAUGUUGGUGUGCAUUGUAAAGUCUAGUGAGAUAUCUUUUUUAUUGAGUUUCUCUAGAGCAGUUAUUCUUUUUAUUUACACAAUAAUAAGCAGUGUCUAGUUAUGUAUUUUAAUUGCAUAAAAUCCGCUUUUACUGUUUUUAAUUUCUACCAUUCACAAAAUUGCUUGGAAGUUUUGAACACUAGAGGUAUGUGGUGGUUAACACAAAUUGGGCCCCUUUUGACAAUAUCAUUGAUAGUCUGUCAUCGGCUCCUGCUUGUUAUGCUUAAAAAGUAUUCCAACACAGUAUGACAAUUGCAUUAAAAAACAAAAAUUACAUUAGUAUGUUUGACGUUGUAAGCAUUGAUUUUUGGUUAAGGAGCCAUUUUGGCAUUUGUGUACUUAACCUUACACAUGGGAUUUCCUCUAUGCUAAAGAGUUUUGCUUUGGUUGGCUGAGAAUUUCAUAAUAUAGGCUUGCCUGAGGACUUCCCAUUAAAUUUAAUGCAACCUUAUCUUUUUCUCUGGAAUGCUCAUGUGGGAAGAUACAACAAAUUUACACUUAAUUGCAGAGUGAAUGGGGAGUGAUUUCCUGUAGGGAAGGUUGGGAACAAGUAUAAUUUAGUAGGAUCAAGAAUGAUUUGCCCAUAAGAAAAUAUAGUGGGUUUGGGUAUGAGAUGGUUAGGGUAAUUCAACCAGGCCUUGUUAGGCAAAUGGCUUUGAAGAUCCACUGUAAGCUUAGAUUGUAGGCUAAUAACAUAUAUCAAGCUUAUGUAGGCUUAAUGUCACAAGCUGAUCCAAAUGAGCCUCCCCAUGGCCUUAUAUAGGGCCAAGAAGCUUCUGGAGACUCCUAGAGUGGGAAGAGUGUGGAAGGUUCUAGAGAAGUCUAGAGGAAUCCACACAAUUCUACACCAUGGUGGAAGGCACAAGAGGAGUCCGGGGCUUUCUAGAGAAAUCUAGAAGACUCUUGUAUAUACUUGUAUAUAGGCUUGUACCUAGAAUGAUGUAGGACAUUCUAGAAUAGUCCUGAGUUGUAAGGAACCCUCCAAGGUUCUAGAGAGUUCCAUUGGUGCCUAUAAAUAGGUGAGGGCCUCAUUUGGCCAAGGCACCAAGCAAGUGAGCAUCCAAGCACUUGUAAAGGCUUUCUUGAGUUAAUAAGAGCUUCCAUUCUUUAAGGAGUUGUCUACUAAGCUCUUAAGCUUUCGAGUCGCGAGUGUCUUAGCCGAGCAAGCUAAGCAUUUGGGGAUCAAGGCUGACUUAGCAAGAUCAAGCGUCUUGACUUGCCUAAGUGCCGCACGAGCUUAGUGAACGACUAAGUCCGUGACAAGUGGUAUCAGAGCGCGGUUACGAGAUGGGCAUACCAAAGGAAGCAUGUCGGGCUCUAACGUGGAGGAGACUAGCGAGCAAACCCGUGGACGGGAAAUGGAGCAUACUACACGGGGCCGAGGCAGGAAGGAUAAGUCUCGUGACGCCUUAGCCAACAUGGAGGCAAGGCUAGCCAAGGUGGAGCUAGCCAUGGCGGACACCCGGGAAAGGGUGGACUUGAUCGAGCAAGGCAUGGAGAAGGGAUUAGAGGAUCUAAGGGAACAAAUCCAAGACCUUCGCGAGGGUGUUCUAGGCUCACAAGUUCAGCCGGUGUCACACGGGGAGUUCAUGUCCUUCCAAGACAAGGUCAUGACCAUGUUCGCUAGUGUGGAGUCAAGGAUGGAGACCUUGGCUGCACGCAUGGAUGCCCGAGACCAAGAGAUCCGACAAGAGCUGGCCAUCUACAAGACUGCGGUGUCAUCACGAGUCAUGGCCACUCAUGAGGCACCAAGGGUGGAGAUGCCCAAGCCACACACGUUCAGUGGCAAGAGGGAUGCCAAGGAACUGGAUAACUUCUUGUGGCACAUGGAGCGUUACUUUGAGGCAAUUGCACUGACGGAUGAAGCCACUAAGGUAUGCACCGCGACCCUUUACCUCACCGAUAAUGCUACUCUAUGGUGGCAUCGACGAUUUGCCGACAUAGAGAAAGGGACGUGCACCAUAGACACAUGGGAUGCCUUUAAGAGAGAAAUCAAGAGGCAAUUCUAUCCCGAAGAUGUGGCUUAUCUAGCAAGGAAGAACUUGAAGCGUCUCAAGCACACGGGCUCGAUCCGUGAGUAUGUCAAAGAAUUCUCUACUCUUAUGCUUGAGAUAGCUAACAUGGCUGAGGAGGAGCUGUUGUUCAACUUCAUGGACAACUUGAAAAGCUGGGCCGAGCAAGAGUUGAGGAGACGUGGUGUCCAAGACCUAGCCACGACCAUGGCAGUAGCCGAGUCCUUAGUGGAUUAUAGAAGGGGAGACUCCUCCAAGCCCAAUCCACCAUCCAAGGGUAACCAGGCCAAAGGUGGGGGAGACAAGAGGUCGUAGGGCCACACUCCUAAGGAAGGAUCAAGCAAAGGCCCUAGUGGCAAGGAUGGCAAAGGCAAGGACAAGCGAAAGGAGUUCACGCCCAGGACCAAUUGCUUCUUGUGUGAUGGUCCGCACUGGGCACGGGACUGCCCUAAGAGGAAGGCUUUAAAUGCUAUGAUCGAGGAAAAGGAGUAGGAAGGCGAUGCUAAGAUGGGAUCGUUGCAGCUCCUAAAUGCCCUUAAGGCCAAGCCGAUGCCUAAGACGCCUCAAAGCAAAGUGCUAAUGUAUGUGGAGGCCCUUGUGAAUGGGAAAGCCACCAAGGCCCUGGUGGACACAGGUGUCACUCACAACUUUGUCUCGGAGGAUGAGGCAAGAAGGUUGGAGCUCCAAGCAUCCAAGGAAGGAGGAUGGCUCAAGGCAGUCAAUUCAGCCGCAAAGCCAUCACAUGGAGUAGUCCGCGGGGUGACUAUGCACAUCGGCUCGUGGGAAGGAAUGGUCGACUUCACAGUGGCACCCAUGGACGACUUCAAGAUGGUGCUAGGAAUGGACUUCCUACAAAAGGUUAAGGUCGUGCCACUACCUUUCCUACGCUCAAUGGCUAUCCUAGAGGAGGAGAAGUCGUGCAUGGUCCCUACGGUCAAUGAAGGUACGCUCAAGAUCCCUAUGCUAUCAGCUAUGCAAGUAAAGAAGGGGUUAAAGAGGGAAGAGGUGACCUACCUCACCACCCUUAAGGAAGAAAGGGAUGAUGGGUCGGGAGAACCCAUGCCUAAAGAAAUCGAGGGGGUCCUUGAUGAGUUCAAGGACGUUAUGCCGCCCGAGUUGCCCAAGAAACUUCCUCCUAGGAGAUAGGAAGAUCACAAGAUUGAGCUGGAGUUGGGAGCCAAGCCCCCUGCUAUGGGGCCAUAUAGGAUGGCACCACCCGAGUUGGAGGAGCUAAGGAGACAACUCAAGGAGUUGCUAGAUGCGGGGUUCAUCCAACCAUCCAAGGCUCCUUAUGGCGCGUCGGUUCUAUUUCAGAAAAAGCAUGAUGGGUCCUUAUGAAUGUGUAUAGAUUACCGGGCACUCAACAAGGUGACGGUGAAGAACAAGUAUCCCAUCCCGCUCAUUGCUGACUUGUUCGAUCAACUUGGAAGGGCAAGGUACUUCACGAAGCUGGACUUAAAGUCAGGCUACUACCAAGUCAGGAUUGCGGAGGGAGAUGAGCCGAAGACUACAUGUGUGACCAGGUAUGGCUCGUAUAAAUUCUUAGUGAUGCCUUUCGGACUCACCAAUGCCCCAGCAACGUUCUGCACCCUCAUGAACAAGAUCUUCCACCCAUACUUAGACAAGUUUGUGGUGGUAUACUUGGAUGACAUAGUCAUCUAUAGUAACACUCUAAAGGAGCACGAAGAGCACUUGAGGAAGGUCUUUAAGAUCUUGAGGCAGAACAAGCUAUACGUGAAGAAGAAGAAGUGCUCGUUUGCUAAGGAGGAAGUGAGCUUCCUAGGGCAUCGCAUCAGAGAUGGCAAGCUAAUGAUGGAUGAUAGCAAGGUGAAAGCCAUCCAGGAGUGGGAUCCACCAACCAAGGUACCUCAACUCAGAUCUUUCCUUGGUCUAGUUAAUUAUUACCGGCGGUUCAUAAAGGGUUAUUCGGGAAGGGCUACUCCACUCACUGAUCUUCUUAAGAAGAAUAAGGCAUGGGAAUGGGAUGAAAGGUGCCAACAAGCCUUUGAGGACCUAAAGAAGGCUGUGACUGAGGAGCCAGUGUUGGCACUACCCGACCACACCAAGGUCUUUGAGGUACACACAGAUGCCUCAGACUUCGCUAUUGGGGGAGUCCUUAUGCAAGAAAGGCACCCAAUCGCGUUUGAGAGUCUCAAGCUAAACGACGCGGAGAGGCGUUACACGGUGCAAGAAAAGGAGAUGACCGUUAUCAUCCACUGCUUGCGCACCUGGAGGCACUAUCUGUUAGGGUCUCACUUCAUAGUGAAGACCGACAAUGUGGCCACUAGCUACUUCCAAACACAGAAGAAGCUGAGUCCUAAACAAGCUAGGUGGCAAGACUUCCUGGCCGAGUUUGACUAUACGCUGGAGUAUAAGCCGGGAAGUGCUAAUCAUGUGGCCGACGCCCUAAGCCGCAAAGUGGAGCUAGCGUCUAUGACGAGUCAGCCCCAAGGAGACAUAAUAGAUCUUCUAAGGGAAGGACUGCAACAUGAUCCAGUGGCUAAGAGCCUCAUCGCCCUAGCUCAUGAGGGGAAGACCAAGCGGUUUUGGGUGGAGGACGGUUUACUCUACACCAAAGGGAGACGACUCUACGUGCUUAAGUGGGGGAACAUAAGGCGGAACCUGAUUAAGGAGUGCCAUGACACCAAGUGGGCAGGGCACCCUGGGCAACGACGCACUAGGGCACUACUCGAGUCGGCUUACUAUUGGCCUCAGAUACGGGAUGAGGUUGAGGCCUAUGUGAGGACUUGUCUUGUGUGCCAACAAGACAAGGUGGAGCAGCGACAACCUAGAGGCCUGUUAGAGCCACUACCUGUAGCUGAACGCCCAUGGGACAACGUCACCAUGGACUUCAUCAUCGGGCUACCUAAGUCAGAGGACAGCGGCUCUAUCAUAGUGGUGGUAGACAGGUUCUCUAAGUAUGCAACCUUCAUAGCAGCCCCGACUGACUGCACUGCAGAAGAGACGGCGAGGCUAUUCCUAAAGCACGUAGUCAAGUAUUGGGGGUUGCCUAAGUUCAUCAUCAGUGAUCGCGACCCGAGCUUCACUAGGAAGUUUUGGACGGAGCUCUUCAAGCUUAUGGGUUCGGAGCUUCACUUCUCCACAAGUUUUCACCCACAAACAGAUGGGCAGACCGAGAGGGUGAACGCUUUAUUGAAGUUGUACUUGAGGCACUUCGUAAGUGCCAACCAGAAGGAUUGGGCUAAGUUGCUAGACAUAGCCCAGUUCUCAUACAACCUGCAAAGGAGUGAGGCGACCAAUAAGAGCCCGUUCGAGCUAGCUACAGGACAGCAACCGUUAACUCCUCACACUCUAACGAUUGGCUAUACGGGGAGAAGUCCAGCGGCUUUCAAGUUCGCGAAAGGGUGGCAUGAGCAAGCUGAUAUAGCACGCUCCUACUUGGAUAAGGCCGCUAAGAAAAUGAAGAAGUGGGAUGACAAGAAGCGACGACACACGGAGUACAAGGUCGGAGACAUGGUGCUUGUCAAGCUCCUUCCUCAACAAUUCAAGUCCCUAAGGCCGCUGCAUAAGGGCCUUGUGAGGAGGUAUGAAGGACCCUUCCUCAUACUUGGGAAGGUCGGCAAUGUGUCCUAUAGAGUCGAGCUGCCCCCGAGGUUGAAGAUUCAUCCUGUCUUCCACGCAAGCUACUUGAAGCCCUAUCACGGAGACAAGGAUGAUCCAAGCCGAGGGUUGUCUAAGAGGGCACCUACAGUAGUCGUGACCUCCUAUGAUAAGGAGGUAGAACACAUCCUCGCAGAUCGGGUCAUCAGGAGACAAGGGGUACCUCCUGCUACGGAAUACUUAGUAAAAUGGAAGGGACUACCAGAAAGCGAGGCUAGUUGGGAGCCAGCAGAGGCACUAUGGCAGUUCCAGGAGCAGAUCGAGCGGUUCCGGGCAGAAGGCGCAACGAGGACGUCUGCAGCUUAGGUGGGGGAAAGUGUCACAAGCUGAUCCAAAUGAGCCUCCUCAUGGCCUUAAAAAGGGCCAGGAAGCUUCUAGAGACUCCUAGAGUGGGAAGAGUGUGGAAGGUUCUAGAGAAGUCUGGAGGAAUCCACACAAUUCUACACCAUGGUGGAAGGCACGAGAGGAGUCCGGGGCUUUCUAGAGAAAUCUAGAAGACUCUUGUAUAUACUUGUAUAUAGGAUUGUACCUAGAAUGAUGUAGGACAUUCUAGAAUAGUCCUGAGUUGUAAGGAACCCUCCAAGGUUCUAGAGAGUUCCAUUGGUGCCUAUAAAUAGGUGAGGGCCUCAUUUGGCCAAGGCACCAAGCAAGUGAGCAUCCAAGCACUUGUAAAGGCUUUCUUGAGUUAAUAAGAGCUUCCAUUCUUUAAGGAGUUGCCUACUAAGCUCUUAAGCUUUCGAGUCGCAAGUGUCUUAGCCGAGCAAGCUAAGCAUUGGGGAUCAAGGCUGACUUAGCAAGAUCAAGCGUCUUGACUUGCCUAAGUGCCGCACGAGCUUAGUGAACGACUAAGUCCAUGACAUUAAGCCCUAAUGGAACUAUGGGAGGAAGAUGAGGUGGAAGUUAUUUGUUGAAUGUGUCAAAAGGCAUUGGAGAUUUUUGUCAAAACCUUGACAAACACAAGAAACAUGUAGUUGGGGUGAUGAGAGCAAGUUUAGAAUUUGGUUGGGUGUUCUGCAUAGCAAUAGGACCCCAAAUGAGUGACUACUAGAUGCAGGGAAAUGUUUCUUGAGGUGCAGGCUCAAGCUAGGGGAAGUUUCCUUAGAAGAAAGUACCAUGCAGUAGAUAGACUCUUUUAUCACAGAUGAUUGGAACAAAUGAAAUUCCUCUGUCAGACUAUAAUGGAGUUGUCUUGGCAUGGAAAUUUUGUGGCUUAAAGCCAAAGUACUAUAUGGAUGUCAAUUCUUUUAAUCUUUUAGUUUAGAAUCCAUGGAGGAAAAAGAAAUAGAAGAAAUUCCCAAGGGAAAGAGGCUUCUUUGACAUGUAAGAUCAAAGGGGUUUAUCUUUUUAUCUUUUUCCUUUUGCUUCCUUUUGGGAUCCACAUAUACACUCCUUUAUCUACUUCACCCCCUCUUGUGGUCAUACAUUUGAGCAUUUAAGAAGAUACUAUCUUUCUUCAUUAGAUACUUAUAAGCACUUGUUCUCAUAAGAUAGUUCUGUCAAUUUACAGGAAUUUUUUUUUGUUCCAAAUGUUAGUUUAUUCAUGUUUAGAAGCAUUCUGCAGGGGGGCUACAACAUGGUCUUGCCUCUCUUAGAAGCUUAAUAAGUCUUGUUACAUUUUAGAGUUUGAAUAGUAAGGUAGGGAAAAACUAUAAAGGUUAUUUAUAUAUAUGUUGUACAUGCAGAAACUCUAAUGUAAAUAUAUUAAGGGAAAAACAUAAAAAUAAAGCAAACAACACAUGAAGGUAUGUGUACAAGGUUUUAACGUGAUUUGGCCAACCAUGCCUACCUCCACGGAUGAGAGAUAAAAGUCCACUAUACUAUAGAGAAUAUUAUAGAGGACAAAUACAGAUACAAUUAUCAGGUCCUGAAACAUCCCAUUUUUUCCCUCUCCUUAUCUCCACCCUAAAUCAUGAGCCUUUUCGCUCCACCAAGUGUCACUCACCUUUUCUCACAUCUACACCCUGGUGAACCCUCGUCCUCCAUCGAGUGUUUCUUGCUCUUGUUCAUAUCUUUGUCUUCCACUCGUAGUCCUUACAAGUCCAUCUUUCUUUCUCAUAAUCUUUUACCUCAUGACUUAGAAUAUUUAUACAGAUAUUCCUAUUAACUUUAUUAUUCUAUAAGGAAUCUAAUUACAAUUACAUAUGAACUUAGAAAAUAUUCCAUAUUAUAUAUAUUCGUUUGAAUCAAAGAAGUUCACUAUUUUAUACUAACAUUUUCUUGGUUGGUUUUGAAUCUUCAGCAUGUGGACCUUGUCGAUGCUAUAAGCUUGUUAGACACACUUGCAUCCAUUGGCUUCAAACUACUUCAUAAUAUUUCUUCUCUCCCACUCCAUGCCACAAAACCUGCAUCUGCAGGUUGAUUUUGGUGGAUCUAUUAUUGUUAGGCUCCUCAGCUCCAAAGCCUCAUGCCAGGAGAAGAGCCCCAUCAACUCCCUAGUCAUUGCAAUACCUUGAAAGGGACUUGUGGGUCUUAUAAAAUAGCUCAAAAAGAUUUCAUAGUACCUCAGACAACACCAUGGGAGAGCCCACUUGGCUAUGUCCUUCUCUUUCAUUUUGUCCAAGCCUUAUUGUACACUCCACUCUGCUUACAGAUACUUCUGCAAAUCUACUACUGUACCUCAUUCAUAGUGACGGGUCCAUAUUAUAAUGCACUCGUGUUCCCCCAUGUCUUUAAUUAAUUUUCUUAUACUUUUUUUGAUUCCUUGAUGGAAAGUAGAAACUUAAAAGAGUGCAUGUAAUGAAAUGAUUGAUCAUAAUUCACAAUAAGAAUAUUUCUCUGUCAAUGCCUUCGAUACCAUUAUGUAGAUUGGAGGGCUUUUACUAUGUUUUUAAUGGCAGCUUCAAAUAAUUAGGAAGAAAUGGUGCAAUAAGAACAUUUGAAAAACAUUUCUUCAGAGUAGAAGAGCAAUUGUGAAGCGAGUUAUUGCCCUCUCAAGGGAUUGUAAUGCCUAGUUAAUCUAGACAUCUCAAUCUUAUUAAUUGAAACAUUUGUUGAAACCUUGGGGGCAGUCAUUGUAUACUUCUUAUGUAUUUUGGUAUGCUUUUUUUUUCUGCUUUUAAUGCAUCUCUUGUUUACCUAUCAAAAAUAAAUAUUUGUAUUUCAAGGCUGUACAACACAAAGAUGCUAAUUUGAAGGAUGAUGGAAUGGAGCUUAUGUAAUAAUGGGUAUUCAUAAAAUAAAAGGAACGAAAUGACCAAUCUUGAUCUUCAUUUAAAUCUGACAGUUGCAUUUUCAUGGUGGAACAAUAAAUUUCAAAGUUGAAUGGGGAAUCUCCAUUCCCAACCAUAGAAAUCUAAAAAAGUACUAGCCCAACAUUGUCCAAAUCCCCUGCUUGAGGGUAGAUGGAGAAUGGAUUAACUCAAGUGAUGAGAAAUUGAAACUGAAGUUCACUUUAUGGGUUGUUGAAAAGAAAUGGAAGCACUAAUCCCUUGAACAACUCAGAUUAUUGAAUAUCUGAUAAGCAUAUUCACAAUUGAUCAUCACUUUUUAAACUAAUUUGUUGUUUUCUGCCAAGUUUGUGUUUGUAUUGUUGUUGUCUACCCAAGUUUCAUGUGAGCAUCAAAUUCAGUACAUCCUUCCUAUAUUCUACCAUAUUUGAAUAUAAUUUCAUGUUUAAGUAGACAACACAAACUAUCUUGUCUUGUUUAAUGAAUAUAUAUAUAUAUAUAUAUUAGUGGCUUGCACAAUAUGUUUAUUUUUUAAGUUUCUUCUCAUACAAAACAAUUAAAACCCUAAAUUUCCUAAUUUUACAUGCAGUCCAUUCGUUUGUGCAUAUAAAUAAAGGAUAAUGUUUUUUUUUCUUUUUUCCUUUCCCCUUUGGGGUAAGUUGGGUAGGUUUCUCUAUUCUUGAGUUCAUCUAUAUUUUAUACUAGUAUAAUUCUAUCACAAAUGUAUUUUCCUUUUAAUUUAUCAUAAGAUUUUCAUUGAUGUCUCUAUGAAGAAGUGAUUAUGGAAAAAGGAGGAAAGGGUACUAGAUGUGAUUCGUGCCCAAUUGGUGUCUCAGCUGAUUCGUGUCCAGUUGGUGCUCCUUGAUUGAGGGAGUAAUCAACAAAAUUUAUAACCUAUUACACCAUAUACUAGGGUAGCAAAGACAAAGCUACUAUAGCAUAGUGGCUCUAGGAUCGUUCACUGGGAUGGGUUUUCACUUUGCAAAUGAUAUUAAUUCAAAGCUAAAUUGGUGUCUUUUCAUUUCAAGGUUAGCUUUAAAAGAAAACAUAAAGAUGUUUGAAUGAAAAAGGUUUAGAUUUAAACUAACCAAAAAUAGUAACUGAUUUUACUUACAAAGAAAAAUGUUUCUUGGAGUUUAGAUCACUAGGCUCAGAUUCCUCAUACAAAAAGGGGGUUCCAGUCACUUGUUUCUUUUCCUCGCAUUAGAGAAUUAACAUAUAGUUCCUUCUCCAACCGGUGUUGUACAGAUGCUUCCCAUUAAUGGGUUCAAACACUAAAUCCCUCUCACUGAUGCACCUUGCAAUGGCUCAUACCUCUCACCUAGCACUUGCCAUUCAAGGUGAUCUUUAACCUUGGAUUACCCGUCAAAAGCUCGCAAGAGAUAACUAAUGGAUGUCUCCUUGGAGUCCAAAAGCUUACCAAGUGUUGGCUAUUCUAGAAAAUCCUACCUUCAAGUCACCUCCCAAAGGCUCGCAAGGGGUAAACUAGUGUAUCUCCAUGGACGGAGAUCACUUGCCUUACCAAGUGUUGGCCCAGGUGAUUUAAAGGCGUUUUAAGUUAACUAAAAAGAUAAAAAACCAUUAACGGGUUACACUUUCUCUUCAUUAAAAACUAAAACAACAAAACUUCCAAAUUAUACAUGUGGAAACUUACCCGGCUUUCCUUACUCCAAGAGACAAAAAGCUUAGCCUCUCAUCCUCUUAGGAAAAAUCCUCAGAGUUUGGUUGGCUAGAAAGAAAACUAAUGAAAAAACAAGAAUAUAUAUGAAAAACAGAGCAAGUGCUCUCUUCGUUGAUUCUAUAUAUGAUAUAUCUAUAUAUUGAUCGAUCUCCUUUACAAUGGAUGCAAGGGAAUAUAUAUAGAGAUGUUUUUCCAACCUUCCUAACUAAGAAAUCUUAUGGUUGGUUGAUUAUAAGGAGAAGAAUGGAAAUUUAUACAAAAAUAUCUGAAGAAAAGAUCUAAAAGAGUCGGUGCACAAAUAUCGGGAAACACUAAGGACCAUUUCGCAGGUGAAAACGAGGUCUGCGAGAUUUCGUAGACGCACACAAAGGGCUGCGAAAUCACUUCGCAGCAAAAGGUUAUUCUCAUAAGGCUGCGAAGUUGGCUUUCAUCUUGAGGUGCUCAGCUUCCAACUUGCGCCAUAUAUCGGGCAACUUCAGGAGGAAAUCCACAACAUUGUACAAAAAGGUUGCGAAAUCAUUUCGCAACAAAAGGGUGAUUCCGCAACACUUUUGCAAAAUGCUUUCUUCAGCUUGGAGUGAUCUUCUUGCAAUGGCUGUAACUCCUUCGUUUCAACUCCAAAUUGCGCACUGUUUGAAGCAUUGGAUUCUUGACUUCCUGAGCUUUGAAAUGGUAUAUAGCAUGUAGAAAAUGGACUUUGGGAAGUGCUCCAAAAGUGUGAAAGAAGACUGCAACUACUGUCCUCUGUUUUCUUCACUCUGUUUUCCUCUCUCCAGUGCUCUUUCCUUGCAUACUUUGAACGACUAAGGCAAAGGACUAUGAGGCUCCAAAGCUUGGUUUCUUCAUGAAUUUGAGCUUCCAAAAGCUUUGCCAUAACUUGUUCAAGUAGCUCCUCCAUCAUUUGGCAUGCUUGAAUUGAUUCAUAAGCUGAUAAAAACAUGUAAACUUGCCACAAAAUGGUUAAAACCAAUUACUAAGGACCUUAAUGAAUUAAUUGGGUUAAAUGAAUAUGAUUACUACUCAAAGGUGCUUAAAACCAUUAUAAUUAGGUCUACAAAAUAGCACUUUUUGGUAGUAAUCAAGAUGGUGACACAACUCUUAGUAGAUGAACCAAGUUUAGAUUGAAAUUUAUAUUGUUAGUACUAAAACUAAUCUAAACAUUCUUAAAAGUUUAAUAGCAUAUAUCUGAUGAGAAAUAAAGGAAAAUUGAAACAUACCUCCAACCAUUGAUGGUUUAAGAAUCCAAAAAUCAAAUUUGAUAUUCAAAUGGGUUAUGUCUUAAUAGAGAUUGGAGACUUAGGAACCUAACCACAAAGACUAUUUAUAUUCACUUUGCUUGAGUAAUGCCAUAAUUAUAGUUGCUAAUGACAAUCAAAAAAGAAAACUAUAUGAAUGAAAUCCCAUAACAUUAUGAGCCAAAUUUUUGGACCCAUUUAGGAAAGCCUAGUAUUAUUCCAAUGGAAGAUUAUGAACCAGAUUUUUGUACCCUUUAGGAAAAUCUAACAUAUUUUUCAAUCACAACAUGGAAGCAAGAACCCCAACAAUCCCAUUAAUACAUUAAGAUUAAGAUUAAGAGAAUAAUUAAUUUAAUAUAUUAUUAGUGAAGUUUUUAUUUUUGCUACCAUACCAAUUUCAAUGGAUAAAAAUAACUUAUUUAUGAAAAGAUAACAUUUGAAAAGAUUUAUUUUAUUUAUUUAAUAUUUUAAUUGGACUAAUAUUAAUAUUUGUAAGAUUUUUAAUAUUAGAAAUUUUAACUUAUUUAAGAGUCAUAGAAUAUUUAAGAUGAAAUUAAUUUUUUUCAAUUGUUUAAUUCUUAAAAAAGAAAAAAGAAAAAAGAAAAUAACAUAUUUAAGAAAGUUAAUCUAUGUUCAAAUGAUUACACUAUCUUUAAAUUUAAUAGAAGUUUUUAUUUCAAUAAUAUUGAUUGAUAUACUUCUCUUAACAAUAGGAUAAAGUAUGAUUCAAUUAGAUUCAAAUAUGGCACUAUCCGUUUUAAAUACUUUGAGAAAAUAAUAAUGAUAAUUCGUGAGCCAUUCUUUCAGUCUAAUUUAUACAUUUUUAAUGUGUUCGAAUUUAAUAAAGUCUUUGUUGAAGGAGUUUUCAAUAAUUUUGAUUCUUGUUAAAUUAAUUUUAUAAUUAGAUAAAUUUUUAUUUCAAUUAAAUCAAAAUAUGACAUAAUCUAUUAAAUAAGAAAUUAAUGAAUCAUUGAAGUUUUUAAUAUGAAAAAGUUAGAAUUCACAUUUUAUUUUUCUAAUUUGUUAAAUCUAAAAUUGUAUAUAAACUAAUAUAUCUGAUAAUAUUUAUUAUAUUUUUAAUGCUAUAAAUCUAAAUUAUAUAUUAAACAAUGUAUUUAAUAAUCAAGGUGAGGAAUGGGGUUCCAUCCCUGAUUCGGAUUCAUUCAAUUUUCUUCACUCUGAUAACUCUGAAACCAAUUAUCAUUCAUUAUCAUGUUCUAAUAGGGUUAGAUCACGUAGGGAUUUUUCUUGGAAGCCAAAGAGUUGCUAUAGUCUUUUUUUUUUCCCUUAAUAUCUCUAUAUUCUUUAAAUUUGAUUUCUUUUCUACAUAUCUUAAUAUCAAUUUUAUUUAUUUUUAUUAUUACUUUCUUUCUUGGGUGUUGUUCAUAAAUUGAUGGGCAUGGUGCUCAAACUUCAACAAGCCUACAUGUUGAUUUUUGUAGACAUGCUGCUGUUGCCUUUUCUUGAAGGUUGGAAUGCAAGAAAGAGGAAUCCUGUGUCCCAUAGAUAUUCCAACAGCUUCUGGUCAUACUGCCCAGUGCCAGCUCUGGUUUGAUAGGAUCAUUAUUCUUUGAUUAUGGAUUUUAAAACUUAUGUACUCCGUCCUUAAGCAUCACAUUCAAAAUUCAACCGUAGCAGAUGUGUCUUCUAGUUUGGCCUCUUCAAACUUUGGUGAUUUAGAAGUAUUCCCCGUAAUGAGAAGUUAAGCUUAUAAAAUCUUAUGAGACCAAACACUUCUACUUUGGUCUCAUCAAAGCUUUUGUAGCUUAUCUAUUCCACAAAACUCUAUAUCAAAAAGUCUAUCUAGCAGAAGUGUUUUUGUAUUUUUGAAAAAAAAAAAUAUUUAACAAAAUUUAAGAAAUACUUUUAAAAAUCUGAAAAAUCAAAAUCAAAAUAAUAUUUAAAAAGUGUAUAUAUAGUGUUUUUUGUAAAAACAUUAAAGAGUUUAUUUGAUAGUGAAUUUAAAAAGUGCUUUUAAUAAUUUUUUAUAUUUUAAAAUUUUUAUCUUUCAAGUAUUAAAAAAAUUAGAAACACUUCCAAAAAUUAUUGUCAAAUAUACUAUAACACUACAUUUGACAAUGAUUUAAAAAAAUAUUUUUCAUUUUUUAAUACUUAAAAAUUAAAUUUUUUUAAAUAUUAUAAAGUACUUCUUAAACUUGUUAUCAAGCAAACUCUUAAUAGUUGAUUCUUCUAAAAACGUUUUCAAAAAAAUACCAAACGGAAUAACUAAAAGCACUGUCGUACCACUUAAAUUUAUCUUGUACUAAGCAUUAAAAAAAAUCUAAAAACUAUAUAUUCAACCUCCCAUUAUUAUUUUUUUCCUCCAUUAGUAAGAGUACUUCCUGACAUUUUCUAUUGUUUGGAGUUUUUUUGGGUAUCUAAAAAUAUCAUAUUUUUUCCUCACCUGCCGGCCCAUAGAGUGCAGUCCGUGUGGACCAAGACGGGAAUCCAACGCCAUAUUCAACCUAACAAAUGCUAAAUAUAUUUUUCUUCUGAAGUUGCAGAGAGUUCCCUGAAUCCUUGUUACCCACAAUCUAUUCUUCAGAUUGGCAUAGAGUUCCCUCAAUCCCUUGUUACCCUGCAAACCAAAAAUAUGGCUGGGUUUGUUGGAGAAGCAGUUCUGUCUGGUUUCAUCCAGAAGCUGGUUGAUAUGGUCACCUCCCCCGAGUUCUGGAAGUAUGCACGUAAAGAGCAAGUUGAUUCUGAGCUGAAAAGGUUGAAGAAUAUAUUGAUAAAGAUCUAUGUAGUGCUCAAUGACGCAGAGGAGAAGCAGAUGACAAACCCUCUGGUCAAAAUAUGGCUGGACGAGCUUAGAGACUUGGCUUACGAUGUGGAGGACAUCUUGGACGACUUCGCCACCGAAGCUUUGCGAAGCAGCAUGAUGGCUCAACCCCAACAAGGCACUACUAAGGCACGAGGCAUGCUCUCUUCUCUCAUUCCGAGUGCUUCUACGUCUAAUUCUAGUAUGCGUUCCAAGAUUGAGGAGAUCACUGCAAGAUUACAAGAUAUUUCAGCCCAAAAGAAUGACCUGGAUUUACGAGAGAUUGCUGGAGGGUGAUCUGAUAGAAAGAGAAAGGGAGCACAGAUUCUGCCCACCACUUCUCUGGUGGUUGAAUCCGAUGUUUAUGGUAGGGAAACAGAUAAAGCGGCCAUUGUCGACAUGUUGCUCAAGGAUGAUCCAAGUAGUGAUGAGGAAGUCUCUGUAAUCCCAAUUGUCGGUAUGGGAGGUAUCGGCAAAACUACUCUGGCUCAGCUUGCCUUCAAUGAAGAUAAAGUGAAGGGCCAUUUUGAUUUGAGAGAAUGGGUAUAUGUUUCUGAUGACUUUGACGUUUCGAGAAUAACCAAGACCAUUCUACAAUCUGUUGAUCCGGGUACUCGUGAUGUCAAUGAUCUCAAUUUGAUUCAGGUCAAUUUGAAGGAGAAUUUUUCUGGGAAGAAGUUUCUUCUUGUGUUAGACGAUGUUUGGAAUGAGAAUUGUCAUGAAUGGGAUACUUUGUGCAUGCCAAUGAGAGCUGGGGCACCCGGUAGUAAACUCAUCGUUACAACCUGUAAUGAAGGUGUCGUAGCAGUUACCGGAACUUGUCCAGCGUAUCCCCUACGAGAGUUAACAUACAAUAAUUGUUUGUCUUUAUUCACUCAGCAAGGGUUGAGGACAAUAAACCUUGAUGCCCAUCCACACUUGAAAGAAGUUGGUGAGGAAAUAGUGAGAAGGUGCAAAGGCUUGCCUUUGGCAGCCAAGGCACUGGUCGGCAUGUUGCGCAACCAACUAAACCGCGACGCAUGGGAAAAUAUAUUAACAAGUAAGAUAUGGGAUUUACCAGAAAAUAAUGUUGGAAUUUUUAUGUGUAGACUUACAUAAUCAAUUUGAUAAUAUCAUAAAUCAGUAUUAAUUUAAUUAUUGCAAUGUGGUCCAUAAUGGGACUGGACACAUAUUGUUGGUUGAUUUUUAUGGACUCACCCUAAUUCACUGCCCAUUAAGUCAAGUAGUCCAAAUAAAGUGUGUAAUGUGUAAUAUAUAUAUAUAUUGAGAUAUGUGUGCAUUUGGAGAUAAUUCUCCUUUUCUUCUCUUGGAGAGCACUGCACGCACACACACUUGCACUUGGACUGAAUGUUUGGGAGGAAAGGGAAGAGUUCAUUGAUCCCUAAUUCUCGUACCAUCACGCAUCUGGAGCAGCUUCUUGGAUAUCAGAGGAGGAAGAAAUGGCUUUCCAUGGCAUAAACCUAGGUAACCGGUUCAUUUUUUGCCAUUAAAUGCAUGCUUAAAUGUUAACAUGUGAUCCUAUGCUAUUUCAAUUCUCUUCAAUUGGUAUCAGAGCAAGCAUGGAUGACAUUUGAGCUGCUAUUUUGGGUUAAUUUUUGGUUUCUCGUUUUCUAGUUAUGGAAGCCAUUUUUUGGAGGGUUUUUUUUUCGUUUGGUGUUUAUUCUUGGUUUUCAAGCCCGAUUGAGGUGGGAGACUUGUUGAGAAUAUUGUUUGGAGCAAAACCCAUCUUUUUUGUGGUUUUUGGAGCUCAUUUGGUGAUAUUUCAAAAAUUAGGGCUUGUUUGGUUCUUCCUAUUAUGCGUUUUUUGUGUAUUUUUUGGGUUUAAAUUGAAGGAUUGAUGUUUGAGGUUGGAAAUCUAAGUAUUUUUGUCGAAAAAUGUGCAAAAUUUUGGGCGGAAAUUUUUUUUUACUUUCUUCUCCAAAACCAAGGCGUGUUCAGCUGGAGAAGAAGAUGAACAGCCCCUACUGACGUCAUCAUGACGUCAUAAAAAAACAAUUUUUUUUUUGUUUGCCUUGUUAUUCUUGGAUUAAUUAUGAAUAUGUUAGAAUUAUUAUACAUUUUUUAAAUUUCACUUUAUUGGGACAAUUAUUAUUAUUAUUGUUUUUAUGGUAUAAUUUUUAUAUUAUACCAAUAAUAUUGUCCAAGGUCAAUUUUGUUAACUAUUUAAAUUUAUUGUGGCAAUAAAUAACACUUGUGUGAUUGCCUAUCGCAAUUCCAAGUGUGUCAAGUUACGCAAAUUAAAUAUUUCAGUUUAUCAUGACAAUAGUGAACAUAUAUGUGGUUGUCUAUCGUGACCCUAUAUGUGUCAAAUUGUCUUUGCUAAGAUAAUUUAACUCCCACUUUUAGUUGCUUUAUUAUUGUGAUUACUAAUAUCCAUACGGGUAUUGUAAUUGUCCUAUCGAUAAUAAUAAUACUUGGUAGGAUGCUUAGAUUGGUAAAGGAAAUUAAUUGAAUAUUAUGAACCGUAUUAAUUUUCUUUGCCCUUUUGGUGAUAAAAUUAGUACAUCUUGGUUGUGAUAUUUAAUUAGUUGUCCUUACCACCGUGGAAAUUUCAAAAUUCCAAAAUAUUGCUAAAUUGAGAAGUUCUGGAAACUAGCAAAUGCAUGAUAUUGUAAUAACAUGCAUAUGUUGAAUUUUGCUAUUUUCCAGCUACUAGCAAUCCUAGUAUUACUCUGCAAUUGUCUACCAUCAAACCUCUUACUAGAAAUAAUUUUGAAGAAUGGUUUGAGUCUUUCAAUGUGCAUAUGACUCUGCACAAUCUGGACUUGGCUUUAAGGGUUGAUGAGCCAAGUAAACCCACUGAUGUGAGCUCUGUAGAUGAAAGAUCAUUUUAUGAAAGAUGGGAGCACUCCAAUAGGAGUUGUCUGAUGGUGAUGAAAUACACUAUGGAUAAGUCCAUUAAAAAAUGUGUGCCGAAGACGGAAAGGGCCAAAAAUCUCCUAGAAUAUGUGAAGGUCAAUUAUACCAAGAUUGAUAAGGCGGAAAUGGCAACUUACUUGAAGCUUCUCACAACCACUACGUAUGAUGGAGUCGAUGGGGUUAGAGAUCAUAUCAUCAAGUUGAAACACUACUUCAACAAGGUAAAUGAGAUGAAAGUGGAGUUGGGUGAAAAAUUUCUGAGAUGGUUGAUACUUGAGUCUCUUCCUAUUUCCUUUGAUGCAGUGAAGUUGACUUACAAUGCCUUGAAGGAAGAAUGGACUCUGGAGGAGUUGAUAUCCAUUAUAGUGAAACAUGAAGUCUCACUGAAGAAAAAUGAGACUCACUCCCUUGCUAUUGUUACUGACCAAGUGAGCAGCAUGAAAAAAAAGCCUCCACACAAGAAUUUUGGGGGUUAUAAGAAAUUCAAAAGAAAAGGGAGUUGGAAUCAAGGAACCUCCAAUGCAUCUGUUUCUUUUAAUGAUGCAAAGAAUGACAAAUUCAAGGGGAAAGGAAACUUUUGCCACAAGAUUGGCCACAAGCAGGCUAAUUGCUUCAAAUUUAAAAUUUGGCUAGAGAAGAAAAAGAAAUGUGAAAUUGUGGUUGUGGUUAAUUUGAAUGCAAACAUGAUUGAGACAAAUAUUGUUGAUGUUCAUGCCAAUUCUUGGUGGUUAGAUACCAAUGCCACUAUUCAUGUCACUAAUUCUUUGCAGGAGAUGACAAACAAAAGGAGGUCGUCAAAGCAUGAAGAAUGUGUGUAUAUGGGUGAUGGAAGCAAAGUGAAAGUGGAAUUUUUUGGCAUUAUAAAGCUAAAGUUGAUCACAUAAAGUUUUUUGUUGUUACACAAUGUGGCUUUCAUACCCUCACUUCGGAGGAAUCUGAUUUCUAUAUCUUCUUUGGAUAGACAUGGUUAUUCUUUUCACUUUGGAGGUGGAAAAGUGGAUAUUUUUAGCAACUCAGUCUUAAUUGGCAAUGGUGUUUUGUUUGGAAAUCUUUAUAGUCUCAGUUUGCAUCAUGGUUCAUUUUGUGAUUCAUCUUUUGUUAAUUCUGUUGUUGGUUGCAAGCGUGCUAGAAUGAAUUUGAGUUCUUCCAUGUUGUGGCACAAACGCCUAGGUCAUAUUUCUAGGCAAAGAUUAGAGAUAUUGGUUAAAGAUGGUGUGCUUUCUAAUCUUGAUUUCUCAGACUUCGAAACUUGUGUUGUUUGCUUAAAGGGGAAGAUGACAGCAAAGACCAGAAAGGAGAAGAUUGAUAGGUGUGGAAGUACUUUAGACUUGAUCCACACAGAUAUAUGUAGUCCUUUGACACCAAUUGCUUUAGGGGGUUAUAAAUAUUUCAUCACUUUUAUUGAUGAUUUCUAUAGAUUUGGUUAUGUUGAACUAAUCCAUGAGAAAUUUGACUCCCUAAAUGUGUUUAAAGCCUUUAAGGCUAAGGUGGAGUUGCAGUUGGGAAAGCCCAUUAAAACUGUGAAGUAUGAUAGAGGUGGUGAGUAUUAUGGGAGAUAUGAUGAGACUGGAUAGAAUUUUAUAGACCAUUCGCUAAGUUUCUAUUGGAAUGCGGCAUUGAUGCAAGAUAUACAAUGUCAGGCACUCCUCAACAGAAUGGGGUUGCAUAAAGAAGGAAUCGCACAUUAUUAGAUAUGGUGAGGUGCAUGUUGUCUAAUUCCUCUUUACCAGAAUUUUUGUGGGGUGAAGCCUUAAGGACUGCGGCAUAUAUUUUGAAUCAAGUGCCCAGUAAGUCUGUGCCUAAGACACCUUAUGAGCUAUGGUCAGGGAAGAAACCGAGCCUUCACCAUUUCCAUGUUUGG
Molecule: long non-coding RNA, 206486 nt
Filed under: Vitis vinifera (wine grape)
Lineage: Eukaryota; Viridiplantae; Streptophyta; Magnoliopsida; Vitales; Vitaceae
Description: long non-coding RNA (VVIN_LNC006966)
Source: RNAcentral